Molecule: long non-coding RNA, 318528 nt
Filed under: Triticum aestivum (bread wheat)
Lineage: Eukaryota; Viridiplantae; Streptophyta; Magnoliopsida; Poales; Poaceae
Description: long non-coding RNA (TAES_LNC006769)
Rfam family: MIR1120/MIR1122 microRNA precursor family (bases 147959-148045)
Source: RNAcentral
GACUCUAGGCGGCCUCCUGUCCCACCGGUUUGACGAAACAGACUCUACUUCUCAAUGUCUAGUUUUGUGACAUGAUGAGCUGCUGCCUACUUCUGCUAGAUCGGAGUGUACUCAGGUUCUCUCACCUUCAGGCUUAAGCCCAGCAGCCACUCGACGGGACCGAGACAUAAGCUGGCUAUUGUCGAUUAACUUCGUUGGCGGGUUUCCCUGUGUGCUUUGUGUGUUUGAUCUAGAAAGGGGAGAGAUUUGACUUAUAUUAUCCUUUUGUGCGUGGAGUCGUCUUUUGGGUGGUACUGUAAGUGUAAGAUACCUAUAUGUUCCAUGCCUACAUACUUCUGCCUGCUCCUUAUUUGCAUUCUACAUACUUUGUUUUGACAAGAAUGCAUGAAUUUCAUAGAUCGAGGUUUAAAAGCUGCUGUCCUAUACUUGCUGCCAUCAUUAUCGCUGUGUGUGAUGUGCUGAGUUAACCUCUUUAUAGAUAGAAGGCAUAAUGUUUUUUGAUUCCUUGAGAUCUCAGACCAGUGAUUGAAAUGCAUCCAAGAUGCCACUGCUUCCUAGGUCAUUAUUUUUACUUUUUAUCAUGAUCUGCAUGUUAUCAUCAGCUUUCGCAUCCCUGAAAAAUCACAUCAAUGUUUCUCGGAGAACUUGUCCAUCGGUGUUUAGAUUGUUGCCACCUUACAGAGUACAAGAUGCGGAGACAGAUUAAUACUCCCUCCGUUCCUAAAUGUAAGUCCUUGUAGAGAUUCCACUGGAUGGACUACAAACGGAGCAAAAUGAGUGAAUCCACACUUAAAAUGCAUCUAUAUACAUCCGUAUGUAGUUCAUAGUAAAAUCUCUACAAAGACUUACAUUUAGGAACGGAGGGAGUAGAAUGUUGUGUUUGGAUUGCUGCCAAUUGCAGAACUUUUACUGUGUAUGCAUACACACUUGUGCCAACCUAGUGAUCUGUUUUCUUGUCGGUUCCUGCAACACCUAGUAAUGUUGUGUUUUUACUGUGUUUAGGUUGUUCCUGCAUAUACAGGUUUUUUUACUGUGUGCAUGCACACUUCAGUCGCAUUGUAUGCAUACACAUUCUUCUCAGUGAGCAAGUGUAGGAAGAAGGAUAUGGAUUGUGUGAUACUUGUGUGGUGCGACAUAUGGGUUUCCCCGUAGAGUGGAUGGUCUCUCUCAUCUCAUGUACUGUACGUAGCAGCUCAAUCAAAUAGACUGACCAGCUUUGCCUUUUUCAUUCUCCAAAAUGUCUGUAUAUUCUUGUAGUUGGCCAUAUGAGCCGAGGUAAGUAAAUCGAAUGAUCUUUACAAUUGAAAAUUUAUGUCACAAUUUGGUAGUGCUGCAUCUGAAUCACAUAUCAACCAAGCCAUAAAUAAAUCUGCAGGCUCUUUGGAUAUAAUAAAAUUAAUUAGUACUCCCUCCGUUCACAAAUAUAAGAUGUUUUACUCUAUAACUUUUUUCUAAAUCGGCUCAAGCCUCCUCCAAGCUUCUUGUCGUCCAACAUCCUUGACUUUGGCAGCUGCUUUCUUCAGACUUGUUUCCUUAUCCUGGAGUUUGGAUUUCUCCUUCCUGUUACAUAUAAAAAAGGCAAUCAUUCUCAGAUACCAUGUAACAUCAACAGAAAACAAAGCAUCCUCCACCAUUUCUAAAACCAUCAAGUUACCAGGAAAAUCAGUUAAGGAUGAGAGGUGAGCUACACAAGCACAAUUAAUCAAGCUGAGAUCACUUCUGAUGGAUAAUACAAUAUAUAUUAUGCCUAACUAGUCAACUGGCAGCAGAGUGCUUUUCUAGCAAUUGUUCAGAACCUGCAAAUCAAUUUAGGAUGAGUGCGUUCAUAGAAGUGAGUGUGCGUCCGUACUGUGUUUUUCAAAAAUAGAAGUAGUUGAAGGGGGCUUGGGGGCUGCUUUGCCUCUUUUCAGAAGGAAAAAACAGUAAUCCACAUUUUGUCCUGCUAAAAGUAGCUUUCCUUGUUACAAGCAUUCUGAUGCUACAGCUUUAUACCAUUUAUAUCCCCUCCCCUGUAACAGGUGAAGGAUAAUAUUUAGCAUUUUUAAACGACAACAGUAAAGUAUCUAAAGAAGAUCAGCACGCCAAUAUAACACAAGCAUAUGAAAUCACCACUUGAAUGGGCUCCUACAUCCUCCAACAGAGGAUGCAAAUGGAACAUUAGUAUUACUUUGAAGACUAGCAGGGGCCCUGCUAUGCAAAAAUUUAAAGGUAGCUACUAGCUAGUAACAGUGGUCACUCUCCAUCUCUUACAACCAACAUAAAUAGUUGAUGGGUGAAGCUAAUGCGAAAACAAACUGUCGUAUCAAUGAUUUAUUACAAACAGUGUCUAAUCGACGCAAAAAACAUCAAUUUGCUAAGAACAUUCACGACCAGCAGGCAGGGAUAACAAUGCCAGUGUGCAGAUAAUCGACAUGAUUAUCAGGUCCUCCAGCAGCAGUGAACACCUUGAUUGCUUGUUGCAUUGUUGGACGGCGUGAUGGAUUUGGUUCUAUGCACCGAGCAGCAAACGCGAUCACUUUGAAUACUUUGCUUGCGACUUCAGCCGCUGGGAGUGGGAUCCGGAUGUCCAACAAAUCCUUGAGUGAUGUACUCUUAUCGGCCAUGGAUGAAAGAAAAUCACUUGGAUGGUGUCCCAUGAACCAACUCGAGCGUGAGCACCCCAAAAAUAUAGACGUCACAUUUCUCUGUCACCCUUGUUGAUUAUUAUUGACACUCGAAAAUGGCAUGAUCGCAAAGGAUGACUUGAGGCUAUAAUGAGAUGAUGUUAAAAUUAUGAGUUCAUGUCACCACUGGAUGGCUCUCUUCAACCGCUUGAAAUAAAUAUAGAGAUGGUCCAAAACGAAGCUCGAAUGCAAAAGUUAUGCCAAUCUUAGAGAUGCUCGUAGACACCAGAUUAAAGAAUGGCGCGAAACCUAAUUAAGAUGGCCUCGGAUGGAAAAAAGUUACAAUUUCAAAGUUCUUUGACUCGUCGAAACGAACGAUUUUGAUAUAAAAAUCGUCCCCAUCCGAGGUCGUAUUCAAAAGUUACAGGCAAAACCGUGCGCUGCAGCAAUGUUUGGCCGGAUCAUCCGGGCCGGGGUCCGGAUCAUCCGGGUAAUUGAAGUACAAAGACACCAGAAGGUUGGCGCUGAAUCCGGAUGAUCUGGGUCCAAUACCGGAUGAAUCGGAUGGAGGCCGGACAGUCCGGGUAAAAGUCCGGACGUCCGGGCAGUUUUUUUCUGCUGCCGAUGUUAGAAAACAGCCCUAAACUCCCUCAAGAUGACCUCAGAUUGAAACGUGUUCAACAUGAAAGUUGUGUGUCUCAUCGAGGCGGUUGAUUUUGAUAUAAAUCUUGCCCAAAUCCAAGGUCGUAUGUGGAUUUUAGAGCCCAAACAGUGAGCUGCUGUCAGAAAACUGGGCUAGGCCGGAUCAUCCGGGCCUAGAGCCGGACAUCCGGGCCGGAGGUCGUGAGAAGUCCGAGUUUGGCCAGAUUUUGAUGAUUUGGACGGUAAGGCAAGUCCUUUUCUUGUACGGAAAAUCCACCCUCCUCUUAUAUAGAUAAGAGGUGACGGCCGAUUGAACAACACAUAAUCGAACAAAUCUAUCUACACUCUUUACCUUUACUUUUGCUUCUCCCUUUUUCUUCUUCUUCCUCGUUCUUCGCCUGUUCUUCUUGUUGCAGGGCGGCAAACCUCGAGGCCCUAGGGGCGAUCAGGUCGACCUAGGGCAGGCCAUAGCCGCCGCGCGCCCUGACGGGGUCCCUCCCGGGCGUGUGGGGUUUCGGGUCUACAAAAGAGCCCACCGGAUUGCCUUGUGUACCGCGCUUCCGACGAGUCUUCUUCGACGUGAGCUGCGGCGCAUCACCCCCGGUGUCGAGGGUACACGUGACGUGCUCGUGUGCGAACACACUUUUUGGCGACUCCGCUGGGGGCGAAGCUUUGAAUGGUCUUCGGCCUGUUCUUGGUACGAAGAGAUUGUCAUCUAGGGUUUGCAAUCUACAAAGGUAAUAUGAAUACUCAAUUCACAUGUGUAGAUGCAAAUAAUGCAUAUGUUGUUGCUAGAUCAUCUAAUGAGCAUAAUAUAUCGGCUAGCCCUAGUUUUAUGAAUCAUGCAUCUAAUUAUGCGCAAGGGCCGAUGCAAAACAAUCUUCAUGCUUCAAAUUCUUAUGAUUUUAGCAACGUACACCAUAUGUAUCCAAACUCUCAUGCAUCGGCAACCCCACAAAUCCAUAUGCCGAUGAACAACAUGAUGGGUUUGGUUAAUCAAUUUGAAACACCUCAUGUUAAAAUUUCCAAUAGCAUACAAGAAAGUGUUUCACCUUUUUAUUCAUCGGCAACUAAUUUGCAAUAUGUGAAUCCAACCUUACCGAUGGAUGGGAGAAUUGGCCAUGCUACUACUAGCUAUUCGGCCAGUUACUCUCUACCAUCAUAUGCUACACCUCAUGUUAGUAAUUUUUUAGCACCGUAUGCAACUGUAGAUGUUCAUAAUUCGGCCCCGCGUCUUCAUGGUCAUAGCAGAAUAAGUGAAAAUUUUACAGGAACACAUGUGUUGUCAUCAAAUACUGUAGCAUAUAAUGCAUACUCUACGCAAUUCAAGAAUUUUGACAACUCUCACGAAUCAUUGCCGAAAGAAUCUGAAAGUAUUGCGGAGCAAUCCCUUCCAAAAGCGGUUGUGGCUGCAUUAAAAAAAGAGCUUGACACAAAACAAGAGAAUUAGUGCUCUUUGCCUUGAACAAUAUGAAAAGGGUUUGUUUCCUGAUUAUGCUGCAAUAAAGGCUAGAGUUUUGCAGGAGGAUGAAACUUCAUCAAUUGGUAGUAUUGGUGAGAGAGCAUAUGGUUAUACAGAAGUGCAUACACCUCCACCUAGUACCGCAGCAUAUUAUACACCCCCUACACAAUUGCAAAAUUUGGUAACACUAAUACUUCAUUGCCGAAAGAUCCUAAAAGCAUUGGGGGCAAACUAAUCUAGAGCGGGCUGAAAUUGAGAGGGGAGUUAAAGCUUUGCGCGAUAGGGUGCAAGUACUUCGCCAAGAGAGAAUUGAUAGGGAAUUAGCUCAAAGAAAAGAAGUCUUGCCAAUUGAUAUAACUGGUGAAAAGAAUGAUGAUUCGGAAACUAAAAGUGCUUCGGUUGAAAAAGCCGAAUCAAGUAGUAUAUAUUCCGAAUCCAUCAAAUCCAAAGAGGCAAACAUUGUUGAGAAAGGGCAUGGAAAGUAUAGCAAGACAGCCAUACUUGAUUUUUCUGACGUUAACGGAACCUUCUUCCUGCCCUAUGAGUUUCGUGCCAUAGAAAUUGACGAGCUUCAAGAACAAGAACAAGUAGCCGAAGAAAGUUUGGUGGACAAAUAUCUUCAAACUAAUGAUGCACGAAAUCAAGAAAAAAAUUAUGACAAGGCGUUGGGGAGCUAUCAGAAGGCGGAGCAAGAUAUUCUUCAAAUCACACCACCAUCACGCUCUCCCAACAUAUUUGAAGAGGUCUGUCUAGCAAUUAAUUUACCUGUUUUCAGAUUUGGUCAUGACUUAGUUGUUGAUGCAUAUAUUAGAAAAAAAUUCAUAAGAAAUAUUGAGAGACCAAUGAAGAAGGGUAAUUCAUUUGUUAGCAAUCAGAUUGUCACAAAGUAUAUCAGUCAAUACAUUACACCAUUCAGAAAGACCGAUAGCGAAAAAUUAUUGCAGCCAAGGCUUUCCCCAUUGCUUUAUCUAAAGUUCAUAUCUAAUGGUGUAGAUUUGCUUAUUUCUUACUUGGCUUACACUUGGUCUCAACUGAGACAUGUAUGUUCUAACUAUUUUCGUUUCAGAAAUUUAAAGCCAAGGUUAAAAUCUACUGAGCAAACCGAUGCAAGUAUAGGUUCUUAUCCAAUGACAUCGGUAAGAGAAUGCAAAAUAAAAUUCAUAGCCGAAUGGGGUGAUACAAAAUCUGAAUCAUUCGUUUGCUUAACUCCAAAGCCGUUAUCACAGCAAGAUCAGCUAGAAAAUAAGAAGUUUACCUUCAAUUCAAGCAUGUGUGAUCAAAUAUUUGAUUUGUUGCUCAAAAAUAAUUACAUAAGAAUUCUUGAUCACCAUGUCAAGCCAUCAAUUCAAGGACGAAUGUAUUGUAGGUUGCAUCAUUCGUUCAAACAUAAUUUUGAGGAUUGCAAUAUGUUUCGUCAAAUAGUUAAAUUGGCCAUUGAUAAAUGACGAUUGAAAUUUGUUGAGACACCAAGAGAUGACCAGUCUAUCCCGAUUGGUCCUGAUGGGAAAAAGUUUAUGCAUCGGCUGCUUCAAGCCGAUCCAUUUAAAAAGAAGGUAAAAACUGCAGGUGAUGGGAUCAAGCUUUCAAGAAGAGAAGUUGCUGAAGAGCAUAAUGAACACCAUCUUGAGGCCGAGAAUUCUGUCGAAGCUACAAUGAAGACGCCAAGGACUGGGGGGCAGCAAGCAAAUCCAAUGUUCAAUGAAAGCGAACUGAAAGAGAACAAAGGCCGAAAUAGGCGCAAGUGUAAGAGAUCAAAAAUCACCUUCGCUGAACUAUUGAAUAAAUAUCAAAAGAAGAGUGAAGAGAAUACUCAUCAGUCGAAUCAUGCAAAGCAACUACGAUCACCCCCAAGGAGCAAAUAUGAGGAUCGGUAUUGGCAAAGUGAGAAUUUUUAUGCAACAUAUUCAUAUCUUUUAGGCCGCCAAUGCCAAUGCGGUGGAUGCCUCCCUAUGCUCAUGUAGAUCCAUAUCCAUCAUGGGACAGGUAUGAUCCAAGGGCACAUUCUCCAUCUUAUUUUAGACCAUCUCACCAAUGUUAUGCAACUCCAAGAAGAUCAACAUUUCAGCAAUCACAUGUUAAAGAAUGUUUCAAUCAUAAGGAAUCGGUCUGGAGCUCAAGGAAGAAGAAAGAGGUGGUCAAACAAGUUUACCGCGUUAAAAGAGAUGGUCGUAAGAGUGCUACUUCAGAUUUGAUCUCAAAUGAGAAAGAGCCAAUGAAAGUGUUGACGUUGGCUACUCAAAACAAUGAGAUGAAGCAACCAAUUAUUGAGAGUCAAAGUGCCAAAUCUGAAGAAAAGAAGUUGAGAGUGCACAAGGUAAAACAAGAAUUGACAUUGCUUCAAACAAAAUCGCAGCCGGGGUGCCCACUUGGCUUAUCAUAUUGGCAAAAGAAGAAAUUACAAAAACUUAGUGCACAAGAACUUGAGGAAAGGAAUAUGGCAUGGGUUCCCAAAGGAAGUGCUCAAAAUAAGAAUUAUGUGCAAGCUUCCAUUACAAGAAGUGCGGCAAAGGUGAAGAAGGAAAAAAGUGAAAACUAUGAAGGACCAAGACGAAGGUUUCAGCAUCUUCGGUCUACACAUUAUCCAUAUUCUUCAACUAUGCCAUUAACACCUAUGCCAUGGAAUUCGUCAUCAGGUAUGAUUGGUAACCCUCAAUGGGCUUAUUUUAAUCCAUGGUUGCAACAUAAUUUUCUAUAUCAUGAGAGGGUAUUACCAAAUCACUAUACAUUUGGUUAGUAACAAUUUUGUUGCUAAUACAAAGGGGCCGAAAUAUUUUAUUGCUAUUUCAUUUGUUUAUUUCGGCUAUACAAACUUUGGUGGGUGAAUUCUAUAUGGACCUCAUGGUAAUGGCUGAUAUUUAUCUAUCGCCCUAAGAAUAUGUCAAAGCAUGGUCGGUGUGGUACCCUAACAUCGUCCUUAGUUCAAUAGGAGAGCAAAACAAGCCUCAUGCCACUUAAAAUAUUUUUGCACAAUAAUCACAUUCGAAUAUGAAAUUUUAUUCAGUUUGGUGCUUUUGGUUGCCAUAGGUGCUAUACAUAUUUCGGCUUCUGGUGAUUUGUUAUGAGUAGUGCAACAAAUAUCCAAGGGUUACCAAUGUUUUGACGAAUCACUUAUAAUUUAUCUUGAGGCACGUCUAGAUGUCUAUCCUCCUUGGGUUGCUUUGAAAUUAUUCCCACAUCUAGACAUGACAAUUCAAAAGAGUUGGCAUAGCAAAGCAUUUGGCUACUAUGUUACUCAUGUUGCAUUGUAUUUCUAUCAAUAGUCGAUGCUUAGUUUCGUCAGAAUAGGUAAGGCCGAAACGAAGUCCACCGCUUUGGCCACUAAUGAAUUUUUCUUAUGCAGGCGAAAGUAAGGAUUGGAGAAAUUUUAUUGUUGAUUAUCUGCAAAAUCCUAGUAAAAGGGUGAAUAAUAUGGUUCCGAGGAUGACCUUGAGAUAUAUCUAGGGAAAUUUAUCAUUGGAUUAUUAAUGAAGUUGAGAAGGUUUCACCAAAGUUUGCAUCAAGGAUUCAAACAAAUAAGAGCCGAUAUAUAUUUAUUGCCCUAAGCACGUGCAAAGUGGUCGAUGGAGUGUUGACAUCGUCCUUAGAACCAACACGGUACAAGUUAUUUUUCGGCACGCUAGCUUUGCCAAAAAAACAGGGGGGCACGUGUUGACGCUCGAAAAUGGCAUGAUCGCAAAGGGUGACUUGAGGAUAUAAUGAGAUGAUGUUAAAAUUAUGAGUUCAUGUCACCACUGGAUGGCUCUCUUCAAGCCGAUCGAAUAAAUAUAGCGAUGGUCUAAAACGAAGCUCGGAUGCAAAAGUUAUGCCAAUCUUAGAGAUGCGCGUGUUGACACCAGAUUAAAGAAUAGCAUGAAACCUAAUUAGGAUUGUCACAUCCUAGCUAGCCAUGCAUUAGAGUGUUGCAUCAUGUUUCCUCUUUCAUCAGAAACUUGAAAUGGGGAUCUGUGAAACCCUCAGAAUCAUUUUUUGAAAAUGAUCCAAAUAAAAAUUUCUCCAAAAAGGUCCAAGAAAAUGCUCAUGUUGCUCUCUGAAAAUAUUGGACAGAGAUAAAAAUCAAACCAAUGUUUUUAAGAGCUCAUAGGUAUUUAUUUUGGGCAUUUGGAAUUAAUGCAUAAAUAUUUGCAUUGGAAAUAUAUUAAUUAUAUAUAUUAAUACAUGUCCAAAUAUUAUGCCAUUUAUAAAGGAGCUCUGAAAUAAUAUAUCUAGCUCCUGCAAAAAUUGGCAUAAGGAAAUAAAAUGAUUUAAUAUUUUAUUUAAAUCAAAACAAAUGUCAGAAAUUAAAAAACAGAAAAAAAAUAAAAGGGAGAAGCUUACCUGGGCUCCUCCCUGUGCAGCCCAGCCCACCUCCCUCCUCUGUCGUCUUCGUCCCGACAGAGGGAGGGGAGUGUGGCCGGCGCGCGUGCGCGCCACCGCGCCGCGCCACCUCUCUCCCUGCCUGCCUGCCCUCCCCUCCUCGCCUCGAUGCCCCGGGACGACGCCACGCUUCUCCCCUGCUCUCUCUCACUCUCCCCCGGCUCUUCCCUCCUCUCCCUCGCUCUCUCUCUCACACGGCCGAACACCACCGUCGCCGCCGUUCGCCAUAGCAGCCAUCUCCGGCCACCCCUCGCUCCCCCGACUAGCUCAGAAGCUCCGCCACGACCCCCUCUUCCUCCCCACCGCUCCACAGCUCCCCGGAAGCCCUGCAUCGCCGCCACGUCGCCGUUCCCCUCUUCGGGCUCCGACCAUCGUCGCCGUCGAAUUCGUCGUCUCCAGCGCGUCCCCGAGCCGCUAACCAUCCCUGCAGCUCCGCGGUGAGCCCCCGGAUCGUUUCCCCCUUCUCCCCUGGUCUCUCCCGACCUCUAGGCCCUAGCCCCACCUUGGCCGAGAGCUCCACGCCGCCGGCGAUGUCGCCGUCGUGGCCACGGUCACCGUAGCACCCAACCGAGCACACUAUCGUGCUCCACACCUCACUAGGAUCACGCAGCACACACUAACGCCUCCCAAAACCCUCUGCAACACCGAUCCCGACCGCACCCGAACUCCGGCGGCCGCAGCCGAGCUCGCCGCCGUCGACUCCGGCCACCCCAGGCCCAGCCACAGCCACCGUUCGAUGCGCGGGAGCAAGGGCUCUCCAACGAGCCCAAGCACGGCCUUGCCCGUGCCCUGUAGCGCGAUCCCGCGUCGCGCCGCCGUCUCGGGCCUCGCCGGCGUCACGUUGCCGGUGGGUUUGACCCACUUUGACCACGGCAGGACACCCCCUGAGUCCCUAACAGGUGGGCCCAGCCCUGUAGCUAAUUAGGAUUAGUGCUAAACACUGUUAGUUAACCCCUGACACUGACCAGUGGGCCCCAGUGCCACUAAUCCCUAAUUAGGAUUAAUUUAAACCUAUUAAACCCCCCUGUCACUGACGUGUGGCCCCCACACGUCAGGUUUGACCCCAGACAGCCGCAGUUGACCACUGACGUCAUGCUGACGUCAUGCUGGCGCAAUAAUUAUAAUUUCUGGAUUUAAUUUAAAUCAGGAAAUUCCAGAAUAUUAUUUAAACUUCAAAAAUUCAUAACUUUUAUUCUGUAACUCCAAAUUGGACAAAUUAUAUAUGAAAAAUGAUCAGAAAAAUCCAAUCUAUCCAUCUGUACUAUUUUCAUGCAUGUUCAAACAAGUUAAAUUGAUGUUUUAAGCAGAACAAGAAAAAGCACUUAAAGAGGCCAUGUUUGAGUUUGAAAUUUGAAUCUUUGAUUCAAAUUUGUUCAAACCCUUCUGGUUUUAGUUGCAUUAGCCAACACACUCAUCUUGCCAUGUCUCAUGCAUGCAUCAUAUUGUUGCACAUUGUUUGGUGAUGUUUGCGUAUCGAUGUCCUUUGCGACAGGUUCUGCCUCCGAGGAGUACCGUGAUUACCCUAACGAAGAACCAUAUCAUUGCAUCGAACCAUCAGGCAAGCAACCAACCAUUUGAUCAUAUCGAUACAAUCCCAUGUUCUCGCUCCUGCUCUCAUUUACUCUAUUAAGACAACGCGUUUCAAACUGCUGUGUGCUAUGGUAGUUGAACCCAUUUCCUCUGCAUGACCUGUCAUUGCCACAGUAACUAGAUGAAACCCACUAGCAUGUGUAGGAGUUGAUUGAGCCAUAUGUAUGUGUUGUUCCUACCUUGCUAUGCCUGCUAUGCUUAGAGUCGUGUCAGGUCUGGUUCAUCUGGGUGAUGGGCUAGAGUGAAAUGAUUAUGUCGGUAAUGAGAGUGGUGUGGUGAACAUGAUUUGGUAAAGGUAUCGAUGAGAGGCCAUGUAGGAGUACAUGGUGGGUUGUUUCAUUGAAGCCGACCUUAAGCACUGAGAUCUGUAUGUGUGAUUUAAGAUACAGCUACUACCAUGCAUUGGGCCCUGAAAUAUGACCCCGCUCGACUUCUUAUUCACCCUAGCCCUCUGUCCAGGAGUUGCACGUAGUUUCUGGUGUUUGUAGCCUACUGGAGGCCGUGGACAGCGCUGACCGUAGGGGUGGGCUGUGAUGCGGUAGGUACGUGGCACGGUGUACCGAAUACCCGUUAGGUAUCUCGGGAACCCUGUUCACAUCGUUCGGGGCCGUAUGGGAAACCUCGGCCGGACUCCCUGCGGAUGGAACCUGAAUAGGCGAUAAACCUAGACUAGAGGCUUAAGUGUUUAGGUAGGUCGUGGUCUACACCCACGUCGGCUUUCGCUUGAAGUCUGCCGAGCACAUGUCGUGUGCAGACGCUAAGUGGUGGAAACAUGUAUGAAGAAGUACACCCCUGCAGGGUUAUCAUAAUCUAUUCGAAUAGCCGCGUCCGCGGUAAAGGACUACUUGGUUGCCUAUACAGUUCAUAGACAAGUAAAUGGAAACUACUAAAAGCCUCAAGAUAAGUGUGAGUGCCGAGGAUGGCUCUUCCGUAGGAAGACGGAGGUGGAUCCUCGGUAGUGUAUUGCAGUGGUGAGUAGUGGACUCGUGUGCGCAAAACCAUUUCAAGUUGAAGUAUCGUAGGAUAGCCUAGCCAAGAGUCAAAGCUGGCUUGCUGCAAUAACUCCACCAACCCUUCUUGAUAAUAUGCAUGUAUGUAGGACCUGAUGUAAGUCUUGCUGAGUACCUUUGUACUCAUGUUACUAUAAUCUACAUUUUUUACAAAAGACGCUGCAACCCCUUCUGAUGGGUUCUAUGUAGACGUUGACAUCAACGAGUAGGAUAAAGACCCAGGUGGUGACCCUGAGCUUGUGAUGGACCACAUAGUAUAGCUACGCUUUCGAAGCCUCUUUUAUUUUACUAGUUGUCUGUACUCAGACAAGUUACUUCCGCUGCUGGUUUGUAUGACUGUAUGACUUGAAUGCUGGGUCGUGUGACCCGUACCUGUGUGUAUGAUUAUGUAUGGCUCCCUGAGCCUUAAAUAAAGUACUUGUGUCGUAGAGUCAUGUUGUGAUGCCAUGUUGUAUUUGCACAUAUCGAGCAUACUGUGUGUAUGUUAUUGAAAUGCUUGGUAUGUGUGGGAUCUGACUAUCUAGUUGUUUAUCUUUAGUAGCCUCUCUUACCGGGAAAUGUCUCCUAGUGUUACCACUGAGCCAUGGUAGCUUGCUACUGCUCUGGAGCACUUAGGCUGGCCGGCAUGUGUCCUUCGUUCCGGUGUCUGUCCCUUCGGGGAAAUGUCACACAUUGAGUACCGGAGUCCUGUUAGCCCGCUACAGCCCGGUUUACCGGAGUCCUGCUAGCCCAGUGCUACAGCCCGGACCCUCUUGCUGAUGACCGACACGUUCGAAGCUGGGUCAUGGAUGCCUGUCCCUGUAAGUCUGUGCCACUUUGGGUUUACAACUAGUCAUGUCAGCCCGGGCUCCUUAACAUAUGGAUGCUAGCGACACUAUCAUAUACGUGAGCCAAAAGGCGCAAACGGUCCCGGGCAAAGGUAAGGCGACACCCGUGGGGAUACCGUGCGUGAGGCCGCAAAGUGAUAUGAGGUGUUACAGGCUAGAUCGAUGUGUCAUCGAGUCGGGGUCCUGACAACGUUGGCAUCAGAGCCGGACUGCCUGUAGGUUCUCCAAGCCAGACUGGUCGAUGUUGAGUCUAGAAAUUCUUUAGUUAUAUGUAGGGGAAUUGUUUGUGGGUUGGAACGUAAGGCUCUUUUUACUCCUUUAUCUUAUGACCUUCUGAUCUGAGUCAGUCCAUUCUUCCACCGGGGGUUAAGGAAUUAGGAUCUGUUCUCUCUAUCAGGAUCACGAGUUACUAAUCAGUAGUACCUUAUAAGUUUGAUGGUUACAAGCCUAGUUCAGUUCUACUACCACAUUAUGUUGCUAGAAUGGUUUCAGAACUUUGAUAUAAUGAUGUUGAGUGUGUACGAAAUCCUUUGUCAAAUGUCUCAAAAUCCUUUUUGAGCAUUUACAGCUGUUAUGCUGCCGAAAUUUUGCUAGAAAUUCUAAUGCCUUUGCAUUAUGAUUAUGCUUUCAGAUGGCCACUCGCGACCUCAAUCAAGUGGUUCGCCUGACUCGAUGCCUAGAUGUACCCGGCCAUACUGCCAAGUUGGUCAGGGUAAUGACUGAGGCUGGAUACCGCUGGUAUCCUGAGUACACGGUCGAAGAGCAAUUCCGAGACUUUAAUCAAAGCCAGUAUCUCUGCACUGUCAGGAUAUUUCCAUCUUAUCCUGGAUCCAUCCAGCCUCUUCACUGCUCCUAUGGACUCGGGGUUACUAUUGAGAUGGCUGUGCAGGACGCCGCCUACUCUAUGAUGACCAUUAUGCGAGUCAGAUCUGGUUUAUUUCGGGACUCUGAUUUCCGGUAUAUGCCAGGAUCACUUCCGGGAGCACAAGGGUAUCUUCAGGCUAUUUAUGCUGACGCCACUCAGGAGGAUUCACGGACUCGCACCACUGCUGAGAUGCUCGAGGAUAAGGACCGUGAAAAUCGGGCCUUAAGGUUAGAGCUCUUCAAUACCCGUGCUGACCACUGGGCCACUUUGACUCAGUUCGCACCGGCGGUGCAAGCUGGAUAUUCAGAUAUGCGCGAUCUCUAUCCUGUGAGAUCUGCUCUGCCGGACGUGAUGGUUUGGCGUGAUGUAGGAGGCAUCACCCCACCUCGCGGUCCCCGCAGGCCACCGUCUGUUGGUCCAAGGCCUCAUCCUAGCCCCUAUGGUCCACAAGCUCUGCGAGACCGUCUGUUUCCGGAUGAUCAUGUUGAACUUCCAGGCUAUGGAGGCGACUUCUACGAGGACUACUACGGAUCGGUCUGAGUUAGCGGUAGUAUCACUAGUUCGCACUAGCUGUGUCGUCUAUCGUCCCGCGUGACUCGUGGGAUAUGACCUAGUUUGUACUCCUUCCGGAGGUGUAGAAAAAUAAUGUAUAGGAGCUUGGGAUGCCUCCGAUGAGAUGUAAUCCUCUUGUCACCGUAUUAGUACUUUGUUUGGUCUUGUACUAAACCCUGUAUGGUGUGUAUGACGAUGGAAUAAAGAAGCAGUUUCUGUAUCUACCAUGUCAUACGGAUGAUCAUCUUGCAUUCCGAGUUAUUCCUUACAUUAUGUAUCCUAUGUCGGAUUUUAUCAUUCUGACUAAAUCAUUGUCUUGUUUACCUAGGAUGGUCAACACGCGCACUAACCCUGCUCCUCAAGAGCAGGCCGAAGGCAGUGAAGUCAGGGAUACAAAUCUGCCUCAUCCUCCUUCACUAGCCGAGGUUAUGAUGGAAGCUGAGAGAAACAAGCGGGAGACCAACCGUUUGUUGGAGCGUAUUGAACAGAACACAGCACACCAUCAGAGGACUAACGUGGUGUCACUCAGUGAUUUUAUCAAAUUACAUCCACCCACGUUCCACCACUCCGUCGAGCCUCUCGACGCUGAUGACUGGCUUCGCAGUAUCUCUCACAAACUGCGUUCCGCGCUGGUAGCGGAGGCUGACAAGGUCACCUUUGCUGCAUAUCAUCUNNNNNNNNNNNNNNNNNNNNNNNNNNNNNNNNNNNNNNNNNNNNNNNNNNNNNNNNNNNNCGAUAUGCAACCGAGGAAGUUUCUACUGACGCCAAGAAGCAAGCAAGGUUCCGUAAGGGACUUAGUCCUGAGCUUCGCCGCGACCUCCGUCUGCAUGAGUGCACAUCUUUUCAGAAACUUGUCAAUAAAGCCAUCAGUGCUGAAACUGGUCAGACUGACUAUGACGCAACACGCAAGCAUGGCCGUGAUAUGGGUUCCUCAUCCGGUGUUGGUCCUCAGAAGCGCCGCGUGUGGGUACCCAACACCGCCCUGCCACCCAGGUUCACACCGAGGCCAUCUUUCCAGGCGCCUCGCCCUGUUCAACAGUCUGCACCGGCCAAGCCCUAUGGGGGUCCAUCUAACAAUGCUCCUCCACGUACCAGUUCCGUGACUUGUUUCAAGUGUGGGGAAUCUGGUCACUAUAUGCGUGAGUGUCCCCAGACCAACCCCAAUCAAUCUGCUAAAGCUGUUGGCCGUGGCAAGCCGACAGGGAAAGUGUUUCAUGCUAAACCGGUCACCGCCUCACGUGGCCAUGUCAACUGCAUCUCUGCUGAAGAAGCUCAAGAGGAUCCCAACGUCGUUCUCGGUACGCUCCUUGUUAAUUGCCACCCGGCAUCUGUUCUUUUCGAUACAGGAGCCUCUCAUUCUUUUAUAUCCGAAAAUUAUGCUCGUUUGCAUAACGUUGCAUUCUGUGACAUGCCAACCUCUAUGGUAAUUCAAACUCCGGGAUCCAAAUGGCAAACUUCUAGAGUAAGCCAUGGAAACGAAAUCCAAGUCGACAGACUUGUUUUUCUCGCAUCUUUGAUAGCCCUUAAAUCUUCAGAUAUUAAUAUCAUUCUGGGUAUGGACUGGAUGUCAGCUCAUCAUGCCCAAAUUGAUUGCUUCUCUAGGACUGUUCAACUCACCCAUCCUUCGGGGAAGAUAGUCAAUGUCUUGACCCAAAUAGCCAAGCGACAAUUAUAUUCUCUUAACGCCAGCCCUUUGCCAGACCUUGAGGACAUUCCGGUAGUCCGUGACUUCCCGGAUGUCUUUCCAGAGGAAUUGCCAGGUGUUCCACCUGACAGGGAUGUUGAGUUCGUAAUCGACCUCAUCCCCGGAACCGUUCCGAUUGCUAGAAGACCUUAUAAGAUGGCACCACUAGAACUAGCCGAGCUUAAGAAACAACUCGAUGAAUCCUUCAAAAAGGGUUUCAUCCGCCCUAGUUCAUCUCCGUGGGCUUGCCCCGUCCUAUUCGUCAAGAAGAAGGAUGGUACGGACCGGAUGGUUGUAGAUUACCGACCUGUCAAUUUGGUCACAAUCAAGAACAAAUAUCCACUUCCCAGGAUCAACGACCUGUAUGAUCAGCUCGCUGGAUCCUCAGUCUUCUCCAAGAUGGAUUUGAGGUUGGGCUACCAUCAAAUAAAAAUCAGAAACGGGGACAUUCCCAAAACGGCCUUUGUUACUCGUUAUGGCCAAUACGAGUACACCGUCAUGUCCUUCGGACUAACCAACGCUCCAGCCACCUUUUCUCGGUUAAUGAACUCAAUCUUCAUGGAGUAUUUGGAUAAAUUCGUCGUGGUUUACCUCGAUGAUAUACUCAUCUACUCCAAGAACGAGGAAGAACAUGCCGAACAUUUGAGGCUAGUGUUGAAGAAACUUCGAGAGCAUCGCCUUUAUGCCAAAUUUUCUAAAUGUGAAUUCUGGUUAUCAGAAGUGACCUAUCUAGGUCAUGUAAUAUCUGGUAAAGGUAUUGCUGUUAAUCCUGAGCAAGUUCAAGCCGUCCUUAAUUGGACUCCACCUGAAUCGGUCAAGCAAGUUCGGAGUUUUCUAGGCUUAGCGAGCUAUUGUCGUCGCUUUGUCGAGAACUUCUCCAAAGUUGCUAAACCCCUAACCGAACUCCUCAAGAAAGAUAAGAAGUUCGAAUGGACUCCACAAUGUGAGCUCAGCUUUCAGGAACUGAAAAGACGCCUGACCUCUGCUCCCGUACUGGUACCGCCAGACUUUUCCAAGGUCUUUGUUAUCUACUGCGACGCCUCGCGACAAGGACUAGGUUGCAUUCUUAUGCAAGAUCGACACGUAAUUGCUUACGCUUCACGGCAAUUGCACCCACACGAGGAGAAUUAUCCUACUCAUGAUCUAGAGCUUGCAGCCGUAGUCUAUGCACUUAAGACCUGGCGACAUUACCUCCUCGGUAAUCGUUGCGAAAUAUUCACUGAUCACCAAAGUCUGAAGUACAUUUUCACCCAACCGGAUUUGAAUCUCAGGCAGAGACGUUGGGUUGAAUUGAUCACAGACUUCGACUUAGGAAUAACUUACACCCCAGGGAAAGCCAACGUCAUGGCUGAUGCGCUAAGUCGUAAAUCUUAUUGUAACAACCUGAUGUUACAACAAAGUCAACCGCUCCUCCAUGAGGAAUUUCGGAAGCUUAACCUUCACAUUGUACCUCAAGGUUUUCUUUCCACCUUGGUAGCAAAACCUACUCUUACGGAUCAAAUCAUCGAUGCCCAAAGGCGAGAUAAGGGAAUAUCUAAAAUCAAAGAGAACAUUGCUAGCGGAGGUGCUAGUUGUUUCUCCACAAAUGAUCAUGGUGUUGUGUACUUUGAGAACCGUCUAGUGGUUCCCAAGAACCAGCAUCUACGGCAAUUGAUCCUUAAGGAAGCUCAUGAAUCUCCUCUCACCAUUCAUCCCGGUAGUACUAAGAUGUAUCAGGACCUACGCCAGAGGUUCUGGUGGACUAGGAUGAAGAGAGAAAUUGCUCAGUAUAUUGAAAAUUGCGACGUCUGUCGUCGUGUAAAAGCAGAGCACCAACGGCCUGCUGGCACCCUUCAACCCUUAGCUAUUCCUGAAUGGAAAUGGGAUAAAAUUGGUAUGGAUUUCAUUACCGGUUUUCCCAGGACCAAGAGAGGGAAUAAUGCUAUUUUCGUCGUGGUCGAUCGUCUUUCCAAAGUAGCCCAUUUCUUACCUGUUCGUGAGAGUAUAACCGCUAGUCAGCUGGCAGAUUUGUACAUCUCCCGAAUAGUGUCUCUCCAUGGUGUUCCUUUGGAAAUUAACUCGGAUCGAGGAAGUCUUUUCACCUCUCGAUUUUGGGAAAGUUUCCAAAAUGCUAUGGGGACUCGUCUCUCCUUUAGCACCGCCUUCCACCCUCAGUCGAGUGGUCAAGUGGAACGCGUCAACCAGAUUCUAGAAGACAUGCUUCGAGCCUCUGUUAUCUCAUUCGGCAUGGACUGGGAGAAGUGCCUUCCAUUUGCCGAAUUCGCUUACAACAACAGCUAUCAAUCUAGCUUGGGUAAAGCCCCUUUUGAAGUUCUCUAUGGACGACGGUGUCGAACACCCCUUAACUGGUCAGAGACCGGGGAAAGACAAUUCUUUGGCCCGGACAUGAUUCAGGAAGCAGAAGAACAAGUUCGCAUCGUUCGUGAAAAGUUGAAAACAGCCCAAUCUCGUCAAAAGAGUCAAUAUGACCGAAAACAUAAGGCUAUGACUUUCGAGGUUGACGAGAAGGCUUAUCUUCGGGUCACCCCUCUGAAGGGAACCCAUCGUUUCGGUAUCAAAGGCAAAUUGGCUCCUCAUUACAUUGGACCUUUUCGCAUUCUUGCCAAACGAGGAGGAGUUGCCUACCAGUUGGAACUACCUCCGCACCUCUCCAGGGUCCACGAUGUCUUCCACGUUUCUCAACUCAGGCGUUGCUUCUCGGAUCCUAUCCGUGAAGUGGACCACGAAACGCUUGAUCUCCAAGAUAAUCUUACAUAUCGAGAGUACCCCAUUCGUAUCCUCGAUCAGGCCGAACGUACCACCCGACGUCAUAAUAUCAAGUUUCUCAAAGUUCAAUGGUCGCACCAUUCGGAGGAUGAAGCAACCUGGGAAAGGGAGGAUCGUCUUCGACUCGAGUAUCCUGCCUUCUUCCCGGAGGAACCCAAAUCUCGGGACGAGAUUCUUUUGAGUGGGGGUGAGUUGUCACAUCCUAGCUAGCCAUGCAUUAGAGUGUUGCAUCAUGUUUCCUCUUUCAUCAGAAACUUGAAAUGGGGAUCUGUGAAACCCUCAGAAUCAUUUUUUGAAAAUGAUCCAAAUAAAAAUUUCUCCAAAAAGGUCCAAGAAAAUGCUCAUGUUGCUCUCUGAAAAUAUUGGACAGAGAUAAAAAUCAAACCAAUGUUUUUAAGAGCUCAUAGGUAUUUAUUUUGGGCAUUUGGAAUUAAUGCAUAAAUAUUUGCAUUGGAAAUAUAUUAAUUAUAUAUAUUAAUAUAUGUCCAAAUAUUAUGCCAUUUAUAAAGGAGCUCUGAAAUAAUAUAUCUAGCUCCUGCAAAAAUUGGCAUAAGGAAAUAAAAUGAUUUAAUAUUUUAUUUAAAUCAAAACAAAUGUCAGAAAUUAAAAAACAGAAAAAUAAAAUAAAAGGGAGAAGCUUACCUGGGCUCCUCCCUGUGCAGCCCAGCCAGCUGGCCGGCCCAGCCAGCAGCCGGCCCAGCCCACCUCCCUCCUCUGUCGUCUUCGUCCCGACAGAGGGAGGGGAGUGUGGCCGGCGCGCGCGCGCGCCACCGCGCCACGCCACCUCUCUCCCUGCCUGCCUGCCCUCCCCUCCUCGCCUCGAUGCCCCGGGACGACGCCACGCUUCUCCCCUGCUCUCUCUCACUCUCCCCCGGCUCUUCCCUCCUCUCCCUCGCUCUCUCUCUCACACGGCCGAACACCACCGUCGCCGCCGUUCGCCAUAGCAGCCAUCUCCGGCCACCCCUCGCUCCCCCGACUAGCUCAGAAGCUCCACCACGACCCCCUCUUCCUCCCCACCGCUCCACAGCUCCCCGGAAGCCCUGCAUCGCCGCCACGUCGCCGUUCCCCUCUUCGGGCUCCGACCAUCGUCGCCGUCGAAUUCGUCGUCUCCAGCGCGUCCCCGAGCCGCUAACCAUCCCUGCAGCUCCGCGGUGAGCCCCCGGAUCGUUUCCCCCUUCUCCCCUGGUCUCUCCCGACCUCUAGGCCCUAGCCCCACCUUGGCCGAGAGCUCCACGCCGCCGGCGAUGUCGCCGUCGUGGCCACGGUCACCGUAGCACCCAACCGAGCACACUAUCGUGCUCCACACCUCACUAGGAUCACGCAGCACACACUAACGCCUCCCCAAACCCUCUGCAACACCGAUCCCGACCGCACCCGAACUCCGGCGGCCGCAGCCGAGCUCGCCGCCGUCGACUCCGGCCACCCCAGGCCCAGCCACAGCCACCGUUCGAUGCGCGGGAGCAAGGGCUCUCCAACGAGCCCAAGCACGGCCUUGCCCGUGCCCUGUAGCGCGAUCCCGCGUCGCGCCGCCGUCUCGGGCCUCGCCGGCGUCACGUCGCCGGUGGGUUUGACCCACUUUGACCACGGCAGGACACCCCCUGAGUCCCUGACAGGUGGGCCCAGCCCUGUAGCUAAUUAGGAUUAGUGCUAACCACUGUUAGUUAACCCCUGACACUGACCAGUGGGCCCCAGUGCCACUAAUCCCUAAUUAGGAUUAAUUUAAACCUGUUAAACCCCCCUGUCACUGACGUGUGGCCCCCACACGUCAGGUUUGACCCCAGACAGCCGCAGUUGACCACUGACGUCAUGCUGACGUCAUGCUGGUGCAAUAAUUAUAAUUUCUGGAUUUAAUUUAAAUCAGGAAAUUCCAGAAUAUUAUUUAAACUUCAAAAAUUCAUAACUUUUAUUCUGUAACUCCAAAUUGGACAAAUUAUAUAUGAAAAAUGAUCAGAAAAAUCCAAUCUAUCCAUCUGUACUAUUUUCAUGCAUGUUCAAACAAGUUAAAUUGAUGUUUUAAGCAGAACAAGAAAAAGCACUUAAAGAGGCCAUGUUUGAGUUUGAAAUUUGAAUCUUUGAUUCAAAUUUGUUCAAACCCUUCUGGUUUUAGUUGCAUUAGCCAACACACUCAUCUUGCCAUGUCUCAUGCAUGCAUCAUAUUGUUGCACAUUGUUUGGUGAUGUUUGCGUAUCGAUGUCCUUUGCGACAGGUUCUGCCUCCGAGGAGUACCGUGAUUACCCUAAUGAAGAACCGUAUCAGUGCAUCGAACCAUCAGGCAAGCAACCAACCAUUUGAUCAUAUCGAUACAAUCCCAUGUUCUCGCUCCUGCUCUCUUUUACUCUAUUAAGACAACGCGUUUCAAACUGCUGUGUGCUACGGUAGUUGAACCCAUUUCCUCUGCAUGACCUGUCAUUGCCACAGUAACUAGAUGAAACCCACUAGCAUGUGUAGGAGUUGAUUGAGCCAUAUGUAUGUGUUGUUCCUACCUUGCUAUGCCUGCUAUGCUUAGAGUCGUGUCAGGUCUGGUUCAUCUGGGUGAUGGGCUAGAGUGAAAUGAUUAUGUCGGUAAUGAGAGUGGUGUGGUGAACACGAUUUGGUAAAGGUAUCGAUGAGAGGCCAUGUAGGAGUACAUGGUGGGUUGUUUCAUUGAAGCCGACCUUAAGCACUGAGAUCUGUAUGUGUGAUUUAAGAUACAGCUACUACCAUGCAUUGGGCCCUGAAAUAUGACCCCGCUCGACUUCUUAUUCACCCUAGCCCUCUGUCCAGGAGUUGCACGUAGUUUCUGGUGUUUGUAGCCUACUGGAGGCCGUGGACAGCGCUGACCGUAGGGGUGGGCUGUGAUGCGGUAGGUAUGUGGCACGGUGUACCGAAUACCCGUUAGGUAUCUCGGGAACCCUGUUCACAUCGUUCGGGGCCGUAUGGGAAACCUCGGCCGGACUCCCUGCGGAUGGAACCUGAAUAGGCGAUAAACCUGGACUAGAGGCUUAAGUGUUUAGGUUGGUCGUGGUCUACACCCACGUCGGCUUUCGCUUGAAGUCUGCCGAGCACAUGUCGUGUGCAGACGCUAAGUGGUGGAAACAUGUAUGAAGAAGUACACCCCUGCAGGGUUAUCAUAAUCUAUUCGAAUAGCCGCGUCCGCGGUAAAGGACUACUUGGUUGCCUAUACAGUUCAUAGACAAGUAAAUGGAAACUACUAAAAGCCUCAAGAUAAGUGUGAGUGCCGAGGAUGGCUCUUCCGUAGGAAGACGGAGGUGGAUCCUCGGUAGUGUAUUGCAGUGGUGAGUAGUGGACUCGUGUGCGCAAAACCAUUUCAAGUUGAAGUAUCGUAGGAUAGCCUAGCCAAGAGUCAAAGCUGGCUUGCUGCAAUAACUCCACCAACCCUUCUUGAUAAUAUGCAUGUAUGUAGGACCUGAUGUAAGUCUUGCUGAGUACCUUUGUACUCAUGUUACUAUAAUCUACAUUUUUUACAGAAGACGCUGCAACCCCUUCUGAUGGGUUCUAUGUAGACGUUGACAUCAACGAGUAGGCUAAAGACCCAGGUGGUGACCCUGAGCUUGUGAUGGACCACAUAGUAUAGCUAGGCUUUCGAAGCCUCUUUUAUUUUACUAGUUGUUUGUACUCAGACAAGUUACUUCCGCUGCUGGUUUGUAUGACUGUAUGACUUGAAUGCUGGGUCGUGUGACCCGUACCUGUGUGUAUGAUUAUGUAUGGCUCCCUGAGCCUUAAAUAAAGUACUUGUGUCGUAGAGUCAUGUUGUGAUGCCAUGUUGUAUUUGCACAUAUCGAGCAUACUGUGUGUAUGUUAUUGAAAUGCUUGGUAUGUGUGGGAUCUGACUAUCUAGUUGUUUAUCUUUAGUAGCCUCUCUUACCGGGAAAUGUCUCCUAGUGUUACCACUGAGCCAUGGUAGCUUGCUACUGCUCUGGAGCACUUAGGCUAGCCGGCAUGUGUCCUUCUUCGUUCCGGUGUCUGUCCCUUCGGGGAAAUGUCACGCAUUGAGUACCGGAGUCCUGUUAGCCCGCUACAGCCCGGUUUACCGGAGUCCUGCUAGCCCAGUGCUACAGCCCGGACCCUCUUGCUGAUGACCGACACGUUCGAAGCUGGGUCAUGGAUGCCUGUCCCUGUAAGUCUGUGCCACUUUGGGUUUACAACUAGUCAUGUCAGCCCGGGCUCCUUAACAUAUGGAUGCUAGCGACACUAUCAUAUACGUGAGCUAAAAGGCGCAAACGGUCCCGGGCAAAGGUAAGGCGACACCCGUGGGGAUACCGUGCGUGAGGCCGCAAAGUGAUAUGAGGUGUUACAGGCUAGAUCGAUGUGUCAUCGAGUCGGGGUCCUGACAAGGAUGGCCUUGGAUGGAAAAACUUACAAUUGCAAAGUUCUUCGUCUCAUCGAAACGGACGAUUUUAAUAUAAAAAUCGUCCCCAUCCGAGGUCAUAUGCAAAAGUUAGAGGCAAAACCGUGCGCUGCAGCAAUGUUUGGCCGGAUCAUCCGGGCCGGGGUCCGGAUCAUCCGGUUAAUUGAAGUACAAAGACGCCAGAAGGUUGACACUGAAGCCGGAUGAUCUGGGUCCAAUCCCGGAUGAUCCGGAUGGAGGCCGGACAGUCCGGGUAAAAGUCCGACAUCCGGGCAGUUUUUUCUGCCGCAGAUGUUAGAAAACAGCCCGAAACUCCCUCAAGACGACCUCAGAUCGAAAAGUGUUCAACAUGAAAGUUGUGCAUCUCGUCGAGGCGGUGGAUUUCGAUAUAAAACUCGCCCAAAUCCAAGGUCGUAUGUGAAUUUUAGAGCCCAAACAGUGAGCUGCUGUCAGAAAACUGGGCUAGGCCGGAUCAUCCGGGCCUAGAGCCGGACAUCCGGGCCGAAGGUCGUGAGAAGUCCGAGUUUGGCUAGACUUUGAUAAUUUGGACGGCAAGGCAAGUCCUUUUCUUGUAUGGGAAGUCCAUCCGCCUCUUAUAUAGAUAAUAGGUGACGGGCGAUUGAACAACACACAAUCGAACAAAUCUAUUUGCACUUUUUACCUUUACUUUUUCCUUCUCCCUUGUUCUUCUUCUUCCUCGUUCUUCGCAUGUUCUUCUUGUUGCAAGGCGGCGAACCUCGAGGCCCUGGGGGCGGUCAGGUCGACCUAGGGCAGCCCAUAACCGCGCGCGCCCUGACGGGGUCCCUCCGGGCGUGUGGGGUUUCGGGUCUACAAAAGAGCCCACCGGAUUGCCUUGCAUACCGCGCUUCCGACGGGUCUCCUUAGAGGUGAGCUGCGGUGCAUCACCCCCGGCGUCGAGGGUACACGUGACGUGUUCGUGUGCGAACAAUUAUGCAAGCUCUGCCACACCAAUAUUCAACAGUUAGAUUUCUCUGACACUUCAACAUACUGAAUCUAGAGGAUCACACAACAAAGGUAGUACUCCCUCCGUUCCUAAAUAUAAGUCUUUGUACAGAUUUUACUAUAGACUACAUACGGAGCUAAAUGAAUGAAUCUGCACUUAAAAUGCAUCUAUAUACGUCCGUAUGUGGUCCAUAGUGAUAUCUCUAUAAAGACUUAUAUUUAGGAACGGAGGGAGUAUUACCCAACUGCUAAAGAAGUUCGCUCAAUAACUGUUGCCAUUGUAGAUUGUACAGACUAGAGAGUAGAGACAAACAAAGUGUGGUUGGCAAACAAAACUAUGAUAGGAUAACAGAUUAAACAAGAAAUUAGGAUAUUUGUACAAAUUACUUCUUGGCAUCCUCAGCAAAAUAAAUAUAAAAUUUUAAAAUUUGGUCGGAAGAGAAAGAAAACAUAACAACACACGGAUCUAACAGAAAAGGAUAUAAUUUACCUAGGGCAAGAUACCCUUUUGUCCCGGCAAGCCUUGUGCAGUUUGAAUCAUCCGCAUAUAGUACUUUGGCUAUACCAAAAUCAGAGAUGCAUGCUCUGAAUUCCAGAUCAAGCAAAAUGUUGUUGCUUGAUAUGUCUCUAUGGACUAUCGGUGCAAAGCAAUCAUGAUGCAUUUAAGAUAAAGCAUGAGAAACAUCAUUGAUAAUAUUUAACCUUCUUAUCCAAUCCAAAUCAGCUAUAGUUUCCCUAUUCUUUAAAGAUUAUGCUAAGCUUCUUCUGUCCAUGUAUUCGUACACCAGAAAUCUUCCCUGAGUUGCAGAACAGUAGCCAAAUAACUUCACAAUGUUUCGAUGCUAAAUAUGGAUCAAUGCAUCUAUUUCAUGAUCAAAUGACUCAUCAUCUUCCAUCAGAUGGAUCUUCUUCACCGCAAAUAUUUCACCACUAGGUAACUGAGCUCUAUACACCGACCCACUAUCUCCAGUUCCAAUGCAGUGACUAUCACCGAAAUUCUUUGUGGCGUCAACAAUUUUCUUGUACAGAUCUUGUCCAUCAAUGUUCCAGAUGACGAACAACUUUGUUUGCUGCAAGCCAUUACCACUUCAUGUGCUAUAUUUCUUCCUUUUAUAUCUCAAUAUUGUUACUACUGUGGUGAUAAGUGUCAUGAAUAUGCAACUUGUAUUACUAGGAGGUCAAAGCCACCAUAUAUAUGAUGUACAUGAGGAUGCCAAAAGGCAAGAAUACAAAAGGCCAAAGGCCAUCAUCAAUAUAACUCUAACACCCCCCCCCCUUCAAACUCAUGGUGGCUCGACAACACUGAGUUUGGAGAGGUGAAAUCUAUGUUGUGUGCUCUAGUCUAUGCCUUCGUGAAGAAGUCCGCUAGCUGUAACUCGGAAGGCACAUACUGAAGAGCAAUAACAUGAUCCUGCACAGCAGCGUGCACAUAAUAAGCAUCAACACUAAUAUGCUUGGUAAGCUCAUGCUUCACAAGGUCCCGCACAAUACUGAUAGCACCUGUACUAUUGGACAAGAGGGUGGUAGGUGUAGUAACAGAAACACCAAAAUCCUCCAGUAGUCAUCGUAACCAAGUCACCUCUGUCGUCAUAAGAGCCAUAGCUCUCAACUCGGCCUCUGCACUCGAACGAGAAACUACAGUUUGUUUCUUCGUCUUCUAGGCAAUGAGAGAACUACCAAGAAAAACACAGUAAGCAGAAAGUGAACGGCGAUCCGAAGGAUCACUGGUCCACGUAGCAUCUGAAUAGCCCUGGAGCUAUAACGAGUUGGUACGAGGAAAAAAGAGACGAUGAGAGAUCGUGCCACGAAGAUAUCGUAGAACACGAAGAAGGUGACUAUAGUGAACUGAAGUGGGAGCGGAAACAAACUGGAUCAGAAUAUGGACCGGAUAGGAGAUAUCCGGAUGAGUGACAGCAAGAGAGACAAGACUCCCAACAAGAUGACGAUAACGCGUCGGAUCAGACAAGAGCUCACCAUCAUAAGCACGAAGGUUAACAUUGAGCUCCAUAUGAGUCUCAGCAGUGCGCUCGUCACUAAGAGUCGCACGAGCAAGAAGACCCUGGAUAUACUUUUCUUGGGAAAUAGAAAAGCCAUUAGAGGAGGAGGAAACCUCAAUCCCAAGAAAGUAACAAAGGGGACCAAGAUCAGACAUAAGAAACUGCUCACUGAGACGGGCCUUGACGAAGGCAAUGUACUCAGAAUUAUCGCCAGUCAUGAUCAUGUCAUCAACAUAUAGAAGAAGAAGAGUGUGACCACAAACAGAAAGGUGGACAAACAACGCUAGAUCAUGAGCACUGGGCGAAAAAACCAGCUGCAGUGACCACAGAGGCAAAACGCUCAAACCAAGUGCAGGGGGCUUGCUUAAGGCCAUAUAGAGAGCGACGAAGACGGCAAACCAUGCCAUCAGGAACUGAAUACCCAGGUGGUGGCUGCAUAUAAGCUUCCUCACACAACUCACCAUUAAGGAAGGCAUUCUUAACAUCAAGCUGAGACACGGACCAAUGGCAAACAAAGGCCACAGUGAUAAGUGUGCGGACAGUGGUCAUAUGGGCCAUAGGAGCAAAAGUCUCAUCGUAAUCACGACCAUGCUCCUGCUGAAAGCCACGAGCCAUAAGACGAGCUUUAUAAUGCUCAAGAGAACCAUCAGAGCGAGUCUUAAUCUUAUAGACCCACUUACAAGUGAUGGGACGAACACGGGGGGAAGAGAAACCAGGUCCCACGUGCCAUUGCGCUCAAGGGCAGCAAUCUCCUCUGCCAUCGCGAACUGCCAUUCAAGAUGAACAAUAGCAUCUCGAUAAGAAGUCGGCUCAAGAACGGCCGAAAGACCAUAACGAGAAGGAGAAUAUCGGUCAGGGGGCGGACAAGGCCGAGAACAAAGACCAUAAUUCGGGUGAGAGGAGGAAGACGACACAACAGAAGUAGAGGGCACAUCGGCAGACUCAUUCACAACACGUGAACGACGAGUAUAAUGAAAAGGAAAGGAUGGAAGAGGUGGAAUCACUUGAGGUGGAGACGGGGAAUGUAUCGGUGAUGAAGGUGGAAAAGGGGAAGCUAUCGGCGAUGAAGGUGGAGAAUCAUGCGACGAGUGAGUAGAAGAAAUCAUAGGAGAGGACGGCGUCCGAUCUGCAACAGCAGGAUGAGGAGUAGGAAUACUGGGCACAGAGGGAGGUGUAUCUGGGAAAGUAAGAAAAGACAUGUCCUCCAUAGAAAAAGCCGAGGAGGAUGGACGCGGGUAGAAGGGACGAGAUUCAUCAAAGGUCACAUCCCGGGAAAAACGCAUCCGGCGACCGACAAGAUCCCAACACCGAUAGCCCUUAUGCUCAUCACUGUAUCCAAGAAAGACACACUCAACAGACUGAGCGGUCAAUUUGGUGCGUUCCCGAGGGGCAAGCAAAACAUAGCAGACACAACCAAACAAACGGAGCAGAUGUCACUGCUGAAAAGAGCUGGUAGAUGCAACAACAGGGGUUGCGAGCAGGGUCGGCCCAUAGGCCGGGGCAACGGGGCGACCGCCCUGGGCCCCUGGGAUGUAGGGGCCCCGGCCCAGGUAGUAUCUUCUUUAGGUCUAGAAAAAAUUAAGAGGAAAUAAAAGAAAGCCCAAGCCCACCACGUAGCUAGCACUCACGGACCGAACUGGAGCACUCCAUCGAUCUCCUCCAGUCUCCUCGCCGCCUCGGCUCCUUCCCCGAAUUCUCCAAUCUCAGAGAAUGGCGCCGCCGCUCCCAUGCACUUCCAAAUUCGAUGUGCCGCUCCCGUGUAUACAUUAAUGGAGAUCGAUGGUGCUAUUCCCUUCCCCCAAACAUCUAUGUUUGCAUCCUCAAUGUUCCCCAUCAAGUAGACGUUUGAGGCAUCACCACAUCAGAGAUGGUAAGUCUCCCUCCUUCGCCUAAUCAAGUACUUUUUUCAUGCAUUGUUAAAUAGCCCGCCUCUACGCCUCUGAUUGCUCCAUCUGACAUCUCCAAUUCUUCUCUUCCUAGUUCCUGCUCUUCUGCUGGCCUGUUCUUCAAAGCUUCAUUGGAUCCAGGGAUGAGAAGGGGGGAUGGGGAAUGAGUGUUGCAGCCUUGCAGAUCUAGGAAGCUGCAUUGACAAUUCGACAUCAAGCCAUAUGCCCAUAUUCAGGUGUUUUUGUUCCCUGUAUUGACUGUUUUUCUACAAUUAUUUCAUUAUUUGGUUACAUGUCUUCUAAAAAAUGUUUAUAAGUGAGAAAAGGAAUAGAAAAAAACUGAGAGAUGACCUGGUAGAAUCCCAUAAAGGUUCAAUUGACAUUUUUAUACAAAUAGUAGUUCUUCGAAGAACUUAAAAGUGUUCAGAAGUAUAUUUGGCUUCUUACUUAGCUCAAAGACUUGAAUUAUUGAAUGAUAUUGAAUUAUGCAAAUGCUUUUGAAAUACAAUAUAUUCUGAAUUUUUAUCUACCCACAAGGGCCCCAUUUUGUCGUCUCGCCCCAGGGCCCCGCAUAUGUAUGGAUCGGCCCUGGUUGCGAGACUAGCACAUGUGGCAGCAGAGGGAAUACGAAGCCAUUCAAGCUCCCAAAGACCAUCAGAACAUCGAGGGCCAGCACCAAGUAGAGCACCCGUGCGACGAUCCUGAACAGAACAUGAAUCAAAGUCGAGAAUGACCCUACAACUAGAGUCAACAAUCUGACCACCAGAUAUGAGCUGUAUGGUAAGUCGAGGAACAUGAGCGACAGAGGGAACAUGAAAUGAAGAAGUGCUAAGAGUGCCUCGACUGGCUACAGGGAGGGGAGUGCCAUCAGACGUAAGAACACAAACAGGAGACUCGACAGGUCGAACAGAGGUCAAGUGGAAGAAUCAUAAGUCAUAUGAAAGGAAGCUCCAGUAUCAAGAAUCCAUGAGGAUGUACCUAGAAGAGUAGGUGGUGGUUUCUCAGUGCCAGAAGAGUCAACCACGGAAACUGCAGAACCUGUCAGCAAAGAAUCCCAAGCAUCAAGUAGGCAUCGCAGCUGCACAACCUCACGGGCAGAUAGGGACACGCGCGAGAGAGGUUGAGGUAGAAACACAUGUCGACGAUGAGCAGUCGCCACCUCCCGUGGAAGCCGCGUGGAGAGUCGGCUGUGAGUAGAAAGUCGACGUAGAGCCGCAUGUGAAAGCCAUUGGGGGAGUCAACAUAGAGCGCUCACCACCGCGUGCAGAAGCUGCGGGAGCAGUCGACAUAGGGCGAGAAUCAUCAGUUGCAGAAAUCGUGGGAAGAGUCGCUGAAGAAUGACCAACACCAUGCAGAGAAGCAGCUACAAGAGGUGCUAUAGCUGUCGAAGGAGUCAAUGUAGAGCGACCAGCAGCACCGGUGGAAGUCGCAAAAGGUUUCGAAGUAGAGCGACAACCACCACCUCCAAACGGGCGAGUACCAAGCCCCGAGGAAAGGCGCAUGUGCGAGACGGGAUCAAUGUAUGGAAUACUGAAGAAAAACACGGGCAACGCGGGAGAGGGGUACCCGACGAACACAUUGUACCACUUUUUUUUGCUUUUUUUUCUCUUUUUUUGUCACCACAGACUUCAAGUCAGGCAAACAGAAGCAGACCAACUCGCAGAGUAGCCGUCUGCUCACCAGCAGCCCAAAGCAAUUCACGGGCCGUGCAGGGAGUAGCCCGUAUGCACACACACACAACACACAUGCAGGUGGAUCGAUUCAGCCCCGUAGUUAACACACACAGGUGUGAGAAGUGGCCGGUGGCCGAUCUAGCAUGGCCGAUCUGAGGCGUAACCGGCCGGACACGUACGCGGAUGGCACCUGGAACCGGUGGCCGGCCGACGCGGCCGAUUUUGGGCGGUGACCCGAGCUGCUCGAUCUGGAAAGGCAGGUAGCAGAUCACGAAGCAGACAAGAUGGGUGGGCAUCUUCGUCCAGGCACUGGAGAUGGAGGAAUCCAGUGGCUGGCGGCAAAGAUCGGCUGCUGGCCUGCAGCGGCGGAUGCAGACAACCCCCUGGCCAGGGCGUGCACCUGCUGCUGGAUAAGAAGACGCACGGUGCGAUGCCUCCAAAUUGAGACACCCGCGAACACAAGGAUGACGAGGGCACCGCUAGGAUUGGACGAAACGGGGUGGGUGGGAGAAGAGGCGUCUGCGGUAGGAGUAGCAGAUGACGUGGAGCAGCACAACCGAGAAAAGGAAAACACGGCGGCGCGAUUGGAUCUAAGCAUGAGUUGCGACGUGCGAAAGAAAAACCUAGAGCUCUAAUACCAUGUCAUGAAUAUGCAACUUGUAUUACUAGGAGGCCAAAGCCAUCAUAUAUAUGAUGUACAUGAGGAUGCCAAAAGGCAAGAAUACAAAAGGCCAAAGGCCAUCAUCAAUAUAACUCUAACAAUAAGCACAACAACAAUAGUGGCAGGAAUUAUAGCUAGUAAAACAACUUUGUAAUUCUUAUGUUGUCCACGACUUUGAGUAAUUUCACAAGAGGGCAAACCUUUAACUACACCACAUAGUUGAUUAUUGUGCAAAAACCAUUCAGUUGGAGCAUCUUCAAAGAACACACUUUGUGGAACCGGCCCUUCCAGUUUGUUGUAUGACACAUCCAUGGAUAAGAGGCUGACUAGGCUCUGAAAUGAUGACGGAAUGCUGCCGUUCAAUGCAUUGUGUGAAAGAUUCAAGUUCUCGAGCAUGCUCAGGCUACCUAGAUGACUCAGUAUCUUGCCUUCGAAUGAAUUGUCACUUAGAUCAAACAAAUCUUGUAGGUUUACCAACAUCCCUAGUUCAAUAGGAAUGCUGCCAUUGAGGUGAUUAUGGCUUAACUUUAGAGUGCGAAACUUGGACCAAUGCUCAAUUGACCCGUGUAUCGACCCACUCAAGUUGUUUGAUCAUAAAUCCAGAUACUCCAAUUCUUUCAUUGUUCCAGUUACUUUUGGAAUACUUCCUUGAAGCAAGUUAUUACCAAGGCUCAGAUUGAACAAUACUGAUAGAUCACCAAUUUUCGAUGGGGAGGGGGGGGGCAGUUUAAUCUUGAAGAAUUAGGAGGCAGUGUGUAGCAUGGAAGAUAUUGAGAUCUCUUGGUUGUUAUAUUGACAAUGAAAAUAUACCGCUCAAAAUAUUAUUUAUCUCUAUUUCAAAAUCGAGCUCUGGCAGCUCUACAAAUCCCUGCUUCCCUCUGCGAAGGGCCUAUCUAUUUACUUUUAUGUUGAGUCAUCAUCCUCUUAUUAAAAAGCACCAGUUGGAGAGCAAUGCUGUCAUUUGCAUCCAUUACUAUUAAUUUAUAUUGAGUAUGACUGGAUCUCUUUUACCAUGAAUUACAAUGUCUAGUCAGUCCUUCACUACUAGGGAAAAGCCUAUACACAGGAUCUUACCAGCAACGAGUUUUAAAAUAAGGCGCUGCUGCAAUUUAUCAGUAGCGCGCUCCACCAGAACAUGCUGUUGAAAUAAAAGUAGCAGUAGCGCGCCUCCACUGAGCCAUGCUACUACUACUAUUUCCACGACCCCGCCGCAAAGCUAGUUAUAGCAGCAACGUGUUAAUUAGAAGGGCGCUACUGCUAGGUAGUUUAGCAGUAGCGCAUUUACCAAUACCGCGCUACUGCUAAAACUAGCUACCUCCACCACCCACGCUCUCCUCUAUCCUAUCUACACUCACACUCACACUCACUCGCGACCUCCCCCUCAACUCCCCCGCGCCGGUCCUCCCCCGCGGCCGCCGUCACCUACCCCUCCUCCCUCUACGCCGCCGUCACCUCCUCCUCCUUGCUGGACUCGGUACCGCCCUCCUCCUCUGUCCUCCCUCGACUCGCCGCCGGUCGGCCCCUCCUCGCUCUGCCCUUCCUCCUCCAUCCUACUCUCUCCUCCCUCCUCCAGUCGCCCCUCCUUCUCCCUCCUCCCUCCUCCAUCCACAACCCCUCCUCCCUACUACAUUUUGAUUUAGUAGGCUAGUUCAUAUGCAACAUUUUGGUUUAGUUCAUAUGAUUUAGUUGAUUUAGUAGGCUAGUUGAUUUAGUUGAUUUAGAACAUUUUGAUUUUGUUGAUUUAGUAGGCAAGUUGAUCUAGCAGGCUAGUUGAUUUAGUUGAUUUAUAGAACUUUUUGAUUUAGUUCAUUUAGUAGGCAAGUUGAUUUAAUAGGCUAGUUGAUUUAGUUGAUUUACAGAACAUUUUGAUUUAGUUGAUUUAGUAUGCUAGUUGAUAGCUCUGAAGAUAGCUAUGAAGAUUUGGCACUCUGCAUAUUGGUUUAGGAAAAUGGCGCCACCACCACCACCACCAUGUCGAUUGUGCAAGUCAAGGUGCCCCAGCAACCUUGCAAUUGGCAAGCUGUUCGGCAUCUACUUCCAGCCGAGUUUUCAUCAUGCGGCGGUAAGAGAUUAUAUGAAAUGUAACAACUAUUUUAUUUUUAGUGUUGGCAUUACUGCAUUGUGUCAUUUUUCUUUUUUUACACAGAUCGUCCCAUGCAAUGUGAGGUUGAAAUUCAACAUGCUGAAAGGAGACACUAUGACAUUUGAGGCUCCUGGGGGGCCGUACACUAUGAAGGUCGAGAAAGGACGAAAUAUUUCGCAGAUUGGAGGAGAUGGAUGGGCCCGUUUCCUCGCCCGCAUGCGUCUUACUAGUGGUGAGUUGAUCAGCUUCUCCUUCAGAGCAGAAAGACCCAAGCUGGUUGUCAUUUAUAUCAACCUGGUAGAAGAUGAUGAAGAUGACGAAGAUGAUGAUGAUAAUGAGGACCCACUCGAUGAAGAUGAUGAGGACCCACUUCAUGAAGCCAUUGUAGCUCAAAGAAUGAGGCUGAGCGAGGAGGAAGUGUGCAACCUAUGGGACAUAAUUCCGCCAUGUGCUGACUUUGUCGGGGUGCCAUUCGUGACCCGCCUGACAAGUACCAUGGUCGAUCGACAUGAUAUGGUAUGUUAUACUUACAAAUGCAAAUUAUCCGAUGAUAUGCUUAGUGUAGAGUCCAAUGAUAUGUUGUGUGGAAUCUAGUCGAUGAUAUGCUUCAGUGUAGAGUUCGAUCAUAUGCUUAUUAGUGUAGAAUCUAAGUAACUAUUAAUAGUGUAGAUAAUCCAUAUAUACUUAUUUGCAAGAGUAUGUGCGAGGCUAUUUAUUAAUUGAUAUGUUUUUCUUAUUCAGAAAUUGGCAAAGAGCCUAUCUGUGAGUUAUGGUAUCAAGCCUGAUGAAGAAGGCUCAGCUGAACUACGCCUUGCCGCAAGGGGCUCCGUCACAACCUGUACUUACCGCGUGGACACGGACGGUCGCACACACUUAAACUCGGUUGGGUGGAAGAAAUUCCUCGAUGGCAAGAAUCUUUGUGUUGGACAGGCCAUCCUAAUUACUAUCAGGAACACCAACCGCCCAGGCUUGAGGAUGAUGAUCGUCUUUGAUAUCAUCUAGAACUACAUGUGUGUGUGUGUGUGUGGUUAUAUCAUCUAGAACUACAUAUGAUGAUCGUCGUUGAUAUCAUCUAGAACUACAUAUGAUGAUCGUCGUCGAUAUCAUCUAGAACUACAUAUGAUGAUCGUCGUCGAUAUGACCAUGUAAUAAUUGAGGAUGCAUGUUGACUAUACAUGAAAUUAUUAUCUAGUACUCCCUUCGUUCCAAAUUACUCGUUGUGGUUUGAACUAAAACCACGACGAGUAAUUUGGAACGGAGGGAGUACUACCUAGUACCUAUAAUGCUUUAUGAAAUUGAUAUCUAGUAGUACCUAGUAUCUGGAAAUUGCAGUUUAUUAAAACCGAAACAGGGCAGGAAGCGGGGGGGAGGGGGGGUGAUGAAAGAUAUAGCAGUAGUGAGGGGCUAGGAAACCGCUACAGCUAACUAACAGUAGCGCGUUCCAGAUAAGCGCUGCUGAUAUAGUCAACAGUAGUAGCGCAGGUGCGGACCGUGCUACUACUAAUAGUUAGCUGUAGCGCCGUAGUAGUAGUGCGGCUUCCCGCGCUGCUGAUAGCCUCAAAACCCGCGCUACUACUAGGGUUUUCCCUAGUAGUGCUUGAUCUUCAGGGGUGCUAUGCAUUUAAGUUUUGCGGUCUUAGAAAGGGCUAGCAAGAUACCAUCUUGUUAUAUCAUAUUAUGAUUGUUUUGAGAAAGUGUUGUCAUCCGAGAUUUAUAAUUAUUGCUCACUAGUUGAUUAUGCCAUUGAUAUGAGUAAACAUGAGACCUAAGUGUUAUUGUGAAUGUGGUUAGUUCAAUCUUUGCUGAAAACUUGAAUGUUGGCUUUACAUAUUUGCAACAACAAGAGCAAACGGAGUUUGUAAAAGUUUUUCUUUAUCACUUUCAGUUUAUCAACUGAAUUGCUUGAGGACAAGCAAAGGUUUAAGCUUGGGAGAGUUGAUACGUCUCCAUCGUAUCUACUUUUCCAAACAUUUUUGCCCUUGUUUUGGACUCUAACUUGCAUGAUUUGGAUGGAACUAACCCGGACUGACGCUGCUUUCAGCAGAACUGCCAUGUGUUAUUUUUGUGCAAAAAUAAAAGUUCUCGGAAUGACCUGAAACUCCACGGAAUUUAUUUUUGGAAUUAAUAAAAAAUAUUGGCGAAAGAAUCAAGGCCAGGGGGACCACACCCUGUCCACGAGGGUGGGGGUGUUCCCUACCCCAUGGGUGCGCCCCCUGCAUCAUGGGCCCCUUGGAGCUCUACCGACCUGAACUCCAACUCCAUAUAUUCAUGUUCGGGGAGAAAAAAAUAAGGGAGAAGGAUUCAUCGCGUUUUACGAUAUGGAGCCGCCGCCAAGCCCUAAACUCUCUCGGGAGGGCCGAUCUGGAGUCCGUUCGGGCUCCGGAGAGGGGAAUCCGUCGCUGUCGUCAUCAUCAACCAUCGUCCAUCACCAAUUUCAUGAUGCUCACCACCGUGCGUGAGUAAUACCAUCAUAGGCUUGCUAGACGGUGAUGGGUUGGAUGAGAUUUACCAUGUAACUGAGUUAGUUUUGUUAGGGUUUGAUCCCUAGUAUCCACUAUAUGUUUGAGAUUGAUGUUGCUGUGACUUUGCUAUGCGUAAUGCUUGUCACUUGGGCCCGAGUGCCAUGAUUUCAGAUCUGAACCUAUUAUGUUUUCAUGAAUAUAUGUGAGUUCAUGAUCCUAUCCUGCAAGUCAAUAGUCACCUACUAUGUGUUAUGAUCCGGCAACCCCGAAGUGACAAUAAUCGGGACCACUCCCGGUGAUGACCGUAGUUUGAGGAGUUCAUGUAUUCACUAAGUGUUAAUGCUAUGGUCCGGUACUCUAUUAAAAGGAGGCCUUGAUAUCCCUUAGUUUCCAAUAGGACCCCGCUGCCACGGGAGGGUAAGACAAAAGAUGUCAUGCAAGUUCUUUUCCAUAAGCACGUAUGACUAUAUUCGGAAUACAUGCCUACAUUACAUUGAUGAAUUGGAGCUAGUUUUGUGUCGGAUGCGAUUGGAUCAGUGAUGGAUAAUUAUGUCGGAUCAGUGAUGGAUAAUUAUGUCAGAUGUGAUUCUUCAUGCAAUAGUUAUAACAUAGGGUGACACAGAACUAGCUCCAAUUCAUCAAUGUAAUGUAGGCAUGUAUUCCGAAUAUAGUCAUACGUGGUUAUGGAAAAGAACUUUUGCAUGACAUCUUUUGUCCUACCCUCCCGUGGCAGCGGGGUCCUAAUGGAAACUAAGGGAUAUUAAGGCCUCCUUUUAAUAGAGUACCGGACCAAAGCAUUAACACAUAGUGAAUAUAUGAACUCCUCAAACUACGGUCAUCACCGAGAAGUAUCCCGAUUAUUGUCGCUUCGGGGUUGUCAGAUCAUAACACAUAAUAGGUGACUAUAGACUUGCAAGAUAGGAUCAAGAACUCACAUAUAUUCAUGAAAACAUAAUAGGUUCAGAUCUGAAAUCAUGGCACUCGGGCCCUAGUGACAAGCAUUAAGCAUAGCAAAGUCAUAGCAACAUCAAUCUCAAAACAUAGUGGAUACUAGGGAUCAAACCCUAACAAAACGAACUUGAUUACAUGGUAAAUCUCAUCCAACCCAUCACCGUCCAGCAAGCCAACGAUGGAAUUACUCACGCACGACGGUGAGCAUCAUGAAAUUGGUGAUGGAGGAUGGUUGACGAUGAUGAUGGCAACGAAUCUUCCUCUCCGGAGCCCCGAACGGACUCCAGAUCAGCCCUCCCGAGAGAGAUUAGGGCUUGGCGGCGACUUCGUAUCGUAAAACGUGAUGAGACUUUCUCUCUGAUUUUUUUCUCCGCGAAAGCAAAUAUAUGGAGUUGGAGUUGAGGUCGGUGGACGUCCAGGGGGGCCACGAGGCAAGGGGCGCGCCUUAGGGGAGGGGGCGCGCCCCCACCCUCAUGUAUAGGGUGUGGGCCCCUUGACACUAAUUCUUUCACCAGUAUUUUUUAAUUAAUUCUGAAAGUUUGCUCCGUGGAUUUUCAGGUCAUUCCGAGAACUUAUAUUUCUUCACAAAAAUAACACCAUGGCAGUUCUGGUGAAAACAGCGUCAGUCCGGGUUAGUUCCAUUCAAAUCAUGUAAGUUAGAGUCCAAAACAAGGGCAAAAGUAUUUGGAAAAGUAGAUACGACAGAGACGUAUCAACUCCCCCAAGAUUAAACCUUUGCUUGUCCUCAAGCAAUUCAGUUGACAAACUGAAAGUGAUAAAGAAAAACUUUUACAAACUUUGUUUGCUCUUGUUGUUGUAAAUAUGUAAAGCCAGCAUUCAAGUUUUCAGCAAAGAUUAUGAACUAACCAUAUUCACAAUAACAUUAGGUCUCCUGUUUACUCAUAUCAUUGGCAUAAUCAACUAGCAAGCAAUAAUAAUAAAACUCGGAUGACAACACUUUCUCAAAACAAUCAUAUUAUGAGAUAACAAGAUGGUAUCUCGCUAGCCCUUUCUGAGACCACAAAACAUAAAUGCAGAGCACCUUUAAAGAUCAAGGACUGACUAAACAUUGUAAUUCAUGGUAAAAGAGAUCUAGUCAUAGUCAUACCCAAUAUAAACUAAUAGUAAUGCAUGCAAAUGACAGCGGUGCUCUGCAGCGGGUGCUUUUUAAUAAGAGGGUCAUGACUCAACAUAAAAGUAAAUACAUAGGCCCUUCGCAGAGGGAAGCAGGAAUUUGUAGAGGUGCCAGAGCUCGAUUUUGAAAUAGAGAUAAAUAACAAUUUGAGCGGUAUACUUUCACUGUCAACAUAACAACUAUGAGAUCUCGAUAUCUUCCAUGUUACACACAUUAUAGGCGGUUCCCAAACAGAAUGGUAAAGUUUAUACUCCCCCACCACCAACAAGCAUCAAUCCAUGGCUUGCCCGAAACAAUGGGUGCCUCCAACUAACAACAAUCCUGGGGGAGUUUUGUUUAAUUAUUUUGAUUUGAUUUGAGCAUGGGACUGGGCAUCCCGGUGACCAGCCAUUUUCUCGUGAAUGAGGAGCGGAGUCCACUCCUCAUGAGAAUAACCCGCCUAACAUGGAAGAUACAGAUAGCCCUAGUUGAUACAUGAGCUGCUCGAGCAUACAAAACAGAAUUUCAUUUGAAGGUUUGGAGUUUGGCACAUACAAAUUUACUUGGAACGGCAUGUAGAUACCGCAUAUAGGAAGGUAUGGUGGACUCAUAUGGAAUAACUUUGGGGUUUAUGGAGUUUGGAUGCACAAGCAGUAUUCCCGCUUAGUACAUGUGAAGGCUAGAAAGAGACUGGGAAGCGAUCAACUGAGAGAGCGACAACAGUCAUGAACAUGUAUUAAAAUUAAUCAACACCGAGUGCAAGCAUGAGUAGGAUAUAAUCCACCAUGAACAUAAAUAUCGUGAAGGCUAUGUUGAUUUGUUUCAACUACAUGCGUGAACAUGUGCCAAGUCGAGUCACCCAAUUCAUUCAAGGGAGGAUACCACCCUAUCAUACCACAUCACAACCAUUUUAAUAGCAUGUUGGCACGCAAGGUAAACCAUUAUAAGCUCCUAGCUAAUUAAACAUGGCAUAAGCAACUAUAUUUUGUAAUUGUCAUCGCAAACAUGUUUAUUCAUAAUAGGCUGAAUCAGGAAUGAUGAACUAAUCAUAUUUACAAAAACAAGAGAGGUCGAGUUCAUACCAGCUUCUCUCAUAUCAAUCAGUCCAUCAUAUAUCGUCAUUAUUGCCUUUCACUCGCGCGACCGAACGGUGUGGAUAAUAAUAAUAGUGCACGUGCAUUGGACUAAGCUGGAAUCUGUAAGCAUUCAAUUCAAGGGAGAAGACAAGGUAAUAUGGGCUCUUGGUUAAAUCGACAAUCAUGCAUAUGAGAGCCACUAAACAUUUUCAUUAUGGUCUUCUCCUCUCGACCCCCAAAGGAAAGAAAAGAAAUAAAACUAUUUACACGGGAAAGCUCCCAACAAGCAAAAGAAGAACGAGAAAUCUUUUUGGGUUUUCUUUUAAUUACUACUACUACAACAUGGAAAUUAAACUAACUUUUUUUUUGGGUUUCUUAAGGUUUAUCAAGCACAAAAGAAGAAAGCUAGAAAAUGAAAUUAAACUAGCAUGGAUAGUACAAUGAAAAAGUAUGAGCACCGACAACUAUAAUGAGUGUGUGAACAUGAAUGUAAUGUCUGUGAGAAAUACGUACUCCCCCAGGCUUAGGCUCUUGGCCUAAGUUGGUCUAUGGCCAUGGAUCGCGACUACUCUCCCCGGUGUACUGAGGAGUGUCAUCGUACUGCCAUUGGCUGGCGAUCUCCUCCAGAUCCCACUGAUAAGAUGAUGGGCGAUAAGGGUCAAGUGGUGGUUCCGGCUCAGGCUCUCGAGAUGAUGUCUGGCCACGGAGCGCAUAGACAGCCUCCGGCAAGAGGAGGUAAGGGCCUGCAGUUAAAUCAAACAAAGAGGGCGCAGGCAAGAUAAUAGUCUCACUGUGUUUCUUAUGAAAUCUCAAAUUAUACAAAAGCAUCUUAUCAUCAUUUUUAACAAUAAACUCAUGCGCUACCAUGCUCUUAUAAUCUAGAAAGGUAGGGGGCAACAAUUUUUCCUCUUUCUCAAAAUGCCUAAUAGGUAUCCUGAAAUGUUUAGCAAGACGUGCAACAUAGAUACCUCCAAAAAUGGGGCCUUUUGUAUGGUUCAGGCUAAAUCGUUUAGCAAUAAUAGCAACCAUACUAACAGAGUUAUCACGAAAUAAAGCAUGGAACAAAAUAAUAAUAUUAGGAACACUAAGGUUUCCACAGUUUCCGCGACCAAUUAAGCAUCGACUAGCAAAUAUGGCAAAGUAGCGUAAAACAGGAAAAUGUAUGCUAGUAAUUCUUGCAUCGGAAACCUUCCUCGAUUCGCCUACGGUAAUAGUAUCAAUAAAUCCAUCCACAUCUUUACAAUGUGGUUCCUCUAAGCUGCCCCCGAAAGGUAUCUUGCAAACUGUGCAAAAUUCAUGUAAUGACAUCUCCCUAGCCACAUCAUAUAAAUGAAAAGCUACUGAAGGAGGUGAUUUCUUAGGAUAAUAGUAGAAAUUUUGCACGAAAGUAUUGGUGAGUAAGAGAUACUGUUCAGCCUGGCCGUGGAGGAAGUCGGUGAGGCCCGCAUUAUUAGCCAAAGAAUAAAAGUCAUCAUGAAUCUCGGCUGCUCUCAAGAAAUCAUCACAAGGCCAUUCGCACGGCCGUACUUUCGCCACACGAGGAAGAUUAUACUUGGCCUUUUCAUUUUCUUUGGCUUAUUUAUCCUUAGAGCCUUGGCUAGAAGAGCCCCUCAAAAAUCUCUUAAUCAUUUCCUGAUUUUUUUUGAAUUUUUUAGUAACUUAAAAUAGAAGUGAAUCAAACUCAACAAAACUGAUAGCAACUACUCCCACAAGUGCCUAGAGCCUAUAUCAUGCAUUAAAAUUACUUGGGACCAUAUAAAUUUGACAUGCAAGCUCAAGAACCGGGUCACCUAGGCAGCAACAAUUUGCAAUGAAUAAAGCACUAGAACAAAAACUAAUUGGACCAUUGAAGGAGUCACAUACCAAGGAACAAUCCCCCAAAGCAGUUUUGUGAAUGGAGCUUUGAGCAAGGAGAUCGAAAAUGGCACAAAGUGAGCUAGAACUCGUGCUUGAGCUGGAUAGUGAUUUUUUUGGGAGGAAGAAGAAGUGUGUGGGUGCAGGAAUAAGUGGAGGGGGGCCAUUGUGGGCCCACGAGGCAGGGGGGCGCGCCUUGGACCCUCGUGGCCAGGUGCUUGCUCCCCCUAUUGUGUUCUCAGUGCCAAAUAUUCUCAAAUAUUCCAGAAAAAAUCAUACUAAACUGGCAGGGCAUUUGGAGAACUUUUAUUUUCGGGAUAUUUUUUAUUGCAUGGAUAAUUCAGAAAACAGACAGAAAAUACUAUUUUUGCUUUAUUUAUUUUAAAUAACAGAAAGUAAAAAGAGGGUACAGAAGGUUGUGCCUUCUAACUUCAUCCAUCUCAUGAUCAUCAAAAGGAAUCCACUAACAAGGUUGAUCAAGUCUUGUUAACAAACUCAUUCUGAAUAACAUGGAACUGGAGAAAUUUCGAAUAACACUAGGUUACCUCAACAGGGAUAUGAACAUCCCAAUAAUAAGAAUAUCAUAUUUCUUCAUGACAGUAGGAAUAGGAAAUUCAAAACCUCCAAUAAUAAUAGUUGGAUUUUUUCCAAUAGAAUUGAUACUGUGAACUUGAGGUUGUUUCCUCGGAAAGUGUACCUUAUGCUCAUUACCAUUAACAUGAAAAGUGAUAUUGCCUUUGUUGUAAUCAAUAACAACCCCUGCACUAUUCAAAAAGGGUCUACCAAGGAUAAUCGACAUACUAUCGUCCUCGGGAAUAUCAAUAAUAACAAAGUCCGUUAGGAUAGUAACGUUUGCAACCACAACAGGCACAUCCUCACAAAUACCGACAGGUAUAGCAGUUGAUUUGUUAGCCAUUUGCAAAGAUAUUUCAGUAGGUGUCAACUUAUUCAAUUCAAGUCUACAAUAUAAAGAAAGAGGCAUAACACUAACACCAGCUCCAAGAUCACAUAAAGCAGCUUUAACUUAGUUUCUUUUAAUGGAGCAUGGUAUAGUUGGUACUCCUGGGUCUCCAAGUUUCUUAGGUAUUCCACCUUUAAAAGUGUAAUUAGCAAGCAUGGUGGAAAUUUCAGCUUCCGGUAUCGUUCUUUUUAUUUGUAAUGAUAUCCUUCAUGUAUUUAGCAUAAGGAUUCACUUUAAGCAUAUCAGUUAAGCGCAUACAUAAGAAGCCAGGUCUGAUCAUUUCAGCAAAGCGCGCAAAAUCCUCAUCAUCCUUUUUCUUGGAUGGCUUAGGAGGAAAAGGUAUGGGUUUUUGAACCCAUGGUUCUGUUUCUUUACCGUGAUUCCUAGCAACAAAGUCUCUCUUAUCAUAAUGUUGAUUCUUUGAUUCUGGGUUAUCAAGAUCAACAGCAGGUUCAAUCUCCACAUCAUUAUUAUUGCUAGGUUGAGCAUCAACAUGAAUAUUAUCAUUAACAUUAUCACUAGGUUCAUGUCCAUCACCUGAUUGUGUUUCAGCAUCAGAAAUAGAAAUAUCAUUGAGAUUCCCAGGUGUGUCUACAACAGGUUCACUAGAAGCAUGCAAAGUCCUAUCAUUUUUCUUUUUUCUUCUUUUUAGAAGGACUAGGUGCAUCUAAAUUAUUUCUCUGAGAAUCUUGCUCAAUUCUCUUAGGGUGGCCUUCAGGAUACAAAGGUUCCUGAGUCAUUUUACCAGUUCUAGUAGCCACUCUAACAGCAAAAUCAUGUUUAUUAUUUAAUUCAUCGAGCAAUUCACUUUGAGCUUUAAGUACUUGUUCUGCUUGUGUGGUAACCAUAGAAGCAUAUUUACUAAUGAGUUUAAGUUCACCUUUAACUCUAGCCAUAUAAUCACUCAAGCGUCCAAUCAUGUAAGAAUUACUCUUUAAUUAUCUACCAACAUAAGCAUUAAAAUUUUCUUGUCUACCAUAAAGUCAUCAAAUUCAUCUAAACAUUGGCUAGAAAACUUAGUAGAGGGGAUUUCAACUUUAUCGUAUCUAUAGAGAGAAUUUACCUUUACUACCUGUGUCGGGUUAUCAAGACCAUGUGUUUCUUCAAUAGGUGGUAUAUUAAGACCAUGUAUUUCUUCAACAGGAGGUAAAUUCUUAACAUCUUCAGCUAUAAUACCUUUCUCUUUCAUAGAUUUCUUUGCCUCUUCCAUAUCUUCUGGACUGAGAAAUAAAACACCCCUUUUCUUUGGAGUUGGUUUAGGAUUUGGCUCAGGAGUUAGCUCAGGAAGUGUCCAAUUAUUUUCAUUAGUCAACAUAUUAUUCAAUAGCAAUUCAGCUUGGUUGACUGUUCUUUCCCUAAAAACACAACCAGCACAACUAUCCAAGUGGUCCUUGGAAGCAUCGGUUAGUCCAUUGUAAAAGAUAUCAAGUAUUUCAUUUUUCUUAAGAGGAUGAUCAAGCAAAGCAUUAAGUAAUCGGAGAAGCCUCCCCCAAGCUUGUGGGAGACUCUCUUUUUCAAUUUGCACAAAAUUGUAUAUUUCCCUCAAGGCAGCUUGUUUCUUAUGAGCAAGGAAAUAUUUAGCAGAGAAGUAAUAAAUCAUAUCCUGGGGACUACGCACACAGCCAGGAUCAAGAGAAUUAAAUCAAGUUUUAGAAUCACCCUUUAAUGAGAAUGGAAAUAUGUUAAGGAUAUAGUAGUAACGAGAUUUCUCAUCAUUUGUGAACAGGGUGGCUAUAUCAUUCAAUUUAGUAAGAUGUGCCACAACAGUUUCAGAUUCAUAGCCAUAGAAAAGAUCAGAUUCAACCAAAGUAAUUAUCUCAGGAUCGUCAGAGAAUUCAUAAUCCUUAUCAGUAACAAAGAUAGGUGAAGUAGCAAAAGCAGGGUCAUAAUUCAUUCUAGCAUUCAGAGAUUUCUGCUUAAGUUUAGCUAAUAACUUCUUAAGAUCAGAUCUAUCAUUGCAAGCAAGAAUAUCUCUAGUAGUUUCUUCGUCCAUAACAUAACCCUCUGGAACAAUAGGCAAUUCAUAUUUAGGGGGGAGAACCUUCAUCAUCACUAUCUUCAAUAAUAUCAGUUUCAAUUAUUUCAUUUUCUCUAACCCUAACAAGUUGUUCAUCAAGAAAUUCACCUAAUGCCACAGUAGUUUCAAGCAUAGAAGUAGUUUCAUCAUAAGUAUCAUGCAUAGUAGAAGUGGCAUCAUCAAUAACAUGCGACAUAUCAGAAUUCAUAGCAGAAGCAGGUUUAGGUGUCGCAAGUUUACUCAAAACAGAUGGUGAAUCAAGUGCAGAGCUAGAUGGAAGUUCCUUACCUUCCCUCGUAGUUGAGGGAAAAAUAUUAGUUCUUUGGUCCUUCAAGUUCCUCAUAGUGACCAGCAGAUAUAAAUCCCAAGUGACUCAAAGAAUAGAGCUAUGCUCCCCGGCAAUGGUGCCAGAAAAUAGUCUUGAUAACCCACAAGUAUAGGGGAUCACAACAGUUUUCGAGGGUAGAGUAUUCAACCCAAAUUUAUUGAUUCGACAUAAGGGGAGCCAAAGAAUAUUCUCAGGUAUUAGCAGUUGAGUUGUCAAUUCAACCACACCUGGAUAACUUAGUAUCUGCAACAAAGUAUUUAGUAGCAAAGCAGUAUGGAAGUAACGGUAAAGUAACUAAGCAAAGAGCAAUAUAUGAAAAGCUGGUAGGCACUGGAUCAGUGAUGGAUAAUUACGUCAGAUGCGAUUCCUCAUGUAAUAGUUAUACCAUAGGGUGACACAGAACUAGCUCCAAUUCAUAAAUGUAAUGUAGGCAUGUAUUCCAAAUAUAGUCAUACAUGCUUAUGGAAAAGAACUUGCAUGACAUCUUCUGUCCUACCCUCCCGUGGCAGCGGGGUCCUAAUGGAAACUAAGGGAUAUUAAGGCCUCCUUUUAAUAGAGUACCGGACCAAAGCAUUAACACAUAGUGAAUACAUGAACUCCUCAAACUACGGUCAUCACCGAGAAGUAUCCCGAUUAUUGUCACUUCGGGGUUGUCGGAUCAUAAAACAUAAUAGGUGACUAUAGACUUGCAAGAUAGGAUCAAGAACUCACAUAUAUUCAUGAAAACAUAAUAGGUUCAGAUCUGAAAUCAUGGCACUCGGGCCAUAGUGACAAGCAUUAAGCAUAGCAAAGUCAUAGCAACGUCAAUCUCAGAACAUAGUGGAUACUAGGGAUCAAACCCUAACAAAACUAACUUGAUUACAUGGUAAAUCUCAUCCAACCCAUCACCGUCCAGCAAGCCAACGAUGGAAUUACUCACGCACGACGGUGAGCAUCAUAAAAUUGGUGAUUGAGGAUGGUUGAUGAUGACGACGGCGACGAAUCCCCCUCUCCGGAGCCCCGAACGGACUCCAGAUCAGCCCUCUCGAGAGAGAUCAGGGCUUGGCGGCGGCUCUGUAUCGUAAAACGCGAUGAAACUUUCUCUCUGAUUUGGAGUUGAGGUCGGUGGACGUCCAUGGGUGCCACGAGGCAGGGGGCGCGCCCCCACCCUCGUGGACAGGGUGUGGGCCCCCUGACGCUAAUUCUUUCGCCAGUAUUUUUUAUUAAUUCUAAAAAGUUGCUCCGUGGAUUUUCAGGUCAUUCCAAGAACUUUUAUUUCUGCACAAAAAUAACACCAUGGAAGUUUUGCUGAAAACAACGUCAGUCCGGGUUAGUUCCAUUCAAAUCAUGCAAGUUAGAGUCCAAAACAAGGGCAAAAGUGUUUGGAAAAGUAGAUACGACGGAGAAGUAUCACACCCUAUGUUAUAACUAUUGCAUGAGGAAUCGCAUCCGAAUAAUUAUCCAUCACUAAUCCAAUGCCUAUGAGCUUUUCACAUAUUGAUCUUUGUUUAGUUACUUUAUCGUUGCCAUUGUUAUCAUUACUACAAAAAUGCUACUGUUACCGUUACUUCCAUACUACUUUGCUACUAAAUACUUUGCAGUAGAUAUUAAGUCAUCCAGGUGUGGUUGAAUUGACAACUCAACUGCUAAUACUUGAGAAUAUUCUUUGGCUCCCUUUGUGUCGAAUCAAUAAAUUUGGGUUGAAUACUCUACCCUAAUAAACUGUUGCGAUCCCCUAUACUUGUGGGUUAUCACGGCCUCAUACCCGGUACGCGUCCUGGUUGAGGAGCACGCCGGACUGGUGGGUGCCCAUACCCGGUAGACGUCCUGGUUGGGACCUCAGGUCCUACAUGUUUAGGUUUGGCUGUGAGGUCUGUUUGGUAUUAGGCCCAGACUAUCAGCAUCCCUUCAUCAAUUGGAUAGGAGUAGUGACAGUUUGUUGCCUAGACGGUGGCUUCAGUCUUACAGUUGUAUCACUUUGUAAGGUCUUGUGUGAAUAAUUAAUAAAAUGACUGCAUGCAUCAUCCAGAUGCAGAGGCCGGGGGUCCUCCUCCCUUUCUAAAAAAAACAAUUUCCGAUGGAAUUCGUCCUUCAAGUAUAUUUGAGGAAACAUCAAGUAUUCGCAACAGUGAUAAUUGCCCCAUGCCUGGCGGUAUGAAUCCAGUGAUAUUGUUGUUUGAGGCACGCAACAUGGUAAGGUUGCGGCACUCUCCCCAGCCAUCAGAAAAUUGGCCAAAUAGUCUAUUUGAAGUGAUGUCAAUAUAGACAAGAUUCGGGUGAACUCCCAUCUCGGAGAUAUCUCCCUCAAGGCGAAAUCUCACUAGGCUUCUGUAGCUUAGCAAGCUUGUAGGCAAGGGACCAACCAAGUCGUUGCCAUUGACGCUGAACUUCUCCAGCUGGCCUCUCCCACAAAUACCCGAUGGCAAUUUACCAGAGAGAUUGUUAUGAGAACCUUGGAAGUUUUGCCAAACUCGUUAACCUGCCAAUUUCUGGAGGAAUGUGUCCAAAAAGUUGGUUGAAACUAAAAGCUAUGGAAGUGGCCUUAGUCAAAUUCCCUAUGCUAUUUGGGAUGGGACCUAUUAAUGUGUUGUAACUAAGGUCCAAUAUAUCUAUGUUUAUCAAACGAUCUAGCUCUUGAGGGAUGUGGCCAGAAAGUUGGUUAAUAAGAAGGUAUAAUCUAUAAUGUAGUGAGUUUUGUCAAGUUACAUAGAUUGUUUGGAAGGGGACCUAUUAGUUUGUUGUCAUAAAGCGCCAAGUUCUCUAAGUUUCUCAAACGACCUAGCUCUUGAGGGAUGUAGCCAGAAAGUUGGUUAAUAUGAAGGUAUAAUGUAGUGAGCUUGGUCAAGUUACAUAGAUUGUUUGGAAGGGGACCUGUUAGUUUGUUGUUAUAAAGCGCCAAGUUCUCUAAGUUUCUCAAAUGACCUAGCUCUUGAGGGAUGUGGCCAGAAAGUUGGUUAAUACGAAGGUAUAAUAUAGUGAGUUUGGUCAAAUUCCCUAUGCUGUUUGGGAUGUGGCCUUUUAGUUUGUUGUCAGAAAGCACAAAUUAUCAAACAACCUAGUUGUAGAGGGAUGUGGCCUGUGUGUUUGUUCUCAGCAAGCACAAAGUUCUCUAACUUGAUCAAAUGACCUAGUUCUUGAGGAAUGUGGCCAGACAAGUCGUUACCCCAGAGAUACAAGGUCGUGAGUUUACUCAGAUUUCCCAAGUAUGCUGGUAUGGAUCCUAUAAGUUUGUUCAAUACGAGUUGCAAAUCCUCCAGGUUUACCAAAUUCCUUAUUUCCCGAGGGAUGGGUCCGAUGAACUUGUUAGUAUGAAGAUGAAGACUUCUUAGCUGUGUCAAGUUUCCUAUACUAGCUGGAAUAUAAUCUUCAAGUUUGUUUACACUAAGAUUGAGGCCUUUCAGCAUCCCUAAAUUCCCAAUUUCUCAAGGAACUGAUCCUGCAAUCUCAUUAUUGGAAAGACGCAAGGUUGUGAGUUUUGUGAGGUUUGCUAAAGCAGGUGGAAUUGAGCCUCUUAUCUGAUUACUGUGCAGAAGUAGAGCAUGGAGCCCUCUAAUAUGCUCUAUGCUUGAAGGAAUGCUCCCAACGAGAUGGUUGUCCGAGAGGUUGAGGGUUGCCAAGGUACUCAAGGCCGAGAAGUCCAUGGACUCCAGCGACCCUCUUACCUUCAACUGGUUAGAGAGACAAUGGUGAUCAUCGUCCCGCGUCGUCGUGUUGUCGGUGCAGUGCAUCGGAUUCCACGCCAACCACAAGGUGCUAACGACAAGUUUCCCCAUGAUUGCAGGGAGUCCUAGCUUUGGUUGCUGAGGGUGGCUUUCCAGGCAAGCAAUGCUCCUGCUUGUUUUUUGAGCGAUGGCUGCAUAUGGGUGGCCGAGACAAGUGCGACGGAGGUAGCCGCCAUCAUUAUUAUGGUCAGAGGGGCAAAAAAUUUGGAAGACAAGGGUGGCUCCAUGGCUAUGCUAGCAAUUGGUUCUGGUUCCGUGCUGCAUUGAUGGCAGCACUUUAAAUAGUACAUUGCAUACAUCUCCAUAAAAAAAGACUCAACGGUAAUUGCAUCGACAGAUAGCAAUAAUCCCCUCCCCCUCCCGCGACGCACCCGCCCGCGCUGGUGGGGAAACCCUAGCCGCCAGGCCCUCGGCCCCGCCUCCCUCUCCUCCUCCCUGCUGUCACCGGCAAGCGCUGACGGGCAAAGCCCGGAUGGCGCCGGCGGUGGGGCCCUUCCUCCUCCUCUGCCCGUGGAAGACCAGCGUGGGGUGGCACCUCAGGUGGUGGAACUGGGCGGCCGCGGGGCCCAGCGGCACGGCCGCGGGAGCGUGAUGCGGUGGCACGUCCGAUUGGUGGUUGCGCAUUGGCGCUCUGCUUCCUGAGCGUGGCAUGGCGGCUGCAGAGCUCCUGACCCGGGAGGUGGCGCGCGGUUGGCCUACCCGCCGGAUCUGGUGGUUCCGGUGGCAGUGUGCCUCCUGGAUGCUGGCUCUUGGGGGGGAGGGCUGGUGUGGGGGGCGCGCGCGGAUGUCCUGGACGGAUCAACCAGUCCUCCAGGUGGCCUUGGGUCUGAAUCUGGUCGGUGGUGGUGGAUGGCGUCCAUCGGACUACAGGGUCCGAGAGCCGACCUGGUCCGCGUUGGUCUUCCCUCGCGUUAGUGCUCCUCUUCCUGUUGCUUCAUUGUGGCAUCGAUCCGAGUAGGCGCCCGUGUUGCUGCUAUGUUGCGGGCGGACCGACGGUGCUGGCCAUGGAUGUGGUGGCGUGCAACCUUGGACCGGGCCAGGACUUGCUCGGCGGUGGCCGUCGGCAACUACUAGGCCAUGCUCCCCACAGUCGACGAUGAUUGUCAUGGGACACAGGUGUGGAUGCCCCAUACUGUGGGGGCGCUCACCCAGGGUGGGUGGUUGAUGCCGGGCUAGGAGCGAAAGGAGACACCUCCCGUUCCUCCCACCGUGGCUGCGCGUGGUGAGGUCGGCGGUUGGCAGCGACUCAGGACAUGGAUGCCGGGGUGGCGGCCCUGGAUGGUGGGCUGCAUGGUUGGCUCUCCGGCGGGCACUAUGGCGACAGUGGUGGCUCUCCUCUUGGUCGUGUGGGUGACGAGGGGUAGUGUCAGGUGGCUCGGGCUCGCACUCCUUUGUUGGGGAGACGCCCAGAUCCAGAUCUAGGUGUCUGGAAUCGCCGUGGUUGCCCUGGUGGCCUCGUGUGGCACGGGAGUUGCCGAGCGAAAGCUCCGUGCUUUUGCGCUGACGGCAAUGACGCUCAUGGGCGCCGCUUUCUUCUUGAAGACGUCGUUGUGGAUCUUCUCUCCGUGCCAGGGUUCCGAGCGAAAGAUCAUGUCCACUUUGGACUCGACAGCAGCGAGGCUUCGCGCCGUCUUCCCUCCUGAGGGCGUUGCCGUGGAGCUUAGGUGUGCUAGGGCAUAGCGUGGCGUUGUAUCUAAACUCCCCUGUGUUAUCCUUCGGUAGAUUAGUGUCCUGCGUGAUACGACUAUCUCGGGAUCUGCUUUGUAAGAGGGCUGCCUCUCCACCUUGUAUCAUUUGGCCGUGUACUUUGGCCGUGUACUUUGUUUGGUUGGUGCUUCAUCUAUAAAGUGGGGCGAAAGCCUGUUUCGAGAAAAAAGACUCGACACCUAUUGGUCAUGGAAUAGCUUUCAGAACCUGCCAUGUUUGAUGGAGAGUGAAAGUUACGGUCAGCACCAGCAGUCAAGUGAGGCUAGCAUAGAUCAUGUUGGAGCCACAUGCCUGUGUUGCAUGUCCCACAUGGCAAUGUUGUCGCUUCCCCGCCUUCGGGGGCGUAAACAUCCCCCUAGGUGGCUGUUGGGGAACGUAGUAAUUUCAAAAAAUUUCCUACGCACACGCAAGAUCAUGGUGAUGCAUAGCAACGAGAGGGGACAGUGUUGUCUACGUACCCUCGUAGACCGAAGCGGAAGCGAUCACAACGUAGAGGAAGUAGUCGUACGUUCUCCUCGCGAUCCAACCGAUCCCAGCGCCGUUACUCCGGCGCCUCCGAGUUCUUGACACACGUACAGCUCGGUGACGCUCCUCGGGCUCCAAUCCAGUAGAGCUUCGGGGAGGGAGAGUUCCGUCAGCACGACGGCGUGGUGACGAUCUUGAUGUUCUACCGACGCAGGGCUUCGCCUAAGCACCGCUACGAUAUGACCGAGGUGGAUUAUGGUGGAGGGGGGCACCGCACACGGCUAAGGAACGAUCUCAAGGAUCAACUUGUGUGUUCUAGGGUGCCCCCCUGCCCCCGUAUAUAAAGGAGCAAGGGGGAGGCCGGCCGGCCCUAGGAGGUGCGCCAAGGGAGGGGGGAGUCCUCCUCCUAGUGGGAGUAGGACUCCCCUUUCCUAGUCCAACUAGGAAGGAGGAAGGGGGAAGGAAGGAGAGGGAGAGGGAGAGGGAAAGGGGGGCCGCGCCCCCCCUCCUUGUCCUAUUCGGACUCCCUUGGGGGGGGGGGCGCGCGCCACCACCUGGUGCGGCCCUCUCUCUCCCCUCUUGGCCCACUAAGGCCCAUAACUUCCCCGGGGGGUUCCGGUAACCCCUCCGGCACUCCGGUUUUCUCCGGAAACUUCCGGAACCUUUCCGGUGUCCGAAUAUAGCCGUCCAAUAUAUCAAUCUUUAUGUCUCGACCAUUUCGAGACUCCUCGUCAUGUCCGUGAUCACAUCCGGGACUCCGAACUCCUUCGGUACAUCAAAAUACACAAACUCAUAAUAUAACCGUCAUCGAAACCUUAAGCGUGCGGACCCUACGGUUCGAGAACAAUGUAGACAUGACCGAGACACGUCUCCGGUCAAUAACCAAUAGCGGGACCUGGAUGCCCAUAUUGGUUCCUACAUAUUCUACGAAGAUCUUUAUCUGUCAGACUGCAUAACAACAUACGUUGUUCCCUUUGUCAUCGGUAUGUUACUUGCCCGAGAUUCGAUCGUCGGUAUCCAAUACCUAGUUCAAUCUCGUUACCGGCAAGUCUCUUUACUCGUUCUGUAAUACAUCAUCUCACAGCUAACUCAUUAGUUGUAAUGCUUGCAAGGCUUAAGUGAUGUGUAUUACCGAGAGGGCCCAGAGAUACCUCUCCGACAAUCGGAGUGACAAAACCUAAUCUCGAAAUACGCCAACCCAACAUCUGCCUUUGGAGACACCUGUAGUACUCCUUUAUAAUCACCCAGUUACGUUGUGACGUUUGGUAGUACCCAAAGUGUUCCUCCGGUAAACGGGAGUUGCAUAAUCUCAUAGUUAUAGGAACAUGUAUAAGUCAUGGAUAAAAGCAGUAGCAACAUACUAAACGAUCGUGUGCUAAGCUAAUGGAAUGGGUCAUGUCAAUCAGAUCAUUCAACUAAUGAUGUGACCUUGUUAAUCAAAUAACAACCCUUUGUUCAUGGUUAGGAAACAUAACCAUCUUUGAUUAACAAGCUAGUCUAGUAGAGGCAUACUAGUGACACUCUGUUUGUUUAUACAUUCACACAUGUAUUAUGUUUCCGGUUUAAUACAAUUCUAGCAUAAAUGAUAAACAUUUAUCAUGAAAUAAGGAAAUAAAUAAUAACUUUAUUAUUGCCUCUAGGGCAUAUUUCCUUCAGUCUCCCACUUGCACUAGAGUCAAUAAUCUAGAUUACAUAGUAAUGAUUCUAACACCCAUGGAGUCUUGGUGUUGAUCAUGUUUUGCUCGUGGAAGAGGCUUAGUCAACGGGUCUGCUACAUUCAGAUCCGUAUGUAUCUUGCAAAUCUCUAUGUCUCCCACCUGGACUAAAUCCCGGAUGGAAUUGAAGCGUCUCUUGAUGUGCUUGGUCCUCUUGUGAAAUCUGGAUUCCUUCGCUAAAGUAAUUGCUCCAGUAUUGUCACAGAAGAUUUUCAUUGGACCCGAUGCACUAGGUAUGACACCUAGAUCAGAUAUGAACUCCUUCAUCCAGACUCCUUCAUUAGCUGCUUCCGAAGCUGCUAUGUACUCCGCUUCACAUGUAGAUCCCGCUACGACGCUUUGUUUAGAACUGCACCAACUGACAGCUCCUCCGUUUAGUGUAAAUACGUAUCCGGUCUGCGAUUUAGAAUCGUCCGGAUCAGUGUCAAAGCUUGCAUCAACGUAACCAUUUACGAUGAGCUCUUUGUCACCUCCAUAUACGAGAAAGAUAUCCUUAGUCCUUUUCAGGUAUUUCAGGAUGUUCUUGACCGCUGUCCAGUGAUCCACUCCUGGAUUACUUUGGUACCUCCCUGCUAAGCUUAUAGCAAGGCACACAUCAGGUCUGGUACACAGCAUUGCAUACAUGAUAGAGCCUAUGGCUGAAGCAUAGGGAACAUCUUUCAUUUUCCCUCUAUCUUCUACAGUGGUCGGGCAUUGAGUCUUACUCAACUUCACACCUUGCAACACAGGCAAGAACCCUUUCUUUGCUUGAUCCAUUUUGAACUUCUUCAAAAUCUUGUCAAGGUAUGUGCUUUGUGAAAGUCCAAUUAAGCGUCUUGAUCUAUCUCUAUAGAUUUUGACGCCCAAUAUGUAUGCAGCUUCACCGAGGUCUUUCAUUGAAAAACUCUUAUUUAAGUAUCCCUUUAUGCUAUCCAGAAAUUCUAUAUCAUUUCCGAUCAGUAAUAUGUCAUCUACAUAUAAUAUCAGAAAUGUUACGGAGCUCCCACUCACUUUCUUGUAAAUACAGGCUUCUCCAAAAGUCUGUAUGAACCCAAAUGCUUUGAUCACACUAUCAAAGCGUUUAUUCCAACUCCGAGAUGCUUGCACCAGUCCAUAAAUGGAUCGCUGGAGCUUGCACACUUUGUUAGCUCCCUUUGGAUUGAUAAAACCUUCUGGUUGCAUCAUAUACAACUCUUCUUCCAGAAAUCCAUUCAGGAAUGCAGUCUUUACAUCCAUUUGCCAAAUUUCAUAAUUAUAAAAUGCGGCAAUUGCUAACAUGAUUCGGACAGACUUAAGCAUCGCUACGGGUGAGAAGGUCUCAUCGUAGUCAAUCCCUUGAACUUGCCGAUAACCCUUUGCAACAAGUCGAGCUUUGUAGACAGUAACAUUACCGUCAGCGUCAGUCUUCUUCUUGAAGAUCCACUUGUUUUCUAUUGCUUGCCGACCCUCGGGCAAGUCAACCAAAGUCCAUACUUUGUUUUCAUACAUGGAUCCCAUCUCAGAUUUCAUGGCCUCAAGCCAUUUUGCGGAAUCUGGGCUCACCAUCGCUUCUUCAUAGUUCGUAGGUUCAUCAUGAUCUAGUAGCAUGAUUUCCAGGACAGGAUUACCAUACCACUCUGGUGCGGAUCUUACUCUGGUUGAUCUACGAGGUUCUGUAGUAACUUGAUCUGAAGUUUCAUGAUCAACAUCAUCAACUUCCUCACUAUUUGGUGUAGAUGUCUCAGAAACCGGUUUCUGCGACAAACUACUUUCAAAUAAGGGAGAAGGUACAAUUACCUCAUCAAGUUCCACUUUCCUCCCACUCACUUCUUUCGAGAGAAACUCCUUCUCUAGAAAGGAUCCAUUCUUGGCAACAAAUGUCUUGCCUUCGGAUCUGUGAUAGAAGGUGUACCCAACUGUUUCUUUUGGGUAUCCUAUGAAGACACAUUUCUCCGAUUUGGGUUCGAGCUUAUCAGGUUGAAGUUUUUUCACAUAAGCAUCGCAUCCCCAAACUUUAAGAAACGACAACUUUGGUUUCUUGCUAAACCAUAGUUCAUAAGGUGUCGUUUCAACGGAUUUUGACGGUGUUCUAUUCAGUGUGAAUGCGGCCGUCUCAAGAGCAUAACCCCAAAACGAUAGCGGUAAAUCUGUAAGAGACAUCAUAGAUCGCACCAUAUCUAGUAAAGUGCGAUUACGACGUUCGGACACACCAUUACGCUGUGGUGUUCCGGGUGGCGUGAGUUGCGAAACUAUUCCGCAUUGUUUCAAAUGUAGACCAAACUCGUAACUCAAAUAUUCACCUCCACGAUUAGAUCGUAGAAAUUUAAUUUUCUUAUUAUGAUGUUUUUCAACUUCACUCUGAAAUUCUUUGAACUUUUCAAAUGUUUCAAACUUAUGUUUCAUUAAGUAUAUAUACCCAUAUCUGCUUAAAUCAUCUGUGAAGGUGAGAAAAUAACGAUAUCCGCCACGAGCCUCAACAUUCAUCGGACCACAUACAUCUGUAUGUAUGAUUUCCAACAAAUCUGUUGCUCUUUCCAUAGUACCGGAGAACGGGGUUUUAGUCAUCUUGCCCAUGAGGCACGGUUCGCAAGUGCCAAGUGAUUCAUAAUCAAGUGACUCCAAAAGUCCAUCAGUAUGGAGUUUCUUCAUGCGCUUUAUACCGAUAUGACCUAAACGGCAGUGCCACAAAUAAGUUGCACUAUCAUUAUCAACUCUGCAUCUUUUGGUUUCAACAUUAUGAAUAUGUGUAUCACUACUAUCGAGAUUCAUCAAAAAUAGACCACUCUUCAAGGGUGCAUGACCAUAAAAGAUAUUACUCAUAUAAAUAGAACAACCAUUAUUCUCUGAUUUAAAUGAAUAACCGUCUCGCAUCAAACAAGAUCCAGAUAUAAUGUUCAUGCUCAACGCAGGCACCAAAUAACAAUUAUUUAGGUCUAAAACUAAUCCCGAAGGUAGAUGUAGAGGUAGCGUGCCGACCGCGAUCACAUCGACUUUGGAACCAUUUCCCACGCGCAUCGUCACCUCGUCCUUUGCCAGUGUUCGCUUAAUCUGUAGUCCCUGUUUCGAGUUGCAAAUAUUAGCAACAGAACCAGUAUCAAAUACCCAGGUGCUACUGCGAGCUCUAGUAAGGUACACAUCAAUAACAUGUAUAUCACAUAUACCUUUGUUCACCUUGCCAUCCUUCUUAUCCGCCAAAUACUUGGGGCAGUUCCGCUUCCAGUGACCAGUCUGCUUGCAGUAGAAGCACUCAGUUUCAGGUUUAGGUCCAGACUUGGGUUUCUUCUCCUGAGCAGCAACUUGCUUGCUGUUCUUCUUGAAGUUCCCCUUCUUCUUCCCUUUUCCUUUCUUCUUGAAACUAGUGGUCUUAUUGACCAUCAACACUUGAUGCUCCUUCUUGAUUUCUACCUCCGCAGCCUUUAGCAUUGCGAAGAGCUCAGGUAUAGUCUUUACUAACCCUUGCAUAUUAUAGUUCAUCACGAAGCCUUUGUAGCUUGGUGGCAGUGAUUGAAGAAAGCUGUCAAUGACACAAUCAUCUGGAAGAUUAACUCCCAGUUGAGUCAAGUGAUUGUAAUACCCAGACAUUCUGAGUAUGUGCUCACUAACAGAACUAUUCUCCUCCAUCUUGCAGCUAUAGAACUUAUUGGAGACUUCAUAUCUCUCAAUCCGGGCAUUCUGUUGGAAUAUCAACUUCAACUCCUGGAACAUCUCAUAUGCUCCAUGACGUUCAAAACGUCGUUGAAGUCCCGGUUCUAAGCCGUAAAGCAUGGCACACUGAACUAUAGAGUAGUCAUCAGCUUUGCUCUGCCAGACGUUCUUAACGUCGUCAGUUGCAUCAGCAGCAGGCCUGGCACCUAGCGGUGCAUCCAGGACGUAACUCUUCUGUGCAGCAAUGAGAAUAAUCCUCAGAUUACGGACCCAGUCCGUGUAAUUGCUACCAUCAUCUUUCAACUUUUCUUUCUCAAGGAACGCAUUAAAAUUCAACGGAACAACAGCACAAGCCAUCUAUCUACAAACAAACAUAGACAAGCAAGAUACUAUCAGGUACUAAGUUCAUGAUAAAUUUAAGUUCAAUUAAUCAUAUUACUUAAGAACUCCCACUUAGACAGACAUCUCUCUAGUUAUCUAAGUGAUCGCGUGAUCCAAAUCAACUAAACCAUAACCGAUCAUCACGUGAGAUGGAAUAGUUUUCAAUGGUGAACAUCUUAUGUUGAUCAUAUCUACUAUAUGAUUCACGCUCGACCUUUCGGUCUCCGUGUUCCGAGGCCAUAUCUGCAUAUGCUAGGCUCGUCAAGUAUAACCUGAGUAUUCUGCGUGUGCAAAAACUGGCUUGCACCCGUUGUAGAUGGACGUAGAGCUUAUCACACCCGAUCAUCACGUGGUGUCUCGGCACGACGAACUUUGGCAACGGUGCAUACUCGGGGAGAACACUACUUGAUAAUUUUAGUGAGAGAUCAUCUUAAAAUGCUACCGUCAAUCAAAGCAAGAUAAGAUGCAUAAAGGAUAAACAUCACAUGCAAUUAAUAUAGGUGAUAUGAUAUGGCCAUCAUCAUCAUCUUGUGCUUGUGAUCUCCAUCUCCGAAGCACCGUCGUGAUCACCAUCGUUACCGGCGUGACACCUUGAUCUCCAUCGUAGCAUCGUUGUUGUUUACGCCAUCUAUUGCUUCUACGACUAUCGCUACCGCUUAGUGAUAAAGUAAAGCAAUUACAGGGCGUUUGCAUUUCAUACAAUAAAGCGACAACCAUAUGGCUCCAGCCAGUUGCCGAUAACUUCGGUUACAAAACAUGAUCAUCUCAUACAAUAAAAUAUAGCAUCACGUCUUGACCAUAUCACAUCACAACAUGCCCUGCAAAAACAAGUUAGACGUCCUCUACUUUGUUGUUGCAAAUUUUACGUGGCUGCUACGGGCUUAAGCAAGAACCAAUCUCACCUACGCAUCAAAACCACAACGAUACUUCGUCAAAUAGACUCCGUUUUAACCUUCUCAAGGACCGGGCAUAGCCAUACUCGGUUCAACUAAAGUGAGAGAGACAGACACCCGCCAGUCACCUUUAAGCACGAGUGCUCGUAACGGUGAAACCAGUCUCGCGUAAGCGUACGCGUAAUGUCGGUCCGGGCCGCUUCAUCUCACAAUACCGCUGAACCAAAAUAUGACAUGCUGGUAGGUAGUAUGACUUGUAUCGCCCACAACUCACUUGUGUUCUACUCGUGCAAAAACAUCAAACCAUAAAAACCUAGGCUCGGAUGCCACUGUUGGGGAACGUAGUAAUUUCAAAAAAAUUCCUACGCACACGCAAGAUCAUGGUGAUGCAUAGCAACGAGAGGGGAGAGUGUUGUCUACGUACCCUCGUAGACCGAAGCGGAAGCGAUCACAACGUAGAGGAAGUAGUUGUACGUUCUCCUCGCGAUCCAACCGAUCCCAGCGCCGUUACUCCGGCGCCUCCGAGUUCUUGACACACGUACAGCUCGGUGACGCUCCUCGGGCUCCAUUCCAGUAGAGCUUCGGGGAGGGAGAGUUCCGUCAGCAUGACGGCGUGGUGACGAUCUUGAUGUUCUACCGACGCAGGGCUUCGCCUAAGCACCGCUACGAUAUGACCGAGGUGGAUUAUGGUGGAGGGGGGCACCGCACACGGCUAAGGAACGAUCUCAAGGAUCAACUUGUGUGUUCUAGGGUGCCCCCCUGCCCCCGUAUAUAAAGGAGCAAGGGGGAGGCCGGCCGGCCCUAGGAGGUGCGCCAAGGGAGGGGGGAGUCCUCCUCCUAGUGGGAGUAGGACUCCCCUUUCCUAGUCCAACUAGGAAGGAGGAAGGGGGAAGGAAGGAGAGGGAGAGGGAGAGGGAAAGGGGGGCGCGCCCCCCCCCCUCCUUGACCUAUUCGGACUCCCUUGGGGGGGGGGGGCGCGCCACCACCUGGUGCGGCCCUCUCUCUCCCCUCUUGGCCCACUAAGGCCCAUAACUUCCCCGGGGGGUUCCGGUAACCCCUCCGGCACUCCGGUUUUCUCCGGAAACUUCCGGAACCUUUCCGGUGUCCGAAUAUAGCCGUCCAAUAUAUCAAUCUUUAUGUCUCGACCAUUUCGAGACUCCUCGUCAUGUCCGUGAUCACAUCCGGGACUCCGAACUCCUUCGGUACAUCAAAAUACACAAACUCAUAAUAUAACCGUCAUCGAAACCUUAAGCGUGCGAACCCUACGGUUCGAGAACAAUGUAGACAUGACCGAGACACGUCUCUGGUCAAUAACCAAUAGCGGGACCUGGAUGCCCAUAUUGGUUCCUACAUAUUCUACGAAGAUCUUUAUCGGCCAGACUGCAUAACAACAUACGUUGUUCCCUUUGUCAUCGGUAUGUUACUUGCCCGAGAUUCGAUCGUCGGUAUCCAAUACCUAGUUCAAUCUCGUUACCGGCAAGUCUCUUUACUCGUUCCGUAAUACAUCAUCUCACAGCUAACUCAUUAGUUGUAAUGCUUGCAAGGCUUAAGUGAUGUGUAUUACCGAGAGGGCCCAGAGAUACCUCUCCGACAAUCGGAGUGACAAAACCUAAUCUCGAAAUACGCCAACCCUACAUCUGCCUUUGGAGACACCUGUAGUACUCCUUUAUAAUCACCCAGUUACGUUGUGACGUUUGGUAGUACCCAAAGUGUUCCUCCGGUAAACGGGAGUUGCAUAAUCUCAUAGUUAUAGGAACAUGUAUAAGUCACGGAUAAAAGCAGUAGCAACAUACUAAACGAUCGUGUGCUAAGCUAAUGGAAUGGGUCAUGUCAAUCAGAUCAUUCAACUAAUGAUGUGACCUUGUUAAUCAAAUAACAACCCUUUGUUCAUGGUUAGGAAACAUAACCAUCUUUGAUUAACAAGCUAGUCUAGUAGAGGCAUACUAGUGACACUCUGUUUGUUUAUACAUUCACACAUGUAUUAUGUUUCCGGUUUAAUACAAUUCUAGCAUAAAUGAUAAACAUUUAUCAUGAAAUAAGGAAAUAAAUAAUAACUUUAUUAUUGCCUCUAGGGCAUAUUUCCUUCAGUGGCCACCCGAAUGACGACCACCGUGAGAGCCUGUGCCAAUUUCAGGGCUGGUCCUGAUAUUUUGGGGCCCAGGGCGAAACUAGAUUCAUGGGGCUUCAUAAUAUAUAGACAUGAAACCAGUAUCCGUAUGAAUGAAAUGUUUACGAUAAACGCUUAAAGUGCAUCUAAAAGUGAUGUAAUUUGCAUCAAAUUGGAAGAAAGAAUUAGUAAUUGCAAUAUAGCGUAAGUGUACAAAGGCAAUAGAUCAAAUCAAUACAUACUUGAAGUGAAAGCGCGCUUUGCUGCGCCGAGAUAUCAGAGAGGAUCGACAUGCCAAGAAAUCAAAAUCUUGGUCUAUAUUAGCUUUGUUUACUGUUCAAAUACGAGCGCUGAUGAAGCUUGUUCAAAGUGGAUUACACUAGAAAAUAGUUUCAUGAUGAUCAAUUGCAACCCGCAAAAUUACUUUUCUCAAGCAAACAUGAUGCAAUGCAAUAAAAAUGUGAGAGACAAUAAACAAGCAAUCCCCUCACAUGUGAUACAUAUACUUAUGUUGAUAAGAAAACAGUAUCCACACAAAUUUCUAACAAUGCACAACGCAAUCAAUAUGUGAUACAUUGUACUUCCGAAUAACUUAAAUUCUUAAUGACAAAGUACAUUGUAUCUAAUAUCAAAUAUGUGAGACACACCCUAGCCAGAGCGUAGUUAGCACAAAGAGUGGUUAUCAGCUUCUAUCUACACGAUAUUGCAAUUGUCGCAUUUUGCGAUAGUCCGCCAAGCUGCAUUUUCUAAACACAAUGUUUGUAUUAAUGCAUAUGAUCACGUAUAAUCAUGCUAAUGGACCAUGAAUUAUUCAACAAAAUCGAGGCAUAUAGUUACUUGAUCAUUGAGAACACCUACAUGCUUCGAGUUCGAAUCAGUAUAGUAAACAUGCUAUGGGGGUAAUAUGCCUUAAAAUUGUUCUGCUAUUAAUUCAAUUCCAAAAUUUUGUUUUCCAAAUAGGCUCUAUAAUAGAAAUGACUUAAAUUUAUGAUGAUGUAAAAUUCAAAAUUAAAUGAUUAUACAAUGUUCUUCUCAUGAAUACUAAACCAUGUUAGCUGCCCCAAAUCCUAACAUUUUGUUUGAAUCUAGUAGGGCCAAUAAAUGAAGCAUUAGAGCCCAGACUAUGUUUUAUGCUCUAUAAUGAAAUGUCAGGAUCAAUUCUACCAUACAUAUACUGCUUACAAUAAAUUCAUUGUUAUGGUAGUAUGAACCCAACAUUACAUAAUUAGACACACAAAUGACUUAUCCAAUUAAAAGAGCUUUGGAAAAUGAACUAUAAUCAGAUAUUGACAUGUACUAAUCUCCAGAAUCUCCAGUCUAACAUUCAUCAAAUGGUUGAUCAUUGACAUAGGGAUGUAGGUUAAACAGGGUAGAAAAGUUCAGUUAAUUAAUUAAAGUUCAUUUUUUGCAAGAUAGUUGACAUACAAAUACUAAUGAUUAUUAAAACAUGAAUUUUAUGUGACCUGAAUUAUAGAUGAUAGGAAAAUACUAAUCUUAGAAGAUUAGAUGAUAGACAAAUACUAAUGGUUGAAGUUCAGUUAAUCCAAGGUACUUUAAUCAUUAAAUGAACGAAAUAUGUAUGUGGCAACCUUGUGGCAGAUUGCAAAACUGUCACACGAUCUCAUUAUAUAUAUGUAUAUAUCACAAUAUUUUGAAUUAUAUAUAUACAAAAGUAAAAAAAGUGAAGAGAAAACGAGAAAGCACACAUGACGCCAGCCAAGCGGGGCACCUGGUUACUGGGCUGACGCGGUUCCGGCUCCUGCAGGCGAGCCGUGCCUAGGUAUCGCAGCAGGCGGCACAUAGGCGCACCCUCUGAAAUCUCUCCCUGCCAUGCGAUGCGACCGAAUUCUUAAUCUCCUUUUCUCGCCUACUCGUGUGCGUCGUCUCAACACUCAAGUCACCGAUCCAAAAGGAGAACGGCCACACACGAUUCCAGGCUAAUUGGGAGAACCGGAGAAGAGACCUGACGAUGAGAUACCACUGGCUGCUAUAUCCAAUCGAUCAGGUAAACUGUCAAACACUUUGCUUGAUCAGAAAACUUAAAAUCAGAAAAUCAACAUGGAUUUUGGCUGAUUGUACGCGGUAAUAAUCCUUCAACUUUCUGCUGCUAGAUAGCACACACAGUCAAUUUUUUGGCAUAAUUUGUUUCCUUCAGUGGUUUCCUUUGAUUAUAUCUGAUGUGAGGUGUAACUCUACCAGAUUGUUUCUUCAUUGUUGCAAAGGAUCAUUCAUAAACAAUACACUGGAUAUUUAUUAGGGGUAGCUAUUAUUGAGAAUUUUCAUUUUUGAGUUUGACGUGAUAAUCAUCAAUCUUCUAACUCUCUACGGGGAUUGAAGCUCCCUAGGGGUGGGGUGGGAGCGUUCUCGUUCAAUUCUGUAAGGCAGGCUGACUUUUGUCUUAAUGUGUUCCAAAGCUUGUGUAAGCAAGAUGCUAACCUACAGAGCAUUCUUUGGAGGAACACACCUAUGUGAGCCCGACUGCUGGUCACAGUUUAUGAGAUUGGGUGAUCUCUAGGAAGCUCAUGAGAAGGUACGGAGUAUGACUAAUAAGCUUCACCUGUGGGGUUUAGCCUUCGGCAGCCAAGUAUCAGCUGGCGAUGGGGGAAACUUCUACACAUCAAACUGACAAUUCAAGGCAUAGUCCAUUGUUCAGUUGUGAAGAAGUCUAAUCUCAUUGCUCUAGUUGAAAGUUCAACUUAACAGUCUCCACUGAAAAUUCUGGUAUAUCAAACAUUGGUUGGAAUAGUUGACAAACUUAUGUGCCUCGAGAUCUGGUGGGAGAUUGUUGGAUCAUGGAUGGGCUUAGGCCCAUAUAAGACAAUAAUCCUUGGUUAAUCCCUAAGGCCCAUGCAUGUAUACGACAAGUGGCGGGAAGUGUGGGAAGUUUAGUACCAUACUGCUAUAGUAAGAAGAGUGAUACCUCUUUAUAAGGGCUGCUCCAUCACUUGCUAUUGGGAGCUUGGGAAUAGGAGUUGUACACACGCGCUCCUCCUCCUCGGCCGCCCGCCUCGCCUUGUCACGACCCGUGCGCGCGCCGCGGGUUGCGGGAAUAAGCCGAGCCAAAGCUUAUUUUUGUCGCUCAGGAAUGGUUAAUUAAUUGUUAAUUAAUUAAUGAGUCGCUUACGAAAGCGCCACUAUUCGAGACGUUGGACCGUGGGCUGUUCGCGGACUCAGUCGUGGGCCUGGCUAGGCCCAUCUACCCGACAGCCUAUAUAAAAAAGCGCUGGCCAGUGCCCUAACUCAGUUCACUCACUCCCUUCGUACAACCCUAGUCGUCAUCUACUGUUCCUCUCUCGGUGCUGCUUCCGGCGAGCCCAUCCUGGCGAUCGCGUGCACGGUUGGUCAGGAGAGCAGCUGCCACUGGAACCCUGUCGUUCGAGAUCCUACCCGGGAGAACGACAAUAAGGCUUUUGGGGAGCGUCUCAACGCGACUGCUCCCGAUUCGUCCCCAGCUUCGUCCGCCUCUGCUUCCACUACUUCCCCUGCAUCAACACCAUGGCCAACGCCGCCGCCGCCAAGAAGAAGGCCACGGAUGAAGCCAAGGCUGCUGCUGCCGUCGCCGCGUUGGCCUGGCCAACCGGAGGGUAUGAUCUGUUCAUCCCUCAUUUACUGGUGCUUGUGCUAGCCAUAUAUGUGCUGCUCAUAGAUGGUUUGCUUCUAUACUCUGUAUGUGCUAGUAUGCUUAAUAAUCGGUAUGAGAUGCAUACCGUGUUUGUCAUGCUUACUGUUUACUUGUGGAUUAGUCUAAUUGGAGAAGUGCUAAUAUUUUUAACAAUCCAAAAACCUUAUUUUAGGCACUUUCCGAUUCAAGGAUUUGCUGCGACAAUGAAACAGGAAAAGUUUACUGGGAUGCAUUUUAAGUGUUGGCAGACAAGGACCACCUUGUGGCUCACAGCAAUGAGCGUGUUCUGGGUUGGUGAUGUGUCUCCCACAUAAACGAUUGUUUCUGAACAGGAAAAGGCGUUUAGGGAGGCAACCACCAUCUUUGUGGGAGCCGUUCUUACUGUGAUCGGAGACAAGUUGGUUGACGCAUAUCUCCAUACGCGCGUUGCCAAAAACUAGUGGGAUGCGCUCGAAGCUAAGUUCAGCGCUACCGAUGCUGGGAGCGAACUGUAUGCCAUGGAGCAGUUCCAUGAUUACAGGAUGGUUGAUAACCGCUCUGUAUUGGACCAGGCUCAUGAGGUACAGUGCAUCGCUAAGGAGCUGGAGCUCCUGAAGUGUGAGUUACCGGACAAAUUUGUCGCGGGUUGCAUUAUUGCAAAACUCCCUCCUGGAUGAACUUUGCUACUUCUCUCAAGCACAUGAGAAACGAAUUCUCUAUCGAGGAUGUCAUCGUUCAUCUCAGUGUUGAGCAGAAGAAUUUCCACAAGUUCAAGGGAAAGAACUAUGUCUAGCAGAAUACUACCUUUAAGAAGAAGGGUAAGAAGAAAGACAAAAAGAGAGAUGGCUACUUUAUUUGUGGUUCAGAGGAACACUGGGCAAACAAGUGCCCAAACAAGUACAAGAAGUUAGGACAGGACUCCAAGUCUAUCAAUGUCACUCUGAGCAACAAUGACACGACAUCUUGGUAUGGUAAUCUGUUUACCAUACUUUUAGUUUGUCAUUCCACAGAUUGGCGGGUUGACACUGGGGCCAAUAUUCAUGUGUGUGCUGAUGUGUCUUUGUUUUCUUCUUACCAGGCCGCACUAGAUUGUUCCAUGCUGAUGGGGAAUGGCUCGCAUGCUUCUGUUUAUGGUGUUGGCACGGUAGAUCUAAAGUUUACUUUGGGAAAGAUCGUGCAACUGAAGAACGUGCAACAUGUCCCCGCCAUCAAGAAGAAUCUCGUUAGUGGCUCCCUUCUAUGUAAAGAAGGGUUUAAGUUAGUAUUUGAGUCUAUCAAAGUAGUCGUAUCUCGGUAUGGACUAUUUGUUGGAAAAGGAUAUGAUUGUGGUGGUUUGUUCCGCCUUUCCCUGGAGGAUUUCUGUAAUAAAGUCGUGAACCAAAUUCAUUUUAAUGUGAAUGAAUCUGAGGUUUGGCAUUCACGUCUUUGUCACAUAAAUUUUGGUUGUAUGACGCGGCUAGCUAAGAUGGACUUAAUCCCGAGUUUCACUUUAGCCAAAGGCUCUAAGUGCCAUGCGUGUGUGCAAGCUAAGCAACCUUGUAAGCCUAACAACCUUGCGAAGGAGAGACACCUGGCACCAUUAGAGCUCAUACAUUCAGAUCUCUGUGAGAUGAAUGGUGUGUUGACUAAAGGUGGAAAGAAAUACUUCAUGGCUCUGAUUGAUGAUUCCAUUAGAUUCUGCUAUGUGUAUUUGUUAAAUACUAAGGAUGAGGCUCUACACUACUUUAAAGUCUAUAAGGCUGAAGUUAAGAACCAACUUGAGAAGAAAAUAAAACGAGUCCGGUCUGAUCGUGGUGAAGAGUAAUUUUCUAAUGACUUUGAUUUAUUCUGUGCGAAACAUGGUAUUAUUCAUGAGAGGACGCCUCCCUACUCACCCCAGUCAAACAGGGUUGCCGAACGGAACAAAUAUACUCUAAUUGAUUUGGUUAACGCCAUGUUAGAUACAUCGGGUUUAUCCAAGGCAUGGUGGGGGAGGCUGUAUUGACAUUAUGUCAUGUCCUGAAUAAAGUUCCCACAAAGGAUAAUGAAACUACUCCCUAUGAGCAAUGGGAAAAGAAAAGAACUACACUCUCUUACUUACGCACUUGGGGCUGCUUGGCGAAAGUCAAUGUGCCAAUAAACAAAAAGCACAAUUUGGGACCAAAGACUGUGGAUUGCGUCUUUCUUGGCUAUGCCAAGCAUAGCGUUGGCUAUAGAUUUCUAGUGGUAAAAUAUGAUGCACAAGACGUGAAGGUCAGUACAAUCAUGGAGUCUAGGGAUGCUACAUUCUUUGAGGAUAUUUUCCCCAUGAGAGAUAUGCAAAGCACUUCUAGACUGGAAUCUGAUGAGACUCCUGAUCCUGCCAUUCCGAUGGAAUAAUAUGAACAUAAAAGUGAUGAGAGUUCCACCAAGGAUGACGAGGAAGCUCAUGUUAGGAGCAAGAGACAAAGGACUGCAAAGUUUUUUGGUGAUGAUUUCCUCGUGUACCGCGUGGAUGAUGACACUCCCAGUUCCAUUUCAGAAGCUUAUGCAUCUCUGGAUGCUGACUACUGGAAGGAUGCGGUCCGUAGCGAGAUGGAUUCCAUCUUGGCUAAUGGGACAUGAGAGAUCACUCAUCGUCCUUAUGGUUGUAAACCAUUGGGAUGUAAAUGGGUGUUUGCUAAGUCUUGAGCUUGCGUUGGUUUUCCUUGAAGAGGAAAGGGUGAUGCAUCAAUAGUAGCGUAAAUAUUUCCCUCAGUUUUUGAGAACCAAGAUAUCAAUACAGUAGGAGGCUCCUCAAAAGUCCCAUGCACCUACACAAACAAACAAGAACUCCCAACCAACACAAUAAAGGGGUUGUCAAUCCCUUCAUGGCCACUUGCGAAAGUGAGAUCUGAUAGAGAUAGUAUGAUAAGAUAAAUAUAUUUUUGAUAUUUUAUAAUAUAGAUAGGAAAAGUAAAGAUGCAAAUAAAAGUAGAUUGAAAUCUUAUAUGAUAAAAGAUAGACCCGGGGGCCAUAGGUUUCACUAGUGGCUUCUCUCAAGAUAGCAUAAGUAUUACGGUGGGUGAACUAAUUACUGUCGAGCAAUUGAUAGAAAAGCGAAUAAUUAUGAGAUUAUCUAGGCAUGAUCAUGUAUAUAGGCAUCACGUCCGUGACAAGUAGACCGACUCCUGCCUGCAUCUACUACUAUUACUCCACACUUCGACCGCUAUCCAACAUGCAUCUAGAGUAUUAAGUUCAUAAAGAACAGAGUAACGCAUUAAGAAAGAUAACAUGAUGUAGAGGGAUAAACUCAUGCAAUAUGAUAUAAACCCCAUCUUUUUAUCCUCGAUGGCAACAAUACAAUACGUGCCUUGCUGCCGCUGCUAUCACUAGGAAAGGACACCGCAAGAUUGAACCCAAAGCUAAGCACUUCUCCCACUGCAAGAAAGAUCAAUCUAGUAGGCCAAACCAAACUGAUAAUUCAAAGAGACUUGCAAAGAUAACUUAAUCACACAUAAAAGAAUUCAGAGGAGAUUGAAAUAUUUCUCAUAGAUAAACUUGAUCGUAAACCCACAAUUCAAUGGAUCUCGACAAACACACCGCAAAAAGAGUUACUUCGAAUAGAUCUCCAAGAAGAUCGAGGAGAACAUGGUAUUGAGAUUCAAAGAGAGAGAAGAAGCCAUCUAGCUAAUAACUAUAGACCCGAAGGUCUGUGGUAAACUACUCACAACUCAUCGGAGAGGCCUUGGAGAUGAUGUAGAGGCCCUCCGUGAUCGAUUCCCCCUCCGACGGAGCGCCGGCGAAGGCUGCAAGAUGGGAUCUCGCAGAUACAGAAGGUUGCAGCGGUAGAAUUAGGUUUCCGUGGUUUGUUCUGAUGUUCUCGGGGUACGUGGGUAUAUAUAGGAGGAAGAAGUAGGUCGGUGGACGCCCGAGGGGCCCACAAGAUAGGGGGCACGCCCAGUAGGGGCGGGGGGCGCCCUCCACCCUCGUGGUCGUCUCGGCUGUUGCUUGACUUCCACUCCAAAUCCUCUGGAUCACGUUCGUUCCAAAAAUCAUGCUCGCGAAGGUUUCAUUCCGUUUGGACUCCGUUUGAUAUUCCUUUUCUUCGAAACACUGAAAUAGUUAAAAAAAACAGCAAUACGGGUUGGGCCUCCGGUUAGUAGGUUAGUCCCAAAAAUGAUAUAAAAGUGUAAAGUAAAGCCCAUAAACAUCCAAAACGGGUAAUAUAAUAGCAUGGAACAAUCAGAAAUUAUAGAUACGUUGGAGACGUAUCAAGCACCCCCAAGCUUAAUUCCUGCUCGUCCUCGAGUAGGUAAAUGAUAAAAACAGAAUUUUUGAUCUGGAAUGCUACCUAGCAUAAUUCUCAAUGUAAUUUUCUUUAUUGUGGCAUGAAUGUUCAGAUCCAAAUGAUUCAAAAUAAAAGUUCAUAUUGACAUAAGAAAUAGUAAUACUUCAAGCAUACUAAUCAAAGCAAUCAUGUCUUCUCAAAAUAACAUGGCUAAAGAAAGUUAUCCCUACAAAAUCAUAUUGUCUGGUUGUUGCUCUAUCUUCAUCACACAAAUUAUUUAAUCAAGCACAACCCCGAUGACAAGCCAAGCAAUUGUUUCAUACUUUAGUAAUCUCAAAAAAUUUCAACUUUCACGCAAUACAUGAGCGUGAGCCAUGGACAUAGCACUUUAUGUGGAAUAGAAUGGUGGUUGUGGAGAAGACAAAAAAGGAGGAAGAUAGUCUCACAUCAACUAGGCGUAUCAACGGGCUAUGGAGAUGCCCAUUAAUAGAUAUCAAUGUGAGUGAGUAGGGAUUUCCAUGCAACGGAUGCACUAGAGCUAUAUGAAAGCUCAACAAAAGAAACUAAGUGGGUGUGCAUCCAACUCGCUUGCUCACGAAGACCUAGGGCAUUUUGAGGAAGCCCAUCAUUGGAAUAUACAAGCUAAGUUCUAUAAUGAAAAUUCUCACUAGUAAAUGAAAGUGACAACAUAGGAGACUCUCUAUCAUGAAGAUCAUGGUGCUACUUUGAAGCACAAGUGUGGUAAAAGGAUUGUAGCUUUGUCCCAUCUCUAUUUUUCUCUCAUUUUUUGGCCUUUAUUUUUUUAUUUGGCCUUCCUCUUCUUUUUUUUUAAAGUCCGAAGUCUCAUCCCGACUUGUGGGGGAAUCAUAGUCUCCAUCAUCCUUUCCUCACUGGGACAAUGUUGUAAUAAUGAAGAUCAUCACACUUUUAUUUACUUACAACUCAAGAUUACAACUCAAUACUUAGAACAACAUAUGACUAUAUAUCACUACUAGGGAAAUGCCUAGCAGCAGCGUGGGUUUUGGGCCUCUCGGUAGCGCGGGGACCGGCGCUACUAAUAAGGCGCUACAGCUAACGUAUAUCAGUAGUGCCUGUUGUCCCACGCUACUGCUAUACAUGAAUAGCUGUAGCGCUCUUUAGAAAAGGGCGCUGCUGAUAUUAUCUGCAGCGUUGUUUACAGGGAAGCGCUACUGGUAAGGCGGCGCUACUGCUAAAUUUCCCCCCCUCGCUACUACUAGUUUUAUUAGUUUUUUUCCCUGCAUAUUUGUUUUGUAUUUGAAUAGGCUUUAUACAAUAAUAUUUAGCAUAUCAUACACAUACAAAUGUAAUCAUACCAUAUACAUACAAUUAGUCUCAUCAAAUCAUGUCAUCAUCAUAAUCAUCAUCCAACACAAAGUGGUCUCUCGUCAUCAUCUCGAAAAUAGCGAUACAAGUCUCGAUUACUUGCAAAUACAUCGUCAUCCAUCUAAACAAUGAUAUACGCGAGAAGAGCUAUCACUUUGAGUACAUGAGUUCGUAUCCCUCUUUCGCAUUAGCGUGAACCUAAACUAACUACUGCCUGUCGCUCGGAAACCGGAAACCGGUACACCUGGGCCUGACACUCUGGCCACUUAUCGUAUAUAUACUCCUGGCGUAGCACUUCUUCGCCAUCUAUGAUCUAUGCACCUGCAUCGUCACAUGAGUCGAUGAUAUGCAACAUAUAUAGUUGAGCAACAGAAAGAGACAGACUUGGCAAAAAUAGAAACAACAUAUCAUAAGCAUAAAUAAGAAAGUUCAUCGCACCCAAAAUGCCCUAACUAGAGUGAUUUUCGCUAGUCGAGGAGGAGGACGGUUUAAUUACAUCACAAAUAAAGUUUCACCAUGCAUAACUCAAAGUUUUGUCAUACAGAAAGUAUGGACUAAACGGACACAUUGUCAUAUAUCGACAAUCACUCCACCAUGUCGUGCCAUCCAUCCAUGUCAGGGAGAUAGUCCUCGAGCUUAGUGAAAGGCUUCAUGUCGAGACGCUGAGAGGCUAUCCAUGUUCGGACAUCUUCCCGCGACAUUUGUCCUUCUCCGUAGAACAUCCCUGUUUUUCCGACGACCUCCUUCAUGAUGAUUUGGGCAAGUUCGCGCUGGAUGUUAUAGAACUCAGCUCGAAGUCGAUGAUCCUCGAUAUCUCCUAUGUCCUUUGCCCAUUGUAGAAUAUGGGCAUCGCCAGAUCUAGGUGACAUGCGAAGGUUCUGGUGAUCCCGUCUAUACUCCAGCAUGUGGUGUAGGACAUAGAAUCCAUCAUUAAGAGAAUCGUUCGGUUGCUGGAUGCAGCAGAAGUCGGUCUUAUGGCUGAAGGCGACCCUGCCGCCCCUUCUCUUCUUGUCCCUAACCUCUCCACCCCUUGCUUGGUAGUAAAACAUAGCACUGUCGAGAACAUCUUUGAUGUGGGUGUAAUCCUUUUUGUGAAUGUUCUUCGACGAGUCCAAGUAAAGAGCGUGGGAGAAUCUGGGGUAGAGGAUGAUGAGGACGGCGCGCCCGCCGCUGCGCAAAAUAAGUACACCUCAAAUUAAUUAGCCUCCACCGUGCAAAUGAAUUAUUGAAAUUGAAGGAAGGAUAGCAGCGCGGAUGACUUACACGGGAUGAUAAGGCACGAGAAUCGCCUCCUUGUCCUUAUUGGCGAGCAUGAAACUGACGAUGUAAUCCCUCGCGUAUUCACCGUGCUUUGCGCAGACUCCCAAGAAGCCCUCGUGUAUGUAGUACGGGUCAGCGACACAGAUAUGAGAUAUCUGCUCAACCCCGAUGAUGUAGUUCAUGUGCAAGGCAUAAAGGCAGACAAACGUAAAAUCCAGCUUCUUCACGUGAAACAUGCCGAAUAUGUAAUCGAAUCGGAGGAAGAACUUAUCCGUGGGGAAGCUGUCGACGUACGACAUUUCCCACGGAACGUUAACCACGUAGAGUGGGUAUCCUAGAUCUUUCGAGGCGAUGAGGCCUUUCUCUACCCGCAGCACAUCGUCAUGAAGUCUCCUUAGAUCGCCGAAUCUGGCCCGUAGCGCUAUUGCAGGUAGGAUUGGUUGACUGGGGAUAUGCCAUUUAUCCGCAUCGGGGAUAUUUAUACGGUCCUGAAGCCGAGGCUGCUGAGGCGGCUGGAUCAUAGAAUCAGCUUUUUUGCCUUUCCUCGCUCUCUUCCUAGACUUCUCUACUACCGGAAGGUCGUCCAUAAUACGUUGAGACGGUAAUUCAGGCACCGACUCAUGACGCUCAAACCCUGAGGAGGCGCCAGUAUAGACAUACUGUUCAGCGCCAUCGUCAUCCUCAUCCUCAUCCAUGGCGACAUCAUCAGCGACUAAUGGAGCCUCCUCCUUACCCCGUCCGCUAUCAGCCAACCCGACACCCGACGCUAAUUGGGUAGGUGGGGUGUUGAUGUUCAUACCUUCCUAAGGCUGCGUGCUCGUGGGUGUGCUCCCGGCUGCCCGAUGCAGACUCUUUGGACACAAUAGGACCCACCCAUUGAAACAAUCACCAAGCCGCCGCGGGGUCUCGUCGUCAUCCCCCACUAGUAUUAGAGGAGGAAAAUUCUCGUGGCCCGGUUUGACACUGGCCACGGAAACCUUGAAGACGUUCGGGGGGAUCGGCCGGCUGUGGAACAAUGGUUCCUUCGGCUCCAUUAUCGUCGCCUUCCCCACGUCCACCUUCUGGUCGCCGAUGGUGUACAAUAUGGUGCACGGGGUUUCAUCGGCCUACAAAGAAAAGUCUGCGACGUGAGACAUCCGAAAGGCAACGAAAACGAGAGAUUAUACAUUUAUAUUGAAGGGGCCUGGUGUGACAGAUACCGUGAGGGCGUCGAGCUCAGCCAAAGAUGAGGCACCACCGAGCACGUCCGGUACGGGAGUCGGUGCGGGAGCAGGUGCGGGAGCCGGUGCGGGAGCAGGUGCUCCCAAGAAGUCAGCAAGGGGAAAGUCCUCUGCAUUUUUUUCUGGAUUUUGCCUUGUCCAAGUGAAAACGCCCGUCACCAAGGAAGUAGACAAAUAUGCGACCACCUGUUUUGCGGCAGCUACCGCUGUUGCGACUGUCUGAGAUGAUUUCUUCUCAACCGCAAUCUCAACCUUCUUGUCUCACGGUAGUACUUCUUCCACGUGGCGCCGUCUCCGACACCGUGCACGCGUCCAUACGACGGUCGAGUAUCCACCAAUUGUCGUUUCAAUAUGUUCAACGCCCAGUUGAAUGGAGUGUCCCACUUGGGCCUGACCAAUGCCUCAGGCGGUGAGUCGCUUUCGACCGCAAUCCGGUGCUGCUCUCUCUGCAAAAGGCACAAGGAUCAUUUACAAAUAUGACUAACGUGUGCAGUCGAAUUGAUCAGAAACUAAAAUUACCAGCAGUCACAUGAACUCCGUAAUGACUGGUGUUGUCUCGUAAACCUUCUUCACUGGGUCCCAACGGUGCUGGGCCCUCAGGACGUCACACUCCUGUGGGACGGUGAAAUCCGCCAAGGGGUCUGGGAUGCCCAGACUCGCGGCUUCCGCGUCCUCCUUGGCCCAUUUGGACCUCUUUCCGCCGUAACCACGGCUUCCGAGGUGGUGGCUCCCAAUGUUCCUCUCUUGAAGCCCCUUCAUGUACUUAGACUUUUUUUUGGCAGCUUAGGCCUCGCAAGCCUCCUUGAAUAUUUGAAACUGCUCUUUCGUGGUUGUCGGAUUAUCCUUUACAAUCUCGGAGUAGGGUUCCUUCUUGUCGAUGAUCCUUGCUUUCACUCGAGUUUUCCAGGCGGCCAACGCGUCGCUAAACUUGGUCAUGGCGUGUUUGUUUAUCUUCUUCAUUACCGGGUCCUCGUUUGGAUCUUCAUAAUCCUUCUCAUUCCGGCCCGGGAACAAGAAUAUCUGGUGAAACUUCUUUAGGAGGGAGCUCCUCAUAUUUUCUAUCUUCUGUAGUUUCUCAUCAUUGAUGGUGGUGGUUGUCCGUACGAUGCAGCCUAUUUGAUUGCCGUAGCACGCGCGUGCUUCCUCGGGCACCUUUGGCUCAAAAUUGCCAUCGUCCACCUCCGUGACCACCAGUCUAGUAGUCCUGAGUUUGUUAGGAAUCCGUUGCCUCUUUGCUUUCGGUUCUACACCGGCUCCGCUCCCCGAGGCAGCACCGGUCUCAGUCUCAGCGCCGGUCUCGAUGCCGGUCUGAGUCUCAGCGCCGGUCUCAGUCUCAGCACCUGUCUGCGUGUCGGUCUCAGUCCCGGAUGCCACCGGUGGGCCCAGCAACAACAUCGGUUGUUCGUCGGUAAGGCUAAAAAAUUCGUCUGCCGCCCUGUAGACGUCGUCGCAAUCACCAGAACCCUGUCCUUCACCGUUGCUAGCCAUGUUUCCUAUGAUUAAAUCUAGUCAAUUAAUUCUAGACCUAAUAAAAUGAAUAAUGACAUAAAAAAGGCCUAUUGUUUUGCAGGAAUGUUGAGUCCUUCUUGUGCGGCAAAUCCCGGGCACUCGAUAUGUCCUAGUUUGUAGCACAAGUCAUGCCGAAAUUCACGGAAAAUUUCGGCAUGACCUUUGCUAAAAAGUGGACAAAUCGAGAACCUGAAAUUUGCCGGAACAGAAAUAAAUCAACAUUCCGGCAAAACAUAGGCCACUCAGCAUCAUUUCCUGGAAACAGUGUUCAAAUAUCCCUCUUCGACACCGCAACACAUGUUCAAAUAUACACGAGCAACCACAUGUCCAAAUUUCACAAGCUAAUUCAAAAACAAAGUGUAGAAGAAAAUUCAUUUAACUACUAAUAGAACAAAAUUCAGUUAACUUUAGUGCUCUAUAAUGAUGAAAGGAAAAAAAAUUCAGUUAACUACUAAUUUCAUUCAUUUAGGUUAUUCAUUUAACAUCACCUAAUUAACCUACUGUACCACUACUACUAGCAGCACUACUAACCUAAUUAACCUAGCAAAACUCUAGUGCCCUAACUAAAAAACAUCUAAUUAACAUCUACUAGUACCACUAUUGCCCUAACCUAAUUAACAUCUAUUGGUAUAACUAUAUACUAUACAAGCAACAUCUACCCUAAUUAAACCCUACUGCCCUAACUAACUUUUGUUGUAAACCAAAUUUUUUGCUGUAAACUAAUUUUUGCUCUAACAUCUACUACUUAACAUCCUUUGCUCUAAACUAAAUUUUUUGCUAUAAACAAACUUUUGCUCUACUAAUUUUUCUCUAAAAUGCAGAGAGAGAGGAGUUGGGGGGAGGGGUGGGGGACUUACAGAGAGGGGAGAGAUGGUGGCGGGGAGGUGCUCAGUGACGGAGGCAGGGGCGGAGAGGGCGGGCUUGGGCACGGGCAACGGUGGUCCUGGGCGGGCUCGGACGGCGGUGAGGUGGAGGGCACCGACGGUGGCGUCGAGGGCAGCCUCGGGCGGCGGCGGUGAGGCUGAGGGCGGCCUCGGGCGGCGGUGGUGAGGAUAACGACGGCCUCGGGGGGAGACAGUGAGGUUGCGGGCGUCCACGCCGGCAGGAGACGGCGGCGAAGUGGGGCGAUGGUGAAUUGGGGAGACGGCGGCGAGGGCGAGGGAUUUGGGGAAGAAGUGUGGUGGCCGGGGGGCGGGGGGGGGCACUAUUUAAGUGAAACAUAACGGUAGCGCGUUUCCGAAAACGCGCUAUAGCUAAGUUAGCUACAGCUCGUUUCCUGAAACCCGCUACUGCUAUUCCUUUCUCCUUUUUCCCUCUUUUCUUUUAUUUUUCUUUACAUUUUAUUUUUUUUCCUUUCGCCUUUUUCUAUUUCUUUCAUUUUCAUUUACUUUUCUACUUGUUUUUCACUUUAUUUUAUUUCCGUUAGCAGUAGCGCCUUACACGUAAGUGCGCUACAGCUAAGGAGAGUAGCAGUACCACUGGGCCAGUAUACGCGCUACUGCUAGGUUGGGCUAGCCAUGUGCGCCCAGUUCAAACAUAGCAGCAACGCUUUUUGCUAGUACGCGCUACUGCUAAAGUCAUAGCAGUAGCGCAGUUUAUUUACGCGCGCUGCUACUAAGUAGCAGUAGCGUAUGAUUUUGUACAGCGCUAUUGGUAACAUUCUGUGUAUAAGGUUUUCCCUAGUAGUGUAUGAAUGCCUCCGGCGGUGUACCGGGAUAUGCAAUGAAUCAAGAGUGACAUGUAUGAAAAUUAUGAAGGUGGCAUUGCCACAAAUACGAUGUCAACUAUAUGAUCAUGCAAAGAGCAAUAUGAAAAUAAUGAUGCGUGUCAUAUAAACGGAAUGGUGGAAAGUUGCAUGGCAAUAUAUCUCGGAAUGGCUAUGGAAAUGCCAUAAUAGGUAGGUAUGGUGGCUGUUUUGAGGAAGGUAUAUGGUAGGUGUAUGGUACCGGUGAAAGUUGCGCGGCACAAAAAAGGCUAGCAAUGUUGGAAGGGUGAGAGUGCGUAUAAUCCAUGGACUCAACAUCAGUCAUAAAGAACUCAUGUACUUAUUGCAAAAAUCUACAAGUCAUCAAAAACAAAGUACUACACGCAUGCUCCUAGGGGGAUAGAUUGGUAGGAAAAGACCAUCGUUCGUCCCCGACCGCCACUCAUAAGGAAGACAAUCAAUAAAUAAAAUUGUGCUCCAACAUCAUCACAAAGCGGUUCACCAUACGUGCAUGCUACAGGAAUCACAAACUUCAACACAAGUAUUCUUUAAAUUCAUAAUCACCCAACUAGCAUGACUUUAACAUUACCACCUCUAUAUCUCAAAACAAUUAUCAAGUAUCAAAUUGAUCAUAGCAUCCAAUUCACUUCCUAUGAUAGUUUUUAUUAUACCCAACUUGGAUGCCCAUCAUUCAAGGACCAAAUUUAUAACCAUAGCAAAUACCAUGCUAUUCUAAGAGACUCUCAAAAUAAUAUAAGUGAAGCAUGAGAGAUCAAUAUUUUUUUCAAAAUUAAGCCACCGCCGUGCUCUAAAAGAUAUAAGUGAAGCACUAGAGCAAAAACUAUCAAGCUCAAAAGAUAUAAGUGAAGCACAUAGAGUAUUCUAAUAAAUUUCAAUCAAGUGGGCUUCUCCCAAAAGGUGUGUACAGCAAGAAUGAUUGUGGUAAACUAAAAAGCAAAGACUAAUAUCAUACAAGACGCUCCAAGCAAAACAAAUAUCAUGUGACGAAUAAAAAAUAUAGCUCCAAGUAAAGUUACCGAUAAACAAAGGCGAAAGAGGGGAUGCCUUCCGGGGGCAUCCCCAAGCUUAGGCUUUCUUGAAUAUAUUGGGGUGCCAUGGGCAUCCCCAAGCUUAGGCUCUUGCCACUUCUUAUUACAUAGUCCAUCAAAUCUUUACCCAAAACUUGAAAACUUCACAACACAAAACUCAACAGGAAAUCUCAUAAGCUCCGUUAGUGAAAGAAAGCAAAACCACCACAUCAGGUACUGUAAUUAACACAUUCUUUAUUUAUAUUGGUGUUAAACCUACUGUAUUUCAACUUCUCUAUGGUUCAUACCACUUAAUACUAGGCAUAGAUGCAUCAAAAUAAGCAAACAACACACGAAAAACAGAAUCUGUCAAAAACAGAGCAGUCUGUAGAAAUCUCUAACUCUCGAAUACUUCUGGAACUCUAAAAAUCCUACAAAAAUAGUAAGCCCUGGUAAAUUUGUCUAUUGAUCUACAUAAAAAAGAAUCAAUGCAAAAUCAUGUUUCUGUGAAUUACUAAAAUUAUUUCCGUGCAUGGAACGUUUCUGUUUUUCAGCAGAAUCAAAUUAACAAUCACCAUAGGUUAUCCUAUAGGUUCUACUUGGCACAAACACUAAUUAAAACAUAAAACACAUCUAAACAUAAGGUAGAUGAAAAAUUUAUUACUAAACAUAAUCAAAAAUAAAAAAACACAAAUAAAAUUGGGUUGCCUCCCAACUAGCGCUACCGUUUAACGCCCCUAGCUUGGCAUAAAAGCGAGGAUAGAUCUAAGUAGUGCCAUCUUUGGCACUCAAUUCUUCAAUAGAGCACUUAUAAUCCUUAGGAGUUUAUUUCUUUUUAGUAAUGAUAAAGCUCUUAGGCAAGAAGUCAAGAAAUUCGUUUGUAGCAAAAGGUUCCUUAAUGAUAGCAAGAAAAUUGGGAUGAACACUUAUCGAUUUGAAAUCGACAUUUCCUUUACUAGAAGAUUCACCCUUAUUUUUAGGAACAUACAUGACCUUGUCAAUUUUGGUAGGAGGUGUUGGGGUAUUUUUUACAGAUGAAAAGGCAUACCCUAAGUUGGUGAUAAUGUCCUCCAGUUUACCAAUUCUUGUAGAAUCAAGAUCUAUUCUUUCAUUAACUAUAGGUUCUUUUUCUUUAAAAAAAUUCAAAGUAACUCCAACCCUAGAUCCAUAUUGGGUAAUUUGAUUGUGUAUCUUUUUAUCCAAAUUUUCAAUUUACUCAACAGUGGCAACUUUAUUUUCAAUGAUUUCAAGCCUUUGCAUCACAUGUUCCAAAGUUAAGACAAUUCCAUUAACCAAAAGAGGGGGUGGACCAAACAAAUCUAACAUGGCAUUAUAAGCAUCAAAAGUGUGGCUACCCAAGAAGUUCCCUCCGGUAAUGGUAUCAAUAAUAUAUCUAUUCCAAGGAGUAAUGCCUACAUAAAAAUUGCAAAGAAGAACGGAAGUGGAUUGCUUCCUAGUAGAUCUAUUUUGAGCAUUGCAAAUUAUAUGCCAAACAUCCUUUAAAUUUUCUCCCUCCCUUUGUUUAAAAUUAAGAACUUCAUGAUCGGGAGCAUUAACGAUAAUAGGAGGACUAGCCAUAGUGACGAGCACACAAAAGGCAAGCGAAAGAGAGAGGAGAUUGGGAAAGAGAGGGCGAAUAAAACGGCAAGGGUGAAGUGGGGGACAGGAAAAUGAGAGGUAAAUGGCAAAUAAUGUAAAUGCAGGGAGAUGAGUUUGUGAUGGGUACAUGGUAUGUCUUGACUUGAGCGAAGACCUCCCCGACAACGGCGCCAGAAAUUCUUCUUGCUAUGUCUUGAGCUUGCUUUGGUUUUCCUUGAAGAGGAAAGUGUGAUGUAGCAAUAGUAGCGUAAGUAUUUCCCUCAAUUUUUGAGAACGAAGGUAUCAAUCCAGUAGGAGGCUCCUCAAAAGUCCCACGCACCUACACAAACAAACAAGAACUCGAAACCAACGCAAUAAAGGGGUUGUCAAUCCCUUCAUGGCCACUUGCGAAAGUGAGAUCUGAUAGAGAUAGUAUGAUAAGAUAAAUAUAUUUUUGGAAGAUGCAAAUAAAAGUAGAUUGAAAGCUUAUAUGAUAAAAGAUAGACCCGGGGGCCAUAGGUUUCACUAGUGGCUUCUCUCAAGAUAGCAUAAGUAUUACGGUGGGUGAACAAAUUACUGUCGAGCAAUUGAUAGAAAAGUGAAUAAUUAUGAGAUUAUCUAGGUAUGAUCAUGUAUAUAGGCAUCACGUUCGUGACAAGUAGACCGACUCCUGCCUGCAUCUACUACUAUUACUCCACACAUCGACCGCUAUCCAGCAUGCAUCUAGAGUAUUAAGUUCAUAAAGAACAGAGUAACGCAUUAAGAAAGAUAACAUGAUGUAGAGGGAUAAACUCAUGCAAUAUGAUAUAAACCCCAUCUUUUUAUCCUCGAUGGCAACAAUACAAUACGUGCCUUGCUGCCGCUGCUAUCACUAGGAAAGGACACCGCAAGAUUGAACCCAAAGCUAAGCACUUCUCCCAUUGCAAGAAAGAUCAAUCUAGUAGGCCAAACCAAACUGAUAAUUCGAAGAGACUGGCAAAUAUAACUUAAUCACACAUAAAAGAACUCAGAGGAGAUUCAAAUAUUUCUCAUAGUCAAACUUGAUCAUAAACCUACAAUUCAUCGGAUCUCGACAAACACACCGCAAAAAGAGUUACAUCAAAUAGAUCUCCAAGAAGAUCGAGGAGAACAUGGUAUUGAGAUUCAAAGAGAGAGAAGAAGCCAUCUAGCUAAUAACUAUGGACCCGAAGGUCUGUGGUAAACUACUCACAACUCAUCGAAGAGGCCUUGGAGAUGAUGUAGAGGCCCUCCGUCACUACUAGGAAAAGGGCUAUAGAUAGGACUGAUUCUAAUGGCGCACCAGGUAAGUAGUGCGCCACUACUAUAUACUAAUGGCGCACCGGUUGCUCGUGCGCCAUUAGUGUGGAAGACACUAAUGGCGCACCGUGCUCACGGUGCGCCACUACUAUUGAUUUUUUCCCCAUUUUUGCAUACAAACUAAUGGUGGAUGGCAAAGUGCGCCAUUAGUAGUUAGAACUAGUAAUGGCGCACGACCAAGACAGUGCGCCAUUAGUAUAUAAUUUUUUUUAUUUUUUUGCAAACCUACUAAUGGUGCACUAUGCCAAAGUGCACCAUUAGUAGUUUAAACUACCAAUGGCGCACUGUGCCAUGGUGCGCCAUUAUCAUAAAAAUUAUUUUUUUUACUUUUUUUGCAAAACUACUAAUGGCGCAUGUCACUGUGGUGCGCCAUUAGUAUGUUGGGUUACUAAUGGCGCAUGGCUUAGUGGUGCGCCAUUUGUAACCUGGGACCAGCUAGAUAUUUUUGGACAGCCACACCUACACACUCACUUUCCCCACUUCAUUCCCCCCACCUCCUUCUCUAAGCUUGUCGGCUGCCUCCUCCUCCUCACCUCAUUUGCACCAUAGAUUCAUCAAAAUUAAGUGGUGAAAUUACCUUUUUUUGAUAGGUAAGUAAGGGGAAAGCUAUCUUCAUGUUGUAGAUCUACUUUUUUUCUCCCUAGCUCGCUCCAACAACGUGCACAUGCACUUUUUGUGGCCUAGCUAGAUCUAUGUAUGUUUGUGGUGUUGCUUGUGUUUGUGGUGUUGCAUAUAUGUUUGUGUUUGCAGGUACCGGUAUUUGAAAUGCGAUAGUUGCCAAUAUUUUGCCGGAAUGUUGAUUCAUUUCCGUUUCGGCGAGAAUUUUGGCACUAUGCAUUCUUUUUGGUCCUAUUUUUAGGGAAGGUCAUGCCAAAAAAUUUCUUGGUUCUAAAAUAUCGUUUUGCUCUACCCCGCAGGCGACCAUGGUCCACACGAUGACCGAAGGCAUCGUGAAUAGGUUUUUGAGCUCCGCAAAGGCCGAGAUGCUUCAAAAGAACGAGAUGGAGAUAAGAUGUCCGUGUCGAAGAUGCAAGCUGAAGAGCCUUAUUGCGGACCCGGAUUCCGGGCAGGUGCGGGACCACCUGCUCUUGCGUGGUUUCAUGGAUGGCUAUCGGUGGCAAGGUGAUGAAGAUGACUAUGAAGUCGUCCAUGGGGGUCGGGCAAGAAAUGAGGAAGGGCAACAAGACAACCACCGCGGCGAGGGCGGGCAAGAAGACGAAGAAUCUCCAGGACAUGAUCACGAUGGUGAUGAUGUACACAAUCAUCAUGUAGAAGAUGUCGUACAUGAUGAUGAGGAAGAUCAAGACGAAGGGCAUGAUCAUGAAGAUGAAGAUGCCGGAGUAGACGACGAUGGAGGCUGGGUGCAGGACCCUCAUAUUCAAGAGCUGUUUCGCAAGCAGACGGAUAAUGCAAGAGCUGCCGCCCGAGAGAAAGCCAAGCUGGAUCAACUAGAGAUAGACGCGGUUACUCCAUUGUAUGAAGGAUGCAGGCCCGAGGAUACCCACCUGAAAGUAACGCUCAUGGCUCUGGAGAUGAAGGUAAAACACAAAUUGACCGACGCAUGCUUCGACGAGAACAUGUCAUUCUGGCACGAACGUCUUCCCAAGGGGAACAAGUGCCCGACCAGUUUCAAGGAGGCGAAGAAAAUCGUGUGUCCUUUGGAUUUACUGCACGUGAAAUACCAUGUGUGCAUGAACAAUUGCAUCAUUUAUCGGGACGAGCACGCGGAGUCUACCAUAUGUCCGGUGUGCGGCGUCACUCGAUACAAGAAGAGGAAGAAAGCUCCUCGAAAAUCGGUGUGGUACUUUCCUAUCACUCCUUGUCUGCAGCGGUAUUUCGCGGACCCUAAGGUAGCAAAGCUCCUGCGUUGGCACGCGGAUAGGGAGGAGAAGAAGCGGGAAGAUGACGGAAAUGAUCCGGAGAUAAAUAAAAAAGACAAGAUGCUGAGUCACCCUAAGGAUGCGAGCCAGUGGCAAGCGUUGAACUUCGAAUACCCAAAAUUUGGGAAGGAUCCAAGGAACAUCGUGCUGGGCGCGAGCACCGAUGGAGUCAAUCCGUUUGGCAGCCAGAGAAGCACACAUAACACCUGGCCUAUGUUUGUGUGGAUGUACAACCUUCCCCCCUGGUUGUGCAUGAAGAGGAAGUACAUUCACAUGAGUAUGCUAAUUGAAGGGCCGAAACAACCAGGGAACGACAUCAAUCUAUAUCUGGGGCUGCUGAAGGAGGAUCUAGACACACUGUGGAAAACGCCAGCCAAUACGUGGGACGCCGCAGAGAAAGAAUAUUUCCCUAUGAGAGCCGCACUACUCACGACGGUGCACGACUAUCUCGGUUACGGAUAUCUCGCGGGGCAGGUAGUCCACGGAUUUUCUGGAUGCGUAAGGUGCAUGGAUGACACAACGUAUCGCUAGCUAGAUAGAGAUCCCGGGUCUUCGAAAACCGUGUUCAUGGGACAUCGAAGGUGGCUUCGCGACGAUGACCCGUGGAGGAAAUGCAAGGAUCUGUUCAAUGGUGAAACCGAACCCCGAAAACGCCCGUGUACGAGGAGCGGCGAGGAAAUAGACGAGUUGUUGAAAAAUUGGAAAGACUGCCCGCUGCCGGGAAAAAGGCGCCAGAGCCGGGAAAAAAGCGAAAGGCGCCAGAGCCGCUGCUGAAGGUAUGGAAAACGAGGUCUGUUUUCUGGGACUUGCCGUACUGGAAGAUCCACCGUGUGCCUCACAGCCUUGAUGUCAUGCAUAUCACGAAGAACGUGUGCGAGAGUCUGCUUGGUACCCUGCUCAACAUGCCAGAGAGGACCAAAGAUGGGCCGAAAGCAAGGGCAGACUUGAAAUCAAUGGGCAUCAGGCAGGAGCUCCACGCUAAUGAUGAUGAUGAUGAUGAUGGUGAGGCGAAGCAGGACAGAGAAAGUCGUCGCAAAGGCAAAAAGGCCAAGAAGACCGGAAAUGACUACCCUCCCACGUGCUUGACUCUAAGUCAGGAGGAGAUCGAGCAUUUUUUCACCUGCCUCCUAGGAGUAAAACUUCCUUACGGUUACGCGGGGAAGAUAAGCAGAUACCUAGACCCAGCGAAGUAGAAGUUCAGCGGGAUGAAGUCUCACGACUGUCACGUGCUGAUGACGCAGAUACUUCCAGUUGCAACCCAUGGGAUCAUGGACGCGCACGUCCGUGAAACGCUAUUUGGCCUAUGCAACUUUUUCGACGUCAUCUCUCGGAAGUCGAUUGGCGUGAGGCAACUCAGAAGGCUACGGGAAGAGAUCGUGGUGAUACUAUGUGAGCUUGAGAUGUACUUCCCGCCUGCAUUCUUCAAUGUUAUGGUGCAUCUACUGGUCCAUAUAGUGGAGGAUAUCAUCCAACUCGGGCCGACGUUCCUGCACAGCAUGAUGCCGUUCGAAAGGAUGAAUGGUGUCAUCAAAGGAUACGUUCGGAACAUGUCACGUCCAUAGGGAAGUAUAGCCAGGGGCUUUCUGACCGAAGAGUGCAUCUCCUACUGCAUGAAUUAUCUAGGCAUCGAGAACCCCGUUGGUCUGCCCGUCAACAGGCACCUCGGCAGGCUCGCUGGAUGGGGUCACCGUGAGGGUCGCCGCGAAAUGCAUGUCGACUUCGAGGGUCGACUCGCCGACUUUGAAAGAGCAAACCUAGUCGCGCUACAACACAUAGACGUGGUCGAUCCUUGGGUGGUAGAGCACAAAACCUUUAUUGAGAAGACGUACAAUGAACGAGGCCAACAGAGGACGGACGGAGAUAUACUCAAAGAGCACAACUCAUGUUUCACGCGUUGGUUCAAGCAGAAGCUUCUGUCGUACCCUUUACAUGAAGAUUCUUCCGCGGAAUAACAACUCAUAUUCGCCUUGUCACAGGGCGCCGAGCACAACCUAAUGACCUAUGAGGCGUACGAUAUCAAUGGCUACACAUUCUACACCGAGGACAAGGACAUGAAGAGCGAUGGUUAUCAGAACUCUGGGGUAACGAUGGAAUCCUACACCGGUAAGGACAAGGAUAGAUACUACGGAAGGAUCGAGGAGAUCUGGGAGCUGAGCUACGCUGGAGAGAAGGUGCCGAUGUUCUGUGUCAUAUGGUCCAAGAGCGUCCUAAAAGAAGACCAAUAUUUCACCACCAUGGUUAUACCCGAAGCCAAAUCCAAGACCGCGGGCACAAACGUCACCGCGAAAAAUGAGCCAUGGGUACUGGCUUCCCAAGUGGACCAAUGCUUCUUCAUUACCGACCCGCCAAAGCCCAGUCGUGUUGUCGUGAGGAGAGGCAAAAGGAAGAUCAUCGGAAUGGAUGGAGUAGCCAAUGAGCAAGACUUCGACAAGUACGGCGACCCGAAGAUCGAACAUGACGACGACGAUGAAGUAGCAGCACACACCACAAGAAGAAGCAGGACCACCCUACCUAAAGGACGUCCAUUCCACAGAAGAACUCCAUUUGCGAAAAAGAAGGGCAAGAAGAUUGUGAACAGAUAGCUAGCUAAGAUCGAUUGUAUUUAAAUCGUAGUCUUCAUUUCUCGAUUGUAUUUCAUGGGCACUUUUUGACAUCAUGAAUAUUUUUAAAUUUCAUGGGCACUUUUUGAAAUCAUGAGGACACUUGAUCUCAAUCCCCCUCCAUCUCGAUCUCGAUUCCCCCUCCAUCUCGAUCGCGAUCCUGGCACCCUCCCCCGCGAUCCCCGCUACAAGUUUGAACAUAUUUAAACACAAAUAAAUAUAAAAAACAGCAUUUAAAAUGCAUAAAAAUAUUGGGGAGCCUGGGAAUCGAACCCAGGACCUCCUGGUGUGUGUGCCGUGUGCUGACCAAUCGGGCUAGUGGGUGGGUUCUGUUGUAGAUAGGGUUAGGUUGUAGAUAUGGUUAGUUGGCUGGAUUAAAACAAAAUUCUAAUGGCGCGCCGAGCGGAGGUGCGCCAUUAGAAUAGUCAUACUUAUGGCGCACGACUGGACGGUGCGCUAUUAGAACCCUCCCCCCAGCUAUCACUCCCUCGCCAGAUCCCCUUCGACCCUCUCUCCCUCGCCACCAGAUCCACCCGCGCGCUGCCCCGACUCCACCCCCGCCGCCCCCACGCCCCCGCGCCCCUAACCUCACACAACCUCCUUCCCCAUUCUCUCUCUCCCUCAGCCCGAUCCCCUUCCUCACCGUGGCCGAUUUUGGUCGUUGCCACUCCUCCCCGCCAAUAACACCAACCUCCACGAGCUCCCCUCGCUCCACCUUCUCAUGUACAGCAAGGAAUCCCCUCCUCUCCGGCGGAUCCUGUGGCUCGAGGCGACGGCUGGCUAGGCCCGCGUGACGGACCCAGGCCGUUGGCGUGCUGCCUUUCCGUGCCGGUCCACCUUGGUCCCCGGUGGCACGAGCAAGGGCAAGGCACCACCGAGCUCCACCUCGGCACUCCACUCCACUCCCGAGACCUCUCCUACCCCACUGCACUUCCUAGCGGGCGUCUCCUCCACCUACAAGUCAGGUAGUGUCUUUGUCUCUCCACAUACACACAUAGGUUGAACAUAUCAAACAUAUUUGAUUCCCUUCAUGUUUUUAUUCAUCUUUUGGUGCUUGUCUCGUUGUAAUUAAUGACUAGUACAAGUGCCUGUACUAAUUGCAAUUACUUAGUAAAUUAGACCAGAGAAAACAUAUGUAAUGUAAUGAGCUAUGGAAAACACUAUACUGUUGGGCUCAGUUGGGAGAAGGCCUCUAAUGCAAUGCAAUGCAAUGCAAUGCAAGCAUCUUUUCUCAUAAAUAAAUGUUGUUGCUAGCAGUGCAUUUAUCUAUCUUUAGAAUGUUUGCUUGAUCGACACCUUUGAAAUCUUUUCAGUAUUGAACUGUUGAUUUGUUUUGUAUUUCAGCACCUGCAAAGCAUUUUGGUCAUCUAACAAACUGAACAAUUUAGUUUUAAUUAAUGGAAAAGUUGCAUUUACUUGUAGUGAAAGGAACAAUUUCAGGUAAUUAUAAAUAUUCAAUAGCAGCAGAGGCAAGCAGUAGUAGUUUAUAUUCAUUCUUGCAUGCAUUCUUUGCUUGUUUAUAUUCAUUCUUGUAAACUGAACAUGCUCAUCUAUCUAUCUAUCAAUCUGAUCUCAUCUGAAAUGAAUCUAUAAAUACAGAGUGUAGUUAGUUACAGAGUAGCAAAAAUAGUUGCUGGAUGCAGUUACUUUCUAUAUAUUCAUACUGAUGUUGACUCUAUAAAUCAUACUUAUUGGACAUGUUUUAUGUGUCGAUCCAUCAAUUGAUCACAUUGAGAAAGACCAUCGUGUCUCCGACCAUUUUGCAAAGGUCAUGUCUCCGACCAUCGUGUCGUGAUGAAUUUGCAGGUACCCCGAGAGGCCCUUGAGUUUACCGGAAUGUUGAUUAACUUCCGUUUCGGCAAAUUCGGGUACUCCAUAUGUCCUAUUUUCAGCAAAGGUCAUGCUGAAAUUUUCCGUGAAUUUUAGCAUGACUUUGCUAAAAAUAGGACAUAUGGGGUACUUGCGACUAAUGCAUGGACCGGGGUAUCUUAGUACUUAGUUAAGAAGAAUCAAAUGCCCCGCCAUUCUUGCUGCAUUAAACCAUAGGUGGCAAUAGAGCCAAGUGAUUAGUGCCAAGUGAUUAGUCCCAACCUAGGGUGCCUCGGCUUAGGCUUUUAGGGUGCCUCGGCGUCGACAAACCCUAAAUGAUAAAAGCUUAGCUUUUAGGAUGCCUCGGUGUCGACAAACCCUAAAUGAUGAGACCAUGAUCUUGUUCCUUGACAAUAACCAACUUUUUGACCAAACUGUUUUCCUAUUUAAAGUGAAACAUGGCCAACAACAAUGGGGCCGGCGGUUCGGGCGACAAGCAAUUAUGGGAGCUGUCCCAGGAGAUGGAGGAACAACCUCACCACUAUGAGGACGCCGUGGAAGACACCGAUCCUGAUUACACAACCCCUAGUGGCGUCGGGGAUGACACCACUAAUGGUGCCGCCGAGGAUGCCACCACUGAUGAUGGCGGCGCACACACAGAUGGCAACCAACCGAAGAAGCAAAGGAAGGACCGGCGCCCGAAUGCGCUCCGCACCCUCAAGGAGGAAUUCACUCAAGUGGACUCCGACGGGAAUCCAACGGAGCCCAAACAUAUAGUCAAGGGGUACUCGGUUCAGCUCGGGUGCAUUCUUCGGAGCACCGUCUCGAUCAACACCGAGAACCUUAGGCAUAAGGACCGAGGGAAUUUGCGUAGCCUCCUCUUCACGAAGCUGCACGAACGAUACAAGUUCCCCGCCGAAUUUGAAAACACACGCCUCUCAAGGAAUAAAGUGAACAGUGCCGCCCUCACGAAGAUGAGCACGACCCUGUCUACUUGGAGAAGCGCGGUGAAGAGAAUGAUUGAUGAAGGUGAUAGUUAUGAGAAGAUCAAGGCGAAAUAUCCUUUGAUGAGCGAAGAUGACUACAAGGAGUUCAAGAUAAAGUGCGAGAGCAGUGCAACCACCGAAUCAAGUCAGUGGGGGAAAGAAAUGCGGGAGUUGAACUUAGGGGAACACAAACUCGGUCCCGGCGGUUACAGAGUGGCGGAGCCUAUAUGGGACAAGGAGGACGCGGAGCGUGCCGAGCAAGGCCUACCGCCCCGCUUCAAGAAAUACAGCGGUAACAAGCAGACCAAGAACUAUGUCAGGGCCCGGUACAAGGAGGACCCGAUAACAAAGGAGCUUACCACGGAUCCGAAGACCAGGGUGCUUGAGCUUGUUCUGGUAAGGAAUACACCCCCGCGUAAUUAGCUCCAUAUGGUUGCACUCUAACUAAUCCCCAAUAUUUCUAAAUGGUUCACGUUCCUUUUGCAGGAAACUAAAAGCAGUAGCGCGCGGUCGUCUCAGAGCUCCCCUUUCGACAGCCCUUUAAAUAGGGCGUUGAACAUAAUGAAAAUCAAGGAUAAGUUCACUAAGCCAACGUCAGCUGGUCGUGUGGCCGGCAAAGGCUUGUCCACAAAAUGGGGGUCAUACUAUACCGCUGGUGUGCGGAAGGAGAAAAAGGCUAGCUCGGAACGCCAGACGCGCGAGGUUGAAGCACUCAAGGCACAAGUGGCGCGGAUUCCGGAGCUUGUCCAAGAGCAAGUGGAACAACAACUGGGAACGAAGCUCAACCCCCUGGUGCCUACGUUGAUUCAUGGGCUGACGACGUGGAUUGCGGGCGGCCAACAGGGGCCUCCCCCGGUUCCCAGCUUCACGGCCAGCAACUCGCACAACGCGCAGGCGGCGCCAUUGGUGUUUCCGGCGGCGCCAUUGGUGUCUCCGGCGGCGGCGCCAUUGGUGUCUCCAGCGGAGGCGGUAUUCGUGUCUCCGGCGCCGGCACGGGCAUUGGAGCUUAAUGCACCCGGGUGUACGCCGGCCGGCACCUAGCCAGCAAGCUCCCCUCCGUCAGUUGCAUGCCCGCCGUUGGCGGUGCCUCGACAUUAGCCGAGCUUGACGGCAUCACGGUAACUAAGCCUCUCGGCUGAUGACUUCAUCUCCUUGCCUUUGAUUGGGCAUCCCUGACGCCCUGUACAUGUUUUCGCAGGGCACCGCCGACGUUCCUUGCACUCUUCUGCACUUCGUGGGCGCCGAGUUGGUCGAUGUCGCCAAGGGUAGAAUCGUUCAACCGGGCAACCGCAUGUUCCACGGUAAUCCGAUGCCACCCAUAGUGUAUAGGGUUGAAGUGGUUCGGGUGCUGCCAGGCUGCGACGAGCUGUUACCUCCGGUUCGACCCGCUAGGGCCGACGAAGAAGAUGAGAUGACCCUCAGCGCCUGCGUAAACUGGCCGCUGCUUUGGCCGAAGAGCCAGAUUCGUUUGGGAGCGGGGGCCACCACCCCACAGACAAGACCGCCAGUCGUGCCGGCGCCAAGCCAUGGCAAGAACGCCGCAACGCUACCGGACCUGUUGGACAUCCCUAUGGCACAGGAUCCGUACAGCCCUAUGGCACAGGAUCCGGACGAUGAUGACAAUGACGAUGGUACAUUUACCAAAGUCGAUAAGUACUUUGCCGAACAUGGGUAUGCUGACGAGUUCUGCGGGCCUCUUUCUCAAGAACCCAACCAAGACGACCGCAAUCUAGCUGGUACGGCGGAGAAAUCUAAUUCCAAUAGGCGUCGUCUGCCAUUCAGUUCUCAGGAGACGCCUCCAGCUCCCGCCUUCAUCGAGCCUCAGAUAGCUGAGGUGCAAAAUAUUAUCAGCCCCAACAUGCUCAAGAAAGCGGUCUGUGAGCAGAACUCGGUCCCAUUAUAGGAGAUCAAGAAGAAGGGACGGAAACGAAAGACUAACAAGGGCGCCGGUGCGAGCCAGCCAGCACCGAGUUCGAUCCGUGCUCAGGACGGGCCACCUUCACCUAAGGAUAUCUCGAGGAGGGUGCAUGUGGCGGGUAGGGCGAUGCUACCGCCAAAUAUGCUGAAUGCUGCAACCGAUGCUAUGCGGAGUCUGCACGACAAUGUUCUUUCUUUGGAGAAGCGGCGUCUGAGAGAGAAUGAUGUGGCAUACCCGGUUUUCGUGGCCAAGGUGCCAGAGGGCAAGGGCUUUGCGGAUGGCGACAUCGGGGGUACGAUCGUCCUGCGGUUUGAUGACAUCUUUGCUAUGUUUAACCUUCAUCCGCUGCACUACACCUUCGUUCGGCUGUUUUUGCUGAGUAUGGAGAUGCGGAUCAUUAGAGACAAGACCCCGGACAUCGUGAUAGUCGACCCCUUCUACAUGCGUGCCAAGCACUUGAACAGCGCUGGGGACCGCCAAGUUGCGAGUUCACACCUCGAAGGCGUCAUUCUGGCAAACCCAGAUAAGGAUAACUUCCUUGUGCCUUACUUUCCCGAGUAAGUCAUCCCUUAACUGCCCUGUAACAUAUGAUUUCUUAGAUUUUGAUCGUUCUUUUUUUUCUAACAUUCCGUGUUCUGUGCAGUGACACACAUUGCACACUCAUCCUCUUAAGCCCGAAAUAUUCCAUGGCCACGUAUUUCGACCCGAACCGUAACUCCAAGAUAGACUACACAAAUGUCAAGAAAGUUCUUAAUGAUGUUCUCCCCGGCUACGCCAAAUCUGGAGGCACCUUCACCAGGGCAGUUCAUAAGUACGGCAAGCACAUGUUCUCUCACAAUACGAAGUUCUGCUGUGUCAAGCAGCUGCCUGGCGGUCAGAAGGAUGCCUACUACGCCCUCCAUCAAAUGCGGGCGAUCGUAAGGGACCAUCAUCAACUUCUGCUACCAGAUAAUGUCAAAGAUUGGGCCGCGAGCUUGUCGGCAGUCCAGGACGUGGACCUCAGACAAGAAUUCUUUCGCAUCUAGUCGGAGUUUGUGGACAUCAUCUAUCAAGAUGUCCUUCAUACCUCGGGGCAGUUCUUCGUCAGAUAUCAACCGUCCAACCGUGAGAUAGAUGAAAUGCUACAAAUGCAGGGUGACAACGACCGCGAUUUCAUGACCAUCACGACAGACGGCGGCUUCAUCCACGCUCCUGUCCGAUGAGUCGAGUCGAAAGUAGUGAUGUGUAGUUCUGAAACAUUGAUUAGCUCAAUAUUGUAAUUAAACUUUAAUGAAUUCGUAUGUCUCUUUGGUUUGGACAGUCGUUCAACUUAGAUGUAAUCGAUGCUAUUUAUUAGUAGGACCAUGAAUCGUGCUAUUAAUGUCUUGCUUUUCUCUUUCGAUCCUUUUGCUGCAUACUUACAUAUUGCUUAUGUAUUGUCUGUUGUUUGGCUUGUGCAUAGAGAUGUCGUCGUAUGUCAUGUACAAGGGUAAGGUUCCCGGAGUCUACGACGACUGGGAGGAGUGUCGGAGACAGGUUCACCGUUUCAGCGGUAACAGUUACAAAGGGUACACCACUAGGGCGGAGGCCGAAUCUAGAUAUGCCCGCUAUCUAGCGGGAGAGAGGAGGGAGCGUUGGAGGAACCGGAUGAGGACCAGUUUGAUCGCGAUGAUGCUCAUCGUGAUGACCACAACUCUCUUUUAUGUGAUGGUAGUUUAGAUGAUCGAUAUCGACUUGUAAUGUGAAGACAAACUCGAUACUCGCGGUCUUGAGACUUGUAAUGUUUUAUCUUUGUUCGAUCUUUUGAAUUCGGAGACUAAUAUGAUGAAUUGUAUUCGGAGACUAAUCUUCUAUUGUAUUCGAUGAAUCUGAUGUUGCUGUGUGCUGCUGUCUAUAUUCUGUCCAAUAAUAUAUUUUGUAACCUGUGCAAAAAUCAGAAAAGCAAAAAAAAAACAAAUAUUCACACUAAUGGCGCAUCAAGGCAGAGUGCGCCAUUAGUAUGCCAAAGGAUACUAAUGGCGCAUCGAGGCAGAGUGCGCCAUUAGUGUGACAAAGCACAUGGUUACAUAUGGCCCCCCGGGAGGCAUACUAAUGGCGCAUGGAGUUACAUACUAAUGGCGCACUACCAGGUGCGCCAUUAGUAUACCAGAUACUAAUGGCGCACCGGUGGUGCUCCAUUGGUAAAAAAUUCUAAUGGCGUGCUACUAAUGGCGCACCGGUAGUGCGCCAUUAGUAGGCAAUACCGGUGCGCCAUUAGUAGGCCUUUUCCUAGUAGUGCGUGAUCGAUUCCCCCUCCGGCGGAGCGCCAACGAAGGCUCUAAGAUGGGAUCUCACGGAUACAGAAGGUUGCAGCGGUAGAAUUAGGUUUUCGUGGUCUGUUCUGAUGUUCUCGGGGUACGUGGGUAUAUAUAGGAGGAAGAAGUAGGUCGAUGGACGCCCGAGGGGCCCAUAAGAUAGGGGGCGCCCAGUAGGGGGGAUGCCCUCCACCCUCGUGGCCGCCUCGGCUGUUGCUUGACUUCCACUCCAAGUCCUCUGGAUCAUGUUCAUUCCAAAAAUCAUGCUCCCGAAGGUUUCAUUCCGUUUGGACUCCGUUUGAUAUUCCUUUUCUUCGAAACACUGAAAUAGGCAAAAAAACAGCAAUACGGGCUAUGCCUCCGGUUAGUAGGUUAGUCCCAAAAAUGAUAUAAAAGUGUAAAGUAAAGCCCAUAAACAUCCAAACGGGUAAUAUAAUAGCAUGGAACAAUCAAAAAUUAUAGAUACGUUGGAGACGUAUCAGUGUUCAAGAAGAAGCUUAGUCCUGAUGGUACUGUUGAGAAGUACAAGGCUAGGCUUGUGGCCAAGGGUUAUACCCAGAAAGAAGAAGAGGAUUUCUUCGACACUUACUCACCUAUGGCUAGACUGACAACCAUUCGAGUGUUACUCCCUUUGGCUGCCUUGCAUGGUCUUAUCGUUCAUCAGAUGGACGUUAAGACGGCUUUCCUUAACGAAGAGCUAGACGAGGAAAUUUACAUGCAACAGCCAGAUGGCUUUGUAGUAAAUGGUCAGGAAAGAAAGGUGUGCAAGCUAGUGAAAUCCUUGUAUGGCCUGAAACAAGCGCCUAAGCAAUGGCAUGAGAAGUUCAACACUACACUGACAUCUGCUGGAUUUGUUGUUAACGAAGCUGACAAAUGUGUAUACUAUCGCUAUGGUGGGGCCAAAGGAGUUAUACUCUAUCUGUUAUGUUGAUGACAUACUGAUAUUUGGGACCCACCUCAAAGUCAUUGAGGAGGUCAAGGCUUUUCUAUCUCAUAACUUUGAGAUGAAAGACCUGGGCGUGGCUGAUGUUAUCUUGAACAUCAAGCUACUAAGAAACUCUGAGGAUGGAAUUACACUUUUUCAAUCCCACUGUGUUGAGAAGAUUUUGAGCCGUUUUUGAUAUUCGGACUGCAAACCUUCUACGACACCAUAUGAUCCUAGUGUGCGGAUUCGAAAGUUCGAAGGCACGGCUGUAGAUCAAUUGAGAUAUUCUCAAGUGGUUGGUUCACUGAUGUACCUAGAAUGUGCUAUUCGUCUUGACAUCUCAUUUGCUGUGUGCAAACUGAGCCGGUUUGUUUCCAAUCUGGGAGAUGUGCAUUGGCAUGCUGUUGAGCGAGUGAUACAUUACUUGCAAGGUACUACGAACUAUGGGAUUCACUAUUCUGGGUACCCGACGGUACUUGAGGGGUAUAGUGAUUUGAAUUGGAUAUCUGAUGCUGAUGAGAUGAAAGCCACAAGUCGACAUGUCUUCACACUUGGUGGUGGUGCUGGUUCCUAGAAGUCCUGCAAGCAGACGAUCUUAACCAGAUCGACUAUGGAAGCAGAACUCACAGCAUUAGACACAUCAUGCAUCGACACAGAAUGGCUUCGAGAGCUUUUGAUGGAUUUGCCGGUGGUUGAAAAGCAGUGCCGGCUGUCCUUAUGAACUACGACAAUCAAACGGUGAUUGUCAAGGCUAAGAGUUCAAAGGACAACAUGAAAUCCACAAAGCACAUAAGACGAAGAUUGAAAUCUGUCAGAAAAUCAAGAAACUCUGGAGUGAUAGUGUUGGAUUAUAUCCAGACGACUAAGAAUCUGGCAGACCCUUUUACGAAAGGGCUAUCACGGGUUGUGAUAGAAAAUGCAUCGAGGGAGAUGGGUAUGAAACCCACGUAAGUUGCCAUGGGGGUAAUGUUGGAAAUAUUCCCUAGAGGCAAUAAUAAAUUAGUUAUUAUUAUAUUUCCUUGUUCAUGAUAGUCGUUUAUUAUCCAUGCUAUAAUUGUAUUGAUAGGAAACUCAGAUACAUGUGUGGAUACAUAGACAACACCAUGUCCCUAGUAAGCCUCUAUUGACUAGCUCGUUGAUCAAUAGAUGGUUACGGUUUCCUGACCAUGGGCAUUUGAUGUCGUUGAUAACGGGAACACAUCAUUAGGAGAAUGAUGUGAUGGACAAGACCCAAUCCUAAGCCUAGCACAAAGAUCAUGUAGUUCGUAUGCUAAAGCUUUGAUAAUGUCAAGUAUCAUUUCCUUAGACCAUGAGAUUGUGCAACUCCCGGAUACCGUAGGAAUGCUUUGGGUGUACCAAACGUCACAACGUAACUGGGUGGCUAUAAAGGUGCACUACGGGUAUCUCCGAAAGUGUCUGUUGGGUUGGCACGAAUCGAGACUGGGAUUUGUCACUCCGUGUAACGGAGAGGUAUCUCUGGGCCCACUCGGUAGGACAUCAUCAUAAUGUGCACAAUGUGACCAAGGGGUUGAUCACGGGAUGAUGUGUUAUGGAACGAGUAAAGAGACUUGCCGGUAACGAGAUAGAACAAGGUAUCGGCAUACCGACGAUCGAAUCUCGGGCAAGUAUAAUACCACUAGACAAAGGGAAUUGUAUACGGGAUCGAUUGAGUCCUUGACAUCGUGGUUCAUCCGAUGAGAUCAUUGUGGAACAUGUGGGAGCCAACAUGGGUAUCCAGAUCCCGCUGUUGGUUACUGACCGGAGAACGUCUCGGUCAUGUCUGCAUGGUUCCCGAACCCGUAAGGUCUACACACUUAUGGUUCAAUGAUGCUAGGGUUAUAGGGAAUAGAUAUACAUGGUUACCAAAUGUUGUUCGGAGUAUCGGAUGAGAUCUCGGAUGUCAUGAGGAGUUCCGGAAUGGUCCGGAGGUAAAGAUUUAUAUAUGGGAAGUCCUGUUUUGGUCACCGGAAAAGUUUUGGGUGUUAUCGGUAAUGUACUAGGACCACCGGGAGGGUCCCGGGGGUCCACCAGUUGGGGCCACCAGCCCCAGAGGGCUGCAUGGGCCAAGUAUGGGAGGGGACCAGCCCCAGGUGGGCUGGUGCGCCCCCCCCCCACAAGGGCCCAAGGCGCCUAGGGUUUGGGGAGGGGGUGCUUCCACCUUACUUGGGGGGCAAGUUUCCCCCCUCUCCCCCCUUGGCCGCACCCUAGAUGGGUUUUGGGGGCAGUCGCACCCCUUGGGGUGGGAACCCUAGGGGAGGCGCAGCCCCCUCCCUCUCCCCUAUAUAUAGUUGAGGUAUUUGGGGCUGCAUACACAUGAGUUUGACCUCUCCCUGGCGCAGCCCUACAUCUCUCCCUCCUCCUCUCCCGCGGUGCUUGGUGAAGCCCUGCAAGAUUGCCACGCUCCUCCACCACCACCACGCUGUUGUGCUGCUGCUGGACGGAGUCUUCCCCAACCUCUCCCUCUCUCUUUGCUGGAUCAAGGCAUGGGAGACGUCACCGGGCUGUAUGUGUGUUGAACGCGGAGGUGCCGUUCGUUCGGCACUAGGAUCUCCGGUGAUUUGGAUCACGACGAGUACGACUCCUUCAACCCCGUUCUCUUGAACGCUUCUGCUUAGCGAUCUACAAGGGUAUGUAGAUGCACUCUCCUUCCCCUCGUUGCUAGUCUCUCCAUAGAUAGAUCUUGGUGAUUCAUAGGAAAAUUUUGAAUUUCUGCUACGUUCCCCAACAGUGGCAUCAUGAGCUAGGUCUAUUGCGUAGAUUCUUUGCACGAGUAGAACACAAAGUAGUUGUGGGCGUUGAUUUUGUUCAAUAUGCUUACCGUUGCUAGUCAAAUCUUGUUUCGAUGGUAUUGUGGGAUGAAGCGGCCCAGACCGACCUUACACGUACACUUAUGUGAGGCAGGUUCCACCGACUGACAUGCACUUGGUGCAUAAGGUGGCUAGUGGGUGCCAGUCUCUCCCACUUUAGUCGGAACGGAUUCGAUGAAAAGGGUCCUUAUGAAGGGUAAAUAGCAAUUGACAUAUCACGUUGUGGUUUUUGCGUAGGUAAGAAAGGUUCUUGCUAGAAACCCAUAGCAGCCACGUAAAACAUGCAAACAACAAUUAGAGGACGUCUAACUUGUUUUUGCAGGGUAUGCUAUGUGAUACGAUAUGGCCAAAAAGAAUGUGAUGAAUGAUAUGUGAUGUAUGAGAUUGAUCAUGUUCUUGUAAUAGGAAUCACGACUUGCAUGUCGAUGAGUAUGACAACCGACAGGAGCCAUAGGAGUUGUCUUUAUUUAUUGUAUGACAUGCGUGUCAUUGAACAACGCCAUGUAAUUACUUUACUUUAUUGCUAACCGGUAGCCAUAGUAGUAGAAGUAAUAGUUGGUGAGACAACUUCAUGAAGACACGAUGAUUGAUGAUGGAGAUCAUGGUGUCAUGCCGGUGACGAUGAUGAUCAUGGAGCCCCUUAGAUGGAGAUCAAAAGGAGCAAAAUGAUAUUGGCCAUAUCAUGUCACUAUUUUGAUUGCAUGUGAUGUUUAUCAUGUUUAUGCAUCUUAUUUACUUAGAAUGACGGUAGUAAAUAAGAUGAUCCCUCAUUAAAAUUUCAAGAAAGUGUUCCCCCUAACUAUGCACCGUUGUGAAAGUUCGUUGUUUCGAAGCACCACAUGAUGAUCGGGUGUGAUAGAUUCUAACGUUCACAUACAACGGGUGUAAGCCAGAUUUACACACGCGAAACACUUAGGUUAACUUUACGAGCCUAGCAUGUACAGACAUGGCAUCGGAACACAAGAGACCGAAAGGUCGAGCAUGAGUCGUAUAGUAGAUACGAUCAAUAUGAAGAUGUUCACCGAUGAUGACAAGUCCAUCUCACGUGAUGAUCGGACACGGCCUAGUUGACUCGGAUCAUGUAAUCACUUAGAUUACUAGAGGGAUGUCUAUCUGAGUGGGAGUUCAUUAGAUGAACUUAAUUAUCCUGAACAUAGUCAAAAAGGUUUUUGCAAAUUAUGUCAUAGCUCACGCUUUAAUUCUACUGUUUUAGAUAUGCUCCUAGAGAAAAUUUAGUUGAAAGUUGAUAGUAGAAAUUAUGCGGACUGGGUCCGUAAACUGAGGAUUGUCCUCGUUGCUUCGUAGAAGGCUUAUGUCCUUAAUGCACCGCUCGGUGUGCUGAACCUCGAACAUCGUCUGUGGAUGUUGCGAACAUCUGACAUACACGUUUUGAUAACUACGUGAUAGUUCAGUUAAACGGUAUAGAGUUGAGGCACCAAAGACGAUUUCAAAACAUCGCAGAACAUAUGAGAUGUUUCGAGGGCUGAAAUUGGGAUUUCAGGCUCGUGCCCACGUCAAGAGGUAUAAGACCUCCGACGAUUUUCUUAGCCUGCAAACUAAGGGACAAAAGCUCAAUCGUUGAGCUUGUCCUCAGAUUGUCUGAGUACAACAAUCACUUGAAUCGAGUGGGAGUUGAUAUUCCAGAUGAGAUAGUGAUGUUUCUCCAAAGUCAUUGCCACGAAGCUACUAGAGCUUCAUGAUGAACUAUAACAUAUCAGAGAUAGAUAUGAUGAUCCUUGAAGUAUUCGCGAUGUUUGACACCGCGAAAGUAGAAGUCAAGUAGCAGCAUCAAUUUUUGAUGGUUAGUAAAACCACUAGUUUCAAGAAGGGCAAGGGCAAGAAGGGAUACUUCAUGAAAUGGUAAAUCAGUUGCUGCUCUAGUGAACAAACCCAAGGUUGAACCCAAACCCGAGACUAAGUGCUUCUGUAAUAAGGGGAACAGCCACUGGAACAGAAUUACCCUAGAUACUUGGUAGAUAAGAAGGCAGGCAAGGUCGACGGAAGUAUAUUGGAUAUACAUUAUGUUAAUGUGUACUUUACUAGUACUCCUAGUAGCACCAGGGUAUUAGAUACCGGUUCGGUUGCUAAGUGUUAGUAACUCGAAAUAAAAGCUACAGAAUAAAAGGAGACUAGCUAAAGGUGAGCUGACGAUAUGUGUUGGAAUUGUUUCCAAGGUUGAUAUGAUCAAGCAUCGCACGCUCCCUCUACCAUCGAGAUUGGUGUUAAACCUAAAUAAUUGUUAUUUGGUGUUUGCGUUGAGCAUAGACAUGAUUGGAUUAUGUCUAUCGCAAUACGGUUAUUCAUUUAAGGAGAAUAAUGGUUACUAUGUUUAUUUGAAUAAUACCUUCAAUGGUCUUGCACCUAAAAUGAAUGGUUUAUUGAAUCUCGAUCGUAGUGAUACACAUUUUUAUGCCAAAAGAUAUAAGAUAAAAAUGAUAGUAGCACUUACUUGUGGCACUGCCAUGUAAGUCAUAUUGGUGUAAAACGCAUGAAGAAGCUCCAUGUUGAUGGAUCUUUGGACUCACUCAUUUUUGAAAAGUUUGAGACAUGCGAACCAUGUCUAUUGGUGUAUAUGCAUGAAGAAACUCCAUGCAAAUGGACCGUUUGGACUCACUUGAUUUUGAAUCACUUGAGACAUGCAAAUCAUACCACAUGGGCAAGAUGACUGAAAGCCUUGUUUUCAGUAAAAUGGAACAAGAAUGCAACUUGGUGGAAGUAAUACAUUUUGAUAUGUGCAGUCCAAUGAGUGUUAAGGCAUGCAGUGAAUAUCGUUAUGUUCUUACUUCACAGAUGAUUUGAGUAGAUGUUGAGUAUAUUUACUUGAUGAAACACAAGUCUGAAUUAUUGAAUGGUUCAAGUAAUUUCAGAGUGAAGUUGAAGAUCAUCAUGACAAGAGGAUAAAAUGUCUACGAUAUGAUCAUAGAGAUGAGUAUCUGAGUUACGAGCUUUGGCACGUAAUUAAGACAUUAUGGAAAUUGUUUCACAAUUAAUACCGCCUGGAACACCAUAGUGUGAUGGUGUGUCCGAACAUCAUAGUUGCACCCUAUUGGAUAUGGUGCGUACCAUGAUGUCUCUUAUCGAAUUACCACUACCAUUCAUGGGUUAGGCAUUAGAGAUAACCGCACUCACUUUAAUAGGGCACCACAUAAUUCCGUUGAGACGACACCGUUUGAACUAUGUUUUGGAGAAACCUAAGUUGUCGUUUCUUAAAAGUUUGGGGCUGCGACGCUUAUGUGAAAAGUUUCAGGUUGAUAAGCUGGAACCCAAAGCGGAUGAAAUGCAUCUUCAUAGGACACCCAAAACAGUUGGGUAUUCCUCCUAAUUCAGAUCCGAAAGCAAUAGGUAUUGUUUCUUGAAUCGGGUCCUUUCUCGAGGAAAAGUUUCUCUCGAAAGAAUUGAGUGGGAGGAUGGAGACUUGAUGAGGUUGUUGAACCAUCACUUCAACUAGUGUGUAGCAGGGCACAGGAAGUUGUUCCUGUGGCACCUACACCAAUUGAAGUAGAAGCUUAUGAUAGUGAUCAUGAAACUUCAGAUCGAGUCACUACCAAACCUCGUAGGUCGACGAGGAUGUGUACUGCUUCAGAGUAGUACGUAAUCCUGUCUUGGAGGUCAUGUUGCUAGACAAUAAUGAACCUACGAACUAUGGAGAAGCGAUGGUGGGCCCGAAUUCCGACGAAUGGCUCGAGGCCAUAAAAUCUGAGAGAGGAUCCAUGACUUUGGAAGAAAUACUUGAUGGUCGUAAGGCCGUUGGGUAAAGAUGGAUUUUAAAAGGAAGACAGACAAUGAUGGUAAGUAUCACCAUUAAGAAUGCUCGAUUUGUCGUUAAAGAUGUUUUCCGACAAGUUCAAGGAGUUGACUACGGUGAGGCUUUCUCACUCGUAGCAAUGCUAAGAGUCUGUUGGUAUUGGAUUAGCAGUUAAUGCAUUAUUUAUGAAAUCUUGCAUAUAGGAUGUCAAAAAAACAUUGUUUCCUUGACAGCUUUCUUGAGGAAAGGUUGUAUGUGAUACAACUAGAAGGUUUUGACAAUCCUGAAAGAUGCUAACAAGUAUGCAAAGCUCUAGCAGUCCUUCUAAGUACUAGAGUAAGCAUCUCGGAGUUGGAAUGUACGCUUUGAUGAGAUGAUCAAAGAUUUUUGGUUUAUACAAAGUUUAUGAGAAACUUGUAUUUCCAAAGAAGUGAGUGGGAGCACUAUAGAAUUUUUGAUGAGCAUAUGUUGUUGACAUAUUGUUGAUCAGAAGUGAUGUAGAAUUUCUGGAAAGCAUAUAGGGUUAUUUGAAAGGUGUUUUUCAAUAGAAAACCUGGAAUAAGCUGCUUGAACAUUAAACAUCAAGAUCUAUGAGGAUAGAUCAAAAACGUUAAAUGGUACUUUCAAAUGAGCACAUACCUUGACAUGAUCUUGAAGGUGUUCAAGAUGGAUCAGUCAAAGAAGGAGUUCUUGCCUGAGUUGUAAGGUAUGAAGUUAAGAGUUAAAGUUCGACCACGGCAGAAGUGAGAGAAAGGACGUAGGUCGUCCCCUAUGCUUCAGACGUAGGCUCUAUAGUAUGCUAUGCUGUGUACCGCACCGGAAGUGUGUCUUGCCAUGAGUCAGUCAAGGGGUACAAGAAUGAUCCAGGAAUGGAUCAUUGGACAGCGGUCAAAAUUGUCCUUGGAGUAAAUAAAGGACAUGCUUCUCGAUUAUGGAGGUAAUAAAGAGUUCGGCGUAAAGGGUUACGUCGAUGCAAGCUUUAACACCUAUCCGAGUGACUCUGAGUAGCAAACCGGGUACGUAUAGUGGAGCAACCAUUUGGAAUAGCCCCAAGUGGAGCAUGGAAGCAGCAUUUACAAUAUGACAUAGAGAAUUGUGAAGUACAUACGGAUCUGAAUGUUGCAGACCCGUUGACUAAAACCUCUCUCACAAUCAAAACAUGAUCAAACCCCAGAACUCAUUGAGUCUUAAUCACAUGGUGAUGUGAACUAGUUUAAUGACACUAGUAAACUCUUGGAUGUUGGUCACAUGGCGAUGUGACCUGUCAAUGUUAAUCACAUGGUGAUGUGAACUAGAUUAUUGACUCUAGUGCAAGUGGGAGACUGUUGGAAAUAUGCCCUAGAAGCAAUAAUAAAUUAGUUAUUAUUAUAUUUCCUUGUUCCUGAUAAUCGUUUAUUAUCCAUGCUAUAAUUGUAUUGAUAGGAAACUCAGAUACAUGUGUGGAUACAUAGACAACACCAUGUCCCUAGUAAGCCUCUAUUGACUAGCUCGUUGAUCAAUAGAUGGUUACGGUUUCCUGACCAUGGCCAUUGGAUGUCGUUGAUAACGGGAUCACAUCAUUAGGAGAAUGAUGUGAUGGACAAGGCCCAAUCCUAAGCCUAGCACAAAGAUCGUGUAGUUCGUAUGCUAAAGCUUUGAUAAUGUCAAGUAUCAUUUCCUUAGACCAUGAGAUUGUGCAACUCCCGAAUACCGUAGGAAUGCUUUGGGUGUACCAAACGUCACAACGUAACUGGGUGGCUAUAAAGGUGCACUACGGGUAUCUCCGAAAGUGUCUGUUGGGUUGGCACGAAUCAAGACUGGGAUUUGUCACUCCGUGUAACGGAGAGGUAUCUCUGGGCCCACUCGGUAGGACAUAAUCAUAAUAUGCACAAUGUGACCAAGGGGUUGAUCACGGGAUGAUGUGUUAUGGAACGAGUAAAGAGACUUGCCGGUAAAGAGAUAGAACAAGGUACCGGCAUACCGACGAUCAAAUCUCGGACAAGUAUAAUACUGCUAGACAAAGGGAAUUGUAUACGGGAUCGAUUGAGUCCUUGACAUCGUGGUUCAUCCGAUGAGAUCAUCGUGGAACAUGUGGGAGCCAACAAGGGUAUCUAGAUCCCGCUGUUGGUUAUUGACCGGAGAACGUCUCGAUCAUGUCUGCAUGGUUCCCGAACCCGUAGGGUCUACACACUUAAGGUUCGAUGACGCUAGGGUUAUAGGGAAUAGAUAUACGUGGUUACCGAAUGUUGUUCGGAGUCCCGGAUGAGAUCCCGGACGUCACGAGGAGUUCCGGAAUGGUCCGGAGGUAAAGAUUUAUAUAUGGGAAGUCCUGUUUUGGUCACCGAAAAAGUUUCGUGUGUUAUCGGUAAUGUACCGGGACCACCGGGAGGGUCCCGGGGGUCCACCAAGUGGGGCCACCGGCCCCAGAGGGCUGCAUGGGCCAAGUGUGGGAGGGGACCAGCCCCAGGUGGGCUGGUGCGCCCCCCCCCCCACAAGGGCCCAAGGCGCCUAGGGUUUGGGGAGGGGGUGCUUCCACCUUACUUGGGGGGCAAGUUUCCCCCCUCUCCCCCCUUGGCCGCACCCUAGAUGGGUUUUGGGGGCAGCCGCACCCCUUGGGGUGGGAACUCUAGGGGAGGCGCAGCCCCCUCCCUCUCCCUAUAUAUAGUUGAGGUAUUUGGGGCUGCAUACACAUGAGUUCGACCUCUCCCUGGCGCAGCCCUACCUCUCUCCCUCCUCCUCUCUCGCGGUGCUUGGCGAAGCCCUGCAGGAUUGCCACGCUCCUCCACCACCACCACGCCGUUGUGCUGCUGCUAGACGGAGUCUUCCCCAACCUCUCCCUCUCUCCUUGCUGGAUCAAGGCAUGGGAGACGUCACCGGGCUGUAUGUGUGUUGAACGCGGAGGUGCCGUCCGUUCGGCACUAGGAUCUCCGGUGAUUUGGAUCACGACGAGUACGACUCCUUCAACCCCGUUCUCUUGAACGCUUCCGCUUAGCAAUCUACAAGGGUAUGUAGAUGCACUCUCCUUCCCCUCGUUGCUAGUCUCUUCAUAGAUAGAUCUUGGUGACUCGUAGGAAAAUUUUGAAUUUCUGCUACGUUCCCCAACAGGUAAUCCAACCUAUGUGAUCGGAGAUCCCGUGAAUUAGGACCUGGGAAAAUAAUCCAAUGGUCAACUGAGGAGAGUAUCCUUAAUAAACCCACUUGGUUGGAGAUGCAGUACUACUCUCAACUUUGUAAGGCAGGCUGCCUUUUGUCUUAAUGUGUUCCAAAGCUUGUGUAAGCAAGAUGCUAACCUAUAGAGCAUUCUUUGGAGGAACACACCUAUGUGAGCCCGACUGCUGGUCACAGUCUAUGACAUUGGGUGAUCUCUAGGAAGCUCAUGAGAAGGUAUGGAGUAUGACUAAUAAGCUCCACCCGUGGGGUUUAGCCUUCGGCAGCCAAGUAUCUGCUAACAAUGGGCGAAACUUCUACACCCCAACUGACAAUUCAAGGCAUAGUCCAUUGUUCAGUUGUGAAGAAGUUUAAUCCCAUUGCUCUAGGUGGAAGUUCAACUUAACAGUUUCCACUGAAAAUUUUGGUAUAUCAAACAUUGGUUGGAAUAGUUGACAAACUUAUGUGCCUCGAGAUCUGGCGGGGGAUUGUUGGAUUAUGGAUGGGCUUAGGCCCAUAUAAGACAAUAAUCCCUGGUUAAUCUCUAAGGGCCCAUGCAUGUGUACGGCAAGUGGUCGGAAGUGUGGGAAGUUUAGUACCAUACUGCUACGGUAAGAAGAGUGAGACCUCUUUAUAAGGGUUGCUCCAUCACUUGCUAUUGGGAGCUUGGGAAUAGGAGCUGUACACGUGCGCUCCUCCUCCUUCGCCGCCCGCCUCGCCUCACGCCUUGCCUCAUCACAACGCGCGCGAGCCGCGGUUUGCGGGAAUGAGCCGAGCCAAAGCUUAUUUUUGCCGCUCAUGAAUGAUUAAUUAAUUGUUAAUUAAUUAACGAGUCGCUUACGGAAGCGCCAUUGUCAGACGUUGGACCGUAGGCUGUUCGCGGAUUCGGUCGUGGUCCUGGCCCAGGCCCAUCUACCCGACGGCCUAUAUAAGAAGGCGCUGGCCAGUGGAGUGAACCCUAACUCAGUUCACUCACUCCCUUCGUACAACCCUAGCUGUCAUCUACUGUUCCUCUCUCUUUGCUGCUUCCGGCGAUCCCAUCCCAACGACCGCGUGCACGGUUGGUCGGGAGAGCAGGUGCCUCCGAAACCCUGUCGUUCGAGAUCCUGCCCGGGAGAAUGACAAUAAGGUUUUUGGGGAGCGUCUCGACGCGACUGCCCUCGAUCUGUCCCCAGCUUCGUCCGCCUCUGCUUCCACUACUUCCCCUGCGUCAACACCAAGGCCGACGACGCUGCCGCCAAUAAGAAGGCCACGGAUGAAGCCGAGGCUGCUGCUGCCGCCGCCACGUUGGCCUGGCCAACCGGAGGAUAUGAUCUGUUCAUCCCUCAUCUACUUGUGCUUGUUCUAACCGUAUAUGUGCUGCUCAUAGAUGGUUUGCUUCUAUGCUUUGUACGUGCUAGUACACUUAAGAAUUGGUAUGAGAUGCAUACCGUAUUUGCCAUACUUACUGUUUACUCGUGGAUUACUCUAAUUGGAAAAGUGCUAAUAUUUUUAACAGAACAUGCUCCCAUAUUUUCCAUGUAUAAUCAUUAAACAACACCAUGAAGACUUUGAUUUCUUAAGCUAAUGCCAAAUACUCCAUGUAUAAUCAUUAGUAUUUGGAGUGGCAUUAUCAUCUAAUAUUAUAAGAUUAAAGUUCAAUUCAUGUUGGAUAAUUCAUUGAAGGACUUUGAUAAGCGGCAACUGUGUGCCAGUUAGCAAAACGUCCAAACCAUCCAUCCGAUGAGGCUUGAGCGCUCGUUCGAUCCCAUUUAGUCUUUCCUGCGGAACAACUCGAUUCCCGAGUCUCUCUCUCGAUUCGAUUUCCGCAUCUCUCGCUUGACUCGAUCUCCCUCUAUCCCUUGAUUCUCGAGGUUAUUUUUCUUUACAAAAAAAAAUCUGCCUUUGAUGGGACUCGAACCUUGAUAUAACAUAGAUAAUCAAACACAAAUACUAGACCGAGUAACCAACACGCCAAGCUUUCUUUCUUGUUAGAUAAAUGGAAAUCAACCAUUUAACCCUUGCACCACUGCCGUAAUACAUAGAAAAAUGAUUUUUCUGACUUUUUUUGGUGCAUCAUUGACGCUCCACUUUAUGUGUAAAUUUAUGGAGAAACUUUUCUGUAAAAUUUUGUUUUCCAGUAUAUCUCAGGAGGCUUUAUAGAAUGUGUUCACGUGUAUAUGUAUCAUUUUUUUUUCUUUUUUGAGUUUGAACGAGUGAUCUACUUUAAAAAAUGGCAAAGAGAGAUGAGACCAGCAUAAGCUAUUAUGUCUAGUUGCGUGUAUUAGAUCUACUUUACAAAAUAGUUAGCGAGGGUACGCUUUUCAACAAUUUAGUUCCAGGGUAAAAAGUUGUCGUGGUGCUUAUAUGUAAGUUAUCACGUCUGUGGUGCUUAUAUUACCAUGUUAUUUACACAGAAAUUAUUGGGUAUGUAAAUGUUAUCACGAUAUUUGUACGUAAGUUCUCGGUUAUGUUGUUCAUAUAUAUCGUACUACUAAUUUCACAUAAGUUGACCGGGUGUGUUUUUCAACAACCUUUUCCCCCUUAGUCAAUGUUACCACUGUGUUUGUACUUUGUACAGAAGUUAUCAAAUAUGUGCUUCGUAUGUUACCGUGCUAUUUCCACAUAAGUUACCGUUUGUAUGUUUUUCAACAACUUUUUUUCUCUUGGUCAAAGUUGUCGCCGUAUUUGUACAUAAAUUAUCGGGUAUGUGCUUCGUAUAUUAUCAUGCUAUUUUCACAUAAGUUAUCGGAUUAGGUUUUUCAACAACUUUUUUCCUCUUAGCCAUAGUUACCGGGUGUUUGUACUUAACUUAUUGGGUAUGUGAUUCGUAUGUUACCGUGCUAUUUUGACAUAAAUUGCCGGAGAUUGUUUUUCAACAACAUUUUUCCCUGGUAGUCAUAGUUACUGCGGUGUUUAUACGUAAGUUAUCAGGUAUGUGAUUCGUAUAUUACUGUACUAUUUUCACAUAAGUUACCAAGAUUGUUUUUCAACAAAAAAAUGCCCUUGGUCAAUGUUGUUGCGGUGCUUGUACUUAAGUUAUCAGGUAUGUAGUUCGUAUAUUACUGUGCUAUUUUCACAUAAUUUACCGGGGUAUAUUUUCAACAAGUUUUUUCCCUUUUGGUCAUAGUUACCGCGGUGUUUGUAUGUAGGUUAUCUCGUAUGCGAUUUGUAUAUUGCCAUGUUAUUUUCACAUAAGUUACCGCGGGAUUGUUUUUUAACAAAAAAUCCCCCUUGAUCAAAGUUGUCGCGGUGUUUGUACGUAAGUUAUCGGUUAUAUGGUUCUUAUAUUACCGUGUUAUUUCCUCAUAAUUUACAGGGGGUACGGGGUUUGUAUAUUACCGUGCUAUUUUCUCAUAAUUUACAGGGGAUACGGGGUUUGUGUAUUACCGUGCUAUUUUUACUUAAGUUAUCGGGAGUAUUUUUUUCAACAACCUUUUUACGGUCUAAAAAUUACUAUGGUGUUUGUAUGUAAGUUAUCGGUUAUGCGACACUUAUAUUGUCACGUUAUUUACACAUAAAUUCCCCGGGUAUAUUUGAACAAAAAAAAUCUAGGUCAAAUGUUAGCAUGGUGUUUUGGAUGUAAGUUAUCAAGUCUGCGCUGCUUAAAAAAAUGCUAUUUACACGAAAAUUAUCAGGUAUGUUUAAACAAAUUUUUUUCAGAUCAAAAAGUUACCGCAGUGUUUUGAACGUAAGUUAUGAUGCCUGCAAUAUAUAUUAGCAUGCUACUUUUGCAGAAAUUACCGUUGGGUAUGAUUGCAAUAACAUGUUUUCGAGUCAAUUUUUGUGUGUGCAAAAAAUUUAUUUUUUUGUGUAAAUAACAUGGUAACUUACGCAUAAAUUACAUACGCCUACAAUAAAUUAUAUAAAUAGCAUGGUAAUAUGUAUCGUAGGCUUACAUAAUUUUUUGUUACCAUGAUAUUUAUACAUAAGCCUACGAUGCUUAAAGAGACACAAAAAGUUAUCAUUUUACUUUCUUUCUACAGAUGCGCCUACAAAACACAACGAGUUAUUUUCGCGUCUUUGAAAGCAAGCAUGUAGUCUCGCCUAUCUUUCGCCCUAUACGACGGCACGGCUAAUGACACCAUGGCCAAAGCUCAGCUCACAUAUAGGACUCGACGCUGUCCUUGAGCGUCUCCUGCAUCGUCCUGAACUUUCGCCCGAGCCUCUGCAACUUCUCAGGCCUGAACAUCUUCUCAUCUCCCACCUAAAUGAACCUGCCAACUCAUCGUUAUCGUCAUCAAAAUCCAGAGAGUUUACACCUGGUUUGCACCGUGCACACAUCAAUGUACGUACAGAUUAAGUUAUGGCUUCUUGUUGGAUGUUUCCAUGGAGCCAGCACGCCACUCAGAGAAUUAUCCAGCUAAAACUACCACACGCUCCAAUUCCUGAAGAAAUACAAAACAAGAAGUAAAAAUGCAGAGAAGCAUGAGACCCCUAGGACAGCACCUGUAACAGCAACACCAGCACGAGGCGAGCCCCCAUGAUCCCGUCAAACAUGGCGCCUGACGACGAGGCCGGCUGGGCGCCACCACCCCCGUCCUCGGCAGCCGCCUCAGCCCUUACGGCGUACUCCUCCAAAAUGUUGGUGCCUCGUGGAGCACGAGCUCAUGGGGCAGCGCGGGGGGCUGGGAUCCGGCAGCACUGUUGCGAAUCUGGUGCGGAAGGCGGAUGGAGGCGCACGCCAACAGCAGUCGGUGGCAUGCAAGGCCGGUGGAAACGGCCGUCGAGAAUAGACGCACCUGCGAUGAGAGGUGAGGAAAGGGACGAGCAGUCAACGCUGAGAAAAAAAUAGAGAAUGGGUGAUGCGAUUCGAUCGAGAUCGAAGGGCCAGGGAGUUGUUCGGUAGUUUUGCAAAUAAAUAGUGGAUGAGCGCGUCGCGCGAGCGCAUGAAGCCUUCCUGGCGGCGCUGUUGGAGCGGGUGAGGGAGAGAGAUAACAGGGGGCUGCCAGGCGGGAUCGUGUCCGCUAGAUUCAAAAUAGACGUUAAUGAGAUCGUGUGGUGGUUUUGCAAUCUGUCACAUGGUUGCAACUAUCGGAAUGUAUCUGGGUCACAACUAUUGGAACCGCAUGUGGGUGCAUCAAGAUUGGAACCUUUUCUUCACACCGGUUCCUUUUCUCUCUCCUCGCUUGAUUUUCCUCACAUACCCAAGCCUCUAUUCCAGGCAAGGUUUUUGCCCCAACAUUCAUCCACUUGGAUGAAAGUGACCCAUGGUGAAUUUUGGGCUUGGCACGUGGUAUUAUUUUGGUAAAUGGCUGUGUACAAACGCUUUGUGGAUUCGGUGUUUAGUUUCAAAUUUUUUGAACUUGUGUGCUGAAUUCUUGGGUGCGGUUGGGUGCGGUUAGCGAUUUUGCCGCUCUAUGGUGAAAAACGGUGCCGCUUCCAUCACCUGAUCUGGAGGGUUCUUGCGUUUUUCGAUCAAUGUCGCUUUCAUGUUUCGAUCUAGAGUCUGCUUUUUGUUUCUGGUUUUCGCCGCUGUAGUCAUUUGAUCUCGAAACCUCGCCACAUACUACCAUCGCUUACGUCCUGGGGGUUAUAAAUAGAUCGUCCUUCUUCUCAUAUCAUUGUGCUAGGUUUUCUUUGGGUUAGCGUAUACUGUUUCUAUGGUAUAUCCUUCUUCCUGUCGUAAUGGACCGCGGCGUCCUGCUCGGCCUCCUCCAUCGCGGGGAGCUCUGGUUGGCCGGUGUGGUGGUUCGGGUUGUCUUUCUGCGUCGGCCGUUGUCUCGGCUCGGCCCGUAUGUAUGGAGCAUGCUUCGUCCUCUGAUGAUCGGCCGUUGCCGCCGCCGCGCCCUGGCUGUCGGCAACUCGCUGCUGCUGUCCCGGGCCUCCUAAUCUCCCUUGACCUUCUUUGCGGUGCUGGCGGGCUUGGUGAGCAUCAGCCACAGCUUCGGCUCCGGCAUCGCCCUGAGUCCGUCCAACUGGCCGUCCGCGGCCGACGGUGACUACGUCAAAGAUGUUGUCGAUUGGUUACGGACUGCGCGGAAACCGGGUGUCCCGGCGGCCGGCGCUUACGCAUCCCCUUGGCGGGGCCAUGGUCUCCGCUCGGACAUAGUAGGACGCCCUGUUCGGGGAGCAUAGAUCCUGCGGCAACAACCUCUACGACAACGACGACGGCAUCACCACCGCCGGAUAACGAUCACUUGCCAGUGUGAGCGGUGUGACAGUGGCGAGGGCGGAUGCUCCUGGUGCAGCAGACAGCAGGUUGCUCUGUGGCGCCGACAAGGGGUUAGGUUGCAGCGUCGGGAGGGAGGGGAGGCGGUGCAGCAGACAGUAGGAUAGUCUCGAAGGCGGCCACACUAUGCAGGAGCGACUGGAGCCGGAGUGGUCCGUUGUUAGCCAGGAUCGGCUGUUGCUGAUGAUGAUGCGGGCAUGUGGAUGAGUACGUGGAUCUCAACCUGAAACGUCCAUCAGCAAGGCACGGCCUGGCGUUGCGCACUACACUGCUAUGUGAUGAUGUUGAACAUGAAGUGCACUCAAACCGCGAUGCAUGCCUUCCGCGUUGUAUCCCCUUGCAUGGUCCGACGAGGUUUCACGUACGUCCAGGUUCAUGUGAUCAUCUCUCUCUCUCUCUCUCUCUCUCAUAUUUUUUGUGCAGCUCAACAGCGAGGGAGAUUUGCAAGUGGUCAAAAUUCUGGUGCUAUCAUUGCUAUGUGAUAAGACAAGGUUUCUCCUGAUCCUCUUUCUUCUUGAUAACCAUAUAGGGAUUGCUUCUGUCGAUUAUUUUAAACCUUUUCUUGUAGACUAAAGGUUCAGAGAUGGCCACUAACUGAUUGGUGUUAUUUAGCUUCAGGUUCAUUUUUGUGCUCUUAAGGUGUAGUAUCCCUUCCAUCAUUGCUACGAACAUUUACUAUCUGUCCUUGGUGCAGGAAUUUGCAACCGUUAAACGCACGGCGGUUCCGGUGUUUGAUAUAUUCUUCAUGGUCCCGUGUCAUUUGCUGCAUCUGCUGUUAAUUUGAUAUAUUCUUCAUGGUUUUUGGGAUGACCAUGAUUUACUCCUUUCUAAUAUUUGUUCUAUGCAAGCAUCAAGACUAAAUAAUAUGGGUUUACCCCCUUAUCAUAUUUGUUGUAUGUAGGCAUCAAUACUAGAGAUAUGGUUUUAACCCCUUCUCAUAUAUUUUUUUGAACGAUCCCUUCUCAUAUUUAUUGUAUGGAUUCAUCAAGCUAUGAUGAAUUUGGAUGACAUACUAUUAACUUACAUAAUAAGAUCCUUACGGGGUGAAAAGCCGGAAGCAAUUUUUCUUACUGAAGCUGAACAACUGCCCCAUAUACAAGCUCUAUCAUGUUAACUACUGAUGUGAAUUUCCUCAGCUAUCAUUUCAUUACGAACACAAAACCAAUGGGUGGUCAAACAAGGAUGCCUUGAAUUACCAAGGAAUCAGAAAUUUAUCAUGCAAUAUCAAUAUGUAUUCUCUUUAUGUAUAAUUAAUGUACUGACUCUUUUCAUUCAAUAAAAAUUUUCUUUAUGAAAGAUUAUAGCAUUCGUACCAAUAUAAUUUUUUUACAUACACCAUAAUAUAAAAUUUGAAGUGAACACGUAAAAAGUGAAUAAAAUAAUUAAAUAAUUGGUAUAUGAAGAUUAAUAUUAUUGUACAUAGAAUUUCUCAUAUAAAGUAUCAAUAGGCGCGGCAUGCCACCGCACGGGCAUGAAAAUUCAAAAUGGCUCGCUAGCAAGUAAGUACCCAAUAGAAUGAAUUUGCAAGACAAACAAUGAUCUUGGUGAUAAUAUGCAAUGAUUUCUCCGACGUGGCACUUCUUCGCAUGUACCCCAACGUCCUCAGAGAGAUGAUCCCAUCAUUACAUACAAAGGAGCUAAGACACCCGUUGGACAGGUAGAGGAAUUUGCAAAAGCUCUUGACUACUUCAUUACAAACUAUCUUACAAGAGGCUAAACUAGGAUGAUUUAACUCAACUAGGCCAUCCGCAAUCAUUUACUUUCAUGCAGUUGGAUCAUUGUAUAUGGUAUGUUCCAUAGAACGGUCUCUAUAAUGUGCCAAUAAGUAGACCUUAUUAGUAGCGUGUACACUUCCGUUCAUCAGUAUUUAUCAUACAUUGCUACAAUAAAUGUACUUAUUUUCCAUCUUUUAAAAAUCUUUCUGGGUUUUAGUUAUGCGAUUCUGUCAUUAAAAAUAUAACAAUGGCCUUUACGAUCCGUAUAAAUAUAAUGCAUCACCAGGCUCGGCGUGCCGCGGCUAUGCUAGUAUAUGCUACAGUACACCGCCUGCCAUGUUCUGUAAAAGUUCUGGCCAAAAGCUGUCGGCUAGAGCUUGUCCCUACAUGGCCUGUCACAUGCGAGUUGUCCCUACACGGUCUGUCACAUGCGAGUCCGUCCAACGGUUCCAAGGUUUUUUGUUUUCUUGUACAAUUUGGUGCUAUGUCUCACCCAACGGACUCCGUCAACUAGUUUUUGUACCGUUUUUCUCGCUUCUACAUCUUGCACUGUGGUUCUUUGCAUAUGAUACGGUUCCGUCAGAUCCGCUGAGUGCUAACUAGAGAACCUUGAUAAAAAAGGGUAGUUUUUUUUUUUUNNNNNNNNNNNNNNNNNNNNNNNNNNNNNNNNNNNNNNNNNNNNNNNNNNNNNNNNNNNNNNNNNNNNNNNNNNNNNNNNNNNNNNNNNNNNNNNNNNNNNNNNNNNNNNNNNNNNNNNNNNNNNNNNNNNNNNNNNNNNNNNNNNNNNNNNNNNNNNNNNNNNNNNNNNNNNNNNNNNNNUUUCUCAAGUUUUGUAAUCGAUCGUUUGACUAAUUACAAAGAGAUGAAUUACAUGAGCAUGUGUAAGCAUGAGGACAGGUAAGAACGCCACGAGGAGGCGGCCUGUAUUUCUUCUGGCUUCUUCAUCCAGUGAAUCCAAAGCAUAAGGUCUUGUAGGAUGUUCUUGAGGGUGGUGAUGUUGUGGUGGUUCUGCUGCCUGAAGGUCAUGGCAUUCCUAGAAUCCCAUAUCUUCCAUAGAAUGAUGAGCAUCACUGAGUUCUAGAUCCCGAAAUCGGUGUUGGCAGGUAUGAGGCAGUCCCACAGGUCGCUGAUGGCACUAGUGGGAGUAAAGCCCAGUUUGAGCCAUAUUCGUCGCGCAAGGGGGCAGUUGAUGAAUAUGUGUGGAAUGCCUUCGCCAUCAAACCCACAUCUUGGGAAGAGGGCGUCAGAAACAAUAUGCUUACGCAAAAGGUUAGCCUUACAGUUUAACCGACCACGGAAUAGGAGCCAAGCGAAAAUCUUGACCUGGUUUGGUACUCUUGAUGACCAGAUAGGCGUAUAGUGGAGGUCCGCCGAGGCCUUAGUCACAGUGAGCUCGUAUGUUGUUUUAGUGGAGAAAGGUAGGCCGCCAUUGAGGAAGCGCUCGUCUGGUUCCUGGGAUGGCUACAAGUCCUGCAACAACGACAACAAAGACAACAACUCGGACACAGCAUUAGCAGUUAAGCGAGUCCGCAGGAAGUUUUCGAAACCACGAUUUAAAACAGCAGCCACGCGAGCAAGUGGUAGAGUGGUGUGAGAGAAUAGGUAGGGAAACAAGUGUGCAAGUGGUUUACGAUGUAGCCAAGAGUGUAGCCAAAAGUAAGUGUUGGUCCCCGAGUUUGUCAGAACAAAAGAGAUGGGGUGUAGGAAGGGGAGUUGCUGGUUAAUGGUCUUGCAAAGGAAAGACUGAUUACUUUGUGGGUUAAUAAGAGCAUUGGGGUGUUGUAGAUCAAGCCAGUCAAGCCAAGGAGUUCAUUGUGGAAGUAGAGCCUUGGCGGCAAAUUUCAUAAGGAGACAACGAUUUUGUUGUGCCAGAUUUUUCAGUCCUAAACCACCAAAUUUCUUAGGUUUGCAAACAUUUUCCAAGCAACUAGACAGUCAACACCCGUGCAUGUUUCUUCAGCAGCCCAAAAGAAAGCGCGGCGGAUCGAGUCCAGGGUUGUGAGUACACUUUUCGGGAUGAGAAAGACGGACAUAAAGUAGACUAGUAUGCAGACAGGAGGAUAAGCCUAUCGCCUUUAAAGAGCAGUCUGGCGCGCCAGCCAGAGAGAAUUUUUUUGCAUUUUUCAAUGAUAGGGAGAAAUGCAUUGGCUGGUAGCCGAGUCGGCGCCAGAGGGAGUCCCAGGUAGAUCUGUGGGAACGAGGAGACGGGGCAUUGUAAGAUGGAAGCAAUUGAAGAGGCCAUGUCAGGCGUAACAUGCAGUGGGACGAGCGUGGUUUUUGAGUAGUUGAUAUUAAGGCCAGUUGCGAUGCGUGUGAAACUGUCGAGAAUGUCUUUUAGUUGUGAUGCGGCUGCAGUAGAAGCUUUGGCUAUGAUGAGUGUGUCAUUGGCGUAUUGUAAGACAAUGGGUGGGGGGUGGGGAAAUAGCGGGUGGGUAAUGUGAAGUAGGUUGCAGUCCUGUUGGAUCAUCUGUUGUAGCAAGUCAGCGACAAUGAUAAAAGAGAUAUGAAGAUAUCGGGUCUCCCUGUGUAAGACCAUUCUUGUAGUUGGUCCAGUUCCCGGGGAUCCCGUUGAGUAGUACAACGGUUUUUUCGGUGAUCAGAAGAUCGGAAAUCCAGGCAGAGAAUUUGUGAGAGAAGCCUCGGAUUUGCAGAAUGGUGAGAAGCAAGUCCCGGGAUAGAGAGUCGAAAGCUUUUCGAAAGUCAAGUUUUAUGACCAUGGUUGGUGCUUUCUUGGAGUGGCAGGAGCUGACGAGGUCGGCUACGUAAACAAAGUUUUCGGCGAUGCAUCGUCCGGAAAUGAAGCCGGUUUGGUUGUGGUGCACGAGCAGUGGAAUUAAGGGUUUUAUGCGAUUUGUAAGGAUUUUAGCAACAGCCUUGAUAGGACAGUUUUGUAGUGAGAUUGGUCUGAAGCCAUCAGGUGUGGUGACGUGUUCUUAUCUGGGAAUGAGAAUGAUAUGAGCUCUAUUUAAGCAUUCGGUCCGGGCUACGCCGAUCUGGAAGUCGUGCAUGAAAGUAAGUAUGUGUGGUUUGACGAGUCUCCAAAAUUUGCGGUAGAACAGAGGGCCGAAGCCAUCUGGUCCAGGACUGGCUAGUGGGUUCAUCUGAAAGAAGGAGUCUUUAAUAUCAUCUUCUGAAAAGGGGGGAGUCAAGGGAUAGGAGUUGCGGUAUCGUAUGUGGGUAGUAUUUUUUUGGGGUCAAAGGACCAGGAGGUUUGCGGUGAAGUUCCAAUGAUAGAUGUGAAGUGGUCUCGGAGAAUGGUUGCCUUUUGCUGAUGCAAGUGGAAAUCGGCCCCGCCCGAGGAGAGCGAAGUAAUUGUGUUUUUCGGAGGCGUUGUGAUGCGGAAGCAUGGAAAUAUUCGGUGUUUUCUUCUCCAUCAAUUGCAGCCCGGACUUUGCCGCGCUGUUUCCAAAAGGCCAUUUUUUCUCGAGCGACAUUUUGGAGAGAGGUCGUGGUUACCGAUCUAAGCAUUUUCUCGGCUCGAGAGAGGGGUCUAGAUUCUUCCUUGAGAUCAACAAGGUUAAUGAUCCUUUUUGCAACUAUUUCUCGCAGUUGGGCCGAGGAACGCCGUCGAGCCCACCUUUUGAGUGCGGUCCGAGAAGAUUUAAGGGCUUUUGAUAGGAUGGCAGUAGAUGUUAGGUUACGGUCCACUCGUGUGUUGGGGGCCCAACACGGUUGGAUGAUUUUGUGACAUUCCGUUAAGGUGGUCCAGUGUGAUUCAAACCGAAAGUGACGGGGGCGGGGUACGUUAGUUUGAACUUGGAUGAUUAAGGGGACAUGGUCGGAAGUAAUCCGCGUGAGAGAGGAGAGUGUGGUGUUUGGGAAGUGUGAGUUCCAAGCUAGGUUAAAGAAAGUGCGGUCGAGUCAUUCAAGUGUAGGGGAGGGCCUAUUGUUUGUCCACGUGAAUCUACGGUCUAAUAAGGGUAGCUCCAUGAGGGCUAGGUUGUUAAUUAGCGCAUUGAAAGCAUCGACGUCUCAUUGGUGAAAAUUUGGGUUAUUGUUUUCGUGGGAGAAACGAAUGAGGUUGAAGUGACCGACGAUUAGCCACGGCGUGUGAUCGUCUUCCUUGAUUUGCUUGAGCUCGUCGAGGAAGGCCUGCUUAAGGGAGCGGUUGGAGGGAGCGUAGACGUUGGUGAUAACAAAGUGAGUUGGGUGAGCGAGGGAGGAGAGCUUGAGUGAAGUGGCGAAAUUGUGGUGUACGAAGGCAAUUACAUUAAGUUGAUUGGAGUUGACAGCAGAGACAAUUGCCCCCGCAGAACCAUUCGCGGGGAGGAACAUUUUCUUGUCCAGAGAGCAUGGCAGGAAGGAGGUAAAUUUUCGUUCAUUUAUCUGGUUAAGUUUUGAUUCUUGCAGAAGGGCUCAUUGCGGGUUUAUAGCAAUUAGUUCAGACAGUACAUCACUACACUUGGUGUCAUCACCCAACCCUCUGACAUUCCACGAGCAGAUAGAUAGUUUGGCAUUACUCAUAGGAAACAGCGAGGCACCAUGACAUAGGUUGGGUGGUUGGAAAGAUAAACAAACUAGUACGGACGGACUGAUACAAGGAGGCAUGCGACAUGCAGCUCCAGACUCUCAUAAGAAAACAUAGUCUAAGGAGGAUAAAGCCAGGCCAGGACCGAGGUGUGCGCCUGUGCGUCGGGGCGCUGUCAUGGCGCAGCAGUUGUUGGGAACACAUCAAGGCACGGCAGCGUCACCGGCAGCAUCAUCCUCGUCGUCGGCACGAGCAAUGGCUGAGGCAGCCCCGUCAUCUGCGCCACAGAGGAUGGCUAUCUCUGCGAGAGCCGCGGCGGAGGCAGGUGGUGCGUCUAGGACAUCCAACUGGGAUUCGUGGAUGGCGUUCUCAAGGGCUUGGGCGACCUCAGAAGCAGAGAGACGAGUGGCUUUGGCACGAACAGCCUUGAUGGUCAUAUCAGUAAACACCCUGGGCUCCUUGGCGGCGAUGCGUGCGCUACGCCUGAGGCUCAUGGCCUUGUCAUUGGAGCGCUUGGCACUAUGGCGUAACUUGCGCACCAAGUUCUCGUGGGCGAAUGAGUCUGCAGUGAAGGGCAAGGGGGUAGUUAUUGGUUGAACAUUGGGAGACCAAGGUGAGAUCGACAAAGAUGCCGGUGGAGCUGGAGAAGGAGCAUGGGUUGGCGUGGUCUUACCUGGGGAGGAUGGUGCAGAGGAGAACAUGAUGGAUGAGGGUCCAAGGCGAAGGAAGGAGGAGGUGGAGCUGUCAUAUGGCUUGAAGGCGGAGGGCAGAGCCUGUGAGGUUGGAGGCGGGGGCGCGUCAUCAGCAUCAAGCACCAUGGGAGGUGGCGGUGGAGGCGACGCUUGGCCACCCACAGCGAUCGCCGGACGGGGCGUAGGGUGUGAGACACUGAUGGGGGUGGACGACGAUGCGACGAAGGUCGAGGCAGAGAAGGUCGUGGGUGGUGAAGCACGCUGGGAAGGCGGUGCUGAGUCGCCGUCGGGGGACAUGAUGUGGAUGGCGUUUGGGCACGGAGGAGCAUUGUUGAUGCCGAGGGAAACAUCGAGUGGCGUGUCCAUGGCAGCACCCGCAUGAGCGGGCGGCGGCACACAACCACCGGUUGGGGAAGGAGGCGGGCCACGAGGGAGCUCCGACCCAGAACGAGCCUCGCGUCUCGGGGCAUGCAUGGUGUAGUCUGACUCGGAGUCGGACGAGAAGGGCAAUGUGUCGUUGGAGCGUGUUCGGUGGGUGAUGGAGGCCAGCUUCCGAAUUUUGACGACCUUGAUGUCGUUUAGCGGCAGAAUCUGCACCGCCAGGGAUUCCAGCAGACGAAUACGAUGGUCCACCAUGACGAGGGCAUGCACAGUAGUGUAGUCGCGGCCCUCGAUGCAGCAGUGGUCGACGGAGCAGACGUCUCCAAGGCGGCUUAGGGUCCACCGGAUGCCAUGGUCAGGCCACAACUCAUGAGGGAAUUCAGCUGCCUCAACCUCGAUGAGUUCAUCGAAGACGGGCGAGACGCGAUCGGCCUCCUCGACCGGCUCGAGAGAGACGCGAUUGCCUUGGAACUCAAGUGGGCCAAGACCAAUGAUGUAGUCUCGGACCCAUGCGAAGUCAAAGGUGAUGCAGCCCGCAUCGCGCCAAGAGCCCACGACAUUGAAGUUGUGGGUGCCGGCAUGAGCGUGGAUGGCUGCGUGGAUGAUGGGGGAUGGGUUGUGGACAGGAAUGGAGAGGUGCACAAAGGCGAUGUGACUAACAUUGUUGACAAGGUAGGCGGGUGCGACAAUGAGGGGUGUGUGGUCGAAGGGCGGUGGCGCGUGGUGAAGUGAAGGCUGUGGAAAGGGUGGGGGCGUCGUGUCAGCGUCGGGUGGAGGGUAGUGUAGGUCAUUCAGACGUGAGCGCAGGGCAUGAUGGUUUAGCGAGGUUGAGAGGGGCGGUGGUGGUGGCCGGGAUGACGAGGAGACAUGCAUGGGGAGGUGACCGACGGGGAUGCCGAGCAGGGGAGCAUCCGGCUGCGUCCUGGCCUGUGGCCAAGGGAAUGCGGCUCCGAGAGCCGGUGCAAGCUCGUCCAGACCAAGGGAAGCCAUGGCGUCGGAGGUAGCUGAUCUGGAAGGGAGGGUGAAGGCGGGGUUAUUGGUGGGUCUUUUGGGUAGCGGAGGGAAGAAAGGAAGUGUUCGGACCGACCUGCAGUUGCGAGCUCGGUGGCCGGAGCACCAGUAGCGCACGCACCGCACAGGGUCACGGCAGAGCUGGACCUCGUGGUCCAGGGCGAGGCAGCGGAAGCAACGAUGUCUACCGGUGGAGAAGUGCAGUAUGAGAGGUGGUGUUAUGUUGUGCAUCCUUUCGCUGGUUGAAUUUAUAGGGGCUGGACGCGAGGCCAGGGGAGGAGUAAGGAGAGCGUCCCGAUAGGAGCGAGCAGGUGAUGUCGUUUCUGAAAAGUCUAUCGUCAUGUUGGUGGCAGCACAGUGGAGGGAUGGCAGUCCAUGGGGUUGGUGCGUGUGCGUGCGGGAGCCAGCAUGUUGAUGCAUAGUGUAGUGAGCAGGCCGGGUGUUUUCUGGUGUUUGACCAGGGGGAUGACGGGUGGUUCGUCCGUCGUGCAAUCAGGUGAGGAGAGCGGGAGUGGGAGUGCAGCAGUCGCGGGCAGGCCCGAAGUGUCAGGGGCACACGUUGCAUGGACCAGGCCUAGGGAGGGCGAGGUGCGGAGUGGCUCCUGCAUGCAGGUCCGUGAGCGGGGGGUGGAGUGGGUGUGGCAGGCCUGACGACAAGCGGGUGACACUGAAUCUUGAGAGGCUGGUGUCGGUGUCAAAACCGGCGGAUCUCGGGUAGGGGGUCCCGAUCUGUGUGUCUAAGGCUAAUGGUAACAGGAGGCAAGGGACACGAUGUUUUACCUAGGUUCGGGCCCUCUCAAUGGAGGUAAAACCCUACUUCCUGCUUGAUUGAUCUUGAUCAUAUGAGUAUUACAAGAGUUGAUCUAUCACGAGAUCGUAGAGGCUUAAUGUAGGCAUGUAUUCCGUAUAUAGUCAUACGUGCUUAUGGAAAAGAACUUGCAUGACAUCUUUUGUCCUACCCUUCCGUGGCAGCGGGGUUCUAUUGGAAACUAAGGGAUAUUAAGGCCUCCUUUUAAUAGAGAACCGGAAGAAAGCAUUAGCACAUAGUGAAUACAUGAACUCCUCAAACUACGGUCAUCACCGGGAGUGGUCCCGAUUAUUGUCACUUCGGGGUUGCCGGAUCAUAACACAUAGUAGGUGACUAUAGACUUGCAAGAUAUGAUCUAGAACACACAUAUAUUCAUGAAAACAUAAUAGGUUCAGAUCUGAAAUCAUGGCACUCGGGCCCUAGUGACAAGCAUUAAGCAUAGCAAAGUCAUAGCAACAUCAAUCUCAGAACAUAAUGGAUACUAGGGAUCAAACCCUAACAAAACUAACUCGAUUACAUGAUAAAUCUCAUCCAACCCAUCACCGUCCAGCAAGCCUACGAUGCAAUUACUCACGCACGGCGGUGAGCAUCAUGAAAUUGGUGAUGGAGGAUGGUUGAUGAUGACGACGGCGACGAAUCCCCCUCUCGGGAGCCCCGAACGGACUCCAGAUCAGCCCUCCCGAGAGAGAUUAGGGCUUGGCGGUGGCUCCGUAUCGUAAAACGCGAUGAUUUCUUCUCUCUGGUUUUUUUCUCCCCGAAAGCCAAUAUAUGGAGUUGGAGUUGGCGUCGGAGGGCCACCAGGGGGCCCACGAGGUAGGGGGCGCGCCCAGGGGGGCGCCCCCCACCCUCGUGAGCAGGGUGUGGGCCCCCUGGUCUUCAUCUUUUGCGAGGAUUUUUCUUUAUUUUUUCUAAGGUGUUCCGUGGAGUUUCAGGACAUUCCGAGAAUUUUUAUUUUCUGCACAAAAAACAACACCAUGGUAGUUCUGCUGAAAACAGCGCCAGUCCGGGUUAGCUCCAUUGAAAUCAUACAAGUUAGAGUCCAAAACAAGGGCAAAAGUGUUUAAAAAGUAGAUACGACGGAGAUGUAUCAAGGCUAAACCCUAGAAGCUAGCCUAUGAUUAUGAUUGUUGUUGUCCUAUUACAAGAGUUGAUCUAUUACAAGAGUUGAUCGAAUUUUUUUGAAAUUACUAUGUUCCCCAACAAUGGCAUCCGAGCCAGGUUUAUGCGUAGAUGUUAUAUGCACGAGUAGAACACAAGUGAGUUGUGGGUGUCGUUGUCAAAACCGGCGGAUCUCUGGUAGGGGAUCCCGAACUGUGCGUCUAAGGCUAACGGUAACAGGAGGCGGGGAACAUGAUGUUUAUCCAUGUCCGGGGCCUCUCGAUGGAGGUAAUACCCUACUUCCUGCUUGAUUGAUCUUGAUGAUAUGAGUAUUACAAGAGUUGAUCUACCACGAGAUCGUAGAGGCUAAACCCUAGAAGCUAGCCUAUGAUGAUUAUGAUCGUCCCUAUACGGACCAAACCCUCCGGUUUAUAUAGACACCGGAGGGGGCUAGGGUUUACACAGAGUUGGUUACAAAGAAGGAGAUCUAAUAUCCGGAUCUCCAAGCUUGUCUUCCACGCAAAGCAGAGUCCCAUCCGGACACGGGACGAAGUCUUGAGUCUUGUAUCUUCAUGCUCCAACUGUCCGGCUAAAGUAUAUAGUCCGGCUAUCCGGAUACCCCCCAAUCCAGGACUCCCUCAGUAGCCCCUAAACCAGGCUUCAAUGAUGAUGAGUCCGGCGUGUAGAUUGUCUUCGGCAUUGCAAGGCGGGUUCCGUCUCCGAAUACUCCAAAGUAGAUUAAGGAUUGUGUCCGGCUCUGCAAGAUAAUUUCCGCACACCACCGUAGAGAGCAUAACACUUCACAAAUCUGAUCCGCUGACAAUUUUUUUUAAUGGUGUGCCCUUACGCCGUGGCCUGGUCCAGCACGCACCGGUUUUUCUCAGCCUGCCUCGAUACGCGUUGCGAGGCGGUUUCAUUGGCACGCCUUGCCAGAACAGAGAUCGUGUUUCUCUUAUCGCGGGAUCUUCCAUCAAUACGGACGCGUGCAACCCCAUGAUGCCUGUUGGUAUGACUCCGUGUUUUUAGGUAAGUCCCGAGCGGCUACGCUGAGGACACUUGAUAUUCACCCCCUUUAUAGAGGGGCCGAGGCCUAUCCCUCUUUUCUACCACGCUUGCGCCUUUUCGCAUCUCGAGUUCUAACACCCGAAGCCCAAGCUCAAGCACUUCGGAUCUUCAAUCAUGUCCGGAUCCAACCUUCACGGCCGGUGGAUGGCCUCCUCGGUCACAGAGGAGGACAUUGUGAAGCUUAGGGAGGUCAGAUAUCUGACCACCGACAUUAAGCACAGGCUUCCUGCUCUAGGGCAGGUCAUCCCUACCCCCGAGCCCAACGAGAGCGUCAUAUUUGUUUCUCACUUCCUCCGCGGCUUAGGCUUCACACUUGAUCCCUUUGUGAGAGGGCUCAUGUUCUAUUAUGGGCUAGAUUUUCAUGAUCUAGCUCCGGACGCCAUCCUUCACAUCUUGUCGUUCAUCGUUGUGUGCAAAGCUUUUCUCCACGUCACCCCGCACUUUGGCUUAUGGCUCAAGACCUUCAAUGUGAAGCCGAAGAUGAUUGAGGGGCGACACAUGGAGUGUGGAGGUGUUGAAAUAAGCAGGAACCCGACGCCCCAUGGACAGAGGGCUCCUUCCCAGAGUUGUCCGAUCUAUGGCAGCGGAGGUGGUUUUACGUCACGACUCCCAGAGGCACAAAGUGGGUGGCUGCCCCCGACUUCUGUUCGGGCCCUCCGCCUCAACUGGCGUCACGGGCUAACGUAGGACGGGAUUGGGGGCCUGCUAAUGAUGUACCAACAUUGCAGAGCCGCAUCCGGGAGCUUCUUUAGAGGGACAUUAGCCUUGUCAGCAUAAUUCAGGUAAUGUUAGUCUGACGGAUGUUGCCGUGCAAACGCCGGCCUCUCCGGAUGUGGGAGUUUAAUUCAGAAGGUCCGUAGACUAUUCUACACUUCUUCGGCAUGACGCUCGAAGGGAUGUGUAAGUUAUUCUUCGGACCACAAGUAAAGUGUCCGGACACCACCGAGGAUGCGGGCCUGAGCUGCAACCGCCCAGAUACCCAAGUAAGUAACCCAAAAACCGAACACUUCGUUUAUAUUUAUCAUAACAUUAUUAUGAAAAUCCUCCGUGGCCAGGAAUGGCUCAACAAGGUGGAGAGAAUCAGGUGUCCGGCGCCACUUCCCGACGGCUCGCCUAGUCCCGCCAUAGCCAAGGUGCUUGGUCGUGUGCUAAGUAAAGUGCCCUCAGGGAAAGACGAAGGGAAGAACAGAGAAGCAGAACUUCACACAUUGCACAUCCAAACUGGGGGAAUUGCUACCUCCCCAAAGGAGGAUAGCCGGGAAGGGGAAUCUAAGGUCUCCUCCCCUCGCGGGAAGAAGAGGGCUGCCUCCGAAGACUUGGAGACGGAGGUGCCCAGACAAGGGAAGAAAACUUCACCAGGUGGCCCUGCCCCGAAGGGCGUCUUCACCGCACCAUGCCCGCAAACGGGCCAGCCCUCAGCCGAGUUGUAAGUUAAUCGUAAAUACAAAGGUAGUGCUUCCUCCUCCGAGAACAGUUACCAGGACCCAUUCUUUGCAGGCCGGCUAGCAGCUCUUCUUGACAGAGUUCGUCUUUGGGGGAUCUCCUUCCGGAGAUGAUGGAGAGUGAAACCCCACCAACCUCUCCGCCUCAUGGGGCGGGCGACCCCGAGGUGUCGUCACGGAGGAGUCCAGAUUUGCCGAGGCCAGAAGCUAGUACUUCGGCCGCCCUGAGCCCGGAAUGUUCGGCUCCCACGGGGGGGCGAUAAGAAAGUCCGACACAGUUCGGCGACCGGCCGGAUACGCUGACGGGCCUUCUGGAGCGAGCUGCUCUCUCAGAGGAUCACCGUUCAUUAAUGAGCAUGGUGCUUGAGAAGAUUUCAUCCGCCACAAGCGGGUUGAAUGAAACUUUUACGAGCCUGCUCAGAGGCUUUGAGGAAUGUAACGAAAUACAUAAUUCUUGAUUGUGGCGCACAUGCUAGAUGUGCUCCAUAUGGAUAGUAGUCCCUGAGACUCUCGUUGCCAGCCCAAGGCGGCAAACGGAGGAUCACAUCAUUGAGUAAUGAUCAUACUGUGUUUAUGCACAGGUGGCUAAGGGUCCGGCAGCCGACCGGUCCGUUGAAGUCGCCGAACUGAGGCGACGGAUUGAGUUAUUGAUGCCGAUAUCACACUUGUGAACGAGCCGCUUAACGAGUCACAAGGUAUGUGCUCUGCUUUCCUUAUUUGUUAUAGGAAAAACUAAGAGGAGCAUAAUGUUAAUGUUGUAUGCUUGGACUGUAGACGGAGCUGCUGCCGUGGAAGCCCUGAGGGCGGAACUUGCCCUGGCCAAGGAACAAGCCCGGGCUAACAGUGCGGCUGCCCUAAAGGCGGCCGAAGAAUUGAGAGCCGAACAGGCUGCUCAUCGCCGAAGCGAAGACAAAAUAGCCGAGAUGGUUGUGGAGCUGCAAAAUGCCGCCGACCGGUAUGAGCUCCUUGAAAAAGAGAAUAAGGCUAAUUCGGCUAACCUGAAGAAGGCCCUUGAUGCGGCCAAGGAGACGCGUUCUGAAAUUAGGGAUGCACGGGAGGAGCUUCGACAGGCCGGAGAAAUCGCGGCUGGAAACCCCUAUUUAUUGCGGAUGAAGUUCUUAGAUCCAAAGUAGGCUCCUCUGGAUCAACGCUGGAGCCCUUCAGACGCGUAUGCGGAUCUGGCGAAGAGUACAACUGAUGCGGCCAAGUUUUUCGAGGAUCAAAAAGAUAAUGAAGUGGAAAAGCUGUUCUGGUCGCAAUUCAGUGCUCCAACGCGCCCGUUGCCAUUGAGCGAGAGGAUGGCUGAUGUGGCCGAGCUCCAUAGGUUGUCCGGUCUUGCAAUGAGGUCUGUAAUAGACCAUCUAUGGCCGAAGGGGCCAAAGCCGGACAGUUAUUUUGGUUUAGUGCAAAAAUUCCUUGGUGCCGUGUCGUGAAUCGAUGCCAUGAAAAGGUCGGCGUGCAUAGAGGGUGCACGGAUGACUCUUGACCGCGUUAAGGCAUAGUGGACAGAUAUGGAGGCCACCAUCAUUGCGACCCAGAAUCCAGCGGGAAGCCAGGAUCCGGCCGAGCACAUCUUGGAGCAGGUAACAGAAGGUGCUCGUUUAAUAGUGGCUUAAUGCUCGAAGAAUGUCAUGUUCGAGUGACAAAUCAUUUUAUUGUAAAAACAAUUUUAAUGUAAUUAUGAGGCUAUGUUUAUACUUUUCACCCGAAAGUGCUAUUAUGCCUCCUGUGCGGCCGUUUUAUGUAUAUAUGUAAUCUGAAAGUUAGCAGUCGUUGGCUUCAGCCCCCACGCAUACAAUGUGGGGGUGUUCGCGAAAAUGUGCGUAAUCACACUUGAUCCAACGUCUUGGUCCAUUAAGGAGGUGAUCGCACGUCGAACUAGGCAACCAGACUAUAUAGCUUUAACACUUUCACUUAGCCGUAGGAGUUUGAUGGUGGGGCUACUAUGUAGCCCCUUGUACCUUUGCGUGCAUCCGAAUAUGGGCGCGUGUGUACAUGACCGGGAAACGGUCCUUCGUUAAUGCAGAGGAAUAAAGAUUCUGAUAAGUCUUCGAGUGGUUGAACAAUCUCUCGCUAUAUCAUGACAGUCAGUUUUCGGCUUUCUCUAUUGAGGUGCUCAUCCGGAAUAACCAGGGCACAAUCGCAGUAGUUCUCCUUUGGCCGCCUUAGCUGAUAAGAACGUAACAUAAGGCGGCAAACCCCAGAGCCGGGCAACCCCAACAUUUGACCAAAGACAUGAUUCGGAGCUGAUGCAUAUAAGGCCAAACUCGCAACGCCGAACACUCCCGAAGGUAUUUGGACUUUAUAACGUAUAUUGGGCUGAGUAACACCCUUUAUUAUGAACCCUGUAUUUCCAGGUACGUGCAUUAGUCUGUCCUGGCGAAAUGCCAAUAACGGCAGUAUCCUUUGUGGGUGUAGUACCCAUGGGAUGUGUAAGCAACAAGAGACAAUAAAGAAGGUUUACACAGGGGCUUAAUCUAAAGAGAAACCUUUGAGCGGGGCCCUGCUGCACGUCUGCGCCUUUGUCUCCGUUGUGCCGUGUCCUGGGAGGGUGUCGCACGAAUGGUGUCUGUAAAAAGGAAAACUCAUGUAGAAGAGUAUGACAUAAGCGUGCGAAGAGUUGGCUAUCACCAAUGGAUAGUAAAAGUGUAAGCCAUUGGCCUGUUAAUAAGGUCAAGCCAAGAGUUGGGUUUUAUUAAAUAUCUAUAGCCCCUGGUGUCCUCUAUGGGAUUACAUGUGUGGCGCCCAGAUCAGGUUUAUUUGGGCUGCCGGACUCGUCUAACCGUGUCUGUGGUCUUAACGACCAAUCAUGCGUUCUGGUAUUAGAGGCCGCUUAGAGUCCGGCUGCUGGAGCCGUCUCAUACUCUUCCGCGCGUAAGGAACGCUCUGUAUUUCCGUUGGCGGUGAUGACGCCACGUGGACCGGGCAUCUUGAGUUUAAGGUAGGCGUAGUGUGGUACUGCGUUGAAGCGGGCAAAGGCCGUUCUCCCGAGCAAUGCAUGAUAACCACUUUGGAGGGGGGCGAUGGUGAAGAGUAGUUCUUCUCUUAUGAAGUUGCCUGGGGAACCGAAUGUCACCUCUAGUACGAGGGAUCCCCUGCAGCGGGCUUCAACGCCUGGUAUCACCCCUUCAAAGGUGGUGUUACUUUGGCUGAUUCUGGAUGGGUCUAUCCCCAUCCAGCGGACAGUGUCCUUGUACAUUAGAUUAAGACUACUGCCGUCGUCCAUGAGGAUGCGAGUGAGAUGGUAUCUGUCGAUUAUUGGGUCGAGCACCAAGGCAGCUGAUCCUCCGUGCCGCAUACUAGUCGGGUAGUCCCUGUGAUCGAAGGUGAUCGGGCAGGCCGACCAGUGGUUAAGUUUGAGGGCGACGGGCUCUAUAGCGUAUGCGUCUCUGAGCGUGCGUUCGUGCCUUCUCGUGGGUAUGUGAGUCGCGUGGAUCAUGUUUACUAUUUUUACCUCUGGUGGAAUUUUUUUCUGUCCCCCAGUGUUCGGCUAGCGAGGCUCAUCCUCGUGUUCACUUGGUGUUUCCCUUCCCUUGUGUUCGGCAUUUAAUUUGCCGGCCUGCUUAAAGGCGCAACAUUCUCUGUGAGUGUGGUUCGCAGGUUUUUCGGGGGUGCCAUGAAUUUGGCACAGUCUGUCCAGGACUUUGUUCAGGCCGGACGGUCCCUCUUUGCUGCCUUUAAAUGGCUUCUUUUGUUGACCAGGUCGAGAGCCCCUGAAUCCGGCGUUGACCAUUGUGUUGUCCGGACUUUCUUCCUUGUUUCGGCAUUUGUUUUUAUUGCGCCGUGGCUUCCCGUUGCCAUCCCUAAUUUUGGAUGUACUUGGGUCGCUGGUGCCUCUACGGGCCAACCAGCUGUCUUCACCCACGCAAAAGCGGGUCAUAAGGCUUGUUAAGGCUGCCAUUGUCCUCGCUUUUCUUGGCCGAGGUGUCUGGCAAGCCACUCGUCCCGGAUACUGUGCUUGAAGGCCGCUAAGGCUUCGGCAUCUGGACAAUCGACAAUUUGAUUCUUCUUAGUGAGGAAUCUGUUCCAAAGCUUGCUGGCGGACUCUCCGGGCUGUUAAAUUAUGUGACUUAAAUCGCCCGCAUCCGGAGGUCGGACAUAGGUCCCUUGAAAAUUGGCCCUGAAAGCAUCCUCGAGUUCCUCCCAACUCCCGAUUGAAUUUUCGGGGAGGCUUUUCAACCAGUGCCGAGCUGGUCCCUUCAACUUGAGGGGAAGGUAUUUGAUGGCGUGGAGGUCGUCCCCACGAGCCAUGUGGAUAUGCAGGAUAAAAUCCUCAAUCCAGACCCCGGGGUCUGUCGUUCCGUCAUAUGCCUCUAUGUUCACAGGUUUAAAACCUUGUGGAAAUUCGUGGUCCAAUACCUCUUCGGUGAAGCACAGAGGGUGAGCAGACCCUCUGUAUUUGGAUGUGUUGUGGCAUGCCGUCGGUUGUUGUUGUGUCCGGUGCUGAUUCCGAACUGGUACUCGAUCAGUCUGAUCGUUUUGGUGACCAUAGUCCUGCGUCGGGGCGUGUCCUCUAGAUCCGUAGAUGAACCUCGUCGCGCCGGCCUUUUUAUCCGGGAGCCCACGUAAAUCGUGUGCGGCGUCAGUAGCUGCUCUAUUAUGGUUAUGAAGUGGUUGGUCCGGCCUACUGGCCGUAUUGUUCUUCGGUGGAACGGCUCAUCGUCGAAUUCUGGCAGCAGCUUGCGCUUUGGGUAGCUCUUUGUGUGGUGAUCGUCGCCGUAUUUUUCUUCAGUAUCUAGCACUUUAUUCCAUCUGCGAUUGAGCGUUUCCUGUGUGGCUUUAAGCUUUUGCUGCUGCUUCUUUAGACUUCUCGAAGUGGCCAUAAGCCUUCUGUGGACGUUAUCUCAUUUCGAAUGUGUUUCCGGGAUGAUGAAUGCGUCGUUGUCCGGACUGUGCUCCUGUCUCGGGGCAGUUUAAUGAGUUCGUCCCUCGGGAUCACUAUGAUCGGGCGUCUGCUCCGGGCUAUGUUCGGCGUGACCUGGCUCAUCCUGCUCCAUCGCUGGGUCCAUAUGGUUGUUGUUGCCUUCGGAGUUGACUGGGGUGUCGAUCUUUCUAGCGCUGUUAUCGCUAUUUUUACUGUGACUGGACUUAGAGCGGCGUCUGCUCCGUCGAUUUGGCUUUUGUCCGGGGUUUUAUCCACCAUUUUUCAUCAUCAUCCUCCUUAGGCGUAUCCACCAUGUAUAUAUCAUAUGAUGAGGUGGCAGUCCAGUGCCCCGUGGGUGGUGGUUCUGAAUCGUCUCCUGCGCCGACGUCCAUACCGUCGGUUUCAUCAGAGUCGAAGUCAAGCAUGUCUGUCACGUUGUCGACAGUGGCUAUGAAGUGGGUGGUGGGUGGGCAACGAAUUUCUUCGUCGCCUUCUUCCCCCUUGAGCCGGACAUAGUUCGGCCAAGAGCCUCCUAACAAAGAGAGAGACUUUAAUGAGUUCAGCAUGUCGCCAAAGGGCGAGUGCUAGAAGAUAUCCGCAGCGGCAAAUUCCAUUACCGGAGCCUAGCCAGAAUUAGCGGGCUCGGGGGCGUGCGGUCUGGGACCUACAACCGGACACAAGUCAAGGGGUCCGGAGACACUGGCUUCCUUGGGGAUGAAGUCUGUGUUCGCCUCUACCACCGAUGAGUGUGCGGCCUCCGGGGCGGGGUCCAUCCACCCGUCCUCGGACAACGCAAUCUGCCCCGGAUUUAGGUCCCGGGCUCCUGCAGGCGCGAUAUCCUGAGUAUUGUCCGACAGCAGGUCUAAGUCGUGCACAUCGUGACUGUUCGGCGCUCCUGGCGUAGGUCCAAAUCCGUCGAAGAUCAAGUCUCCGCGGAUAUCGGCCGUGUAGUUCAAGUUUCCGAACCCGACCUGAUGGCCAAGGGAGUAGUUAUCGAUCUGCUCCAGAUGGCCGAGCGAAUCGGCCCGCAGUGCGAAGCCGCCGAACACGAAGAUCUGUCCGGGGAGAAAGGUCUCACCCUAGACCGCGUUGUUGUUGAUGAUUGAAGGAUCCAUCGAGCCUUGCAACGACGACAUAGAAGAACUCUCAAUGAAAGCACCAAUGGCGGUGUAAAAACCGGCGGAUCUCGGGUAGGGGGUUCCGAUCUGUGCGUCUAAGGCUAAUGGUAAUAGGAGGCAAGGGACACGAUGUUUUAGCCAGGUUCGGGCCCUCUCGAUGGAGGUAAAACCCUACUUCCUGCUUGAUUGAUCUUGAUGAUAUGAGUAUUACAAGAGUUGAUCUACCACGAGAUCGUAGAGGCUAAACCCUAGAAGCUAGCCUAUGAUGAUUAUGAUCGUCCCUAUACGGACCAAACCCUCCGGUUUAUAUAGACACCGGAGGGGGCUAGGGUUUACACAGAGUCGGUUACAAAGAAGGAGAUCUAAUAUCCGGAUCACCAAGCUUGUCUUUCACGCAAAGGAGAGUCCCAUCCGGACACGGGACGAAAUCUUGAGUCUUGUAUCUUCAUGGUCCAAUAGUUCGGCCAAAGUACAUAGUCCGGCUGUCCGGAUACCCCUAAUCCAGGACUCCCUCAGCUGGGUCGAAGUUGCGUGUGCUGCAGGAACUGCCGAAGGAUUCACGUCAUGGGCGGUGCAGUCAGACGGUGGAGUCCGAGCUGUAGGAAUAGUGGCGGAUGGUGGUUGACCGUUGGUUUCUUGGGUGCUCGUUUGCGUUGAGAGAGGCAGGGCGGUGGGUGGGACGUGGUGAGGGUUAAGGGGUGCGGUCCAAGGAUGGAUCGUGACGAGGAGGGAUGGCACGGGCCGCUCCAGGCAGGCGCGCGACUGUCAGCAGGCCAACAAGAAGUCUGAGCAUAAAUAGUAGCCGAGGAUAGCUGGUCAAAGAGGUGUAAGGAGAAGCAUUUGAAAUCCAGCGAUGCCUUUUUCAAAAUUUCGAGCCUUACUUCUUUGGAUAGCACCGAACACUGGAACACAUGAUCAUCUAGCCUAGUUGCUUGGAAAAAUGUUUUAACCGAGAAGGAGUGGUUUAGGGCCGAAAUAAUGAGGUUUACGGAUGGCUUAACAGUGUCGGAUCGGCAGACGAUCCAAAACAGGGUUUUUGGUUCACAAUAAGGAGAGAAAAGUGGCGUUGUGUUCUCCGUGUGGUACAUGCUAAGAAUGUGGUUAUAGAAUUUAAUUCCAGGGCGGACAGGCCUAACCUCCAAUGCAGAGUUGAGCGAUUGCGAAGUCGACGAGGGGCGGACGACCAGCGCCGCCAUAGGAGAUGUCGGCGAUCCAUGAUCAGCAGGAGCAUGGCGGGCAGCCGGGUCCGUCGGACAGACCAGCGGCGGCGUGGUUUGGUCUUGGAAUGAUAAGGUUGAGUCGGUUAGUGCUGGUGGGAUUAGGAUUGAGGCGUAGAAGAAUGGCGAUGAGACGGGUGAGGCGGUCGUGAUCCAUGCACAUGCAUCAGGCGACGCAGCACAGAAGGAGUAGGCAGACAACUAUAUCUGUUCGACGGCAAACGUGGUGGCGCGUCCACCGAAUCUAGUUUGCAGUAGGGCGGUGACAAGGAAAUGAUCAAGGGGUAGACUGGUGGAGUGGAAGAAGAUGAUGGCUAGAUAUGGGGUUUUAGUGGCCCGGCGCGGGGGGAGACAAUGGAAUGCUUGGCCUGCCAGAGGGCAGCCUGGAAGGCAAGGCCAAGCGAGUCAUCGAGGAGUAGGGUGUGGCGAAUGAAUCGGAAGGCAUGCUGGAGGCGGUCCCCAAUAUCCACGGCGGGCGGAGAGUAGCGAUAUGGAGGAGCGGUGGUGAGAAUGGUGCGUUGAGGGGGUGAGGCAGAAGGCAUUGCGAGAUGGGCGCAAAACCUACCCUGGCUGCGUCAGCCGUGGAGCAGGGGUAGAAGGAGAUGUGGAUUUGCGGGGAGACGAUCUCAGCCUCGCCAAGGAUGGUUAAGGAGACCACCGAGCAAGACACAGUAAUCCGAAAGGUGGAGGGAGAUAGCUGGAGGGGCAUGAACAUGUCAAACUGCCCACCAAGGCAUCCCUGAAGGUAGCAUGCGAGCAGCAAGCAGUUGAUGUCCAGGCAAGCAGAUUCGACCCUGACAUUGAGAUGGGUUCCUGAGUUCUUGUGACGAAAAGGCGUAAUUGGCUGCCGGAUAGCUCGCCAGCACUGGUCCUCGUAGUCGAGUCCCAUGGCGUCCCCGACACCCAGGGCGGUGCGUAUAGCGCCGUGUACCGGAGAGGCAUCAGGGCAGUCCUCAGCGGGGAUUGGUGGCGAGGAGAAGCUGGCUAAGGGGAGGGGGGUGGAUGGCCGGCCGGGGAGUGGAGGCGACGGGGCGAGUGGUGGCGAGGGAGGAGGAGGAAGGAGAGGAGAGGAGAGCAUGACUUCUUGUCGCGCCCGAGGCCCCAAAAUUUUAAACCCGGCGACCUCAAAAAAUGGGUAGUAGAACCCUCACGGCCGUGGUGGGUCAAGUAAAAUCAACAUGUUAGAAAGGUUCAUUUAAUGUUCUUUGAUUUAUCAUACAAAUUUAGACAGAAAAUAAAAAAAAUCCCUGAUCUCGUACAAAGUUUGUCAGCACACGAGGAAAGUUCUUUGAGUUCUCAUACAAACAAUUUGGUAUUGCUGCAGAUCACGCCAUACACAAAGGAAAAAUGGCUAACUAGCACAGCACGGAGAGUCCUAAUUAUAUCUAAAUAUAUUCACAAACCCUCCAAAGACGCUAAAGAUUCUCAGAUCCCGGGAGGGAAGGACAUCACGAAAUUAUGAGGAUCCUAAACAUGACCCAAGUUAACAGAAAAUAGCAACAACAAAAAGAACGAAGAAAGAACCUGCUGGUUGGACCACCGGCAGAACGAAUUGCAAGAGCAACUCCAACAGGGCGAUCCAAACGGAGGAGCGUUUUGUCCGCUUUUCGUCUGUUUGGGCCGGUCAGGCGGACAUGCGCGUCCGCAUUCUGAAAUGGGUCGGCUUGACCGCUUAACGGGGAGGCUGACCCAAAUGUGCCAGCAUAUAAAAUGAAAUUCUCGCACGAAAUAAACUUAAAAUAAAUAUAAUUAAACAUAAGUGGCCGGUCAAACGUCGGCCAAAGUCCACUUAAGCAUAAUUAAAUAUUAAUUAAAAUGUUAAAAAAAGUCUGCGCCCGCCUUCUGCCGCCCCGCACGCUACCCUAGAUAUCGUCGGCCUUGCCCUUGCCCUCGGCGUCGACGCUGCCGUCGCCAUCGCCGGUGAGGUCGAUGAAGACGGGAGCAGGACCAACCCACCCGAACGCCGCCUGAUACGCUCCUAGGGCAGCCUCCUCCAGCGUCUGCUGGAGCGGCGGCAUUGCGGCUAGCCGCGCACGCUCCUCCUCCUCCUCCUCGAGCCGAAGCGCCUCCGCAUCACGCUGGAGCAUGGCCUCGUAGCGCAUCAGCUCCUUGUCGUCGGCCUGCUCCUGGCGGAGCUAGUGUGCCUUCCAGCGCUCGAGGUGGGCGGCCUCCUGCUACGGCAUCGCGACGAAGUAGAUGGGGGACGCGCUCACCCACUCGCGGUACUAGCCCGUCCACGAGUAGGCCUCCUCCGGCCAAGUGGGUGGAGGCGGGAAGCGCUUCCGCGUCGGCUCCGGCUCCGGCUUGGGCUGGAUGGGCGGCGACGGUGGCGGUGGCGGCACGAACAGCAGGGUGUGGACGGAGUCCCCGCUGCCGACAGGGUGAGGGCUUGCUCCAGCCCAUCCCAGCGCGCGUCCUCCUCGAGGCGGCUAGCCUCCAGCCCCUACUGCAGGGCCUCCUCGAGGGUGGCCUGGUACUCCGCCUUCAUCUCCAUGUCCUCCGGUUGUACCUGCGGGGGCGGCAAUGGGAACGGCGGCGGGACGGCGUCGACACCCGAGCGCUGUUGCUCCUCGUGGUUUGAGGGCGAACCAAGCCUCUCUGUUGUGAGAGUCGGUGGCGUACUCAUGCAGCCGACGCUGCUCCGGCGCGAGGUGCACGCGGUGCCGGCGCACCUCGUCGUCAUGCACUCGCUGGCUCCACGGAACCGUCGGCACCGGGAUCCGCUGCGGAUCCAGGUGCCAAUGGUGUGGCAGUGUGACCUCGGGGUAGGGGAGGGGCUGCCUGUACUCCCAGUGCCACCGUGCUUGGUGCACCGGGAUGUGCAAGCGCCAGCGUUCGGUGCGGAAACAUGCCAGCGGUGGAGAAGGAGGGGGAGGGGAGCAUGGGAGGACAAGGCACCGGGGGUGCCCUUGCCCUUGCCCUUGCCAUUGUUGCUGCCGAAGAUGCCCAUGGCAGGCUAGGGUUUCCUAUCGCCGGCGGGAAAGCAAAGGAAGUGGUGGGGGCCAGAUGUGGACGAGAGAAGUGGGUGAGCCCCCCCCCCCCACAGGACGCUUCUGAGGCUGACGCGUGGGCCCGCUGUCGGUGGUCGUCAUAAAUAAGACGACUAGUAACGGUUGGGUAGCCUACAGGUGGGGACGCGGCGGACGCCAAGGAGACGCACGGCGCGUCCGCGCCGACGCAUUCCAGGAGCAAUAUUGGGCCGGAUAUGGGUCGGCGCGGACACCGGGCGGACACGAUUUGCGUUUGGGUCGGCGCGUUGGGCCUCCACUUUUGUACGCGCCGACCCAAACAGACGCAGGCGGACGAAAUGGGUCACCUCAUUAGAGUUGCUCCAAACACCAUGAUUCCAUCUCAUCUUUAUUCCACCAAUUCCUACAUCCCUUCAUCUCCUAUCUUGCAUGGAGAGGCGGAUCUGCACGUGAAGAUGAAGCAAAUCCGACGGCGACCAAGGGCAGGUCAUCUCUUUGUGGGGUAACCCGCCGCCUGCAGCCACUGAGAGCAGAGUGAACCUGAUCUGGCGAGGCGGAACCACUGCACCGAGCUCCACGACCACCGAUCCCCAUGAGAGGAACCAUGGAGAAGAGGACUGGAGGAAGAGGGAGGUGGAGGCGCAUGGAUCUGGUUCUGCUCGCAGAGCUGGGCGGAUGGAAGGAGUUUUUUGGACGAUGGGUAUGAUGUCAUCGGUGAAGAGAAAAAGGGCCACAGCUCAUGGUGGCCUGAUACGUCUCCAACGUAUCUACUUUUCCAAACACUUUUGCCCUUGUUUUGGACUCUAACUUGCAUGAUUUGAAUGAAACUAACCCGGACUGACGCUAUUUUCAGCAGAACUGCCAUGAUGUUGUUUUAUGUGUAGAAAAGAAAAGUUCUCGGAAUGUCCUGGAAAUCCACGGAGGCACUUUUCAGAAUUAAAAAGAAUUUUUGGCGAAAGAAUCAAGGCCAGGGGGCCCACGGGCUGUCCACGAGACAGCCCCCCCCUAGGGCGCGCCCUCCUAUCUCCUAGGCCCCCUGGACACCUCCUGACCUCAACUCCAACUCCAUAUAUACCGUCUCGGGGAGAGAAAAAAUCAGAGAGAAAGUUUCAUCGCGUUUCACGACACGGAGCCACCGCCAAGACCUAAUCUCUCUCGGGAGGGCUGAUCUGGAGUCCAUUCGGGGCUCCGAAGAGGGGGAUUCGUCGCCGUCGUCAUCAUCAACCAUCCUCCAUCACCAAUUUCAUGAUGCUCACCGCCGCGCGUGAGUAAUUCCAUCGUAGGCUUGCUGGACGGUGAUGGGUUGGAUGAGAUUUACCAUGUAAUCAAGUUAGUUUUAUUGGGGUUUUAUCCCUAGUAUCCACUAUGUUCUGAGAUUGAUGUUGCUAUGACUUUGCUAUGCUUAAUGCUUGUCACUAGGGCCCGAGUGCCAUGAUUUUAGAUCUGAACCUAUUAUGUUUUCAUGAUAUAUGUGUGUUCUUGAUCCUAUCUUGCAAGUCUAUAGUCACCUAUUAUGUGUUAUGAUCCGACAACCCCGAAGUGACAAUAAUCGGGAUAUUUCUCGGUGAUGACCGUAGUUUGAGGAGUUCAUGUAUUUACUAUGUGCUAAUGCUUUGUUCUGGUUCUCUAUUAAAAGGAGGCCUUAAUAUCCCUUAGUUUCCGUAAGGACCCCGCUGCAACGGGAGGGUAGGACAAAAGAUGUCAUGCAAGUUCUUUUCCAUAAGCAUGUAUGACUAUUUACGGAAUACAUGCCUACAUUACAUCGAUGAAUUGGAGCUAGUUCUAUAUCACCCUAUGUUAUAAGUAUUACUUGAGGAAUCGCAUCUGGCAUAAUUAUCCAUCUUUGAUCCAUUGCCUACGAGCUUUUCACAUAUUGUUCUUCGCUUAUUUACUUUUCUGUUGCUACUGUUACAACUACUACAAAAACCCAAAAACAUUUAUCUUUACGUUUGCUACAGCUACUAUUAUUAUCAUACCAGUUUUGCUACUAAACACUUUGCUGGAGAUACUAAGUUAUCCAGGUGUGGUUGAAUUGACAACUGAAAUGUUAAUACUCAAGAAUAUUCUUUGGCUCCCCUUGUGUCAAAUCGAUAAAUUUGUGUUGAAUACUCUACCCUCGAAAGCUGUUGCGAUCCCCUAUACUUGUGGGUUAUCAAGACUAAUUUCUGGCGCCGUUGCCAGGGAGCAUAGCUCUAUUCUCUGAGUCACUUGGGAUUUAUAUCUGUUGAUCACUAUGAAGAACUUGAAAGACGAUCGAACUACUAUUUUGCCCUCAACUACGAGGGGAGGUAAGGAACUGCCAUCUAGCUCUACACUAGAUUCUCCUUCUGUUAUAAGUAAGCUUGCGACACCUAAACCUGCUACUGCUAUGAAUUCUGAUAUGUCGCAUGUUAUUGAUGAUGCCACUUCUGCUAUGCAUGAUGAAACGACUUCUGUGCGCGAUACUACUUUGCCAUUAGGUGAAUUUCUAGAUGAACAACUUGCUAGAUUUAGGGGGAAUGAAAUUACUGAAGAUCCUAUUACGGAUGAUAGUGAUGAUGAAGGUCCCCCCAAUGAUUAUGUAUUACCUGUUGUUCCUAAGGGUUAUGUUAUGCAUGAAACAGCUGCUAUGGAAAUUCUUGCUUGCGAUGAUAGAAAUGAUCUUAAGAAAUUAUUAGCUAAAUGGAAGCAGCAGUCUCUUAAUGCUAGAAUGAAACCCGAUCCUGCUUUUGCUACUUCACCUAUCUAUGUUACUGAUAAGGAUUAUGGAUUCUCUGUUGAUCCUGAUAUUAUUACUUUAGUUGAAUCUAAUCCUUUUUAUGGCCUUGAAUCUGAAACUGUUGUGGCACAUCUUACCAAGUUGAAUGAUAUAGCCACCCUAUUUACUCAUGAUGAGAAGUCUCGCUAUUUAUAUAUCCUUAAGAUAUCUCCGUUCUCAUUAAAGGGUGAUGCUAAGACUUGGUAUAAUUCUCUUGCUCCUGGUUGUGUGCGUAGUCCCCAGGAUAUGAUUUAUUAUUUCUCUGCUAAAUAUUUCCCUGCUCAUAAGAAACAAGCUGCCUUGCGGGAAAUAUAUAAUUUUGUGCAAAUCAAAGAAGAGAGUCUCCCACAAGCUUGGGGGAGGAUUCUCCAGUUACUUAAUUCUUUGCCUGAUCAUCCUCUUAAGAAAAAUGAAAUACUUGAUAUCUUUUAUAAUGGACUAACUGAUGCUUCCAAGGACUACUUGGAUAGUUGGUGUUGGUUGUGUUUCCAGGGAAAGAACAGUCGACGAAGCUGAAAUACUAUUGAAUAAUAUGUUGACUAAUGAAAAUAAUUGGACUCUUCCUGAGCCAGUUCCUGAAGUAAUUCCUGAACCAAUUGAGCCAACUCCUGAGCCUAUUCCUAAACCCACUCCGAGGAAGAGAGGUGUUUUAUUUCUAAGUCCUGAAGAUAUGCAAGAGGCAAAGAAAUCAAUGAAAGAAAAAGGUAUUAAAGCUGAAGAUGUUAAGAAUUUACCUCCUAUUAUGGUCUUAAUUUACCGCGUGAAGAACCACAUUGUCUUGAUAACCCGUCACAGGUAGUAAAGGUAAAUUCUCUCUAUACAUAUGAUAAAGUUGAAGUACCCUCUACUAAAUUUCAUAGUCCGUGCUUAGAUGAGUUUGAUGACUUUAUGGCUAGACAAGAAAGUUUUAAUGCUUAUGUUGGUAGAGAGUUAAAGAAUAAUGCCUUCAAGAUAGGACGCGUAGGUGAUAAUCUGGCUAGAGUUAAAGAUGAACUUCAUCGCGUAAUCAAAUAUGCUUCUAUGGUUGCUACCCAAGCUGAGCAAGUACUUAAAGCUCAAAAUGAUUUGUUUGAUGAAUUGAAUAAUAAAAAUGACUUUGUUGUUAGAGUGGCUACUAGAACUGGUAGAAUGACUCAGGAACCUUUGUAUCCUGAAGGCCACCCUAAGAGAAUCGAGCAAGAUUCUCAGAGAAAUAAUUUAGAGACACCUAGUUCUUCUAAAAAGAAGAAGAAGAAAAACGAUAGAACUUUGCAUGCUUCUAGUGAACCUACUGUAGAGACACCUGAGAAUCCCAAUGAUAUUUCUAUUUCUAAUGCUGAAACUCAAUCAGGUGAUGAACAUGAACCUAGUGAUAAUGUUAAUGAUAAUGUUCAUGUUGAUGCUCAACCUAGCAAAGACAAUGAUAUAGAAAUUGAACCUGAUGUUGAUCUUGAUAACCCACAAUCAAAGAAUCAACGUUAUGAUAAGAGAGAUUUUGUUGCUAGGAAGCACGGUAAAGAAAGAGAACCAUGCCCUUUCCUCCUAAACCAUCCAAGUCAAAGGAUGAUGAGGAUUUUGAGUGCUUUGCUGAAAUGAUUAGACCUAUUUUCUUACGUAUGCGCUUAACUCAUAUGCUUAAAGUAAAUCCUUAUGCUAAAUAUAUGAAGGAUAUCAUCACAAAUAAAAGAAACAUACCGGAAGCUGAAAUUUCCACCAUGCUUGCUAAUUACACUUUUAAAGUUGGAAUACCAAAGAAACUUGGAGAUCCGGGUGUACCAACUAUACCAUGCUCUAUUAAAAGAAAUUAUGUUAGAACUGCUUUAUGCGAUCUUGGAGCCGGUGUUAGUGUUAUGCCUCUCUCUUUAUACUAUAGACUUGAAUUGAAUAAGUUGACACCUACUGAAAUAUCUUUGCAAAUGGCUGAUAAAUCAACUACUAUACCUGUCGGCAUUUGUGAGGAUGUGCCUGUUGUGGUUGCAAAUGUCACUAUCUUAACGGACUUUGUUAUUCUUGAUAUUCCUGAGGACGAUAGCAUUUCUAUUAUUCUUGGUAGACCUUUUCUUAAUACUGCAGGGGCUGUUAUUGAUUGUAACAAAGGCAAUGCCACUUUUCAUGUUAAUGGUAAUGAGCAUACGGUACACUUUCCGAGGAAACAAUCUCAAGUUCAUAGCAUCAAUUCUAUUGAAAAAGUUCCAACUAUGAUUUUUGGAGGUUUUGAAUUUCCUCUCCCUACUGUCAAGAAAAAGUAUGAUAUUCUUAUUUAUGGGGAUUUUCAUAUCCCCGUUGAGGUAACUUAGUGUUAUUCGAAAUUUCUCCGGUUCCGUGUUAUUCGGAAUGAGUUUGUUAACAAGACUUGAUCAACCUUGUUAGUGGGUUCAUUUUGAUGAUCACGAGAUGUAUGAAACUAGAAGGCACAACCUUCUGUACCCUCUUUUUACUUUCUGUUAUUUAGAAUAAAUAAAGCAAAAAAAUUAUUAUCCGUCUAUUUUCUGAAUUAUCCGUGCAUUAAAAAAUAGUCCGAAAAUAAAAGUGAUCCAAAUGCCCUGCAAAUUUAGUAUGAUUUUUUCUGGAAUAUUUGAGGAUUUUAGGCACUGAAAACACUGCAGGAGGGCCAAGCAACAGGCCACAAGAGAGGAGCCCCCCCUCGGUAGGGCGCGCCCCCCUAUCUCGUGGGCCCCUGGUGGCUCCCCUCCACUUAUACCAGCACCCACACACUUCAUCUUCUACCCAAAAAAAUCCCCAUCCAGCUCAAGCCCGAGUUCUAGCUCGUUUUGCUGCGAUUUUUGAUCUCUUAGCUCAAAGCUCCAUUCACAAAACUGCUUUGGGAGAUUGUUGCUUGGCAUGUGACUCCUCCAUUGGUCCAAUUAGCUUUUGUUUUAGUGCUUUAUUCAUUGCAAAUUUUUGCUGCAUAGGUGACCAUGUUCUUGAGCUUGCAUGUUAAAUUUUUGAGGUCCCAAGCAAUUCCAAUGCAUGAUAUAGGCUCUAGGCACUUGUAGGAGUAGUUGCUAUCAAUCUUGUUUAGUUUUAUUCACUUGUAUUUUGAAGUUACUAAAAUUUCAGAAAUUUUCAGAGAAUGUUAAGGAGGCUCUUUAAAGGCUCUUCUAGCCAAAGCACUAAGGAAAACAAGACAAAGAGAAGGAAAAACCUAAGUAUAAUCUUCCUCGCUUAGCGGAAGUACGGUCAUGUGAAUGGCCGUGUGAGGAUUUCUUGAAAGAAGCCAAAAUUCAUGAAGACUUUUAUGCUUUAAUCGGGACUGCAUGCCUCACCGGUUUCAUGAACGGCCGAAUCGAUUAGUAUAUCUUACUUACCAAUACUUUCAUGCAAAACUUUUAUUAUUAUCCUAAGAAGUCACCGCCUGCAUUAUCAUUCCAUUUAUAUGAUGAAUUCAGAGAAAUGUCUUUACGUGAUUUUUGCGCGAUAUGUAGGAUACUUAUGAGGGAGAAUUAGAGGAACCCCAUCGUGAAGAUGUGGAUGGCUUUGUUAAAACUAUUGUUGUAGAAGAGCCAAAGAAGGGCUCUGAGGCAAAAGUCUCUAGCAUACACUUUCCUGUUUUACGCUACUUUGUUAUAUUUGCUAGUAGAUGCUUGAUUGGUCAUGGAAAUAGUGGAAAUUUGAGCGUUCCAGAUAUUAUUAUUCUUCAACAUGCUUUGCUGGGAGACAACACUUUUAGUAUGGGUGUCGUCGUUGCUAAACGGCUAGCCCUGAAUCAUACAAAAGGCCCCAUAUUUGGAGGUAUCUAUGAUGCGCGUCUUGCUGAAUAUUUUCAGAUACCCAUUAGGCACCAUGAGGAGGAGGAGACAAAAUUACCUCCUCACAUUUUAGAUUACAAGAGCAUGGUAGCACACAAGUUUAUUGUUGACAACGAAGAAAAGAUGCUCUUGUAUAGACUUAGAUUCAAUAAGAAACACUUUGAGUUUAUUAUUUUGCCUGCACCUCUGUUAUUUGACUUGCUUGCAGAAAAUCGCCUUGUUACGCCAGAAGCGGUGAACAACCAUCUAGCCCAAGCUUUUACUCCAGAACCUGAACCUGAGCCGGAACCUGAGCUGGACCCUCAUCAUGCAUCAUCUGUCCAGUGGGAUCCGGAGAUGACCAGCCAGUGGUAUCCUGAUUAUACCUCCCACUACACUGGGGAGAGUAGCGGUGGUCCUUGGUAUUAGACCAACUUAGGCCAAAAGCCUAAGCUUGGGGGAGUACGUAUUUCUCACCGACUUUACAUUCAUGUUCACACACUAGUCGACGGUGCUCACACUCUUUCAUUGUAUUAUCCAUGCUAGUUUAAAUUUCUUUUUCUAGUUUUCUUCUUGUGUGUUUGAUAAACUUAAGAAAAACCAAAAAAAUUAGUUAGUUUAAUUUCCUUGCUUGUAGUAGAAACUAAAAUGAAAACCCAAAAAGAUUUCUUGUUCUUCUUUUACUUGUUGGGAGCUUCCCGUGUAAAUAGUUUUAUUUUCUUUUCUUUCUUUUGGGGGUCGAGAAGACCAUAUUGAAAAUGCUUAGUGGCUCUUAUAAUGCAUGAUUGUUUAUUUAAUUUAGAGCCCAUAUUACUUGUAUUCUCUUUUGAGUUAAAUGCUUACAGAUUCCAGCUUAUUCCAAUGCACGUGCACUCUUAUUAUUAUACACAUCGUUCGGUCGUGCAAGUGAAAGGCAAUAAUGACGAUGUAUGAUGGACUUAUUGGGAUGAGAAAAGCUGGUAUGAGCUCGACCUCUCUUGUUUUUGUAAAUAUGAUGAUCCAUCGUUCCUGAGUCAGCUAUUAUGAAGUAAACAUAUUUGCAAUGACAUUUAGAGAUUAUAGUUGCUUGUGCCAUGCUUGAUUAGCUAUGAGUUAUAAUGGUUUACCUUGUGUGCCAACAUGCUAUUAGAAUAAUUAUGAUGUGGUAUGAUGGGAUGGUAUCCUCCUUUAAAUGAAUUGAGUGACUCGACUUGGCACAUGUUCACGCAUGUAGUUGAAUCAAAUCAACAUAGCCUUCGUGAUAUUUAUGUUCAUGGUAGAUUAUAUCCUACUCAUGCUUGUACUCGGUGUAAAUUAAUUUUAAUGCAUGUUUACGACUGUUGUCGCUCUAUUAGUUGGUCGCUUCCCAGUCUCUUGCUAGCCUUCACCUGUACUAAGCGGGAAUACUUCUUGUGCAUCCAAACUCCUUAAACCCCAAAGUUGUUCCAUAUGAGUCCACUAUACCUACCUAUAUGCGGUAUUUACUUGCCGUUCCAAGUAAAUUUGUAUGUGCCAAACUCCAAACCUUCAAAUGAAAUUCUGUUUUGUAUGCUCGAGCAGCUCAUGCUUCAACUAGGGCUGCCUAUAUCUUCCAUGCUAGGUGGGUUAUUCUCAAGAGGAGUGGACUCCGCUCCUCAUUCACGAGAAAGGGCCGGUAACCGGGAUGCCCAGUCCCAUGAUCCAGAAAUAUCAAAGCAAAUCAAAUUAAUUAAACAAAACUCCCCCGGGGUUGUUGUAUGUUGGAGGCACUCGUUGUUUCGAGCAAGCCAUGCAUUGAUGCUUGUUGUUGGUUGGGGGAGUAUAAACCUUUACCAUUCUGUUUGGGAACUGCCUAUAAUGCAUGUAGUAUGGAAGAUACAUCCAUCUCAUAGUUGUUGCGUUGACAGCAAAAGUAUACCGCUCAAAAUAUUAUUCAACCUCUAUUUUAAAAUCGAGCUCUGGCACCUGUACAAAUCCCUGCUUCCCUCUGCGAAGGGCCUAUCUAUUUACUUUUAUGUUGAGUCAUCAUCCUUCUUAUUAAAAGCACCCGCUGGAGAGCACACUGUCAUUUGCAUUCAUUAUUAUUGGUUUGUAUUGGGUAUGACUUGACUGGAUCUAUCCUACCAUGAAUUACAAUGUUUAGUCAGUCCUUGAUCUUUAAAAGUGCUCUGCAUUUAUGUUUUGCGGUCUCAGAAAGGGCUGGCGAGAUACCAUUUCGUUAUAUCAUGUUAUGAUUAUUUUGAGAAAGUGUUGUCAUCCGAGUUUUAUUAUUAUAGCUCGCUAGCUGAUUAUGUUAUUGAUAUGAGUAAUUAUGAGACCUAUGUGUUAUUGUUAGUAUGGUUAGUUCAUAAUAUUUGCUGAAACUUGAAUGCUGGCUUUUCAUGUUACAACAACAAGAGCAACAGAGUUUGUAAAAGUUUUUCUUUAUCACUUUCAGUUUAUCAACUGAAUUGCUUGAGGACAAGCAAAGGUUUAAGCUUGGGGGAGUUGAUACGUCUCCAACGUAUCUACUUUUCCAAACACUUUUGCCCUUGUUUUGGACUCUAACUUGCAUGAUUUGAAUGAAACUAACCCGGACUGAUGCUGUUUUCAGCAGAACUGCCAUGAUGUUGUUUUAUGUGUAGAAAAGAAAAGUUCUCAGAAUGUCCUAGAAAUCCAUGGAGGCACUUUUCAGAAUUAAUAAGAAUUUUUGGCGAAAGAAUCAAGGCUAGGGGGCCCACGGGCUGUCCACGAGACAGGGGGCGCGCCCCCUAGGGCGCGCCCUCCUAUCUCGUGGGCCCCCUGGACACCUCCCCACCUCAACUCCAACUCCAUAUAUACCGUCUCGGGGAGAAAAAAAAUCAGAGAGAAAGUUUCAUCGUGUUUCACGACACGGAGCCGCCGCCAAGCCCUAAUCUCUCUCGGGAGGGCUGAUCUGGAGUCCGUUCGGGGCUCCGGAGAGGGGGAUUCGUCGCUGUCGUCAUCAUCAACCAUCAUCUAUCACCAAUUUCAUGAUGCUCACUGCCGUGCAUGAGUAAUUCCAUCGUAGGCUUGAUGGACGGUGAUGGGUUGGAUGAGAUUUACCAUGUAAUCAAGUUAGUUUUGUUAGGGUUUGAUCGCUAGUAUCCACUAUGUUCUGAGAUUGAUGUUUCUAUGACUUUGCUAUGCUUAAUGCUUGUCACUAGGGCCCGAGUGCCAUGAUUUCAGAUCUGAACCUAUUAUGUUUUCAUGAAUAUAUGUGUCUUCUUGAUCCUAUCUUGCAAGUCUAUAGUCACCUAUUAUGUGUUAUGAUCCGACAACCCCGAAGUGACAAUAAUCGGGAUACUUCUCGGUGAUGACCGUAGUUUGAGGAGUUCAUAUAUUCACUAUGUGCUAAUGCUUUGUUCCGGUUCUCUAUUAAAAGGAGGCCUUAAUAUCCCUUAGUUUCCGUAAGGACCCCGCUGCAAUGGGAGGGUAGGACAAAAGAUGUCAUGCAAGUUCUUUUCCAUAAGCACGUAUGACUAUUUACGGAAUACAUGCCUACAUUACAUCGAUGAAAUGGAGCUAGUUCCAUAUCACCCUAUGUUAUAACUAUUGCAUGAGGAAUCGCAUCCGGCAUAAUUAUCCAUCAUUGAUCCAUUGCCUACGAGCUUUUCACAUAUUGUUCUUCGCUUAUUUACUUUUCCGUUGCUACUGUUACAACUACUACAAAAACCCAAAAACAUUUAUCUUUACGUUUGCUACCGCUACUAUUAUUAUCAUACCACUUUUGCUACUAAACACUCUGCUGCAGAUACUAAGUUAUCCAGGUGUGGUUGAAUUGACAACUCAACUGCUAAUACUCAAGAAUAUUCUUUGGCUCCCCUUAUGUCGAAUCAAUAAAUUUGGGUUGAAUACUCUACCCUCGAAAGCUGUUGCGAUCCCCUAUACUUGUGGGUUAUCAUGGCCCCAACGACAGGAAGGUUGGCUUGUACAAUAUGCACCGUGAGGUGGCUGCCCAUACCAAUUUGUUGUCCUUCCACUUACUUUUCACCAAAUCUCGAAGCAACAAACUCCAAGCACCUUAGAGCAACUCCAACGCACCGAUCCAAAUGGAUGGCAAUUUUGUCCACUUUUUGUUGUUUGGGUCGACCCAGCGGACACCAACGUCCGCUUUCGUGUUUGGGUCGACGCGUACGCCCAACGUUGGCCCGACCCAUUUUGACGGCGCGCAAAAAAAGAAUACAAGCAUUUAAAAAAUAAAAACAAACAUCAAUUAAACAUUAAAGCCGGCCACGAAGGCCGGCUAUAGUCCACACGUCCACAUUUGCAUCAAUUAAACAUUAAAAAAAGUAAACUACGAGGCGGCGUGCUGUCCUAGGUGUCAUCGUUGUCCUUGGGGUCAGUGAGGUCGAUGAGCGUCAGCGCAGGGCCGGCCCAGGGGAACGCCGUGUUCUAGGCGGUGGCGAUGUCGGCCGCCGGCUGUGGUGCCGCGGCCUAGCACGCCUCGUCCUAGGCGUCGUGUUGCUCGUCCUCGGUGUCGCGCUUGAGUAUCUCGAGGUAUUCGCCGUGGUGGCACUCCUCGGCCAGCCGUCGCUGGCGCCAUUGUUCGAGGUACGCCGCCUCCUGCGCAGGUGUCGCCCCCAUCCAGACUGGCGGCACAUUGACCCACUCGCGCACUACUCCCGUCCAGGAGUAGCGCUCGAAGGGGGACGGCUCUGGCUCGGCUUUGACCGGGGAUGACGAGGCCACCGGCCGCACAACACAGUCGCCCGCCGCAGAGAGGGCGCCUGGUACGCCGCCUCCUCUUCCUCCUUCUCCGCCACCCUACACCGCUCGUCCUCCUCGCUCUCCCGAAAGACAGCCGCAAUGGCUGCCUCGUAGGCUGCCUUCCUCUCCUGGUCCUCAUUGCAGACGAUGAGUGGGGGUGGCGGCACGUUGCAGUCGACUUUGCGAACGCCGUGUCGCCUCGCCUCCUUGUGCUCGAAGGCGAACCAACGAGCCUAGUUGGGUGAGUCAAAGGCGUAUGCGGCAUCGCUAUGCUGCUCCGGCAUCAGUAGUGCCCGCCGACACCGCACCUCCUACGCGUGCGCCCUACCCGACCGCGACGCCGCCGACAUUGGGAUCCUCUCCAGAUCUAGAUGUCAGUCGUGCGGCUGGGUGGCGUCGGGAUAUGGGAGAGGCAUGCGGUCCUGCCAGUGCCACUCCGCCUGGUGCACUAACACGUCGGCGCGCUGCCUCGGCCGGCGAGCUGGCGCCGACGGAGGCGGGGGGGAGGGGGAAUGGGUGGCGGGAGCCUUGCCCUUGGCAUUGCUAGCUGCUGCUGGUGCUGGAGAAGAGCCCCAUCUGGCUUGUCUAGGGUGGCUAGGGUUCCCGCCGGCGGGGGAGCAGAGUGUGGCGAGAUGGGGAUGGGGGCUUCUCGAAGCAGAUGAGGACUGCCCCGCCACAUGCUUGGUUUAAAAAAGGUCGGAUGCCGGUUCUUUGCAAAUCAUAUUAAAGUUCUAGGUGUAGUUUUGAUGAUUCUUCAUUGCGAACCCACCUCUUCCCUCUGUGUCAUGUCGUCCGAUUCCUUGAAGGUCGGAUGCUAGUUCUUUGCAACUCGUAUUACAGUUCUAAGUGUAGUUUUGAAGGUUAUUCGUGGCGAACCCACCUCCUCCCUCCAUGUCACCUCAUCCGGUUCCUUGAAGGUCGGAUGCCGGUUCUUUGCAAAUCGUAUUACAAUUCAAAGUGUAGUUUUCAUGGUUCUUCAUGACGAACCACCUCCCUCCCUUCGUGUCACAUCGUCUGGUUCCUUGAAGGUCGGAUGCUGGUUCUUUGCAAAUUGUAUUACAGUUCCAAGUGUAGUUUUGAAGGUUCUUUGUGGAAAACCCACUUCCUCCCUCUGGGUCACAUAAUCUGGUUCCUUGAAUGUCAGAUUUCGGUUCUUUGCAAAUCAUAUUACGGUUCCACGUGNNNNNNNNNNNNNNNNNNNNNNNNNNNNNNNNNNNNNNNNNNNNNNNNNNNNNNNNNNNNNNNNNNNNNNNNNNNNNNNNNNNNNNNNNNNNNNNNNNNNNNNNNNNNNNNNNNNNNNNNNNNNNNNNNNNNNNNNNNNNNNNNNNNNNNNNNNNNNNNNNNNNGGAUGCCGGUUCUUUGCAAAUCGUAUUACAGUUCCAAGUGUAGUUUUGAAGGUUCUUCGUGGCGAACCCACCUCCUCCCUUCGUGUCACAUCAUCUGGUUCCUUGAAGGUCGGAUGCUGGUUCUUUGCAAAUCAUAUUACAGUUCCAAAUAUAGUUUUGACGGUUCUUCAUUGUGAACUCACCUCUCCCUCUGUGUCACGUCGUCCGGUUCCUUGAAGGUCGGAUGCCGGUUUUUUGCAAAUCAUAUUACAGUUCCAAGUGUAGUUUUGACGAUUCUUCAUUGCGAACCCACUUAUCCCUCUGUGUCACGUCUUCUGGUUCCUUGAAGUUUGGAUGCUGGUUCUUUGCAAAUCGUAUUACAGUUCCAAGUGUAGUUUUGAAGUUCUUCGUGGCGAACCCACCUCCUUCCUCCGUGUCACAUCAUCCAAUUCCUUGAAGGUCGGAUGUCGGUUCUUUGCAAAUCAUAUUACAGUUCGAAGUGUAGUUUUGAAGGUUCUUUGUGGCAAACCCACCUCCUCCCUCUGGGUCACGUAGUCCGGUUCCUUGAACAUUGGAUGCCGGUUCUUUGCAAAUCGUAUUAGGGUUCCACAUGUAAUUUUUAAGNNNNNNNNNNNNNNNNNNNNNNNNNNNNNNNNNNNNNNNNNNNNNNNNNNNNNNNNNNNNNNNNNNNNNNNNNNNNNNNNNNNNNNNNNNNNNNNNNNNNNNNNNNNNNNNNNNNNNNNNNNNNNNNNNNNNNNNNNNNNNNNNNNNNNNNNNNNNGAUUCUUUGCAAAUUGUAUUACAGUUCCAAGUAUAGUUUUGACGGUUCUUCAUUGCGAACUCACCUCUCCCUUUGUGUCACGUCGUCCGGUUCCUUGAAGGUCGGAUGCCGGUUCUUUGCAAAUCAUAUUACAGUUCCAAGUGUAAUUUUCACGGUUCUUCAUUGCAAACUCACUUCUCCCUCUGUGUCACGUCUUCCGAUUCCUUGAAGGUUGGAUGUCGGUUCUUUGCAAAUCGUAUUACAGUUCCAAGUGUAGUUUUGAAGGUUCUUUGAGGCGAACCCACCUCCUCCCUCCGUAUCACAUCAUCCAAUUCCUUGAAGGUCGGAUGUCGGUUCUUUGCAAAUCGUAUUAUAGUUCGAAGUGUAGUUUUCACGAUUCAUCAUGGCGAACCCACCUCCCUCCCUUCGUGUCACGCCGUCCGGUUCCCUGAAGGUGGGAUUUCAGCUAUGGGCUUCGGCAGGGCAACGAGGAGCGUUUUCCUUUUUUGCUAACAUUCUCUGGUUAAGACAUUUUUAGUCCGAUUUUGAGAAUAACCAAUCAGUGGGUUCCAAAAGGCAUAAAUGUCAAUACUUUUUCAAAAUACUUUAAACCAGAAUACAUUAUUUUAUGAACAAACUACAUUUUGGACAAAACAUAUAACAUGUGAGGUUUAUUGUGGUUUACACAUAAGUAGUCAAGUGUAAUGAGAGAUAACACUAGUAGAAAAAGGGCCAUUCGAACCGGUUCGUGAGGUCCAUUUGUCCCGGUUCACGAACCGGGACUAAAGGGUCAUAACUAAAGCCCUCCACCUUUAGUCCCGGUUCGAUCGGGAACCGGUACAGAUAGGGCUCCACGUGGCCGUAGCGGCUUGCCCAGGCAGGGGGACCUUUUGUCCCGGUUGGUGCCACCAACCGGGACCAAAAGGCCUCCACNNNNNNNNNNNNNNNNNNNNNNNNNNNNNNNNNNNNNNNNNNNNNNNNNNNNNNNNNNNNNNNNNNNNNNNNNNNNNNNNNNNNNNNNNNNNNNNNNNNNNNNNNNNNNNNNNNNNNNNNNNNNNNNNNNNNNNNNNNNNNNNNNNNNNNNNNNNNNNNNNNNNNNNNNNNNNNNNNNNNNNNNNNNNNNNNNNNNNNNNNNNNNNNNNNNNNNNNNNNNNNNNNNNNNNNNNNNNNNNNNNNNNNNNNNNNNNNNNNNNNNNNNNNNNNNNNNNNNNNNNNNNNNNNNNNNNNNNNNNNNNNNNNNNNNNNNNNNNNNNNNNNNNNNNNNUAGGGUUAAUUUUGGGGUUUCAUAUAUUGUGUUAGCUAGCUAAUAGAGAGGAGUGUCCUCUCUUAUCUUCGUGCUUGGUCGAUGCUACGUAUAGAGAGGACUCGACACGCUAGCUAGCUAGUAAGCAAAUGAAGGAAACCAUUAAGUACAGAAGAUCGUCAUGAACACAGAGAAGUGAUCAACCUCUCCUUCUCCGAUAGAUUGGUCGAACAACAAGUUUUCGUAUAUCUAUCGACGCUAUUGGCUAUAUAUAUAUAUAUAUAUAUAUAUAUAUAUAUAUAUAUAUAUAAACACUAUUCUGAUCACGGGAUGAGAAUAAUAUUCUGAUCACAACAUGAACUUCCCGAGUAACGCGCCUGACCUUCCCCGGGUACUAGGUUGAACUUCAGCUAAAAAGUGUCCAAAUGGGGCUUGCGAUAUACCGUUGGAAAGCUAUGGACACCAAUAUCAUGAUCCAAAUUAAAUUUUUGGCAAAAUGUAAGCGGUUUAAGAACAGUUUUGACAACCGUUUUUUCUUCAUACAAAAAACGUGAAUCAUAUUUUCAAUCACAUUUCUAAACCGUUUAUCGGAAUAAGGUAAAUAAUAUAGCGUUGGAAAGCUGCUGCAAAACCGCUCCUUCGACAUGUUGAAAGUUAUCUCUAAUUCCCUAUGGAUAAAGAGUAAUUUUGAAAAUCGUAAAAUUUCGCAAACCAAAUAGACGAGUUCGUAUUUUCAAUGUAAUUUCUAAACUGCUAAUCCAUUUGAGGCAAAUGAUAUGGCAUUGGAAAGCUUCUUAAAAUGCGCUACUUUUUCAUGUUAAAAGUUGUUUCUAAUUUGGAACGGUUUAAAAGUAAUUUAGAAAAUGGUACAAGUUCCACCGAGUUCGUAUUUUCGAGCUAAUUUUGUAACCGUACGUCCGAAUGCAACAAAUGAUACGGAGUUGGAAAGCUUGAGAAAAUUCGAAACUUUUUUGUAUAUAUUGUUUCUCCUAAUUCCUUACAGUUUUAAGUCAAAUUGGAAAAUGAAUAAAAACAUAUUUUUGGCAUAAUUUCUACAUACUUUAUCGGAAUGGGCCAAAGAAUAUACCGCUGAAAAGCUACGGAAAAUGCAAAACUUUUUCAUGUUGAUGGUUUUCUCUGACUCCCGACCAUUUUCAAGUAAUUACAAAAAUGGCGAGAUCAUUCGUUCUGCCUUUAUCGCGAAACUGAUUAUUCGAAAAUGCACCGCGUGAAGAACGUGAACUUCUCGGCACGUUUUCUUGAACUUCACUCUGUUUUUCAUGUGCUUUUCUUUUCUCAUAUAUCUCUAUCCACGGCUCCUAGCUCUCCAUCCACUUAUCGGAAUUGAGCAAGUGAUAUACCGAUGGAAAGCUGUUGUAAACACGCAACUUUCCCGUGUUGAUCAUUUUUUCAUACUCGCAACGAUUGUAAAAGUUUUUCAUCUGAAAUUCAUUCAGCGUACUAGUAGAACUUCAUGCUAUUUUCACGUUGAACUUCUGUGACGUAUUUUUGUUUGUACAUGCGCCUGAACUUCCCUCUGUACGAGCCCGACCUUCGGUCUAUCUUUGCAAUCGUGGCUUCCCCCGCAAAUUAUUCUGUUUAGUAGUGUUCUAUAUGAUGUUAGUGUAAUCUAGAAAAGUUUUUUAGCAACUAAAUACCGGUUUUAAAUAGAAAUCUCGCUCGCUGGCGGAUUUUGCUCUCGGGUCGUGAUAAAAUUGCGUUUUUUGUAAUUUUACUGCCUGAUUUGUUCGACCUGAACUUCCCCUAGUGCUAUAUUGAACUUCCGUCAACAUUGCCCAAAUGGGGCUUGCGAUAUACCGUUGGAAAUCUAUGGACACCAGUAUCAUGACCCAACUUCAAAUUUUGGCAAAAUGUAAGUGGUUUAAGAGCAGUUUUGAAAACUGUUUUUUCUUCAUACAAAAAAAUGGAUCGUAUUUUCGAUCGCAUUUCUAAACCGUUUAUCGGAAUGAGGCAAAUAAUAUGGCGUUGGAAAGCUGUUGUAAAACCGCUCCUUCCACAUGCUGAAAGUUUUUUCUAAUUCCCUAUGGUUAAAGAGCAAUGUGGAAAAUCGUAAAAUUUCGCAAACCGAACAAUCGAGUUCAUAUUUUUAUUGUCAUUUUAAACGCCUAAUCCAAUUGAGACAAAUGAUAUGGCGUUGGAAAACUUAUGAAAAUUCUCUUUUUUCUCAUGUUGAAAGUUUUUUUUAAUUUAUAAUAGUUUAAGAGUAAUUUAGAAAACGGUACAAGUUCUACCAAGUUUGUAUUUUUGAUAUUUUUUUAAUCAUACGUCUGAACGUAGCAAAUGAUAUGGCGUUAAAAAGCCUGAACAAAUGUGAAACUUUUUGGUAUAUAUUGUUUCUCGAAAUUCAUUAUGGUUUUACGUUGAUUUUGAAAAUGGCUAAAAAUGUAUUUUCGCCGUAAUUUCUACAAACUUUUUCAUGUUGAUGGUAUUCUCUGAAUCCCAGCCAUUUUCAAGUAAUUUUAGAAAUGGCGAGAUCGCUCAUUCUUCCUUUAUCGCGAAACAGAUUCGUCGAAAAUGCAUCGCGUGAAGUACUUGAACUUCUAUGGCAGUUCUGCCUGAACUUCACUCUGGUUUUCACGUGCUUUUUUCUUGCACGUAGCUCUUCAUUCACUCAUCGGAAUUAAGCAAGUGAUAUACCGAUGGAAAGCUGCUAUAAGCACACAACUUUUUCGUGUUGAUCAUUUUUUCAUACUUGCGACGGUUUUAAAAGUUUUUCUUGUGAAAUUCAUUUAGUGUAGUAGUUGAACUUCCUGCUGUUUUCAGGUUGGACUUCUGUGACAUAUUUUUGUUUAUAAUUUUCCCAUCCAUUUUCGUCAGUGUUACACAAAUGAUAUUCUUUUUAUACAAACCUCUCUCACAAUAUUUUUUUAACUUUCUCCGACUGAGGACUUGAACUUACACAAAUGAUAUUCCUGUCGUUUUGAAGUAAUUUAGACAAUGACAAGAUCAUGAUUUCUGCCUUCAUCGCGAAUGGAAAUGCACUGCGUGAAGUAGUUGAACUUCUCGGGCAUGACUGUUUGAACUUCACUCUAUUUUUGACGUGAUGUUUUUUGCACUGCAUGAAAUAGUUGAACUUCUAGGACAUGUCUAUUCGAACUUCACUCUGUUUCACUUUAUUGUAUUUUUCUUAUAUGAAAUACUCACAAUGUAGUACGUGAACUUCUGGUUGUUAUCACUUUGAACUUCUCUCUGGUUUCAGAAAAUUAUUUUAAAACACAAACUACAUAUUUUUUAUGUUGGACAUCUAAAUACACGGUGAACCUGUCUCACAAGAAUUUUUUUGAACUUUUCCUCACCGAGCACUUGAACUUCUAGCAACCAUUUUUUCGUUUAUGAGUUGUUUUUAAAAGUGCAAAAAAUGGCGUUGUGAUUUUUAUUUUUUGAACAGGUAAAUCCUAGGUUUUAAUAAACUCCGAACUUCUCUGUUAUUUCAAUAUGAACUUCACCUUUUUAUAUUUUGAGUAAAGAAUUGUAUUCGAUUUUUAUACGAAAAAAUCGAACAUGGAAAUACAAGGUGAACCUCUCUCGCAAGAAUUUUUGAACAUCUCCGGACAUAGCAGUUGAACUUCUUUCAACAAACCUUUUAUGCUUUUAUUUUUUUAUAUUUUAUUCUCACAUGAAAUGCAUUCCUUGUAGUAGUUGAACUUUUCGUGGUUUUCACCUUGAACUUCUGUCACGUAUUUUUGUUCAACCUCUCUCACACAAGAAUUUUUGAACUUUCUCGGGCGGAGCACUUGAACUUCUAGCAACAAAACUUUAUGCUAUGCAUUUCCAUUCUUUUUUUUCAAUACAAAAUGCACACCGUGUAGUACAUGAACUUCUGGUAGUUAUCAAUCUGAACUUCUGAGAUCAUGUGUUCUGCCUUCGUCGGAAAAAUAGAGUCUCCAAAAAUGCACUUCGUGAAGUGGUUGAAUUUCUGGAGCAGUUAUUUUUGAACUUCACUAUGUUUUUCACGUGUUUUUUUAUGUCGGUCCAUUAUCUAAAUUUGAACCGGUCCAUUAUCUAAAUUUGAACUUCUAGUAUUUUCUAUUUUGAAAUGGUGAAAAUCCUUUUUUAUGAGUUUUGAACUGCUCCAUUUAAAAAAAUUGAACUUGUUGUUUUUUUUAUGUUUGAACUUCUGGUUUUCUUUCUUUAAUUAUGAGGAAGACUUUGAAUAUUUUAUAAACAUCGAACAGCUCCUAUUUUAAAAUUUGGACUUUUUGGUUUUAUUUCUUGUAGUAAUGGAAAAAAUAUUAGUUUUUUUUAAUAAAUAUCGAGCCAUUCCAUUUUUUAAAAUUCGAACUUCUAGGUUUUUUUCUAUGAAGAAAAUCUCUUUUACCUUUUAUUUCUUCUUAGUAAUGAAAAAAUAUCAGUAGUUGUAAAGGUCAAACCACUCCGUUAUUCUUAUUUGAACUUGUAGGUUCUUUUAGAAAUGGGAAAAAAUGUUUAUCAAAUUUGACCUUCUUGGUUUUUAUAGUGGACCUUUUUGGUUAUCUAAUAAAAAUCAAACUUUUAAGGGUUUUUAGAUGUGAACUUAUAAGGUUUUUUAACGAAGAAAAUCCCCUUUUUUAUAAAUUUGUGUUGAGAUGCUUUUGUUUUUCUUAGUUUGACCUUCUUGGAUUUGUAAUAAACAUUGACCUUCUUCAUCUUUUAAAUUCGAACCUGUAGUAUUUUCAAGAAAUGGGGAACUCCAUUUUUUAUAACUUUUGAAAUGAUCAUUUUUUUAAAAUUUGAUCUUUUUGGUUAUCUUUUUUCUAUAACUGGAAAAAUCCAUGGGAAUUUUUUUGUAUACUCAUAACAUCUUAUUUGAACUCUGAAAUUUAUUAAAUUUCAACUUCGAAAGUUAACAUUUAUAAGAGACUUUUUUUGUUAUCUUCAUUAAUUAUAAAAAUUGCACUACUCUUUUAUUUGAAUGUGAACUUCUUUGUUUUUGUAUUAGCGGGAAAUUUCGAGUUUUCCAAUCGCUUUGUUAUUUAAAUUUGUAUUGCUUCAUUAUUGAAAGUUGAACUUUGAGUUUUUGUUUUUUGAUGAGACCGGGCUGCAGAACAUACGCCCAAAGCAAGCACAAAAUGCGUUCAAUUUUUUUGUUCAGAUACACACACGAACACCCGAAGAGCAAGAUUACAAAAAACAGAAAAUAAAGUCCAUGCGUUUUUUCUUUUCUAUUCAGGAUUUACACACACGAACUUCUUGGUUUAAUCGUUAGUAACCAAAAAAAAUUGAGUUUUUAUAAUAAAUAUUGAACUGCUCCGUUUUAUGAAAUUGAACUUCCUCGUUUAGUAUUUAGUAGCAAGGAAAAUCUAGGGUUUUUAUAUACAUUGAACUUUUUAUUUUUUAAAAUUGAACUUAUUGGUUUUUUCAAUUUGGACUUCUUGGUGUUAUUCAUGUGUAACAGGAAAAAAAUCCUAUUUUUGUAAUAAACAUCGUACCACUCAAUUUUAAAUUCAGUUUUGUAGAAAACAUCACGCAUAGUUGAAUUGCAACUCAAAUUUUUAUUUUUUGAACUUUUGCAUUUUUUAGUAGUAGUUCAUGGGUUUUGUUUUAUUUUGAUAACUAGAUCUUUUUUUUACUUUUUCUUCCUUACAUUUAAUAUUUGAACUUCGGGUAUCCCAUAUUUUUACGUAAUGAAAGAGCAAAAGAUCUCUAGAGUUCACUUGUUUUGCAACAAGCAGACUGCAUAAAUCACAAAAGUUGUCUACUUUUAUAGUUGGAAAUAUAUCGAGCAGAGAUGGAAAAUUAUGUUCAAAGGGAAGCAAAUGUCCCUUAGUAUUUGAUCCAGACAAAAUAUUUUUUUCCUUUUCUUUUGGAGCAUAAACACAAGCAGCUUUAGAGAGCAUACUUUUUUGUUCUUACUGGAUAAGAAUUUUGAACUUAUGCAAUUGGCGUAUUUUAAAACCCAAGGAGAUUUUGCCCGCGCCUUGGACCCCACAACAUAGAUCCACCGCACGAGUUGCUCGUCGUCGGCCGAUGAAGGAAAUGUGGCCAGUCUGGUGUUAGUUUUCUAAACUCUCUGGUCUUUUGUUUCUGGAUUUCCUAGGCAGUAAUAUAUGAACUUCUCGACAUGAGAAUUUUUUGCCAAAUAUCUAAGGCGUAAAACAUACACAAAAAGUGAAGAGGAGAAUAUGUAAAACGUGUCUUCAAAAACUGUGGAAAUUUGGGAAUCGUCUAAGCAUAACGAUCAGCAGCGAAAACACGGUGCACACUUGACAACAAAUAUUCUGAAAUGACCUAUCCACACCGGGCCCUUUUCUAUAUAAGAAAAGGCACUAACUAAUAGCGCACAUAUUUCUCCGCUACACAUUUCCUCAGUAUCUUCUCUCACCUUCAUCCAUUCAGUGUUGCUAUGCGUUAUCCCCUCUCUCAAAUACUCCCUCUGUAAACUAAUAUAAGAGUGUUUAGAUCACUAAAUUAGUGAUCUAAAUGCUCUUAUAUUAGUUUACAGAGGGAGUACAUAGCAGAACAUCUUGAUUUUUGAGAAAACAACCUUAAUGGACCACCUGACAUUGGGCGCCCUGCAAAGCAACAUGCAUGAUCUCCGAUGCUUGUUGUACCCUUUUUCUUUAGAUCAAGUUGAAAUUUGUUCUUAGCUUCAGUGUGUUCUUCGUCAUCUUUCUGCCUGCAAAAGGUAAUCAGUUUGUGCAACUUGCUGCUAUUAGUUGGUCUGCUUGGGAGAAGGCCACUGUCGCGGCUGUUGACAGGAAGGUUGGGACUUCUGGGAGCCCAUGGUGCUUGCCCACUUGGUUCUCGGCUACAAACGCAAGACCACAGUGAUACGAGAGGCACUGCAGUUCAAGUGCGCCCCAGUGGACCUGCGCUCGGCUUGGCACGCGCAAGUUGGCGGAGUGUCAACGCGCUAUGGUCUACGGCCGAGGUACUAUGUGAACGGCAGCAGGCUGGUGUCGCGUGUGCGGCAACAGAGAGAGGAGUUGCGGAAGUUCGGCUAGAGACGCGAUGGUAGGGCACACGUGAUGGAUGGAGACCAGGCCUACCGUGCGGCAAGAGGGAAGCUACGCCAUGGGGCAAAGGUGCUUUUGGAGACGAGGCACUGCAGUUGCAGAUGGAGGCGGCACACUCGGACCGGCGGAGUCAUGUGCGUGAAGGUGCCGCACCUUCUGCCGGAGGUGGCUCGCCGGCUCCUUGACUGUGGAGGCGCGCCGGCAGGUUGGCCGGCGGAGCCACGCUGGGGCGGCGAGAUGCAGGGCGGUGGCGCGUUGAAGGGUGGAGGCGCGGGGGGGUGGCCAGAUCCAGGAGGCGGCGGGAGGCGAUCUUGGAUGGAGAGAGGCGCGUCGGGGCCGGGGCGACGGCGGUGAGAGGCGUGUCGGGGGAUGGGGGCCGACGGUGUGAGGCGCGCCAGGGCCGGGGCUGGGGCGACGGCAGCGAGAGGCGCCGGAUCAAGGGAGAGGGAGGCGUCGUGGCGGUGGAUCCAGGGGCAGGGGAUCGGGGCAGGUUGGGGACGAGCGGUGGUGGGAUGGGAUUUUUUCUUUUUCGCAGCACGGGGAGUUCGGGAACAAGCCGAACCCUCAUAUAUAGGCGCCUGGUGAUUCAAAUAACUNNNNNNNNNNNNNNNNNNNNNNNNNNNNNNNNNNNNNNNNNNNNNNNNNNNNNNNNNNNNNNNNNNNNNNNNNNNNNNNNNNNNNNNNNNNNNNNNNNNNNNNNNNNNNNNNNNNNNNNNNNNNNNNNNNNNNNNNNNNNNNNNNNNNNNNNNNNNNNNNNNNNNNNNNNNNNNNNNNNNNNNNNNNNNNNNNNNNNNNNNNNNNNNNNNNNNNNNNNNNNNNNNNNNNNNNNNNNNNNNNNNNNUUACGUCCCCUAACAUCUGAACUUAACUUUCACAUGGUAUUUUCGUGUUUGUUGAUGAGUUGGUCAAGAAAGAAUCCCGCCAAUUCCUCUUAAAUUGCUCAUAUGCGAUCUUGUGGUAGUAGUUCGUCUCGCGUCUGCCACAUCUAAUUUCAAGAAGGGGGUCAGUACAUAUAUAUGAAUGAAACUGAACACAAAUGAUGGUAAUAAAAAAAUUGUGAAUAUUAUUGCUUACGCACUUCAUAUUGUUGUUUAGAGUAGCCCCGCUCACAGGUGGUGUGGUGGAUGAAGUCGCAAAUGUAGUAUCCACACAAAUCAUUCUCGGUUUCUGCCACAAUCACUUUACAAGAAAUAGAGAUCAAUCAAACUAAUAAGCAAGCAUGCUAAAUGGUAUUGAUGAAACUAGCUAGAAUCAAUGUGAGAUGCGCGGAACUAACUAGUAGCUAGUACUUACUUUCGGGUGGUCAAAUCGCAGUUGCGCCGGCAGUCCCGGAGCUUGUGCGAUGAACUUUUUCCAAACCCUGUCAGACAAAGAAAACAACUACUUGAUAUCAGGAAAUGAACAAAGUUGCCGAUAUGGUGCGAUAAUGAUCGAUUGAACUUACUUCUCGAGCAUUUUAGUCAUGGUCGCAUAUUCCUCCAGAUUUUUUCGUUUGGAGUCUAUGACGGUUACUAGUCCUUGCUCAAGCUUAAUCUCUAGUAGAAUAAAGUGGUACCUGUGCAUGCAUGCAUAACUCAUCAAUUACAUUAUUAUAACCUCAAGUAAUAAGGGAAACCGAAUAUGCACAAGACAGUAACACUCACUUGUAUUCGUAAGGAAAGAGUAUUGUAGCUUUGUUUUAAUUUCGAAGUAACGAUGCGAGCAACUUGGCCUCGGUUUGUCUGGCAUCAUGUUUAACACUCCAUUCAUCCAUGAGAUUUGUGUUAAUGAACCCAAUAUCACCUACUUGUCUUUUCUUCAAUUCAGCGAUCUUCAAUCUGCAUAAUAUAGUGAGGAUAAUUAUAUAUACACGCAAUGAAAGAGCUGAGAUAUAUACAGAGACUUAACUAAUUACAGAAAAGUAGUACUUAAAGUAGUACUUACAGACAAUAGCAAGUGAUGAUUGUUUUAUCGAGGGCCAUUUGAUUGUAGAACUGGAAGAAUUCCUCAAAUGGAACUGACAACAGAUCAAUUCCAACGAGGUCAUGCUCCUCUUUAACCGAUAACGACAAAGUAUUUUUCCCAGACUCCGUGCAGAUGUCCAUGUUCCAAUCAUGGAAUCUUUGCAUCAUCGUUGUUAGUGAUGUACCAGGUCUGGCGAGAGGCUUCCCGUGCUCGAAUCUGAAUAUGUCCACCUCCAUUGUUCCAAAAAUUAUUGCAUCGUCGUCGGCCAUGUAAUCUCCAGGGUUGGUACCGGGCAGCACCCCCGGAAGAUUAGCGACGAUAUCGCUAGACACAUUGAGCGGGGGGCACGAUUGCUUCGCUUGUUCGUCGAGCUGGGGAAUUUGUUUCACUUUUCUUCAUUCCGCUCCUGGCUGUAGUGCCUCCCGUUUAGAGGCUUGACAGACGAUGGACCGUAUCUGUAUUGCCUCCUGCCUCUGGCUGUACUGCUAGACGCCGGAGCAGUCGGAGCGGUUGCGGCUGUCUUCUUUCGGUCGUUAAGAGGCGGAGCAGCCGAAGGCGGACUGCUACGACGCGCUGGAGCAGCCGGAGCGGCGGCGUCUAUGUUCCACCAUUGCUUACGAGGCGGCGAAGGAGGAGGCGGGCUGCUCGGACGGGCCGGAGCAGGCGGAGAAGGAGGCGGAGUACUGCCGUCCUCACGCGUUGGAGCAGGAGGUGGAGUGCCCUGAUCACUCGCCGGAGGAGGAAGAGGAGGCAGAGGAGGCGGAGUGCCCAGCUGACUAGCAGGAGCCAUGAAGUUCAGAAGCUUGAUGUGCUCCUUCCGCCAUAGACACGGAGUAUGCAUAGCAAGACCCAGCUGAGUCUCCCCAUCACCUGUAGGGUGGUCAAGCUGGAGCUCCUCAAAUCCCUCCAUUAUUUCGUCCACCAUCACAACAGCAUAGCCUUGUGGAAUCGGACGGCAGUGAAAAGUUGCUCCGGGUGAAGGAGGGAACACAUAGCUGACAACCGCCUUGACUUUGAGCUGAUCCCAUUGCGUCAUAAGGUGGCACUGGUGUGAAUCCGUGAUAAAAUCCAUGGGGUAGCUAGGACCCGUCAACAAGUCAGGCUGCUGAAUGAGCUCAGUGGAAGCCAUACUGCUUCUCCGCUGAGAUGGUGGGGUAGCUUCUAGGGUAGCAUCUUGGGCGGGAUCUCGCAGCUGCUGGUUCUCAGCAUCUCGUUCCUCUAGCUUUCUUACCCUUGCCUUAAGCUCCUGCAGUUUGCUCGGGUCCAUUUUCCUCCUCCUCUUUUGGGUUUUGUAACCGCCUGCGUCGAGAAAGCCAACCUUCCAUGAAACGGAGCCUGGCGUGCCUCGUGUUCGUCCAGGGUGCUCAGGAUUCCCGAGGGCCCUUGUGAGCUCGUCUUUCUCUCUGUUGAGAACGAACUUCCCUUCCUGCACUUUGUUGAUUGCUUUCAAAGCUUCGUGAUGGGUGUUGCACAUUGCUCAUCCGUCUAGCAGCACUUCCCUGUUUCAGGGUCCAAUGUUCCACUAGCCCCGAAGAACCAAGUCCUACAACGGUCUGGCCAGUGCGAUGUCUCUGAUUUGACCCGUUUAGCAAUCAGGUCCUACUCAGCCUUGUCCCACAACGGCCGGGCUUUGAGGUAGCCACCUGACCCCAUGCGAUGGUAAUGCUCCUUCUUUGCAGCAUUUAUCUUGUUAGUCGCUGACAUCUUCUUACCCCUCUCCGAUGUCUUGUUGACCACAAAUGCGGGCCAGUGAUCUCUUAUCUUCUCAAAUCGGCCGGUGAAUUCUGGAGUAUUGUCUUGGUCGACAUACGUUGUUUUCAACUCAUUCUUCCACCUCAUGAAUAGAUCUGCCAUCUUCUUGAGAGCAUAGGACUUGAUCAAUGGCUCUAUAACUAGAUUCUCCGAAUCCUCCUCUUCCGAUAGGGUGAAAUUUACCUUCAGCGCUUUCCAAAGAUCUACUUUAUGUCUAUCUUCGACAAAAGGAACUUGAAGAAGCUCUUCCUUCUUAGGCUCAUUCCAUAGCUCGAUGCUGAUCGGGAUCAUGUCCCUAACAAGAACCCCGCACUGAGCAGAAAAUGCUUCCUUGGUCUGGAGGGGUUUAAUCGGUUGGCCAUCGCACGCAAUUUCUGUGAUCGUGAACCUUUCAUCCUGACGCAACUUUUUCUUCGGGCCUCGUUUCUUUAAUGAAGUAUUGCUUAAUCCGGAGGGCUAUAUAAAAGAAGAAAGAAGAGUUAAUAUAUGUACAUACCAAAACAAUUAAUGCACAUUUAGCUAGUCCAGGCUUAAUAUAUAUAUAUAUAUAUAUAUAUAUAUAUAUAUAUAUAUAUAUAUAUGUAUGUAUAUAUAUAUAUAAACAUUAUUCUGAUCACGGGAUCAGAAUAAUAUUCUGAUCACAACAUUAACUUCCCGAGUAACGCGCCUGACCUUCCCCGAGUACUAGGUUGAACUUCAGCUAAAAUUUGUCCAAAUGGGGCUUGCGAUAUACCGUUGGAAAGUUAUGGACACCAAUAUCAUGACCCAAGUUAAACUUUUGGCAAAACGUAAGCGGUUUAAGAGCAGUUUUAAAAACCGUUUUUUCUUCAUACAAAAAACGUGAAUCGUAUUUUCGAUCGCAUUUCUAAACCGUUUAUCGGAAUGAGGUAAAUAAUAUAGCGUUGGAAAGCUGCUGCAAAACUGCUCCUUUGACAUGUUCAAAGUUUUCUCUAAUUCCAUAUGGAUAAAGAGUAGUUUUGAAAAUCAUAAAAUAUCGCAAACCAAACAGCCGAGUUCAUAUUUUCAAUGUAAUUUCUAAAAGGCUAAUCCAUUGAGGUAAAUGAUAUGGCAUUGGAAAGCUUGUGAAAAUGCACUACUUUUUCAUGUUAAAAGAUUUUUCUAAUUUGGAACGGUUUAAAAGUAAUUCAAAAAAUGGUACAAGUUCCAUCGUGUUCAUAUUUUCGAGCUAAUUUUUUAAUCGUACGUCCGAAUGCAACAAAUGAUACGGCAUUGGAAAGCUUGAGAAAAUUCGAAACGUUUUCCUAUAUAUUGUUUCUCCUAAUUCCUUACAGUUUUAAGGAAAAUUGGAAAAUGCCUAAAAACGUAUUUUUGGCGUAAUUUCUACAUACUUUAUCGGAAUGGGGCAAAUAAUAUACCGCAGGAAAGCUAUGGAAAGUGCGAAACUAUUUUAUGUUGAUGGUUUUCUAUGAUUCCUAGCCGUUUUCAAGUAAUUGCGAAAAUGGCGAGAUCGUUCGUUCUGCCUUUAUCGCGAAAUUGAUUCUUCGAAAAUCCACCGCAUGAAGAACCUGAACUUCUCGGCACGUGUACUUGAACUUCACUCUAUUUUUCACAUGCUUUUUUUGCUCGUAUAUCUCUAUCCACUGCUCCUAGCUCUCCAUCCACUCACCUAAAUUGAGCAAGUGAUAUACCGAUGGAAAGCUGCAUAAAACACGUAAUUUUCCCGUGUUGAUCAUUUUUUCAUACUCGCAACGAUUUUAAAAGUUUGUCAUCUGAAAUUCAUUCAGCGUAGUAGUUUAACUUCAUGUUGUUUUCACGUUGAACUUCUGUGACGUAUUUUUGUUCAACCUCUCCCACACUAGAAUUUUUGAAGUUUCUCCAGUCGAGCACUUGAACUUCUAGCAACAAAACUUUAUGCUUUGCAUUUUCAUUCUUUUUUAAUACAAAAUGCACAUCGUGUAGUACGUGAACUUCUGGGAGUUAUCAAUCUGAACUUCUCUCAGUUACGUGAAAAUAUCUGAGUUUUUUAUGAAUAUUAAUCUGAAUUUCUUAAUCCUUUUUUUAUGAAUUCUAAAGCGGUCUAUUUUUAAAAGUUGAACUUCUUGUUAUUUUAUUUUUUAACUUCUUGUUAUUUUAGUUUUGAACUUCUUAUUUUCAUUCUCUAAUAACGAGGGAAAUCCAAGUUUUCUAUAAUCAUCGAACUUCUCCAUCUUUUAAAUAUGGACUUCCUGGGUUUUUCUUAAUCUUUUUUAUGAAAUUUUGAAGCGCUCUAUUUUUAAAAGUUGAACUUCUUGUUUUUUAAUUUUUGAACUUCUUAUUUCCAUUCUUUAAUAACGAGAAAAAUUUGAGUUUUCUAUAAUCAUCGAACUUCUCCAUCUAUUUAAUAUGUACUUUCUGAUUUUAUUUCUUGAUCUUUUUUAUGAAAUUUUCAAGCACUCUAUUUUUAAAAUUUGAACUUAUUGUUAUUUUAUUUUUGAAGUUCUUGUUUCCAUUCUUUAAUAACGAGGAAAAUCACCGAACUUCUCCAUUUAUUUAAUAUGGACUUCCUGGUUUUAUUUCUUAUUCUUUUUUAUGAAAUUUUGAAGCGCUCUAUUUUAAAAUUUGAACUUCUUGUUAUUUUAUUUUUGAACUUCUUGUUUCCAUUCUUUAAUAACGAGGAAAAUCAUUGAACUUCUCCAUCUAUUUAAUAAACAUCGACUCAUUCCGUAUAUUCAAAUUUGAACUUCUAGGGUCUUUUUUAAAGGACAAAAUCCGUUUUUAUAUAAAAUUGUUUGGGAUGCUUUUUUUACAUUCUUUCGGUUUGUAAUAAACAUUGAACUUCUUCCUCUUUUAAAUUUGAACCUCUAGGUUUUUUGUAGAAAUGGGGUAAUCCAAUAUUUUUAUAAUUUUUAAAAUGAUUAUUUUUUGUAAACAUCGAACUGAUCGGUUUUUUCAAUUCGAACUUAAUAGUUUUAUUACAAAAAAUUGGAACGUGAAUUCCCUCGGGGUUUUUUGUCAAGAAAAAUCGACAAAAUAACAUCUUUUUUAAUGAUACUGUAAAUUUUUGUACAUUUUUUCCAUGUACUGAUGAAACUUUUUCUCCAUGUGUUCUUACUCGUUUUCUUUCUCUAAUUCUCCCUAGUGUUUUUUAUAAACAUCGAACUUCGCUAGUUUUAAAAUUUGAACUUCAUAGUUUUAUUUUCUUAAAACGGGAACAAUCCGAAUUUUAUAAAUAUCGUACUUGGCUAUUAUUUGAAGUUGAAGUUCGAUUUCUUUUUUUUCUCCAUGGCAUUGUUGAAUGAUGCAAAAACACAAGAAGAAUAAAUACUCCACGGCAUUGAUGCAUUUUGGAGAUAAAAUUGGAAGAAACUAGCUCUGAAAACUUUGGAGAUAAGAUUGGAAGAAACCAACUCUAAAAACUAAAAUGUACAUGCCCACCAACUAGUACUCUAUCUACAUCACAACACACACACACACUUUUGGUGUUAUCUCCUUAUUCUUUGAUCUAAUUCGGCUCAUGCCACAUAACUCCUUUUCAAACACUUAUUUGUUAUAGAGUUUUCCUUAUUUUUAUCAAGUCUAUUACCUUUCAACUUCAACUUUUUCUGUAUCCGACCUGCCACACAUUCUAUUUUAUAGGAACUCAUACAAAUUCAUUUUUCAGAUCAAAGCAGAUGCCCUAUUGAACAUAGUAGCAUCAUCACAAUAUCCAUAGUUGCAUUGCUACAUCCAAAGCCAGCAACAUCACCUAACUUCAUCAAAAAAGUACAGGGAGCGACAAUAGUGUGUAGGAGGCCGAGGGAGUCAGGCAAGUCGCUAGUGGUGGCGCACUGGCGUGUGCAGCCGGACGCGGAGUGGUGGACUCAGGCGGUGUGGUGGGGUGGACGCCGGCACCGGGAUUGGGCGGGGCUGGUAGGAAAUGUGGAGGUCGUUGUCUCGGUUGUAAGCCUACGACAAUCACAAAGCACAACAUCUGCAACUAGUGUUAGUUUUUUCUUCUUGUGUAAUAUACAUUGAACUGCUGCAAGAAAUCAGAAGAAUGGAAUCAGUUUAACAAAAUCAAAGAAUUAAUUGUAGAACAUGUGGCUGGGGACCUCGAGUUGUCCCUUACCACCUGCUCGACCACCAGGCAAACGGCUCCGCGGUGCCACUCGAGAGCGCUGGUCUGCAUGCAUACCACAUUCAGAUGAGAUACCAUCUUAAAUGGUUGGUACAAACCAAAAAUUAUCUACGAAAAUCAAGACAUGGCAUCGAGAUUUCAGAAGAAAAGUAAAAGCAGUUCCUCCUGUCAUAGUGCUGGACUACAGGCUUGCCCAUCUCGUUGCAGACAACAUCAAUUUGGAGGAGUGGCAUGGAUCCUCCUGUGUCGCAACGCUUCUGGCGGGUGGGUUGCUGGGGUGGGGGGUGGACGGGUGGUUGCUGCAGCGCCGGUUGUAAGUGAUGGACCUUAGUGUCAGCAGCGCCCGCGACCAGGUGAAGGCCGAGAGUUCUCCUAGCUGUAGGUCAAGACCUUCCCCAUCUGCAGGUCGGCUGAAGGGAUGGCGAGUCGGUGGUUGGUCAGGAGGUGAGUGGGACGGGGUGGGGAUGUGGCGGUUGGCCGGAGGGCGCACAGGGUGGCAAAGCGGUGGCUGGUCGGAUGCCGUGAUUUUGUUGUCGGGACAGGGGCGGCGCGCGUGGCAGGGAGUCGUCACUGGAAGAGAAGCUGGGCGAGGCCGGGGGUAGCCUAGGUGGCAGGGAAGACGCGGCAGCGUACCAGAGGUAGGUGGCGGGGUCGCAUGCCGGUGCUUGGUGGUAGCUGGCCACCACAGGAUCUGGCGACACGCGUGGGGUUCCAGGGAGGGCGCACCGCAGCGGGUGGAUCAGGGGAGGUGGCGUGGAGGCGGGGGCCUCCGAGGAGGGGGCGCGGUGNNNNNNNNNNNNNNNNNNNNNNNNNNNNNNNNNNNNNNNNNNNNNNNNNNNNNNNNNNNNNNNNNNNNNNNNNNNNNNNNNNNNNNNNNNNNNNNNNNNNNNNNNNNNNNNNNNNNNNNNNNNNNNNNNNNNNNNNNNNNNNNNNNNNNNNNNNNNNNNNNNNNNNNNNNNNNNNNNNNNNNNNNNNNNNNNNNNNNNNNNNNNNNNNNNNNNNNNNNNNNNNNNNNNNNNNNNNNNNNNNNNNNNNNNNNNNNNNNNNNNNNNNNNNNNNNNNNNNNNNNNNNNNNNNNNNNNNNNNNNNNNNNNNNNNNNNNNNNNNNNNNNNNNNNNNNNNNNNNNNNNNNNNNNNNNNNNNNNNNNNNNNNNNNNNNNNNNNNNNNNNNNNNNNNNNNNNNNNNNNNNNNNNNNNNNNNNNNNNNNNNNNNNNNNNNNNNNNNNNNNNNNNNNNNGCAGGGAGGGGGCGUGUCAAUGUAGGGGUCUGGGGAGGGAGGGGGUGGGUUCGGUGGCGGGGGAUGCGGGGGUGCGGGCGGUUGCGGGGUGGAGUGCGGGAGACGUGGCGAGAGGACGCGGGGUUUUCUUUUUUCCUGUUUCAUCGUCUCGCGCUUGCCGCCACCGGUUCGGGAGGAUCUCCUCACGCUCUAUAUGGGCGCGCCGUGAUCCAAAUAACUAUUCUGAUCCCAGGAUCAUAAUAGUGCUACCCUAUAUACAUAUAUAUAUAUAUAGUGUGGGUCUAUUAUGAUAACACCCUUAAGACUCUUAUUCUACCAACACCCACCUUAUUCUGCUAACACCCAACCUAUUUCGUAACUACAAACUAACCAUGCAAAGGAACCAAACGAACUGCGCGGGCAAAGAAAAAAAUCCCACCACACCUUAUCCUAUCCUCACCCACCCCACUCCUCCCUCUCUCCCCAUGCUCCACCACCGUCCCAACCGCGCCACCGAGCCAACUCCCCCGUGCCGCCGCACCACCUACCGCCAACCCCGCCGGCCAUGGCGCCACCUUCCCCAGGCCAGGCGGCCACGCAACCGCGCCACCCCACCACCUCGCGCGACACUGCAGCACCUACCUCCUACCCACCUUCUCCACGACGACACCCCCAUCUGCUCGCGCCUCCCCACACCUCACGCUCUGCCACGGCCCACAUCCAUGAUGCCGCCCCUUCCUUUCCCUUCCCCGGCAACCUGCCUCUGUCUGCGCCGCCCUCUGCAUCGGAUCCGGUGAGAUCCUAUGCUUCAUGCCCCCACCGCCAUCGCCUAAGGUCGCUCCGGCGCCGGAUCUGGCGCGACCAGCCUCCACGGUGCCUAUUCCAUCUCGCCCCGCCUCCACCUUCUCUACCUCUCUCUUUCUCCUGCCCCGAGCCCCCUACUCCCGGCGAACAUCCACUUCCCGUCGGCAUCAGUAGCAGAUAUGGGGAGGUCUCAUGGCCGACGCCCCAUCCCUGGCGUGCACUACUUGUUGCAAGGCAGGCAGGCAGCAGUCCACCGGUGAAGUGGUGCGCGGCGCACUUUGUGCCGGACCUCCUCGGUUAGGCAAAUGGACUGCAUGGUGCAUGGCCAGCGAUGGUGCUCAGGUGACCACAGCAGCACCGAAGGUGAGCCUCCCCUCCUAUCCCUAAUUGCCUUCAUCUAUCUCCCUCACAUCUCCCUUAUGCCCACAGGUGCCACCAUGGGCAUCUCAAUCUUGUCUCCCACCGCCGCUCUGGAUCCUGAUGUCGUUGUGCGUCAGAUCUCCUCUACGGCAUUCAGUUGAGAUAGGGCGUCGCCGGCGUGCAGUUCGCUUGGUUCCCCUCGCUGUGGUACGGUGCGUCACCAUCAUUCUAUUCCACUUUGGGACCUUCUUUUUCUUCAGAUUUUGCUUGUCUGCAGUUCGCCUAUGAUCUUGGUGUGGUGCCGUGGAUGUGCCAGCGGCCGCUCUCUGUGUGGUUGGCCACACUGUCCUUUGCAGAUCACUGGAGGGAGAGAGGAGGUGCUCUACAUGGCGUGUUGCAGUUCCUGGUGCCACUCCAGUGCAGCUUGGUUUGUGCACAAAAGUGGAGUUCUUUUUUGUUGUUGUAGUAGUUCCUCGUCAUUGUAAUUUGUGUGUGUUUGUACUAUGGAUUAAAAAGAGGAUCACUGUAGUUCGUUCGCCCCGUCUCGUAGUCCAGAGAUGUACAGAUCGCAGCUCUCUUGAAAACAUUCAUUGAAGAAAACAACAACAAAAAAUUGUUUAGGUGCAGCACACUUGUUUCAUUGCCGCAGUGAUCUUCUCUCUCCCAGUGGUUCACUAUGUUGCCAAGUGCAAAAACAAAUUGGAAAAGUUGAUUUUUUUAAUGCAGCUCACUUUGUUGUUGUGUAGUAGAAAGAAAAUUGGAAAAAGAAAAAUUGAUGCAGUACACUCACCUCGUCCCUGCAGUACUAAUGCUCGACAUGAAGUGCACUCCACCUCAUUUGGGAAAUUUAUGUCCCACAAAAAAGAAAUGAUGCAGUGCACUUGUCACUUGUCUGUCUGAUGAAGUGCAGUUCUCAGUAUAAAGAAGUGUGGUUUGCCAGCUCGUUUGGAAAAAUUUACGUCCCACAAAAAAGAAAUCAUGUAGUGCACUUGUCUGUUUGAUGAAGUGCAGGUUUUAGUCUAAAGAAGUGCGGUUUGAAUACCUCGUUUGGGAAAAUUUACGUCCCACAAAAAAAGAAUCAUGCAGUGCACUUAUCCAUCUGAUGAAGUGCAAGUUUUGGUCUAAAGAAGUACGGUUUGCUACCUCGUUUGGGAAAUUUACAUAGCACAAAAAAGAAAACAUGCAGUGCACUUGUCGGUCUGAUGAAGUGCAGUUUUUUGGUCUGAAAGCAUUGCGGUUUUCUGUCUGAUGCAGUACAUACGACGAUUUUGGGUCAUGAAAAAACAGAGUGUCCGCAUUUUCGUUAAAAAUCAAAAUUGUUAUUAAACCGUAAGGAAUCAGAGAGAGUGUUCUACAUGUAAAAGUUGCACCUCGUCGAUAUCUUUCCAACGGCGUAUAAUUCGAAUCAUUUCGACCAACGGUUUGCAAAAGUUUCACGAAAAACGGCCACUGCCUCCCGUCGUCAGCCGCACGAUUUUUAAAAUUAACUAAAAACCGUAAGGAAUCUCAAAAAUAUUCCAACAUAUGAAAGUUGCGCCUUAUCCGUAGCUUUCCAACGGCGUAUCAUACGCCUUGUUUCGACAAAUAGUUCAAAAACUGGAGCUAAAACAGUACCGAAAAUUGAAAAAAAUUCAAAAAAAAUGUAAUUUCGCGAUUUAGUAAAUUUGAAACUGCUCUUAAACCGUAACGAAUUAGAAAAAUAAUAGGUAUGAAAAGGAUGCGCCUCGACAAUAUAUUUUGAACGGCGUAUCAUUUGCUUUAUUCUGAUGAGCGGUUUAGAACAAAUCACAAAAAUACGCUCGCUGCCAAUCGUCAUCCGCCGCACCGUUUUUGAAACUGCUCUUAAACCGCAAGGAAUCUCGAAAAGUGUUCAACAUGGCGAAGUUGCGCCUAAUCCAGAGCUUUCCAACGGUAUAUUAUACGCGUCAUUCCGAUAAGCGGUUAAAAAACUAGAGCGAAAACAGUACCAAAAACAACGCAUGCCGUUUUUUUCAACAUGAAGUUCACUCGCUUGAGUUGUGCAGCACACUUGGUUCAAACAAUGACGUGCACUUGCAUUGAGCGUGCAGUGCGGAAGUGUUAUCAAAAUAGUUAUUCUGCUAAUAUUAGCAGAAUAGACGGGCUAUAUAUGUACUGAUAACCGGAGCCGUCAUCACGGUCGCCGGAGCCACCAUCAUGAUCAUGACCCUCCUCCAUUGUUUGAUCAACGGAGCCUGCUUCCUCUCCUUGCAGACCUUCUUGGACGUCAUUGAGAAAUGACGCGACUACAUCACCUCCGUCACGGAUUAUGUCCCCCAAUAUCUCUUCUUAAUCGAAGUCUCUUUGAUGAUCCAUAGUUUCUGCAAAUAUUACAACAUGGCAAUUAAUAUACAAACAAGAGAUGGAUAUAUCGAAGUUAUCGGGGAGGGGGUAUAUCGACAACGACGACAUAUACAUAGAAAAAAUGUUAUCGGGGAGGGGGUAUAUAUAUCGACCCCCCUCUUAUCGAAGUUAUCAGAGAGGGGGUAUAUCGACCCCCUCUCUCUCAUGAUUGUCCGACGUUUGUGUAGUGUCAAAGGAUUCAAACAAAACCAUGUCUUCAUCAUUAGGCAAAAGUAACAGGCGCAUGAUGGUACGAAGCUCUUCUAAGUUAUUUUGGAAGGGAAUCUCGGAUAGGAUAAUUCACUUUUUGGUACAAAGUACAGCAAGAGCCUUCCAAAUAUCGCUAUUUGGAAGGCAUGUGCUAAAAUUUGUACCAAAUGGCGGAUUAUCCUAUCCGGGACUCCGUUCCAGAAUAAUAUUGGAGGACUUUGUACCAUCAUGUCCCGGUUACUUCUGGCUAAUGAUGAAGCCAUGGAUUUCUUCAAUACUUUGACACUAGGCAACCUCUCGACCCCUCGGCGAUCCUCGACCCCUCGACGACCCUCGACCCUCGAACCCUUGGCAACCCUCGAACCCUCGGCCCCUCUACGACCCUCGAACCCUCGACCCUCGAACCCUCGAACCCUCAAAUCCUCGAACCCUUGACCCUCAAUCGGCCUCGACGACCCUCGACGCCUCUGUGACCCCUCAGCGAUCCUCGACACCCCCAUUCCCGAUAAAAAGAAGAAGAAGAAGAAGAAGAAGAAGAAGAAAUAGAGGAGAAGAAGAAGAAAAAAUAGAAGAAAAAAAGAGGAGAAGAAGAAGAAUAGAGGAGAAGAAGAAAAAUAGAAAUUUCUAUUUUUCUUCUUCUCCUCUAUUCCUUCUUCUUGUCCUCUUUUUUUCCUUCUUCUUCCUCUUCUUAUAUUUUCUCUCCUCUUCUUCCUCUCUUCUUCUUCUUCUUCUCUUCUUCUUCUCCUUCUUCCUCUUCUUAUUUUCCUUUUCCUCUCCUCCCUUUUCUUCCUUCUUCUCUUUUCCAUACAUAUAAAAAGUACAUACAUGUAUACAAAAAAUACAUCUCAAAACUACAUAUAUCUAGAUAAUACAUACAUAUAUGAACAUCUAAAAAUACAUACAUACAUAUAUGAAAAAUCAUAUAUAAAAAACCGCAACGAGGCGGCGGCAGCGGGGGCAGGGGCGAAGCGGUGCUCAUAGAGGGAGGCGUCGGGGCAGGGGGGCGCACGGCGGGGCCGAGGGUGCCGGCGGCGGGCAGGGGUGUGUCGGGGCGGGCAGGGCCGCGUCGAGGCAGAGGUCGGCGACGAGGAUGACGCGCGGCGCUGUGGGGGCGAGGGCGGCGGCGGUGGCGAGGGCGCAUCGGCGACGAGGACGGCGUCGAGGCGGCGAGUGCUACUUCUUCAGCUUGCGUUGGUUUUCCAUGAAGAGGAAAGGGUGAUGCAACAAUAGUAGCGUAAGUAUUUCCUAAGAAAGUUCAUACUGACAUAAGAAAUAGUAAUACUUCAAGCAUACUAAUCAAAGCAAUCAUGUCUUCUCAAAAUAACAUGGCUAAAGAAAGUUCAUCCCUACAAAAUCAUAUAGUUAGGCUAUGCUUCAUUUUCGUGACACAAAAAUGUUCCCAAAUUCUACACCCCCGAUGACAAGCCAAGCAAUUGUUUCGUACUUAAAUAAUCUCAAACUUUUUCAACUUUCACGCAAUACAUGAGCGUGAGCCAUGGAUAUAGCACUAUGGGUGGAAUAGAAUAUGAUGAUGGGGAUUGUGUGGAGAAGACAAAAAGGGAGAAAGUCUCACAUUGACGAGGAUAAUCAACGGGCUAUGGAGAUGCCCAUCAUUUGAUGUCAACAUGAGGAGUAGGGAUUGCCAUGCAACGGAUGCACUAGAGCUAUAAAUGUAUGCAAGUUCAACAAAAGAAAACUAGUGGGUGUGCAUCCAACUUGCUUGCUCACGAAGACCUAGGGCAUUUUGAGGAAGCCCAUCGUAGGAAUAUACAAGCCAAGUUCUAUAAUGAAAAAUUCCCACUAGUAUAUGAAAGUGACAACAUAUGAGACUCGCUAUAUGAAGAACAUGGUGCUACUUUGAAGCACAAGUGUGGAACAAGAGAUAGUAAUAUUACCCCCUUUUUAUUUUAUUUUCUUCUUCUUCUUUUUUUCUUUUCUUUUUUUUGGGCCUUUCUUUUUUUCUUUUGGCCUUUCUUUUUUUUCUUUUUUUUCUUUGGCCUUUCUUUAUUUUUUAUUUUGGCCUGUCUUUUUUUUUCUUUUUGGGGACAAUGCUCUAAUAAUGAUGAUCAUCACACUUUUAUUAAUUUACAACACAUGAAUUACAACUCAAAACUAGAACAAGAUAUGACUCUAUAUGAAUGCCUCCGGCGGUGUACCGGGAUGGGCAAUGAAUCAAGAGUGACAUGUAUGAAAGAUUAUGCAAAGUGGCCAUGCCACAAAUACAAUGUCAACUACAUGAUCAUGCAAUGACAAUAUGACAAUAGUAAUGCGCGUCAUGAUGAUAAACGGAACGGUGGAAAGUUGCAUGGCAAUAUAUCUCGGAAUGGCUAUGGAAAUGCCAUAAUAGGUAGGUAUGGUGGCUGUUUUUAGGAAGAUAUAAGGAGGUUUAUGUGUGAUAGAGCGUAUCAUAUCAUGGGGUUUGGAUGCACCGGUGAAGUUUGCACCAACUCUCAAGGUGAGAAAGGGCAAUGCACGGUACAGAAGAGGCUAGCAAUGGUGGAUAGGUAAAAGUGCGUAUAAUCCAUGGACUCAACAUUAGUCAAAAGAACUCAUAUACUUAUUGCAAAAAUUUAGAAGUCAUCAAAAACCAAGCACUACGCGCAUGCUCCUAGAGGGAUAGAUUGGUAGGAAAAGACCAUCGCUCGUCCCCGACCGCCACUCAUAAGGAUGCACAAUCCAAGGACACUUCAUGUUUCAAAUUUGUUACACAACUUUAACCAUACGUGCAUGCUACGGGACUUGCUAACUUCAACACAAGCAUUCUUUAAAUUCAUAAUCACCCAACUAGCAUGACUUUAAUAUCACUACCUCCAUAUCUCAAAACAAUUAUCAAGUAUCAAAUUGAUCAUAGCAUCCAAUUCACUUCAUAUGAUAGUUUUUGUUAUACCCAACUUGGAUGCCUACCAUUCUAGGACCAAUUUUAUAACCAUAGCAAAUACCGUGCUGUUCUAAGAGACUCUCAAAAUAAUAUAAGUGAAGCAUGAGAGACUAGCAAUUUCUACAAAAUUAAGCCACCGCCGUGCUCUAAAAGAUAUAAGUGAAGCACUAGAGCAAAACUAUCUAGCUCAAAAGAUAUAAGUGAAGCACAUAGAGUACUCUAAUAAAUUCGAAUCAAGUGGGCUUCUCCCAAAAUGUGUGUACAGCAAGGAUGAUUGUGGAAAACUAAAAAGCAAAAACUAAUAUCAUACACGACGCUCCAAGCAAAACACAUAUCAUGUGGCGAAUAAAAAUAUAGCUCCAAGUAAAGUUACCAAUGAACGAAGACGAAAGAGGGGAUGCCUUCCGAGGGAAUCCCCAAGCUUAGGCUUUUGGCUAUUCUUGAAUACCUUGGGGUGCCAUGGGAUCCCCAAGCUUAGGCUCUUGCCACUCCUUAUUCCAUAGUCCAUCAAAUCUUUACCCAAAACUUGAAAACUUCACAACACAAAACUCAACAAGAAAUCUCAUACGCUCCGUUAGUGAAAGAAAGCAAAACCACCACAUAAGGUACUGUAAUGAACUCAUUAUUUAUUUAUAUUGGUGUUAAACCUACUGUAUUUCAAGUUUUCUAUGGUUCAUACCAAUUAAUACUAUCCAUAGAUGCAUCAAAAUAAGCAAACAACACACGAAAAACAGAAUCUGUCAAAAACAGAACAGUCUGUAGCAAUCUGUAACUAACGCAAACUUCUGAAACUCUAAAAAUCCUACCAAAAUAGGAAGUCCUGGGUAAUUUGUCUAUUGAUCUAUAGAAAAAAGAAUCAACGCAAAAGCACGUUUCUAUGAUUUAACAAACCUAAUUUCGUGCGCACAAGGUUUCUGUUUUUCAGCAGAAUCAAAUUAACUAUUACCAUAGGUUAUCCUAUAGGUUCUACUUGGCACAAACACUAAUUAAAACAUAAAAACACAUCUAAACAGAAGGUAGAUGCAAAAUUUAUUACUAAACAGAAACAAAAACAAAAAACACAAAUAAAAUUGGGUUGCCUCCCAACUAGCGCUAUCGUUUAACGCCCCGAGCUAGGCAUAAAAGCGAAGAUAGAUCUAAGUAGUGCCAUCUUUGGCACUCAAUUCCUCAAUAGAGCACUUAUAAUCUAUAGGUGUUUCUCCCUUUUUGGCAAUGAUUAAACCUUUAAGCAAAAAUUCAAGAAAUUCAUUUGUAGCAAAAGGUUCCUUAAUGAUAGAGAGACAAUUAGGAUGAACACUUAUUGAUUUGACAUCCGCGUCUCCCUUAAUAGAAGAUUCACCCUUAUUUUUGGGAACAUAAAUAAAUUUGGCAGUUUUGGUAGGGGGGUUUUGCAGUGUUUUUCAUGGAAGAAAAUGCCGACCCUAAGUUGGUAAUUGUAUCCUCAAGUUUACCAAUUCUUGCAGAAUCUAGAACUAUUUUUGCAUUAACUAUAGGUUCUUUUUCUUUAAAAAAAAUUCAAAGUAACUCCAACCCUAGAUCCAUAUUGGGUAAUGUGAUUAUGAAUCUUUUUAUACAAAUUUUCAAUCAACUCAACAGUGGCAACUUUAUUUUCAAUAAUUUCAAGCCGUUGCAUCACAUGUUCCAAAGUUAAAAUAGUUCCAUUAACCAAAAGAGGUGGUGGGCCAAACAAAUCUAACAUAGCAUUAUAAGCAUCAAACAUAUCACUACUCAAGAAAUCCCCUCCGGUAACAGUAUCAAGAACGCAUCUAUUCCAAGGAGUAACGCCUACAUAAAAAUUGCAAAGAAGUACGGAAGUAGAAAGCUUCCUAGUAGAUUUAUUUUGAGCAUUGCAAAAUCUAUGCCAAGCAUCUUUUAGAUUUUCUCCCUCCCUUUGCUUAAAAUUAAGAAUUUCAUGUUCGAGAGUGAUAACAAGGAUAGGAGGACUAGCCAUUACGACAAGGUAAACGAUCUAACACACGAGCAACCAGAAAAAGGCAAGCGAAAAAGAGAGAGGAGAAGAUUGGGAAAGAGAGGGCAAAUAAAAUGGCAAGGGUGAACUGGGGGAGAGGAAAACGAGAGGCAAAUGGCAAAUAAUGUAAACGCGAGGGAGAUGAGUUUGUGAUGGGUACUUGGUAUGUCUGGACUUGAGCGAAGACCUCCCCGGCAACGGCGCCAGAAAUCCUUCUUGCUACGUCUUGAACUUGCGUUGGUUUUCCUUGAAGAGGAAAGGGUGAUGCAGCAAUAGUAGCGUAAGUAUUUCCCUCUGUUUUUGAGAACCAAGGUAUCAAUCCAGUAGGAGGCUCCUCAAAAGUCCCACACACCUACAUAAAGAAACAAAGAACUCGCAACCAACGCAAUAAAGGGGUUGUCAAUCCCUUCACGGCCACUUGCGAAAGCGAGAUCUGAUAGAGAUAGUAUGAUAAGAUAAAUAUAUUUUUGGUAUUUUAUAAUAUAGAUUGGAAAAGUAAAGAUGCAAAUAAAAGUAGAUUGAAAGCUUAUAUGAUAAAAGAUAGACCCGGGGGCCAUAGGUUUCACUAGUGGCUUCUCUCAAGAUAGCAUAAGUAUUACGAUGGGUGAACAAAUUACUGUCGAGCAAUUGAUAGAAAAGCGAAUAAUUAUGAGAUUAUGUAGGUAUGAUCAUGUAUAUAGGCAUCACGUCCGCGACAAGUAGACCGACUCCUGCCUGCAUCUACUACUAUUACUCCACACAUCGACCGCUAUCCAGCAUGCAUCUAGAGUAUUAAGUUCAUAAGAACAGAGUAACGCAUUAAGAAAGAUGACAUGAUGUAGAGGGAUAAACUCAUGCAAUAUGAUAUAAACCCCAUCUUUUUAUCCUCGAUGGCAACAAUACAAUACGUGCCUUGCAACCCCUAUUGUCACUGGGUAAGGACACCUCAAGAUUGAACCCAAAGCUAAGCACUUCUCCCAUUGCAACAAAGAUCAAUCUAGUAGGCCAAACCAAACUGAUAAUUCUAAGAGACUUGCAAAGAUAACUCAAUCAUACAUAAAAGAAUUCAGAGGAGAUUCAAAUAUUUCUCAUAGAUAAACUUGAUCAUAAACCCACAAUUCAUCGGAACUCGACAAACACACCGCAAAAAGAGUUACAUCGAAUAGAUCUCCACAAGAGAGGGGGAGAACAUGGUAUUGAGAUCCAAAAAGAGAGAAGAAGCCAUCUAGCUAAUAACUAUGGACCUGAAGGUCUAUGGUAAACUACUCACAACUCAUUGGAGCGGCUAUGGUGCUGAUGUAGAAGCCCUCCAUGGUCGAUUCCCCCUCCGGCGGAGCGCCGGCGAAGGUUCCAAGAUGGGAUCUCGCGGAUACAGAAGGUUAUGGUGGUGGAAUUUUUUUUUCGUUAGCUCCUUGGAUGUUUUUGGGGUACGUGGGUAUAUAUAGGAGGAAUAAGUAGGUCGGUGGCCGCCCGAGGGGCCCACGAGAUAGGGGCACGCCUUGUAGGGGUGGGCGCACCCUCCACCCUCGUGGCCGCCUCGGCUGCUUCUUGGCUUGCACUCCAAGUCCUCUGGAUCACGUUUGUUCCAAAAAUCACGCUCCCGAAGGUUUCAUUCCGUUUGGACUUCGUUUGAUAUUCCUUUUCUUCGAAAUACUGAAAUAGGCAAAAAAAACAGCAAUACGGGUUGGGCCUCUGGUUAGUAGGUUAGUCCCAAAAAUGAUAUAAAUGUGUAAAGUAAAGCCCAUAAACAUCCAAAAGGGGUAAUAUAAUAGCAUGGAACAAUAAAAAAUUAUAGAUACGUUGGAGACGUAUCAGCGAGGUCGGGGCAGCGGUGGCGCGGGGCGGCGACGGUGUCGGGGGUGAUGGCGACGGCGCAGGGUGGCGCGCGACGACGGUGUCGGGGCGGUGAGACGGGCGUGGGCAACGACGGCGGCGGCGACGGGGCAGAGGGCGGCGUCGACGGCGGGAGAAUGAGGAACUAAAACGAAAAUUUCACAAGUCCUGCUUAUAUACACAGGCAUUGGUCCCGGUUCGUGGCACAAAUUGGGACGAAAGCCCCCCUUUAGUCCCGGUUGGUGCUGCCAACCGGGACCAAAUGCCUCUUUUCAGCAGCCCAAAGGGCGGGAAGCAGAGGCCUUUGGCCCCGGUUGGUGGCACCAACCGGGACUAAGGUGGGCUUUCGUCCCGGUUUGUGCCGCCAACCAAUACGAAUGCGCCCUUUGGUACCGGUUAGUGCCACCAACCGGGACCAAAGGCCUCGUGCUGCCCGUGGACAAAAUUUUAGUCCCACCUCGCUAGUUGAGAGGGGCGCGCAGUGGUUUAUAAGCCCCACUGCCGCACCCCUCUCAAGCUUCUCUCUAUUGUAGGCUUACGGGCCUAAUUGUCACUAUUAUGCCUGAUGGGCCUACUGGGCCUUCUGCGGGCCUGAAUCCCGGCCCAUGGUGGGGUUUCUAUUCGUAUUCAGGACGUAGUGGCCGAGUAGGUGGCAUUUUUUUAUUUUUCCCAGUUUUUUUUUCUGUUUUUUGCAUUAUUUAUUUUCUUUUGUUUUUUGCUUUAUUUUUUAGUUCCUUUUGCUUUUAGGUAAUAAAAAAUAUAAACUUUCUGUUAGUGCCAUUUGUUUUCCAAUUUGAAUAGUUUAAAUUUGAAUUUUUUGAAAUUUGUGUGAAUCACUAGUUUUUGAAUAACUUUACUGUAAACAUAGAUUUUUGAGUGAUUCUUUUUCCUGCUAUUUAAUAUUACUGUGUUUAUCAUUAUAUUCAAAAAUAGAUUUUGUUAUUUUGGUUUCUAACACAAAAAUUCUUUAUGAUAAUUCUUUUUGCUAUUAAAGUUUCUAACAAAAAAAUUCUUUAUGAAAAUUAUUUUUGCCUUUAAUGUUUUGAACAGAAAAUACUUUGAUCAUAACAGAAUAUUUUAAUUGAUUAUUUUUAGUUCAUUCUUUUUGCUAUUAGUUCAUUCUUUUUGCUAUUAGUUCAUUAUUUGAGCUAAAUGACCCUUAAAUUGAAAAGCACUACAAAUGAACUCUGAAAAGGUUGAAAGUUGGCAUGGUAUCAUCAUUUCACCCACAUAGCAUGUGCUAAAAAGUUGAGAGGGUUACGACAAAAAUUGGAUACAAAAUAGAUAAUCUCUUUGGAAGUAUCAGGGUUUCGGAUGAAAACUCAUCUGUUACAAAGGGAUUUCAUUUGUUCAAAUGUAACUGCAGUGAUAUUGUACAUCAAAGGCAUCAUCAUAAUAGUUGUUGAUAGAAAGUCUUCACUUUUUCUUUGCUUGUGUUCUUUGGUUAUUGCGCCGUAACCAUGCAUAAUCUUCAUCGUUUAACAUGAUGCUUGGGUCAGCCUUGACUUUGAAGGGAAGAAUUUCAUGAAACUUUUCAUAAUCUUCAGACACGUCUGUCUUGCCCUCCAAUCCCAUGAUGUCUCUUUUUCUUGAAAGAACUAUGUGGCGCUUUGGCUCAUUGUAUGAUGUAUCAGCUUCCUUAUAUGUUCUUUUUUCUCGGUUUGGUAGACAUGUCCUUCACAUAGAAAAUAUGUGCCACUUCGUUGGCUUGGAUGAAUGGCUCUUCUUUGUACCCCAGAUUGUUCAGAUCCACUGAUGUCACACCCAAUAUGCGAUACUAUCCUAAAGAGACUCGAAGGUCCCACCAAGGAUAGAACCGCAUAUUGAAACGCUUUUGCAAGGUGGAUAUCAUUACAUCAACAUUACAUAAUAGAUGGGGAUACAUACAAGAGGCAUACAAUGCCACACGAAUACAACAAUACAUCAUACAUAAGAUCAUCAUCCGACUACGGAUGAAACACAAACAGAAACUCAAACGACAUCCACCCUGCUAGCCCAGGCUGCCGACCUGGAACCUAUCCCCUGAUCAAAGAAGAAGCAGAAGAAGAACUCCAAGACAAGCAAAACAUCGCUCUCGCGUCAUGAUUAUUGCACAACCUGUACCUGCAACUGUUAUUGUAGUAAACUGUGAGCCACGGGGACUUAGCAAUCCCAUUACCAUGGGUAUCAAGACUAGCAAAGUUUAAAGGGUAAGGAAGGGGUAAAGUGGUGAGGUUGCAGCAGCGACUAAGCAUAUAUGAUGGCUAACAUACGCAAAUAAGAGCGAGAAGAGAAGCAAAGUAAUGGUCGUGAAGCUAGCAAUGAUCAAGAAGUGAUCCUGAACUCCUACUUACGUCAAACAUGACCCAAAGACCGUGUUCACUUCCCGGACUCCGCCGAGAAGAGACCAUCACCGCUACACACGCGGUUGAUGCGUUUUAAUUCGGAUCUGGUGUCAAGUUAUCUACAACCGGACAUUAACAAAUUCCCAUAUGCCUAUAACCGCAGGCACGGCUUUCGAAAGAUUAUACCAUGCAGGGGUGUCCCAACUUAGCCCAUGAUAAGCUCUCGCGAUCAACGAAGGAUAUACCUUCUCCCAAGAAGACCCGAUCAGACUCGGAAUCCCGAUUUACAAGACAUUUCGACAAUGGUAAAACAAGACCCGCAAAGCCACCCGAUGCGCCGACAAAUCCCGAUAGGAGCUGCACAUAUCUCGUUCUCAGGGAAACACCGGAUGAGACUAGCUACGAGUAAAACCAACCCUCAAGUUGCCCCGAGGUGGCCCCGCAGGCAGCUCAGUUCGGACCAACACUUAGACAAGCACUGGCCCGGGGGGGGCUAAAAUAAGGAUGACCCUCGGGUUGGCCGACCCAACGGAAGGGUAUAGGUGGUGGUGAGGCAAAUGGUAAAACCAAGGUUGGGCCUUGCUGGAAGAGUUUUAUUCAAAGCGAACUGUCAAGGGGGUCCCAUAAAUCACCCAACUGCGUAAGGAACGCAAAAUCCGGGAACAUAACACUGGUAUGACAGAAACUAGGGCGGCAAGAGUGGAACAAAACACUAGGCAAAAGGCCGAGUCUUCCACCCUUUACCAAGUAUAUAGAUGCAUUAAUAAUAUAAGAGAUAUUGUGAUAUCCCAACAUAAUCCUGUCCACCAUGGAGAAAUCUUCAACUUCACCUGCAACUAGCAACGCUAUAAGAGGGGCUGAGCAAAAGCGGUAACAUAGCCAAACAACGGUUUGCAUAGGAAAGGUGUCAAAGGUUAGAGGUUCAUGGCAAUAUGGGAGGCUUGAUAAACAGGUGAUAGGUAGCGCAGCAAAGCGAUAGAACGAAGCAACUAGCAUAGCAAUGAUAGUAGUGAGAUCUAGGGUAGCGGUCAUCUUGCCUAAAAUCCUGCUAGGAAGAAGAACGAGUCCAUGAAGAAGACGAACGGGAGUAGUCGAACGAAUCCUCACAAUCGCAACAUUAUCGGAACUAAGAAGCAACAUCGGAAAGAAAUAAACAACAUGGUAAACACACAAGCAUAAACAUGACAUGAUGCACAAACAAGUAUGAUGCAUGUCCGGUUUAAAGAGGCAUGGCAUGACAAAGUGCAACAAACAACACUACAAAUUAAGUGGAGCUCAAUAUGCAACGAGUUGCAUAUUGACGAAACACCACUAGCAAUUAUUUAGUUCUCUCUCGGUUAGGUACACAACAAUAUUAAAUGUUGUUAAACAUGGCAAGGGGUGAGACAUAAGUAAACUAACUAUUUAGGCAAGUUUAAAUGAGGCCGGAACAACGAACAACAAUUCCGGAAAAUCCCCAUAUGCAUAUUUUAGAUUUGGUACUGUUCUGUCCUAAACACAAUUUUAAUGUUGUUAAAUAGGAAAAUGAAGUGCAGCAUGUUAAACUAGGAAUUUUUCCACCCCAUUUACAUAUAAAGUUUAUUUAAAAUGGAGCUACAGUUAUUUAGUUAUGAAAUAAAGCAUUUUAACAUGGCAUUUAUACAAAUUUAAACAAACAACAUUUUAAACAUUUUAACAUGGGAUGAAAGUGGCAUAUUAUGAAACUAGAUGAAAUUCUAAGCACUUUACAUAUAUAAUUUGUUUUAACCCGAUGCACGGUUGGUGAUUUAUUAAAUGCAUGAACAACAGGGGUCAAUCUGCAAAACUGCAUUUUACUGGAUAAUAGAGAAAAAUCGCAGCGCAAGAAAAAAAACUACGCGGGCCGAAACAAGCUGGCCCAACAGGAGGAAAAACAGAGGAGGGGCGCUGGGGUGUGGCCACACCCAUGGGCCUUGGCCCGAUUGGAGGGGAGGCUGCUGCAGGAGGGGCGCGCUGGGCCUGGAUGCGGGCUGUGGCCUAAGCGACAGCUGCAGAGGCCUUUGCGGGCGUGACGCUGGUCAACAGGCAGCGGUCGAGCUAUUGAUGCUCGAUGCAGGGAAGCUGCGGGUGGCGCCUGGAGGUAGCAGGGGAGCGGCGGCGGCAAACUUGACGGGGAGAUGGCCUCCGGCGACAGGUGGAUGGCGGGGACGUGAGGAUCCGGCCCAGCGUGGACGGAUCUGGCAGUCUCUGGUGUUGAACGUAGCAGGCCAGCGGCGGGAGCUGCAAGGCCAUGGCAGGGAAUUAAAUUCAGAGAAGUGGUAGGGAGGGAGGAAAGAGAUAGGAGAAGGAGGGGGGCGGACAGAGGGAGGCGGACCUGAUGGAGCUCGUGCUCCGGCGAGCUACUGUUUGUUGCCUACCAGAUGGAGACGGGGCUUGGCGCAGAAGACGCGGACGACGAGGAGGAGACAGGGCCUCGGAUGCUCGCGAGCGAGGGGAAAGCGAGCUCCGGCUCGAACCAGACGAAGGACUUGGCAAAACGGGUGUGGAAGAAAGAGCUCAGGCUCCUACUUGCUGCUCGGGGGUCGCAGGACGACGGAGGCGGCGCCAUGGAGCUUGGGCGAGCUCCUGCUCGUUCCUGUACAGAGAGAGGUAGAGGACUGAGAGAGAGAAAGGGAAGAAGAAGGAGAGAAGUGGAGCGGAACAAAGAGACGAGGCACGGCCUGGCCGUGGUCUUGCGGGCAACGGGCGCGGAUGAAGGCAGCUGCGGCGGCUGGACGCGUCCAGGGGACAGGGAGGAGGUGGUUGGAUGGAUCGGUGGACUGGUAGGCGGAGGCUGCGAGUGGAGGGGGAGAGGAUUUGGAUCAGGUGCGGGCUUGGAUCCCGAGGGAGAGGAGUGGCGGCGGGAGGAUGGGGAUGGGACAGCCGGCCUAGGUUUUAGGGUUAGACUAUAUAUAUACAUAAGAAAGAGAGGGGAGUUUGGAUCAUCCGAUUAAAAUCGGACGGUCAAGAAUAAAAUACUUCAGGAGUCCAAACAAAUGAACGAAGAUAUUUUAGGGAUGUUUGGGGUUGAUCCGGGCCCAUCGGUAACGACAGCUCGGGCCGGGUUCGGGGAAGUUUCGGACACGCACGCAAGGGGGGUUUGGUCAUCACGGUCAAGAGGGAAGCAAAAACCCGAUUGGUUUGGAACGGUCAGCGCGAGCAAGGCGAUCCGAGGGAAGGUGAUGAAGGCAAAGGGAGAAACGGCAACGAUGAACGAAUGCAAGUUUUAAGAAAAUGAUGUCGAUGCAAUGCGAAUGAUGACAUGAGACGAGAAGCAUGACAUGAACAAAAAGCAAAACAAAAGACAAAACCCAACCACGGAGAAAAUAACAUAUCACAUAGCCGGAAAUGGCAAGAGUCGGAGUUAUGAAUAUGGAAAGUUGCAUCCGGGGCGUUACAACACUCCACCACUACGAGAGGAUCUCGUCCCGAGAUCUAGGAUGGCACCGAAGAGAAAACAGAAGAGGAAGAGAAGAGGUAAAACUAAAUUGCUUCUUCAAAAAAUGAGUGAAACCAUGAACCUUGAGAGGUUGAGCAAAAUGAAAGAUAGAAAACAACGAAGAUAAACACAACUGAGAGUACUGCGGUAGAAAAUAGAAACAAGGAACACCAUGUGAACCUUGGGGGUUGAAAGACAUAAGAAAAGGGUUGCAAUGGACAAGAAGUACAUGCAAGCACUCCGGUUGAAACGAGAUGUACAAGGAAUGACAAAUAUCAAUUAAGACAUCACUCCGGUUGGAAUUGGGAUGAAUAGAAUAUGAACUUGAGAAGACGAGAUGAUACUUGAUGAAAUCAACAACACACUACCUCCGGAACUAUUGAAAGAAUGGCAUAAUGGGUAAGAAGGAUUUCAGACAACACUCCUGUUGAAAAGAGAGGCAAAACUUGAUAAGAUGAAAAGAACUUGAAGAGAUGACACCGCACUCCGGUUAAAUGGAUAAGCACGAAAAGAACAUGAUCCUCAAUUCGAGAAGAUGAGAGAAAAGAGCAACAUCACAAUGUCUCCGGGAGAAAGAAUAGAAGAUAGAUCAUUGGAAUAACAGAAUGGAGUAGAAAAUGCCAACUUCUGCCACAAAUGAGCUUGGAAAGCAUCCUUGCAAAGAAGAAUUGAACGGAGUUGUUGCAAAAUCAACAACGAAAAGCACAAGCUUGUUGUGGGCUUAUGGAAAACAUCUCAACACUUGAGGUGAAAUUCUGCCACUAAUGAAAAACAAUAGCUUGCUUGAGAUCAACGAAGAGAUGAAAAACCUCUUUCACCGAGAAGGAUAUGGAGAAAGCUUGGAUCAUUGAUAAGCACCACAAAUAGCAACAUUCCUUAGGGAAGGCUUUAGGUGAAAUCUAUACCAAGAUAACUCCAAGGAAGAAAAUGAUGGGUUUAAAAUAUCUCAUUCUUGACAACUUCAAUCACGAAGGGAAGUUGUCAAGAGUGACAUAACACCACCUCAAAAGAUAAGGUAGGAAGAAUUGCACUUCGGAUGCAAGAUGAAGAAUGCUUGAACUCCUCAAAACAAAACAUGUGUUGAGCACCAUGUUUACUUUUGAGUAUAGCUUGGCGGAUCAUAACUUCAAGAGAAAUCUUGAAGAACAAUUGAAGAAUGAAAAGAAUCCUUCAUGAACCAUCAUGUAGAGCCUCCAUGAAGAACUCCGGUAAUAAGAGGAUGAUGAAAAGAAAAAGAAGUUGGAAACACAAGGUGAAGCUUGCAAUGAUUUAGAUGGAGCUUCGCGAUGAGAUAAUGCGGAAAACCUGGAACUCCGGAAAAGAAAAGAUGAAGCAUCUCGAACCGAGAAAUGUGACAUGGUGAACAACUCUAGAGAGAAGAAACUAGAUCACUUGGAUGAAACAAUAAUAAGAAAUACGGUAUGCGUAUCCUUCACCAAUUUGAAUUGAUGACAAGCAAUGGAUUUGGCAUACUACGUAUUCUCGUAGAAAGGAUUAAGAUAGAUAUAGCGCAAACUUGAGAAGGUCUUGAUGGAAACACCGGUAGGAUUGGAAACAACGAACAAAUUGAUAUGAUAACGAAGGAAGUGAAAUCUUGAACGAACCACCGUAAGAAUUGAAAAUGAAAGUAGCAAAGGCACAAUUCACCGGAAAGAAUUGGAAAACGAAUGAAGAUACUUGAGGGGAUUUAGCUACCUGAGAACGAAGAGAUCAUGAACUGAUUAGAGGAUAUUAUAACGAUUCACCGGUAAGAUUUGGAGAAUGAUAGCUACAUGCUGAGAAUGAAUAAUUAUGACAUGAUGUCCUUCGGAAGAAAGAAAUGGAAACAACUCAUGAAAUGCUCCGGAUGGGUGAAAAGAAUUCCCACAAUCGAAAACAGUUAUGAGAGGAUGGCAUCAAACUUGAACUAUGCAUCUUGGGAAGAACGGGUAAGGAUUUAAGAGGAACUCUUCUUCGGUCUUCAAAACCCGAGAAUGACAAGGAGAAACACCACCCAAUUGUUUAGACACUCCGGAACAAAGAAGAAUAGAAAUGUUGAACCAACGAUGAAAAUGAUUUGAAAGCGAUCUUGGAGAAGGAAUAUGAGUGAUGAGAAUUCAUUCUUACGUCAAACUUGGAAAAGAAUUUGGGAAUGGCUCGAGGAAAAUUAGACGAGUCAGGUAAGAUCCUGGGAAAAGACCUGUGGGUUAGGGCCCACUAAAAGAAAAACACCGGUUGAAUUAAAUGGCUUGAAUGGAAACACGAAUCUUCCGAGAUAUCUUCAACACUCCGGAUAUGAACUGGGAGAGGCGGAUAAAUAAGAGAGCCUUGGAUAAGAAAUUCACAUGGGAAGAUAUGUGAAACGAAAGGAAGAGAUAUGAUCAACACCGAAACUUGAAAUUAAUCCACCGGAGAAGAAAAGAGACGAAGAAUAAUGAACUUGAAGCUUCAUUAGUAUCUUCGUGAGAAUCACCGGAUAGGAACAUUGAUUGAAAAGAGUGAACUGACUUCACAUGAAUAAAUGGAUACUUGAUUAAGAAAUCUGAGUCCUUGAAGAAAAAGGGUGGGAGGGUGGGGAAAAACAAAGACAACUUGGGAUGAACGAAACAAACACCGUUGAGAAAACUUAGAAUUGAUCUUGCGGAUGGGGAGAAUGAUGGGAUCAUCUCGAAGAGAAGCGCACCGGUUGGAAAAGAGUUGACAUGACAACCUCAAUGAUCAAGAAGGAUUAGCACUCCCAUAGAAAUAUGAGAACACCAUUUAGGAAAGGUAUGGAUUCAACAUUUGACUUCGAAGCAACUCGAAUACCACAAAUAAAACAAAAACAAAGGAUUUGUCUUGCAGAAUAAGCCGGAACAAAUACAUAUGAUAGAGAUUUACCCAAUCCCAUAUCAUGCAUCUGUCGGAAAGAUAUUCUAAGAGCUACUUGAAUUCCCACCUAUAAACUCCCGAAACUUUCUGGUUAUGCAAUCUGGUGUUGGGGAUACAGCGGAAGCAAUAUAUCUCACCCAAACUAACAAUACCUACAUCCAGUUGUAUCCAUCCGUCAACACAUAACCAAGAAAACUCCGGAAAUCGUGUACCUCAACCUUCGAAAAGCAUCUGUUAUACGAGUUAUGGCCAUACUCCCGAACUCCCCAGUACUGGGUGACGUCGAGGUUAUCUCACCAACAACUGCAUAAAAGAGAUUGUUGAUGUCAGCAAAACUCAGGUAUUCCAGAACUGCAACGAUAAAAUUGUGACGACAACACCUCGGAGCUCAACUCCUCGGGUCAAUGCCACAUAAUAGAUAGGAGGCACCAAGAACAAUGUUCUCGUCACAAAACCAUCGGAACGAUUCCAAGAUACCCGCGUGAUCCUAAAAAUUUUUUAGUGAAAUUUGAGGAGAGGAAAGUCAAAACAUCUACGUCAGGAAACCUCACCAGAGCGACGAAGGGACUGAGGAGUAAAAAGAAUCCUACUCUCCGAUAUAUAUAAUCCUAAGACUCAAAAAUAGUUUUCUUCUAGACUCAACAACGGCCAACAAUCAAGGGGGCUCCUAUGGUCGGUCGAGGCUCUGAUUACCAACUUGUCACGCCCAAUAUGCGAUACUAUCCUAAAGAGACUCGAAGGUCCCACCAAGGAUAGAACCGCAUAUUGAAACACUUUUGCAAGGUGGAUAUCAUUACAUCAACAUUACAUAAUAGAUGGGGAUACAUACAAGAGGCAUACAAUGCCACACGAAUACAACAAUACAUCAUACAUAAGAUCAUCAUCCGACUACGGAUGAAACACAAACAGAAACUCAAACGACAUCCACCCUGCUAGCCCAGGCUGCCGACCUGGAACCUAUCCCCUGAUCGAAGAAGAAGCAGAAGAACUCCAAGACAAGCAAAACAUCGCUCUCGCGUCAUGAUUAUCGCACAACCUGUACCUGCAACUGUUGUUGUAGUAAUCUGUGAGCCACGAGGACUCAGCAAUCCCAUUACCAUGGGUAUCAAGACUAGCAAAGCUUAAAGGGUAAGGAAGGGGUAAAGUGGUGAGGUUGCAGCAGCGACUAAGCAUAUAUGAUGGCUAACAUACGCAAAUAAGAGCGAGAAGAGAAGCAAAGGAACGGUCGUGAACCUAGCAAUGAUCAAGAAGUGAUCAUGAACUCCUACUUACGUCAAACAUAACCCAAAGACUGUGUUCACUUCCCGGACUCCGCCGAGAAGAGACCAUCACGGCUACACACGCGGUUGAUGCGUUUUAAUUCGGAUCUGGUGUCAAGUUAUCUACAACCGGACAUUAACAAAUUCCCAUCUGCCUAUAACCACAGGCACGGCUUUCGAAAGAUUAUACCCUGCAGGGGUGUCCCAACUUAGCCCAUGAUAAGCUCUCGCGAUCAACGAAGGAUAUACCUUCUCCCAGGAAGACCCGAUCAGACUCGGAAUCCCGGUUUACAAGAUAUUUCGACAAUGGUAAAACAAGACCAGCAAAGCCGCCCGAUGCGCCGAAAAAUCCCGAUAGGAGCUACACAUAUCUCGUUCUCAGGGCAACACCGGAUGAGACUAGCUACGAGUAAAACCAACCCUCAAGUUUCCCCGAGGUGGCCCGCAGGCAGCUCAGUUCGGACCAACACUUAGACAAGCACUGGCCCGGGGGGGGGGGCUAAAAUAAAGAUGACCCUCGGUGUCGUGGAUUUGUCACGGCAGAUGUCCUAGUGAAAGGACUUAGUCGUGGAGCCAUUGCCACGGGUUUACUUGAAGGGGUUAAAGCGGACACAAAGACACGAGGGUUUUAUACUAGUUCGGCCCCUUCGAUGAAGGUAAAGCCUACGUCUAGUUGUGAUGGAAUUGAUAUGGUCUCGAUGGCUAGGGAGCAAACAAGCUUCGCCCAGGCUCGAGUUGUCGUUGUCUGUCCUGAACCGCCGCCGGGUCGUCCCCUUAUAUACACGGGUGACGCCCGACAGUCCAUAGAGUCCCAACCGGUUCAUACUCGUAUCCCGGUUGGUAUCUCUCUAUUCCUAACUUAUAAUACAAGUUAUACAUCAGGUCGGUUUACGGCUACAGAUUCUAAACCGACUAUAGGCCUUGGGCCUUCAUCUGCUUAUACCACUAAUGAAGUUAACCCGGCCCAAGUAGGCUGGUUUACGCCUAGUGGUAAUAUCCCCAACAUUAGGCCCCAGAUUGAUUUGAACUGGUUCAUGUCAAUCCUUCACAAAAUCUUGUGUCUUGGACAUCUUCUGGUAAUUGGUAAACCGCCAUGUUGUCAUCAUUUCUGGUUGUUGUAAACCGGCAUGACGUCAUCAUGAAAUUUGUCAUUUAUAACGCCCUCUUUUAACGGCAGCUCCUGGAUCCGCGCGCUUGACCUAACUCUGUUGCCUUAUAAAUAAGACCGGAUGGUCAUCUCCUUUCUUUUCCCCUCAUCUCUUCUUCUUCGUCUUCCUUGCGUUGCCAGCCUUGGAGCUCUGCCGCCACCGUCGACCUCUGCUUCGUCUUGGGCCGCUGCAUCAACCUAAGUGCACCAGAGUACUGCGGUAUCGUUCCGCAUCUUCUCCGUUCCCAGUAAGCUUUCUCCUCUUCUUGACCUAGAUCUGUUCUUAGGGUUCCAUGUUGGUGCUGUCUUCGUCACUUGCUCAUACUUGUAUUCCGACUCUUGGAUGAAUCUGUAAACUCCCGCUGUGUUCAGUAGUAAUCUUUAAGCAUCCGCCUGUUAUUUCUUAUCUAAGCCCAUAGAUCUCACGCACAUACCCGCUCAAUGGUUCACUUCCGUUCCGCCUUACUCUUCGGAAUAUUUUCUGUUUUUGUGAGCUCGCUGUAGAUCCGUGGCUGUAAUAAGAUCUUGUGAAACCUGUUUCUGUAUACCUAGUUGUCCAUAGCUUCAAUUUCUUCCGAUGCUUAGGUCAGGCGGUUUAACUUAUCAUAGAAAAAAGUUACUAAACCGGUGUAUACCAUUAGUCCCCUGGUUGAACCGCCAGAAUCCACAUGAUGCCGCAUUGUGGAAGACCGGUUUAUCGUAGUUUAGAUCAACACCUUCUUUUACCCAGCGUGUUCUUGAACCGGAUCAUCUAUUUCUUGUAGAUCUCGCCAUGGCCAAACAAGUGUAUGAGUGCAAUUGGGUUCCUUCUCGCGUCACGGAAUCACAGUUGGACGAUCUAGUCUUGAUCGGCGCUUUAGAUAGUAAAGAUACGAUCCACUGGAGGGUUCCUGGAAAUGAAUGUCCACCUACCCCCCAGGAAGGAGAGGUUGUGGUCUUCGCAGAUCACUUGGCCCGGGGCUUCAAACCGCCCGGCUCUAAAUUUUACUGGGAUGUGUUAGCCAAUUUUCAGCUCCGCCCACAGGAUAUUGGCCCCAACUCUGUUACCAAUCUAUGCCACUUUCAACUGCUCUCUGAGGUAUACUUUCAAGAGGAGCCUUCAUUCGAAUUGUUUAGAGACCUCUUUCAUUUAAAUCGUCGCACUGAAUUCACCGAUGGCCCCAACACUGAAUUGGGCGGUAUGGCCAUUCAGAAGAGGAAGGAAAUCACUUAUCCCCACGUCAAACUCCAUACUCACCCCAAGGAGUGGAAUGCAACUUGGUUUUAUUGCAAGGAUACCUCCCCUGACAAUGAAAAUCCCUUGCCUGGUUUCCGUCCGGAACGGCUCAGCAACACGCACCCUUUUCCACAAAGACUAAGCGCCAAGGAAAGAAUUAAAUACGCUCCGCAACUGUCCAAGCUCCGAGCUUUUAUGGCCAACGGCUUAACGGGAAUAGAUCUUGCACGCUGUUGGAUAUCAUGGAGCAUACUGCCUCUGAGCCGGCGCUCCAAUUUGAUGUGCAAGUAUACUGAUAGUGUCGAUGACCCACUCUGACACACUAAAAUCCAACUCCCCGAUGACGAAGUCACAGAAUCUGUGAAAAAGAUGCUGAAUGAACCGGAGCACCUCUGUGCUCAAACCGGUCUGCCUCCUUACUACACCACCAACAAACCGCCAGCGGUAAUAUUUUAAUUGCUCUCUUGUUGAACCGGUUACUGCUUUAUAUGUUUGACAUUUAAUUACUGCUGAUCCAGGGCGAUAAUCCAUUUUGGAGCAAGAAACUUCCUCAAGACAAAACGGAGAAAGCAGGGCGGCCAAUCCGUCCCAAGACCAAGGUUAUUAAGAAGCCAGCUCAUAAGAGAAAAACCACCGCUUCAUCUGAUCCAACUAUUGAUGAUGAUGUGGGUAACCCGGACCUUGAGGUAGAACUUGACUCGCUUGGCUUAUUUUUUACACGCCUUAUUGAUGAUGAUGCUUGUCAGGAUGACGCUGAAGCCAGCAAUGCGGAAUUUGUUGAGGUAACUAUUCUCUCUUCCGAUUCAGAAAUCUUGCCUUUGCCAAAACUUCGACAGGCAAACCGGAAAGUUAAAUUUUCUCAUCAUCUUGCUUAUUUGGAUCCUAAAUUUCAUAUGAAGAUUCAGCAACAUGAAGUUCGCCGCACAACCCGGCACAGUGGCCAGGUAGUUACCUCCACCGGUUUACCAAACAGUCCGGUUCGAAAACGCCGCUCCGAGGUCUCUGACCUUUUUGUUGAUUUACAUCCUAAAGCGGGUUUCUUCCGUCAACCUCUUAACCCAUCCGACUCCAAUUAUCAGGUUACUUCUCAUUCAUCUUCUGGUGAAUCGUCGUCUCUUAGCUGCCACCGUUAAAAACGGUUCUUGGGUAAGCUAAGCUGAACAUAUGCUUCCAGUACAUUGUGUAAUGGCUUAUGCUUUUCCUUGACUCUUUGGUUUUCUUUCAGGGCCAAACCUAAACCGAGCAAGAAAGCCCGCCUGGAUAAAGCGGCCGAAGAGGAUGUAGCCCAAGAACAUGACAAAACACCAGAUCUUGAGGCAUUUGCUCCUGAGGAUAUUCCCAAUGAUCCUCCUUUACAAGACGAUGCUAUUCCCGAAGAGAGCCUAUUAAUACUUCAGUCUCUGCUGACCCGCCUGUCAGCUCCGUCUGGAUUGAGAAAUCCCACAAUCCUGUUGACAAACCGAUCAUACUAACACAAACCGGCGAGUCCAAAGAUGAUGAUGUUGUGAUUACCGGUGUAGGCCGCUUUGAACCCGGGAAUCCUGUCACCUUAACCAAGCAUACCAAAAAAGAGGAUUUUUCCGCUCUGAAUAAAGAAAAAUGGGAUGUUGAACUGGAGACAUAUGUUGCUCUGAGUGCCCACGAUCUUCAUACCGGCUAUCUAAACCGGCUUUAUACUAGCCGUGACUGUGAAGCUGGUCUGGUAAAAAUGAUGAGGGAUAAAUUUGAGGUAACUUACUUCUUUACUGCCUGCCUUUGCACCAAUCCUCCUAGCCCCCAAGGGUCGGUUUGUAGCCUUCGUCAAACCGGGACUUGAAUAUGAUCCUCAACACUUUUUGAAAUCCAUUAAUAUAGCCCCCAAGGGCCAGUUUAACUUAGCAGAAUUAGACCGGGGCUCGGACAGAAAAACUAUCCUUAGAACAUAAUUUGAUCAAAUAGCCAUUAGCCCCCAAGUGCCAAGUUGAAUACCUGUAUUGAGCUUGGGACUUCGCAAUCUAAUAACUUGAUGAAGAUUGAAGGUGCAUUAGCCCCCAAGUAUCAGGCGUAUAACUUUGUUUAUGUGGUUGAUACUUCAAUUUCUUUGGACCGUUUGUUGAAAGCUAAAUGCUGUCUGUAUGCAGGCUGAGGUGAGAAUCAAGGAGGACCGGAUUGCCGAUUUGCAGGAGGCCUUGAAAACCCAACAGGCUGAAACAGACAAGGCAAAGGAAGAACUAACCAGCGCCUUGAGCACCGCUGAACAGCUGAAGAAGGGCUUCAAGAAAGAGUGGGCUGAUUGGGCCACUGAGAAGGCCGCUUUAACCAAAAGAGCGGAAAAUGCUGAAGCUGCCCUUAACCGGUGGUGGAUGAACUUACGGCCGUAAAGCAGCAAAUACACUCCAUGACCGCUGCAAUCUUUGGUAAGCUCCUUUGAACUUCUUUGAUAAUUUGAACCUGCUGUAAUGUAAAUCCGGUGUGAGACCGUCCCUGUAUUGUUGUAGUCACACGCAUUGGGCACUUAGGAAAUGAUGUGCGGAAGAAACUGAAGGCUGCCUACACCUUAGUGGAACAAUUAUAUACCGGAGCCCAAUGGAUCAUCACCACAGCCUCUCAUAACAACCCGGCACCUUCUUUAAUCCAGGACACUCUUAACAGGUUGUCGAUGCUUCCGGCCCGGAUGGAGGAGCUGAAGAAAUCUGCUGCUCGAACUGGAGCUAUUAACGCUUUGAUCCGGGCAAAGGCAUGGGUGCCAGAUUUCGACCAUGUGGAAGCAUCUCAAGGCUAUCCCAGCCUGAAGGAAGAUGGCUCUGAAUUUAAUGAAGAGGAUUUAAGGGCAAUAAACCGUGCAGUGCGCCCUCUGGCUUGUCAGUUAGCUGAAGAGGCAGACUUGACGCAUUAUCAAGCACAAUACAAUGACCAGAACAAGCGAGUGCCUGCCCCAACUCUUGAAGCGGAGAAUCUGAUCCCUCCAAUCCGUAAGCACACUUACACUCCUGAUAUUGAGCCGUCUUCCCUAAUCCAUGAAGAGGCUGUUUUCCAAGCUUUAAUGGGAAUCGACUGGACCACUGUUGAUUUCCAGCCAACGGGUAGAGAUGAGGAAGCUGAAGUGGCGGAUGAUGAAGAGCAGGCUUGAACCAGAAGCCGGUUUGGAUAGCUGUCUUUGGCAUCUUUCCAAAAGAACAACGAUCUUAUUUGGGCACCGUGCUGCCUUGUAAUAGAAUAGUUAAUACUUCUGCCUUGAAUAUGCCUUCGCGCAUAAGUACUGAAGCUUUUGUUUCGAAAAACUUCAAUUCAUAUUUCCUGCCAUGUCUGGGCAUGAAGCUGGCUUAGCCAAGCUUGAAGCGGAGUUUUUAUAAACCAUUACCGUCAAUAAGGGGGGAGAAAACAGCUCCCGUAAAAGAAAAGGUAAACCAGGCAUACUUCUCCGGAUUAAAGGGGAAUCAAAUCCAUCGGCUGAACCGGAAAAAGGGUGUUUGCUGACAUAAAAGAAAUCCAACAAAAACAAAGAACAAACAAACCAUGAAAAUAACAUGGAAGCAAAGGCAAUGAUAAAAACCAUUUGCAAAAAGUAUGCUAUACUGAGCUGAUCAGAUGGUGUUACCAUGGUCGGACAGGACCAAGCCCCCAAUAGGAGUGACAAUGAUUCAAGUCAGCCAGGUCCCCAAAUGAUUCGUGGCAUAUAUGCCAGAUCAAGAGGCGUGGCAAUGGUUCGAGUUCGACCAAGCCCCCAAGUGAUUUUGUGGCCUUAGGCCGAUCAAGAGGCGUGACUGGUUCAGACGUGACCAUGUCCCCAAGUGAUCUGGUGGCUGUCGCCUAUCAAAAGGUGUCGCGUUGCUUCGGACACGACCAAGGCCCCAAGUGAUAUAUAAAAAGCAAUUGUCAAGGGGAAAACCGGAGGCCGCUUUAAAAACAGAACCACUCCAGGUAACCACGCAUGAUAAGAAAGACAGAGACCCUGCUUUAGCUGAGGCUCCGGUUUUAUUAUAUCAAAGAUAAUAUAUACACUGUCAUGAUAUGUACAUAGAUAGAGCCGAUGGCUCAAGUGUAGUAAGGCCGAAGAUGAGCUAUAUUCCACGGCCUAUUGGUCUCCUCCUCUGAUGUACGUGAGUCUUUAUGCCCUCGAAUAUCAAUCAGAUAGUACGACCCGUUGUGCAAAUUCUUGCUGACCACGAAGGAUCCCUCCCAAGGUGGGGAUAACUUGUGCAUAUCCGUCUGAUCUUGGAUGAGUCGAAGCACCAAAUCACCUUCUUGAAAAGUUCUGGUUCUAACCCGGCGACUGUGAUAGCGACGAAGAUCUUGCUGGUAAAUCACCGAACGGGCAGCCGCUAUAUCACGCUCCUCGUCCAAUAGGUCCAAAGCGUCUUGCCGUGCUGUCUCAUUGUCUGCUUCAACAUAAGCUGCCACACGAGGCGAAUCGUGCCGGAUAUCACUAGGGAGAACUGCCUCUGCUCCAUAGACCAUGAAAAAUGGUGUGUAUCAUGUGGACCGGUUUGGCGUAGUAUUGAUACUCCAUAACACAGAUGGUAGCUCUUCAACCCAACAUCCUGGUGUUCUUUGCAAUGGGACCAUAAGCCGGGGUUUGAUGCCUCGCAAGAUUUCCUGAUUAGCUCGUUCUGCCUGUCCAUUGGACUGGGGGUGUGCCACUGACGACACGUCAAGUCGGAUGUGCUCACGUUCACAUAACUCCUUCAUAGCGUCCUUGGAUAAAUUGGUACCAUUGUCAGUAAUGAUACUAUGUGGAAAACCAAACCGGAAAAUCACCUUUUUGAUGAACUGCACCGAUGUUGCUGCAUCACACUUGCUGACAGGCUCCGCUUCAACCCACUUGGUAAAUUUGUCAACUGCCACCAAAAGGUGGGUUUUCUUAUCCUUGGAUCUUUUAAAAGGUCCGACCAUAUCCAGCCCCCAAGUUGCAAACAGCCACGUUAUUGGGAUCAUCCUCAAUUCUUGAGCCGGCACAUGAGCACGCCUUGAAAAUUUCUGACAUCCAUCACACCGUUUAACCAAGUCCUCCACGUCAGCAUGCGCUGUCAACCAGUAGAACCCGUGACGAAACGCCUUUGCUACCAGAGACUUUGAACUGGCGUGAUGUCCACAAUCCCCUUCAUGGAUUUCUCUUAAUAUUUCACAGCCUUCCUCAGGAGAAACACAACGUUGAAACGCCCCUGAUACACUGCAGUGAUGCAAUUCACCAUUAACAAUCGUCAUAGACUUGGAUCGUCGGACUAUCUGCCUGGCUAGAAUCUCAUCCUCUGGUAACUCCCCCCGGUUCAUGUACAUAAGAUAAGGAACCGUCCAAUCCGGAAUAGCAUGCAGUGCUGCCACCAAUUGAGCCUCUGGAUCAGGAAUAGCCAAAUCCGCUUCACCUGGGAGCUGGACUGACGGGUUGUGCAACACGUCCAGAAAGACAUUAGGCGGGACCGGUUUGCGCUGAGAACCCAACCGGCUUAAAGCGUCCGCCGCUUCAUUCUUCCGACAGUCCACAUGAUCCACUUGAUAACCCUUGAAACAACCCGCAAUAUUAUCCACCUCCCGACGAUAUGCAGCCAUGAGCAGGUCCUUAGAAUCCCAAGUGCCAGACACCUGUUGAACCACGAGGUCCGAGUCACCGAAGCACUUAACCCGGCUUAAGUUCAUCUCUUUAGCCAUCCGGAGACCAUGGAGCAAGGCUUCGUACUCAGCUGCAUUAUUAGUACAAGGGAACAUUAAGCGGAGAACAUAACAAAACUUAUCACCUCGUGGGGAAGUUAAUACGACUCCAGCCCCUGAGCCUUCCAGUUGCCUGGAUCCAUCAAAAUGAAUAGUCCAAUAUGUGUGAUCCGGCUUCUCCUCUGGUGCUUGUAACUCCGUCCAAUCAUUGAUGAAAUCAACAAGUGCUUGAGACUUCACCGCCGUCCAAGGUACAUACUUCAGUCCGUGUGGCCCAAGCUCUAUAGCCCACUUGGCAAUCCGGCCAGUCGCCUCCCGGUUCUGUAUGAUGUCACCCAAGGGAGCUGAACUGACCACUGUGAUGGGGUGCCCUUGAAAAUACUGCUUCAACUUCCGAAUAGCCAUGAAAACACCGUAGACGAGCUUCUGCCAAUGCGGAUACCUUUGCUUGGAUUCAAUAAGCACUUCGCUGAUAUAAUAAACCGGCCGCUGAACCGGAUACUCCUUGCCUGCCUCCUUGCGUUCCACCACAAUAGCCACGCUAACUGCCCAAGCAUUAGCUGCUACGUAUAAUAAUAGUGGCUCCUUGUCGACCGGAGCUGCAAGGACAGGCGGAUUGGCUAACUACCGCUUCAAGUCCUCAAAUGCUUCAUCAGCAGUCGAACUCCAAAUGAAAUGGUCUGUCUUCCUCAGCAUUUGGUACAAAGGAAUGGCCUUUUCUCCGAGGCGGCUGAUAAACCGGCUUAGUGCGGUGAUUCGGCCCGCCAAGUGCUGAACAUCAUUGAUGCACUUCGGUUUAGCCAGGGAGGUGAUAGCUGUAAUCUUCUCCGGAUUAGCCUCAAUUCCUCUAUUAGACACCAGGAAACCUAGUAACUUGCCUGCCGGAACACCAAAGACACACUUGGCCGGAUUAAGCAUCAUAUUGUAAACCCGCAAGUUGUCAAAGGUUUCCUUCAAUUCAUCCACCAGCGUCUCCUUCUGCCUUGAUUUUACUACAAUAUCAUCCACAUAGGCAUGCACAUUGCGGCCGAUCUGUUUAUGCAGGCAAUUCUGUAAACACCGUUGAUAGGUGGCUUGGGCACUCUUGAGGCCGAAGGGCAUAGAUACAUAGCAGAAGGCUCCAAAGGGAGUAAUAAACGUUGUUUUCUCCUAGUCCUUAACCGCCAUUUUGAUCUGAUGAUAUCCAGAGUAUGCAUCCAAAAAACUCAAACGCUCACAACCCGCCGUGGCAUCAUUGAUCUGGUCAAUGCGGGGGAGGGCAAAAGGAUCCGCUGGACAGGCCCUGUUAAGAUCUGCGUAAUCCACACACAUACGCCAAGUGCCAUUUUUCUUGAGAACCAACACCGGAUUAGCAAGCCACUCUGGAUGGAACACCUCAAUGAUAAAGCCAGCUGCCAAAAGCCUGGCCACUUCCUCUCCAAUGGCCUUUCACCUUUCUUCGUUAAACCGGCGGAGGAAUUGCUUCACCGGUUUAUACCUAGGAUCCACAUUAAGAGUGUGCUCAGCGAGUUCCCUCAGUACACCUGACAUGUCGGAUGGUUUCCAUGCGAAGAUGUCCCGAUUCUCAUGGAUGAACUCGAUGAGCGCACUUUCCUAUUUGGGAUCCAAAUUGGUACUGACAGUGAACUGCUUGGACGAAUCGCCGGGCACGAAGUCAACAAGCUUGGUCUCAGCUGCCGAUUUGAACUUCAGAUCCGAAUCAUGUUCUGUAGUUGGUUUCUUCAGAGGAAUCAUAUCCGUUGGAUCAACAUUGUCCUUAUAGUACUUCAACUCCUCCGUGGCACAGACCGACUCUGCAUAAGCCGCAUCACCUUCCUCACAUUCCAAAGCGACCAUACGGCUCCCAUGAACCGUUAUUGUCCCCUUGUAACCCGGCAUCUUGAGCUGCAAGUAAAUAUAACAAGGCCGCGCCAUGAACUUGGCGUAAGCCGGCCGACCAAACAAGGCAUGAUAUGGGCUCUGGAUCUUCACCACCUCAAAUGUUAGUUUUUCCGACCGGGAGUCGUGCUCGUCCCCAAAAACCACGUCCAGGGCUAUCUUACCAACAUGAUAUGUAGAUUUGCCAGGCACCACACCAUGGAACACCGUAUUAGAUGGUCUGAGAUCUUUGUCUGUUAAACCCAUGCGACGGAAUGUCUCAUGGUAUAGUAUGUUAAUACUGCUUCCUCCAUCCAUGAGUACCUUGGUGAAUUUAUAACCCCCCACCUGAGGGUCUACCACUAAUGCUAGCUGGCCGGGAUUAUCAACCCGGGGCGGGUGAUCCUCUCUGCUCCACACGAUAGGCUGUUCCGACCAGCGCAAGUAACGCGGUAAGGCCGGUUCAGCAGAAUUCACUGCUCGCUUGUGGAGUUUUCGGUCGCGUUUAUCCAAGCUAGUUGUGAAAACAUGAUAUUGCCCAUUGUUCAACUGUUUUGGCUGGCUCUGAUAACCUGACUGCUGCUGCUGCUGCUGGCCGUUCUGAUUAUUCUGGUGAUUGUGACCGCCCUGAUUGCGACCUGAACCGGAAGCUCCAUCGUGAUCCGGCCCACGAAAACCGGAUCCUGAACUGCCACCUGACCCGUGAUCAUACCGGAAGGCAUUAGAGUUUUUAAACUCCUGCAUGAUAUAACAAUCCUUCCAAAGAUGGUUAGCUGGCGCCUCCUUCGUCCCGUGCUUCGGGCAAGGUUGAUUCAUCAAAUAACUCAAGCGGCUUGCGUUAGGAUUGGGAGCCCCAUUACGAUUUGCCGCUUUACCUCUGCGCCGCUGCCCCCUGUCCUGUGCAUUAGUGUUGGCCACAAAGUCCAUGCUGCCAUCCACCUUGCGCUUGCCUCCGUUUCCAUGACCCGCCGGUUUAUACUGCUGCUGUUUGGAGUUGCUAUUCUUCCUUCCCUUCCCUGCUUCAUCAUCAUCAGUCUCGGGAUCCUUGGUACUGUCCGAAUCAGCAUACUUCACUAGAGCGGCCAUGAGGGUUCCCAUGUCAUUACAGAACCGCUUCAUGCGUCCCAAUUUCAAUUUUAAGGGCUCAAACCGGCAGUUGCCUUCCAGGGUUAAGAUCGCAGAGUCAGCAUUAAUCCUGUCGGACAAGUGCAAAAUUUCCGAAACGUGGCGCACCCAAUGGGUCGUUGAUUCUCCUUCCCCCUGGACACAAGCCGCCAGGUCUACUAUAGAUUUGGGCUGCUUACACGUAUCCUUGAAAUUCUGGAUAAACCGGGCCCGCAACUGGGCCCAUGAGCCGAUAGAAUUGGGCGGUAAGCUCUUCAACCAAGUACGCGCCGUGCCUUCAAGCAUCAUGGUGAAGUAUUUUGCACAUGCGGUCUCAUCCACGUCUAACAUCUCCAUGGCCAUCUCAUAACUCUCUAUCCACGCUUCAGGGGAUAAAUCAGCGGUGUAACUCGGCACCUUGCGUGGACCCUUGAAAUCUUUGGGCAGGCGCACAUUGUGUAAAGCGGGGAUUAAACAAGGCACUCCCAAAGCGGAUGCGACUCCUGGUCCGGCGAAGGUGGUAGGGCGAACCGGUGUAAGUUGAUCCGCAUCAUCCUGCGCUGCUAACUCGGCUUCCCUCCGUGCCCGGGCCCGGUCCACCACAUCCUGAGCAUCGCGAACACCGCCCGCCGGGCUAUUGCCAUAGGCUGCUUCACGGCCUCGCGCAUUGCUCGAUAUGGCCGGUUCAUCCAUGCGCCUGCUAUAGCUCCGGCUUGGACGGGGCGUAGAGUGAAUCCGAUCACGGCUGUACGAGUAUGCUUCCUGCUGAAUCAGCGCGGUCCGGAGAAGCUCCUUAACCCGGCGCGUCUCUAUCGCUUGCGGAGAGUCCCCUUCGACUGGGAUUGCCUCUAAUCGCGCGGCGGCCGCAACAAGGUUGUCCAUAGGAUUAGAAUAAUGACCUGGGGGCAUCUAGACCAGCGGAAGAAUCUCAAUGUUCUGCUGAGGAGGUUCCAUCAGGCGAGGUUGGACCGUCCCCCUGGUCCUGGUGCCUCAAUCCGGUUUGUCUCCAGGUGCCGCGGCGGAUUACUGGGUCCAGCUCCUGGAGUGUGAAAGAGAUUCCGGGGAUCAAACCCUAACGGCAGGCGUGACCUGUGCUUCCGCUUUAAGACCUCCUGUGAUGUGUUCUGGUCAAGCAUGAGCUUAUAAGCCUGGGCAUCCAAAGCGGCCCGCUCUGCGGCCAUCCUGUCUUUUCUGCGGCCAGAUCCGCUUUGGCUUGCACGAUCUGUUCUCUCACCUUUGCAAUUUCUGUAUUAUGGGCCUCCUGAUCCGCCGGAUUGUCCUCUGCCAUGAGCGCGGCUAGUGUAUCAAAUAGAUCAGAUAGAACUUGAACCGGCGGGCGCACAAGGCCUCCUGCCCCUGCUGAUCCGGAGAGACAUGCUGCGGCGGUCGAAGAGUAAUUCGCCGCCUGUGUGCCGGCCAUGCAUAUUCCAACCUGGUUGACCUGGCCUGGGGGGUCCGGAAUACUGUCGCCAUCGGAACAGCCCCUAACCUGGUCGUCUUGUAACUGGUAUAGUGAUUCGGUCUCUCCGAUCGAGGACUCGUCGCCGGAAUAGAUGACGGCCUCGCUACCGUGUUCUGACUCGUCCUCACACCCUCCUUCAUGGAUGAUUCCGAUGAAGGCACGCUUCACGGCCGGUUUAGCCUGGGUAGAUCUCGCACGCUGAGCCGUCUCGACGAGGUCGAUGCAGAUGUCCGGCUCAGGCCCCGGCUCACCGAUCUUUCCGAUGAAAACGUGUAUGCCACCAAAGGGGACCCGGUACCCGUAUUCAAUCGAAUCGGCCUCAGGACCCCAUCCUGCGUCGUCAAUGUAGAUCUUGCCACGACGACUCUUGGUCAUCUGGCCCACAGCAUAGCCUUCGAGUCCUUUGAGCUUGCCCUCCAAGAUCGUCAAACCAUCGUGCGAUAGCCCCACGGUGGGCGCCAACUGUCGUGGAUUUGUCACGGCAGAUGUCCUAGUGAAAGGACUUAGUCAUGGAGCCAUCGCCACGGGUUUACUUGAAGGGGUUAAAGUGGACACAAAGACACGAGGGUUUUAUACUAGUUCGGCCCCUUCGAUGAAGGUAAAGCCUACGUCUAGUUGUGAUGGAAUUGAUAUGGUCUCGAUGGCUAGGGAGCAAACAAGCUUCGCCCAGGCUCGAGUUGUCGUUGUCUGUCCUGAACCGCCGCCGGGUCGUCCCCUUAUAUACACGGGUGACGCCCGACGGUCCAUAGAGUCCCAACCGGUUCAUACUCGUAUCCCGGUUGGUAUCUCUCUAUUCCUAACUUAUAAUACAAGUUAUACAUCAGGUCGGUUUACGGCUACAGAUUCUAAACCGACUAUAGGCCUUGGGCCUUCAUCUGCUUAUACCACUAAUGAAGUUAACCCGGCCCAAGUAGGCCGGUUUACGCCUAGUGGUAAUAUCCCCAACACUCGGGUUGGCCGACCCAAUGGAAGGGUAUAGGUGGUGGUGAGGCAAAUGGUAAAACCAAGGUUGGGCCUUGCUGGAAGAGUUUUAUUCAAAGCGAACUGUCAAGGGGGUCCCAUAAAUCACCCAACCGCGUAAGGAACGCAAAAUCCGGGAACAUAACACCGGUAUGACAGAAACUAGGGCGGCAAGAGUGGAACAAAACACCAGGCAAAAGGCCGAGUCUUCCACCCUUUACCAAGUAUAUAGAUGCAUUAAUAAUAUAAGAGAUAUUGUGAUAUCCCAACAUAAUCCUGUCCACCAUGGAGAAAUCUUCAACUUCACCUGCAACUAGCAACGCUAUAAGAGGGGAUGAGCAAAAGCGGUAACAUAGCCAAAAAACGGUUUGCAUAGGAAAGGUGUCAAAGGUUAGAGGUUCAUGGCAAUAUGGGAGGCUUGAUAAACAGGUGAUAGGUAGCGCAGCAAAGCGAUAGAACGAAGCAACUAGCAUAGCAAUGAUAGUAGUGAGAUCCAGGGUAGCGGUCAUCUUGCCUGAAAUCCCGCUAGGAAGAAGAACGAGUCCAUGAAGAAGACGAACAGGAGUAGUCGAACGAAUCCUCACAAUCGCAACAUUAACGGAACUAAGAAGCAACACCGGAAAGAAAUAAACAACAUGGUAAACACACAAGCAUAAACAUGGCAUGAUGCACAAACAAGUAUGAUGCAUGUCCGGUUUAAAGAGGCAUGGCAUGGCAAAGUGCAACAAACAACACUACAAAUUAAGUGGAGCUCAAUAUGCAACGAGUUGCAUAUUGAUGAAACACCACAAGCAAUUAUUUAGUUCUCUCUCGAUUAGGUACACAACAAUAUUAAAUGUUGUUAAACAUGGCAAGAGGUGAGGCAUAAGUAAACUAACUAAAAAUUUUCCUACGGUUUCACCAAGAUCCAUCUAUGAGUUCAUCUAAGCAACGAGUUAUAGGAGAGAGAUGCAUCUACAUACCACUUGUAGAUCGCGUGCGGAAGCGUUCAAGGGAACGGGGAUGAUGGAGUCGUACUCGCCGUGAUCCAAUCACCGAUGACCAAGUGCCGAACGGACAGCACCUCCGCGUUCAACACACGUACGGAGAGGAUGACGUCUCCUCCUUCUUGAUCCAGCAAGGGGGAACGAUAGGUUGAGGAAGAAGGCUCCAGCAGCAGCACGACGGCGUGGUGAUGGUGGAGAGGCAGUACUCCGACAGGGCUUUGCCAAGCACUUAAUAGAGGAGGAGAGGUGUUGGGGAGGGGAGGGGCUGCACCUUAGAUGUCUUGUGCAGCCCUCCCCUCGCCCCUCUAUUUAUAGGGGAAGGGGGAAGGGGGCCGACCCCCUCUAGAUGAGAUCUAGAGGGGGGGCGGCGGCCAAGGGAGGGGGCUUGUCCCCCAAGCAAGGGGGGCGCCCCCACUAGGGAUUCCCCCCCAACCCUAGGCGCAUGGGCCCAAGGGGGGGCGCGCCCAGCCCUCCAGGGGCUGGUUCCCUGCCCCCUACGGCCCAUGAGGCCCUCCGAGAGGGGUCGCCCCUCCCGAUGGACCCCCGGAACCCCUCCGGUGGCCCCGGUACAAUACAGAUAUGCCCCCGAAACUUUCCGGUGACCGUAUGACAACUUCCCAUAUAUAAAUCUUCACCUCCAGACCAUUCCGGAACUCCUCAUGACGUCCGGGAUCUCAUCCGGGACUCCGAACAACAUUCGGUAAUCACAUACAAGUCUUCCUAAUAACCCUAGCGUCACCGAACCUUAAGUGUGUAGACCCUACGGGUUCGGGAGACAUGCAGACAUGACCGAGACGGCCCUCCGGUCAAUAACCAACAGCGGGAUCUGGAUACCCAUGUUGUCUCCCACAUGCUCCUUGAUGAUCUCAUCGGAUGAACCACGAUGUCGAGGAUUCAAUCAACCCCGUAUACAAUUCCCUUUGUCAAAGCGGUACGUUACUUGCCCGAGACUCGAUCGUCGGUAUCCCAAUACCUCGUUCAGUCUCGUUACCGACAAGUCACUUUACUCGUACCGUAAUGCAUGAUCCCGUGACCAAACACUUGUCACUUUGAGCUCAUUAUGAUGAUGCAUUACCGAGUGGGCCCAGAGAUACCUCUCCGUUAUACGGAGUGACAAAUCCCAGUCUCGGUCCGUGUCAACCCAACAGACACUUUCGGAGAUACCUGUAGUGCACCUUUAUAGUCACCCAGUUACAUUGUGACGUUUGAUACACCCAAAGCACUCCUACGGUAUCCGGUAGUUACACGAUCUCAUGGUCUAAGGAAACGAUACUUGACAUUGGAAAAGCUCUAGCAAAACGAACUACACGAUCUUGUGCUAUGCUUAGGAUUGGGUCUUGUCCAUCACAUCAUUCUCCUAAUGAUGUGAUCCCGUUGUCAACGACAUCUAAUGUCCAUAGUCAGGAAACCAUGACUAUUUGUUGACCAACGAGCUAGUCAACUAGAGGCUUACUAGGGACGUAUUGUGGUCUAUGUAUUCACACGUGUAUUACGAUUUCCGGAUAAUACAAUUAUAGCAUUAAUAAAGGACAACUAUCAUGAACAAAGAAAUAUAAUAAUAAUCCUUUUAUUAUUGCCUCUAGGGCAUAUUUCCAACAGUCUCCCACUUGCACUAGAGUCAAUAAUCUAGUUACAUUGUGAUGAAUCGAACACCCAUAGAGUUCUGGUGUUGAUCAUGUUUUGCUCGCGGAAGAGGUUUAGUCAACGGAUCUGCGACAUUCAGAUCCGUAUGUACUUUGCAAAUAUCUAUGUCUCCAUCUUGAACAUUUUCACGGAUGGAGUUGAAACGACGCUUGAUGUGCCUGGUCUUCUUGUGAAACCUGGGCUCCUUGGCAAGGGCAAUAGCUCCAGUGUUGUCACAGAAGAGUUUGAUCGGCCCCGACGCAUUGGGUAUGACUCCUAGGUCGGUGAUGAACUCCUUCACCCAAAUUGCUUCAUGCGCUGCCUCUGAGGCUGCCAUGUAUUCCGCUUCACAUGUAGAUCCCGCCACGACGCUCUGCUUGCAGCUGCACCAGCUUACUGCCCCACCAUUCAACAUAUACACAUAUCCGGUUUGUGACUUAGAGUCAUCCAGAUCUGUGUCGAAGCUAGCGUCGACGUAACCCUUUACGAUGAGCUCUUCAUCACCUCCAUAAACGAGAAACACGUCCUUUGUCCUUUUCAGGUACUUCAGGAUAUUCUUGACCGUUGUCCAGUGUUCCUUGCCGGGAUUACUUUGGUACCUUCCUACCAAACUUACGGCAAGGUUUACAUCAGGUCUGGUACACAGCAUGGCAUACAUAAUAGAUCCUAUGGCUGAGGCAUAGGGGAUGACACUCAUCUCUUCUUUAUCUUUUGCCGUGGUCGGGCAUUGAGCCGAGCUCAAUCUCACACCUUGCAAUACAGGCAAGAACCCUUUCUUGGACUGAUCCAUUUUGAACUUCUUCAAAAUCUUAUCAAGGUAUGUGCUUUGUGAAAGACCUAUGAGGCGUCUCGAUCUAUCCCUAUAGAUCUUGAUGCCUAAUAUGUAAGCAGCUUCUCCAAGGUCCUUCAUUGAAAAACACUUAUUCAAGUAGGCCUUAAUGUUGUCCAAGAAUUCUAUAUCAUUUCCCAUCAAAAGUAUGUCAUCUACAUAUAAUAUGAGAAAUGCUACGGAGCUCCCACUCACUUUCUUGUAAACGCAGGCUUCUCCAUAAGUCUGCAUAAACCCAAACGCUUUGAUCAUCUCAUCAAAGCGAAUGUUCCAGCUCCGAGAUGCUUGCACCAGCCCAUAAAUGGAUCGCUGGAGCUUGCAUACUUUGUUAGCAUUCUUAGGAUCGACAAAACCUUCCGGCUGCAUCAUAUACAGCUCUUCCUUAAGAUAACCGUUAAGGAAUGCCGUUUUGACGUCCAUCUGCCAUAUCUCAUAAUCAUAGUAUGCGGCAAUUGCUAACAUGAUUCGAACGGACUUAAGCUUCGCUACGGGAGAGAAAGUCUCAUCGUAGUCAACCCCUUGAACUUGCCGAUAACCCUUAGCGACAAGUCGAGCUUUAUAGAUGGUGACAUUACCAUCCGUGUCCGUCUUCUUCUUAAAGAUCCAUUUGUUUUCUAUCGCUCGCCGAUCAUCGGGCAAGUCAGUCAAAGUCCAUACUUUGUUUUCAUACAUGGAUUCUAUCUCGGAUUGCAUGGCUUCUAGCCAUUUGUUGGAAUCUGGGCCCACCAUCGCUUCUUCAUAGUUUGAAGGUUCACCGUUGUCUAACAACAUGAUUUCCAGGACAGGGUUGCCAUACCACUCUGGUGUGGAACGUGUCCUCGUGGACCUACGAAGUUCAGUAGCAACUUGAUCCGAAGUACCUUGAUCAUCAUCAUUAAUUUCCUCUCCAGUUGGUGUAGGCACCACAGGAACAUUUUCCUGAGCUGCACUACUUUCCGAUUCAAGAGGUAGUACUUCAUCGAGUUCUAAUUUUCUCCCACUUACUCCUUUCGAGAGAAACUCCUUUUCCAGAAAGGAUCCAUUCUUGGCAACAAAGAUCUUGCCUUCAGAUCUAAGGUAGAAGGUAUACCCAAUGGUUUCCUUGGGGUAUCCUAUGAAGACGCAUUUUUCCGACUUGGGUUCGAGCUUUUCAGGUUGAAGUUUCUUGACAUAAGCAUCGCAUCCCCAAACUUUUAGGAACGACAACUUAGGUUUCUUCCCAAACCAUAAUUCAUACGGUGUUGUCUCAACGGAUUUAGACGGUGCCCUAUUUAAAGUGAAUGUAGCUGUCUCUAGAGCGUAUCCCCAAAAUGAUAGCGGUAAAUCGGUAAGAGACAUCAUAGAUUGCACCAUAUCCAAUAGAGUGCGAUUACGACAUUAGGACACACCGUUACGCUGAGGUGUUCCAGGCGGCGUGAGUUGUGAAACAAUUCCACAUUUCCUUAAGUGUGUACCAAAUCCGUGACUUAAAUAUUCUCCUCCACGAUCUGAUCAUAAGAAUUUUAUCAUUCGGUCAUGUUGAUUCUCUACUUCAUUCUAAAAUUCCUUGAACUUUUCAAAGGUCUCAGACUUGUGUUUCAUCAAGUAGACAUACCCAUAUCUACUUAAGUCAUCAGUGAGAGUGAGAACAUAACGAUAUCCUCCGCGAGCCUCAACGCUCAUUGGACCACACACAUCAGUAUGUAUGAUUUCCAAUAAGUUGGUUGCUCGCUCCAUAGUUUCGGAGAACGGAGUCUUGGUCAUUUUGCCCAUGAGGCAUGGUUCGCAUGUGUCAAAUGAUUCAUAAUCGAGAGACUCUAAAAGUCCAUCAACAUGGAGCUUCUUCAUGCGCUUGACACCAAUGUGACCAAGGCGGCAGUGCCACAAGUAUGUGGGACUAUCGUUAUCAACUUUACAUCUUUUGGUAUUCACACUAUGAAUAUGUGUAACAUUACGUUCGAGAUUCAUUAAGAAUAAACCAUUGACCAUCGGGGCAUGACCAUAAAACAUAUCUCUCAUAUAAAUAGAACAACCAUUAUUCUCGGAUUUAAAUGAGUAGCCAUCUCGUAUUAAACGAGAUCCAGAUACAAUGUUCAUGCUCAAACUUGGCACUAAAUAACAAUUAUUAAGGUUUAAAACUAAUCCCGUAGGUAAAUGUAGAGGUAGCGUGCCGACGGCGAUCACAUCGACCUUGGAACCAUUCCCGACGCGCAUCGUCACCUCGUCCUUCGCCAGUAUCCGCUUAUUCCGCAGCUCCUGCUGUGAGUUACAAAUAUGAGCAACGGCACCGGUAUCAAAUACCCAGGAGUUACUACGAGUACUGGUAAGGUACACAUCAAUUACAUGUAUAUCACAUAUACCUUUAGUGUUGCCUGCCUUCUUGUCCGCUAAGUAUUUGGGGCAGUUCCGCUUCCAGUGACCCUUCCCUUUGCAAUAAAAGCACUCAGUCUCAGGCUUGGGUCCAUUCUUUGACUUCUUCCCGGCAACUGGCUUACUGGGCGCGGCAACAUCUUUGCCGUUCUUCUUGAAGUUCUUCUUACCCUUGCCCUUCUUGAACUUAGUGGUCUUAUUGACCAUCAACACUUGAUGUUCUUUCUUGAUUUCAACCUCUGCUGACUUCAGCAUUGAAAAUACUUCAGGAAUGGUCUUUACCAUCCCCUGCAUAUUGUAGUUCAUCACAAAGCUCUUUUAGCUCGGUGGGAGCGAUUGAAGGAUUCUGUCAAUGACCGCCUCGUCCGGGAGGUUGAUCUCCAGCUGGGACAGGUGGCUGUGUAACCCAGACAUUUUGAGUAUGUGCUCACUGACAGAACUGUUUUCCUCCAUCUUAAAACUAUAGAACUUGUCGGAGACUUCAUAUCUCUCGACCCGGGCAUGAGCUUGAAAAACCAUUUUCAGCUCCUCGAACAUCUCAUAUGCUCCGUGUUGCUCAAAACGUUUUUGGAGCCCCGGUUCUAAGCUGUAAAGCAUGCCGCACUGAACGAGGGAGUAAUCAUCAGCACGUAACUGCCAAGCAUUCAUAAUGUCUUGGUUCUCUGGGAUGGGUGCUUCACCUAGCGGUCCUUCUAGGACAUAUGCUUUCUUGGCUGCUAUGAGGAUAAUCCUUAGGUUCCGGACCCAGUCCGAAUAGUUGCUGCCAUCAUCUUUCAACUUGGUUUUCUCUAGGAACGCGUUGAAGUUCAUGUUGACAUGAGCGUUGGCCAUUUGAUCUACAAGACAUGUUUUGCAAAGAUUUUAGACUAAGUUCAUGAUAAUUAAGUUCAUCUAAUCAAAUUAUUUAAUGAACUCCCACUCAGAUUUGACAUCCCUCUAGUCAUCUAAGUGUUACAUGAUCCGAGUCGACUAGGCCAUGUCCGAUCGUCACGUGAGACGUACUAGUCAUCAUCGGUAAACAUCUCCAUGUUGAUCGUAUCUUCCAUACGACUCAUGUUCGACCUUUCGGUCUCUUGUGUUCCGAGGCCAUGUCUGUACAUGCUAGGCUCGUCAAGUUAACCCUAAGUGUUUAUGCAUGUGUAAAACUGUCUUACACCCGUUGUAUGUGAACGUAAGGAUCUAUCACACCCGAUCAUCACGUGGUGCUUCGAAAUGACGAACUUUAGCAAUGGUGCACAGUUAGGGGGAACACUUUCUUGAAAUUAUUAUAAGGGAUCAUCUUAUUUACUACCGCCGUUCUAAGUAAACAAGAUGCAUAAAACAUAAUAAACAUCACAUGCAAUUAUAUAAAGUAGUGACAUGAUAUGGCCAAUAUCAUAUAGCUCCUUCGAUCUCCAUCUUCGGGGCUCCAUGAUCAUCUUCGUCACCGGCAUGACACCAUGAUCUCCAUCAUCAUGAUCUCCAUCAUCGUGCCUCCAUGAAGUUGCUCGCCAACUAUUACUUCUACUACUAUAGCUAAUGGUUUAGCAAUAAAGUAAAGUAAUUACAUGGCGUUGAAUCAUUGACACACAGGUCAUACAAUAAUUAAGACAACUCCUAUGGCUCCUGCCGGUUGUCAUACUCAUCGACAUGCAAGUCGUGAUUCCUAUUACAAGAACAUGAUCUCAUACAUCACAAUAUAUCAUUCGUCAUUCAUCACAACUUCUGGCCAUAUCACAUCACAUGACAAUUGCUGCAAAAACAAGUUAGACGUCCUCUAAUUGUUGUUGCAUCUUUUACGUGGCUGCAAUUGGGUUCUAGCAAGAACGUUUCCUUACCUACGAAUAACCACAACGUGAUUUUAUCAACUUCUAUUUACCCUUCAUAAGGACCCUUUUCAUCGAAUCCGCUCCAACUAAAGUGGGAGAGACAGACACCCGCUAGCCACCUUAUGCAACUAGUGCAUGUCAGUCGGUGGAACCUGUCUCACGUAAGCGUACGUGUAAGGUCGGUCCGGGCCGCUUCAUCCCACAAUACCGCUGAAGCAAAAUAAGACUAGUAGUGGCAAGCAAGUUGACAAGAUCUACGCCCACAACAAAAUUGUGUUCUACUCGUGCAAUAGAGAACUACGCAUAGACCUAGCUCAUGAUGCCACUGUUGGGGAAUGUUGCAGAAAAUUAAAAAAUUUCCUACGGUUUCAGCAAGAUCCAUCUAUGAGUUCAUCUAAGCAACGAGUGAUAGGAGAGAGAUGCAUCUACAUACCACUUGUAGAUUGCGUGCGGAAGCGUUCCAGGGAACGGAGAUGAUGGAGUCGUACUCGCCGUGAUCCAAAUCACUGAUGACCAAGUGCCGAACGGACAGCACCUCCGCGUUCAACACACAUACGGAGCGGAUGACGUCUCCUCCUUCUUGAUCCAGCAAGGGGGAAGGAGAGGUUGAGUAAGAAGGCUCCAGCAGCAGCACCACAGCAUGGUGAUGGUGGAGAGGCAGUACUCCGACAGGGCUUCGCCAAUCACUUAACGGAGGAGGAGAGGUGUUGGGGAGGGGAGGGGCUGCACCUUGGAUGUCUUGUGCAGCCCUCCCCUCGCCCCUCUAUUUAUAGGGGAAGGGGGAAGGGGGCCGGCCCUCUCUAGAUGAGAUCUAGAGGGGGGGCGUCGGCCAAGGGAGGGGGCUUGCCCCCCAAGCAAGGGGGGCGCCCCCACUAGGGUUUCCCCCCCAACCCUAGGUGCAUGGGCCCAAGGGGGGGCGCCCAGCCCUCCAGGGGCUGGUUCCCUGCCCCCUACGACCCAUGAGGCCCUCCGAGAGGGGUGGCCCCUCCCGGUGGACCCCCGGAACCCCUCCGGUGGCCCCGGUACAAUACCGAUAUGCCCCCGAAACUUUCCGGUGACCGUAUGACAACUUCCCAUAUAUAAAUCUUCACCUUCGGACCAUUCCGGAACUCCUCGUGACAUCCGGGAUCUCAUCUGGGACUCCGAACAACAUUCGGUAAUCACAUACAAGUCUUCCUAAUAACCCUAGCGUCACCGAACCUUAAGUGUGUAGACCCUACGGGUUCGGGAGACAUGCAGACAUGACCGAGACGGCUCUCCGGUCAAUAACCAACAGCGGGAUCUGGAUACCCAUGUUGGCUCCCACAUGCUCCUCGAUGAUCUCAUCGGAUGAACCACGAUGUCGAGGAUUCAAUCAACCCCGUAUACAAUUCCCUUUGUCAAAACGGUACGUUACUUGCCCGAGACUCGAUCAUCGGUAUCCCAAUACCUCGUUCAGUCUCGUUACCGGCAAGUCACUUUACUCGUACUGUAAUGCAUGAUCCCGUGACCAAACACUUGGUCACUUUGAGCUCGUUAUGAUGAUGCAUUACCGAGUGGGCCCAGAGAUACCUCUCCGUCAUACGGAGUGACAAAUCCCAGUCUCGAUCCGUGUCAACCCAACAGAAACUUUUGGAGAUACCUGUAGUGCACGUUUUUAGUCACCCAGUUACGUUGUGACGUUUGAUACACCCAAAGCACUCCUAUGGUAUCCGGGAGUUACACGAUCUCAUGGUCUAAGGAAACGAUACUUGACAUUGGAAAAGCUCUAGCAAAACGAACUACACGAUCUUGUGCUAUGCUUAGGAUUGGGUCUUGUCCAUCACAUCAUUCUCCUAAUGAUGUGAUCCCAUUGUCAACGACAUCUAAUGUCCAUAGUCAGGAAACCAUGACUAUCUGUUGACCAACGAGCUAGUCAACUAGAGGCUUACUAGGGACGUAUUGUAGUCUAUGUAUUCACACGUGUAUUAUGAUUUCCGGAUAAUACAAUUAUAGCAUGAAUAAAAGACAACUAUCAUGAACAAAGAAAUAUAAUAAUAAUCCUUUUAUUAUUGCCUCUAGGGCAUAUUUCCAACAUGGCAGUCCUGGAUUUGCCCCGUGUUCCGAAGCCGCACGCGACCAAGGUGCCACUAAGUGUGCAGAGCGUCCUGACGGACUUCACAGACGUGUUUGCCGACCCCAAGGGCUUCCCUCCACAUCGUCGCUAUGAUCAUGCCAUCACCCUGGUGGACAACACGUGCCCCUCCAACUGGCGACCAUACCGCUACCCGCCCUUGUAGAAAGACGAGAUUGAGCGUCAGGUCCAGGAGAUGCUCCAGUCCGGCAUCAUCGAGCACAUCAUGAGUCCCUUCGCCACGCUCGUGCUGCUCGUCAAUAAGAAGGACGACACCUGGCGUUUUUGUGUUGAUUAUCGAUAGCUCAACGACGCCACGGCCAAGAAAAAAUUUCUCCUGCCCAUCAUGGACGAAUUGCUCGAUGAGUUGGCCAGAGCAGCCUUCUUUUCUAAGCUGGACCUCCGCGCUGGUUAUCACCAGAUAUGCAUGUGCGCGGGCAAUGAGGAGAAGACGGUGUUCAAGACGCACGAUGGCCACUUUCACUUCAAGGUCAUGCCGUUCUGGCUGACGAACGGCAACCUUCCAGUGCCUGAUGAAUGCAAUCUUCGCCAAGUACGUGCGUAAGUUUGUGAACAUAUUUCUUGAUGACAUCUUAAUCUUCAAUGAGACAUUGGAGGAUCACCUGGAGCACCUUCGCCUCGUCCUCGCCCUGCUCCGAGAUCACCAGCUGUACGCCAAGGAGUCCAAGUGCUCUUUCGCCCAGGACAACAUCUCCUACCUCGGCCAUAUCAUUUCCAAGGAGGGCUUNNNNNNNNNNNNNNNNNNNNNNNNNNNNNNNNNNNNNNNNNNNNNNNNNNNNNNNNNNNNNNNNNGCCACGGACCCCGAGAAGAUGCAAGCUAUGGUGGCAUGACCUACCCCAAGCACAGCGACAGAGCUUUGCGGCUUCCUCGGUCUCACCGGCUACUACCGCAAGUUCAUCGCACACUACGGCAUCAUCGCCUAGCCGCUCACUAGCUUGCUGACCAAGAAGGGCUUCGAGUGGACGGGGAGGGCUCAGGUGGCGUUCGAUCUCCUCAAGCGCGCAAUGGUGACUGCGCCCUUGCUCGUGCUCCCAGACUUCGCGCGCCCGUUUGCGAUUGAGACGGACGCGUGCGACACCGGCAUCGGCGCAGUGCUGGCUCAGGAAGGGCACCCAGUGGCGUUCUUCAGCAAAGCCCUAGGCGUGUGCAAUCAGAGGCUGUCGGCAUAUGAGAAGGAGUUCAUCGCCGUCAUGAUGGCCGUCGAGAAGUGGCACGCAUACUUGCAGUAGGGCCCGUUCACCAUCAUCACGGAUCACAAAAGCCUAUGCAACCUCUAGGACCAGCAGCUCGCCACCGACCUGCAGCGCAAGGCAAUGGCCAAGCUGGUGGGGCUCCAAUUGAAGUUCUGCUACCAUCGUGACAGCAAAAAUGGAGCUACUGACGCUCUGUCUCGCGUUGGCGCGACUCUAAACCUCGACACGCUCUCCAUCUGCCAGCCCGCAUGGGUUCAGGAAGUGGCAAGCUCCUAUGCCACGGACGUUGAAGCACAAGAUCNNNNNNNNNNNNNNNNNNNNNNNNNNNNNNNNNNNNNNNNNNNNNNNNNNNNNNNNNNNNNNNNNNNNNNNNNNNNNNNNNNNNNNNNNNNNNNNNNNNNNNNNNNNNNNNNNNNNNNNNNNNNNNNNNNNNNNNNNNNNNNNNNNNNNNNNNNNNNNNNNNNNNNNNNNNNNNNNNNNNNNNNNNNNNNNNNNNNNNNNNNNNNNNNNNNNNNNNNNNNNNNNNNNNNNNNNNNNNNNNNNNNNNNNNNNNNNNNCCUGGCGCGUCUCGCGAUCCACAGUCCCGACAACGACGGGUACGAGCUCUACAAGGGGCUCAUCCACAAGCAGGAGCGCUUGUGGAUCGGCAAGAACACGACAUUGCACACCAAGAUCAUCAGCGCUCUGCACGACAACGCGGUCGAUGGUCACUCCAGCGCCACGGCCACCUACCAGCGCAUCAAGAAACUUUUUGUUUGGGAAGGCUUGAAGACCGACGUCACCGACUAUGUGCGGCAGUGCCCAGUCUGCCAGCAUGCCAAGCACGAGCAAUCCAAGCCGGCGGGCAUGCUCGCACGCUUACCAGUUUCGACAGCUUCCUAGCGCGACCUCACCAUGGAUUUUGUGGAAGGCUUGCCAUCGUCGGAGGGCUUUGAUUCGAUAAUGGUGGUCAUGGACAGACUAACCAAAUCAGCGCACUUCAUUCCGCUUCGCCACCCAUUCAAAUCCCCUCAGGUGGCCAAGGCAUUCUGGGAUCAGGUCGUCAAGCUGCACGGCAUCCCGAGCUCCAUCGUCUCCGACCGCGAUCGCGUCUUCACCAGCACUCUCUGGCGCGAACUCUUCGCCAGCGCGGGCACCAAGUUGCUCUUCUCCAUGGCGUAUCACCGCCAGAUGGAUGGCCAGAGCGAAAGCGUCAACCAGUGCAUGGAAAUGUACUUGUGUUGCACCGUGCACGACGCGCCCCGGCAAUGGUGUCGAUGGCUGCCUACAGCGGAAUUCUGGUACAACUCGUCAUUCCAUUCCUCGAUAAAAUGCUCCCCCUUCAAAGCUCUCUACGGCGUCGGGCGCCAUGGCACUCUGGGACAACAAGAUGGUGCCCAUGAUCGACGGUGAGCCCUGGGACUAGGGCGUGCACAUGGCGCGGCUGCGCGAACACAUUCUCCGUGCCCAUCACAGGUUCAAGAAGCAGACUGAUCAGCAUCGCACGAAGCGCUCCUUCGAGGUGGGCGACGUGGUUCUCCUCAAGCUUCAGCCCUAUGCGUAGUCGUCGGUGGCAAACAGACCCUGCGCCAAGCUGGCGUACAAGUACUUCGGGCCAUUCUGAGUGAUCGACAAGGUCGGCAAGCUAGCGUACAAACUGGAGUUGCCGGCGGACAACAAGAUCCACCUAGUCUUCCACGUAUCCCAGCUCAAGCCAUUCACCCCCAACUAUACACCGGUCUUCUCCGAGCUGCCACGACCCCCAGACCUCGCCGGCCAUGACGACGAACCGGUGGAAAUCCUGGAGCGGCGCAUGGUCAAGCGCGGUAACAGCGCCUUAGUGCAGGUUAAGGUGCGCUGGCGCAACAACGAGACAGCGACGACGACGUGGGAGGACUACGACACCCUUAGCCGCCGUUUUCCACAAGCCCCGGCGUGGGACGCACCAUCGGCCGACGACGAGGACCAGCGCGCAGAACCUAAAGACGGCGCCCGUUCUGAAGGAGUGGGGAAUGUCACACCUGCAUCACCAAGAGAUGAUGCGGUGAACGCGUGAUGGUGUGGACCCCUCUGCCAUGUGGCAUGGACCCACCUGUAAGGCAGGUUGACAAGUGGAGCGCGACUAUAUAGCCAGUUGUAGGCCAGUAGGCAGGGCAUGCGAUGUGUGUGGUGUAUGAAUCUGAACUCUCACCUAAUUUGUACCUCCUCCCUUGGAAAGAAGCUUCUCUCCCAAGUCUCGAUCUCAUCCCCUUUCCCCUCUCGAUCUGACCCCGUGUAGAUGAGUUUGUGACAGGCGAGUGCUCCUGCCCAUCGAGAACUCCGGCCUCCCCACGGAGAUCUCGGUGGAGGUUGUCGUCGCCCCCGGUGGAGGAGGCUGGAUCCGCUCCGUCGGGCUCAUCUCUGUGAGGAUGGUGGGGCCUCGCGUGGUGGCUUUGGUGCUCCAGAAGAUUGGAGGUGGAGGAAGCAGGCAGAGGAGGAAAGGAUGGGGUGCGCAACAACUGUGGUCUCGAUCAUGGAAUCCAUUCCCGGAAAAUAUUCCGUUGCGGGCUGAGGUUCCACUUGGUAGCGCUCGUGACCCCCUCCUGCAUGCUGGUACACUGCCACUCUGACCGAGCCAGGAAAGACUGCACCGUGGCAGAAGAAAACCAGGCGGGAGGCGCACAGAAAAUCAAAGAAUCCCGCCACACUUUUAGGCCAGCAAAUCUCAGCACGGAUCUCAGCGUGCGCGUGGACGCGUGCGAUGGUUGUGACCACAGUACGUUUUGAUAUCCACAAUUUUUCCUAUAUAUAUAUAUAUAUAUAUAUAUAUAUAUAUAUAUAUAUAUAUAUAUAUAUAUAUACUAGCAAAAGAGCCCGUGCGUUGCAACGGGAUAACAAAAUUAUGUUUCAUCACUUAUCACAAUUGCUCUAUCUCGUCACUGUCAUCAACUUAUUCAUCCUUCUGCCCUUUUGCAAGUUUUAUUAUGUACACGGCCUUGUGGUUUCCAUCGUCAUACUAAGAAAAUGCCAGUUAGAAAUGAGAGGUGGAGGUCAAGGCCUACUCUGAGUGCCAUCUUAAUAACUCGAGCCUCGAUCUGUUUUACUUUCCUUGUCAGCAUAAUUAAUGAUUCUGAUUUUCUUGUAUCUGGGUUAUAUAACCAAAUGCUCCUCGUGGAGUUAGUGUCCACAUCCCUUGAUGGUAAUCAUUAUAGCUGCAAUUGAAGGCUGUGAUGUUGCAUCGAAUAUAUUUGGGUGGGAUCGUGCACAUGGAAAAUUUUGGUACCAUCGACGAUGAAGGGUAAAAAAGAUGUUGGAUACCUACAAAUAUAUUCAACUUGAAAAAUAAUGCUUCCUCUAUAAAGAGUUAUAAGAGCGUUUAAUUCUUUACAAAGGGAGUACGUGUCAAAUAAUGUAUGGUCCGAUAGAAAGCAUCUACUUAGAUUUUGCGACAUCCGUUACUGCAGGUGCUGUUGCAGUUGAUGGUCAGUUGGACAGCAGGCAAAGGUAUGUAUAUCAGCUUGAGCUCCGAGUCAAAGAAGAUAUGUGAGUGACCGAUUCAACGUUGAUGACCGUGUCGGCCUCCCAGCGAGAGACCUGCUUCUCCUAUGAGCUCCCACUCGAGGGAAGCGAGGCAUGCGGAGCCAGCCUGGUUCCCAACAUCUGCAAGCUCCCCACCUCGUUGUAAACUUGUAGACUAUGCCAAAUCACAAGUAUGUUUAGGGGCAAUCAAAAGUUGCGGUAGCAGUACUUCUUCUUCCGGUCUCUCCAUGGAGUGCAUACACGUAUAAAUGGUAUGGUCAAUCACAAGAUGGCCAACUCCCCUACACUAAUAUGUGCAUACGAUGUGAUCAUCGAGGGUCCAUUAUACCAUUGAUGAUUGAUUGAUGGAAGCAGCGGCUCAAGCGAUUAAUAUAGUGGUACUAAUGUACCUGGUCGAAAACGUGUUGCAUGGCGUCUAGAUCGUUGCGUCCACGCUCAAGGGCUGCUACUGAUGGCGGCGACGACUUUGCUGAGGCGAGCCUAUUUUUUCAAGAGCCGUGUUGGUCCUGAUAUUUUUAUACAUGUAUAUAUCUAGAGUCCUAUGUCCACGUUCAACAUAUUCAUAUGGAAUAUCAAAGGGAGAUGAGCAAAAAAAUGCGUGUAUUGUUUGUGCCUGACUCGGACAAAUAUGGCGCAAGAAAUUAGGCCGACGAAAGGAUUUUUUAGGUAUGUAUGUAUAUUUAAAAUUUAUACACAUUUUUCUUAGUUUUUUUUCAUAUAUAACAUGUUAUAUUUUGAGUUAGCGUUUGAAAGAUGAAUAUUUCAAAGACCAUUUUAAUCUGUUCGACGUAAAAAUUUAGACCGACGAAAGGAAUUUUUAGGUAUGUAUGUAUAUUUAAAACUUAUACACAUUUUUCUCAGUUUUUUUUCAUAUAUAACAUGUUAUAUUUUGAGUUAGCGUUUGAAAGAUAAAUAUUUCAAAGACCAUUUUAAUCUGUUAGACGUAAAAAUUUAGGCCGACGAAAGGAUGUUAGGUAUAUACGUAUGUAAACUUAAUAACUUANNNNNNNNNNNNNNNNNNNNNNNNNNNNNNNNNNNNNNNNNNNNNNNNNNNNNNNNNNNNNNNNNNNNNNNNNNNNNNNNNNNNNNNNNNNNNNNNNNNNNNNNNNNNNNNNNNNNNNNNNNNNNNNNNNNNNNNNNNNNNNNNNNNNNNNNNNNNNNNNNNNNNNNNNNNNNNNNNNNNNNNNNNNNNNNNNNNNNNNNNNNNNNNNNNNNNNNNNNNNNNNNNNNNNNNNNNNNNNNNNNNNNNNNNNNNNNNNNNNNNNNNNNNNNNNNNNNNNNNNNNNNNNNNNNNNNNNNNNNNNNNNNNNNNNNNNNNNNNNNNNNNNNNNNNNNNNNNNNNNNNNNNNNNNNNNNNNNNNNNNNNNNNNNNNNNNNNNNNNNNNNNNNNNNNNNNNNNNNNNNNNNNNNNNNNNNNNNNNNNNNNNNNNNNNNNNNNNNNNNNNNNNNNNNNNNNNNNNNNNNNNNNNNNNNNNNNNNNNNNNNNNNNNNNNNNNNNNNNNNNNNNNNNNNNNNNNNNNNNNNNNNNNNNNNNNNNNNNNNNNNNNNNNNNNNNNNNNNNNNNNNNNNNNNNNNNNNNNNNNNNNNNNNNNNNNNNNNNNNNNNNNNNNNNNNNNNNNNNNNNNNNNNNNNNNNNNNNNNNNNNNNNNNNNNNNNNNNNNNNNNNNNNNNNNNNNNNNNNNNNNNNNNNNNNNNNNNNNNNNNNNNNNNNNNNNNNNNNNNNNNNNNNNNNNNNNNNNNNNNNNNNNNNNNNNNNNNNNNNNNNNNNNNNNNNNNNNNNNNNNNNNNNNNNNNNNNNNNNNNNNNNNNNNNNNNNNNNNNNNNNNNNNNNNNNNNNNNNNNNNNNNNNNNNNNNNNNNNNNNNNNNNNNNNNNNNNNNNNNNNNNNNNNNNNNNNNNNNNNNNNNNNNNNNNNNNNNNNNNNNNNNNNNNNNNNNNNNNNNNNNNNNNNNNNNNNNNNNNNNNNNNNNNNNNNNNNNNNNNNNNNNNNNNNNNNNNNNNNNNNNNNNNNNNNNNNNNNNNNNNNNNNNNNNNNNNNNNNNNNNNNNNNNNNNNNNNNNNNNNNNNNNNNNNNNNNNNNNNNNNNNNNNNNNNNNNNNNNNNNNNNNNNNNNNNNNNNNNNNNNNNNNNNNNNNNNNNNNNNNNNNNNNNNNNNNNNNNNNNNNNNNNNNNNNNNNNNNNNNNNNNNNNNNNNNNNNNNNNNNNNNNNNNNNNNNNNNNNNNNNNNNNNNNAAAAAAAAAAAUGAAACUCCGUGGGCACUAGCACCCACGGUUUUAUUGAUAUAGAAGAAGCAUCCCUCAUGAGAAUUCCAGAAAUUCGUUCCCGACGUGGAUCGAACUCUGGUCGUUAGGUUUACAAUCAUGCGCCCCCAACCACUGGGCUAUGCCCACGUCCUCCCAGGUCAAUUUCUUUCAUUCAGCCCUGCAUCUCCUAGAUGGCUCGUUCAAUCACUUCUACAUAAUCAGUUCUGUGACAUGUGUGCUGCACAAUAGGUGUUUGCAGCAAUGUUUGAGCACUGUACCAGCCACGACCGCAGUCGUUGCAUCCCUGAACUGUCAUGGGCCUCCUGCGGCCUUGCUUCUUCCCCUGCCUUCUGCGCGGGCGAACCCCUUUUCGUCUUCCCAGGCACGGCCGCGACCUCCUUCUCAGUCGUGGCGCUCCAUCCACCUUCCUCCCCGUCUAGCUAGUAUAAGACACCUGCUGAUUUUAGAUCCUGCUAGCUUGGCAUGGGCAGAUUCCUUUACCAGGCAACACAAGUUUCGAUUUUCGGAACGUGUGCUUGAUUUUGAAUUACAUAUGUUGUUGACAGGAUAUUAGAAGAGAGCUAAAGAUAAAAGCGUUAGUGGUUCUUGAAUCGGCGCCAAAUAUGGACAUAGUCGUGCAAAGAUCCCUGGUAAGCUAAAUUGUUUGCUUUUUCCCCCUGGUUACUACUUUUUGGAUGGAUGGAUACCUUGAGCGUUUCACAUAUAUCCUCUUCUGCCUUUAGACAGAGCGAGCCUGUCCAGAAUGCAACCAUCAUGAACUCGAAUAUUACACGAAGCAGGUUAUUUGCUCACCUUCAGCUUUAGUUAUGAUUUUCUCUUUCUAGUUCUGAAUCCUGCCGACCGACCUUCUUGACGUGCAAUUGCAGCUUCGGUCGGCGGAUGAGGGGCAGACUAUCUUCUACGAGUGCCCGGAGUGCGGCCACGCGUUCAAUGAGAACAGCUAAGAAAAAGGUUUCCUACUAUCAGGGUAUGGAUAUGGGUGGAAGAAACUGCUCCUGCCAUUGGUUGACAAUCGAUGUUCAACAAAAUUUCUCCUGCCAUGCGUUGACCAUUGAUAGAUUCCCUGCAGCGGCCAAAUCCUGGUGCCGCUCGUGAACUUCGCCUCCAUCAGCUCCACUUCGCCGGAGCAAUUAGUCCAGAGGAGGAGGUGUAGCCGGUCCACCUGAUCUCCGACGUGUUAUUCUAACUCCAAAUAAAUUCUUUUUGAGUUCUAUUCUUAGUCACAUGUACACAUGCAGGUUCUAAACUUCUUGUCCAGUCAUUCUAGUACUGAUGAAGAUCGAGUUGACUGAAAUAAUAUAGUCGAUUCUUGAGACCCUUACUAGUCUUUCCAUAUAUAGAAGUUGUGCCUGAUAUCCAAACAUAACUUUUCUCNNNNNNNNNNNNNNNNNNNNNNNNNNNNNNNNNNNNNNNNNNNNNNNNNNNNNNNNNNNNNNNNNNNNNNNNNNNNNNNNNNNNNNNNNNNNNNNNNNNNNNNNNNNNNNNNNNNNNNNNNNNNNNNNNNNNNNNNNNNNNNNNNNNNNNNNNNNNNNNNNNNNNNNNNNNNNNNNNNNNNNNNNNNNNNNNNNNNNNNNNNNNNNNNNNNNNNNNNNNNNNNNNNNNNNNNNNNNNNNNNNNNNNNNNNNNNNNNNNNNNNNNNNNNNNNNNNNNNNNNNNNNNNNNNNNNNNNNNNNNNNNNNNNNNNNNNNNNNNNNNNNNNNNNNNNNNNNNNNNNNNNNNNNNNNNNNNNNNNNNNNNNNNNNNNNNNNNNNNNNNNNNNNNNNNNNNNNNNNNNNNNNNNNNNNNNNNNNNNNNNNNNNNNNNNNNNNNNNNNNNNNNNNNNNNNNNNNNNNNNNNNNNNNNNNNNNNNNNNNNNNNNNNNNNNNNNNNNNNNNNNNNNNNNNNNNNNNNNNNNNNNNNNNNNNNNNNNNNNNNNNNNNNNNNNNNNNNNNNNNNNNNNNNNNNNNNNNNNNNNNNNNNNNNNNNNNNNNNNNNNNNNNNNNNNNNNNNNNNNNNNNNNNNNNNNNNNNNNNNNNNNNNNNNNNNNNNNNNNNNNNNNNNNNNNNNNNNNNNNNNNNNNNNNNNNNNNNNNNNNNNNNNNNNNNNNNNNNNNNNNNNNNNNNNNNNNNNNNNNNNNNNNNNNNNNNNNNNNNNNNNNNNNNNNNNNNNNNNNNNNNNNNNNNNNNNNNNNNNNNNNNNNNNNNNNNNNNNNNNNNNNNNNNNNNNNNNNNNNNNNNNNNNNNNNNNNNNNNNNNNNNNNNNNNNNNNNNNNNNNNNNNNNNNNNNNNNNNNNNNNNNNNNNNNNNNNNNNNNNNNNNNNNNNNNNNNNNNNNNNNNNNNNNNNNNNNNNNNNNNNNNNNNNNNNNNNNNNNNNNNNNNNNNNNNNNNNNNNNNNNNNNNNNNNNNNNNNNNNNNNNNNNNNNNNNNNNNNNNNNNNNNNNNNNNNNNNNNNNNNNNNNNNNNNNNNNNNNNNNNNNNNNNNNNNNNNNNNNNNNNNNNNNNNNNNNNNNNNNNNNNNNNNNNNNNNNNNNNNNNNNNNNNNNNNNNNNNNNNNNNNNNNNNNNNNNNNNNNNNNNNNNNNNNNNNNNNNNNNNNNNNNNNNNNNNNNNNNNNNNNNNNNNNNNNNNNNNNNNNNNNNNNNNNNNNNNNNNNNNNNNNNNNNNNNNNNNNNNNNNNNNNNNNNNNNNNNNNNNNNNNNNNNNNNNNNNNNNNNNNNNNNNNNNNNNNNNNNNNNNNNNNNNNNNNNNNNNNNNNNNNNNNNNNNNNNNNNNNNNNNNNNNNNNNNNNNNNNNNNNNNNNNNNNNNNNNNNNNNNNNNNNNNNNNNNNNNNNNNNNNNNNNNNNNNNNNNNNNNNNNNNNNNNNNNNNNNNNNNNNNNNNNNNNNNNNNNNNNNNNNNNNNNNNNNNNNNNNNNNNNNNNNNNNNNNNNNNNNNNNNNNNNNNNNNNNNNNNNNNNNNNNNNNNNNNNNNNNNNNNNNNNNNNNNNNNNNNNNNNNNNNNNNNNNNNNNNNNNNNNNNNNNNNNNNNNNNNNNNNNNNNNNNNNNNNNNNNNNNNNNNNNNNNNNNNNNNNNNNNNNNNNNNNNNNNNNNNNNNNNNNNNNNNNNNNNNNNNNNNNNNNNNNNNNNNNNNNNNNNNNNNNNNNNNNNNNNNNNNNNNNNNNNNNNNNNNNNNNNNNNNNNNNNNNNNNNNNNNNNNNNNNNNNNNNNNNNNNNNNNNNNNNNNNNNNNNNNNNNNNNNNNNNNNNNNNNNNNNNNNNNNNNNNNNNNNNNNNNNNNNNNNNNNNNNNNNNNNNNNNNNNNNGUGGUCGUCCAUUUUUAGUUGGAUCCUACUCGCUGGAAACCACAACAGAGGUUGGUGCUGACCUUCUUCGAGACCGCCGCUCUCUCCCACAUUUGCAGGCUCUACGGCAAGACAUGCUGCCUCGACAUAAAAAAAUCUUCCAUUUUUGUUUCUUUUAAACCCAAAACCUUGCUUACAAACAAACACAAAAUAAUAACAUCGUCAGUCUGAACAUUCCUGCUACUGAAUUCGGUACUAGUUGUGUAAUUUCUAGCUUCCACGCCCAUUGUGAGUUGUUGUUACCAAGGGAAGAGUACAUAGUUGAUGUCUGUAGUUUACUGAUGCAAAAGGUUAUAAGUUUGUACUAAAAAAUUGUAGUUUACUAAGGCAAAGAGUUAUGCGUAUUCAGCAGUCCAAGUAGUUGUCUAAACGGAAGUUUGGUAGCUGUCCAAAUAAUUGUCUAAACGGCAGUCUGAACAUUCUUGCUGCUAAAUAUCUCUCCUCUCUCAAAUUCGUUCAAAUUUGUUGCUUGUUCUUGUUGUUGCCCUGAGUGCCCUCAAGUUGUUUGUUGUUAUUCCCAUGAGAAACCUUGUCUGGAUGGAAAGUAGCAUAUAUUCUACUCCCUCCGUUCCUAAAUAUUUGUCUUUAUAGACAUUUCAAAUGACUACUACAUACGGAUGUAUGUAGACAUAUUUUAGAGUGUAGAUUCACUCAUUUUGCUCCGUAUAUAGUCACUUAUUGAAAUGCCUAGAAAGACAAGUAUUUAGGAACGGAGGGAGUAUUCUAUUCUUGCAAAAGCUUCAUUCAUGUUCUGUUUUGAAGUUACUUGGCAUAAAAAUUACUAUAUAUGCUAUUGUAAAACACUAGAUUUCUUCUAAAUGUGAAGUUUAAGCUCUCGGGAUUUGCUCUUCUAUUUUUUUUAUUGAUGCAUGUUCAUGAGCAGUUCAAAACCUAAUAUUUUUAUUGACAAUUUGAACUUGCAAUCUUACUAUCUUGUACUAUUCUAAAAAAAUUGUACUCAUGCAGGUAAUUGAAGGGUGCAGACUUGGCAGCGGAGUGGUUUGUUCAACAACAGUACAAUGACCGAAAGAACAUCAGUUCAAAAAAUAUGCAGGAGGUUUGGGAGCCAAACAACUGGUAUUUUGUUGUGUUUUAAUUUUUGGGUGCAUGAUUGAACAAAGAGAGAGAAAUAAUGUAUGACAUAUAUACUGUUGUUGCAGGAGGUUCAAAGAUUGUCGUGGAGCAAGUUCAAGAGUUUGGUUUCAUGUGGAAAAAUGUGAUUUUUUGGUCAAGAUUUUGCAUGAUUGAUAGCCAUCAGUGGCAGCCGGCGAGCAGUUCAAGCCCGCAUGCGCGAGCCGCCCAUCGUCUUCCACACGUGAUCCUAUUGCUUGAUGAUGCUUGACAUGAACUGAACUAGCUGGAUGGAAUUGUUUUUCUGCAAUGUAAUGUAAAUGAAUAUGGUAAACAAACUGGGACACCAAAUUGUUUUAGAGGUGGAGUUUGUGCUCCAGUUGAGUUCCAGCAGAUUGUGGCUGCUGGUUGUUUCAAGUGAAGGUGGUCGGGCAUUACUUGUGUAGGACUGAAUGAAUCUUGUAUGUAAAGGAAACUGGAUCAAAUAGUCGUCAGUGUUAAGAUUUAAAAUUACAUUUUGAUCCAUUCUCUUGUGAUUUUAGGCUGAACUCCAAUACUUGCAUCCGCCACCCCAACACGGACGUGUUCCCUCAGUCCUCUCUCGACAAACCCAACAGUACAGGUUCUCCGGUGCGCCAAGUAUUGCCUGUGGUGAUGCCUGCAUCAUGGCCCAUUGAGGAGAUCUUGUGUAUUCCACAUAGAAGAAAUAUUGUUAGUUCAUGAAUAUUUUCGCCAGGUAGAAAGUUUUGGAGAGGAAAACAUAAGUUUUUAAAAGAAGGAAUGGUAAAAAUGUAAGUCCGUUCAACUAUAUAAACCAUAAAAGUACGAUGGUGAUGACAUUGACAGUAAGGAUAAGGAUGAGAAAGAAAAUUAAAAACUAAAACUAAAAAAACAUCGAGUGAUUAUUUUUUGAGAAGUACAAACUCUCUAGUACCAUAAGUACCAUAAAUUAAAAAUUAAGAAUUGCCUAAGUUCUGACUCAAGGGGACAAAUUUGCAAAAAAAAAAUCAUAGCAGUAAAGGUUCGAAGGAAAAAAAGCAACUUAACAAAUGGAAAAAACGGCAAUGGAUUUAUAUUAUGUUAAUCAUGGGUGUGCUCUUGUUUGUCAGCUCAUGUGUGCUCUUGUUAUCAGGUCGUGUGCCAACUUGUUAUCAAUUUUGUGUGUGUGUGAGUUGGAAAACCAAGUGUAGCUGCUGCAGAAAAAAGGCAUGGGAUGUGCUGCCCUCAGUCCUCUCUCAACAAAUCCAGCAGUGCGGGUUCUCUGGUGCGCCAAGUAUUGCCGGCGGCGAUGCUUGCAUCAUGGCCCAUUGAGUAGAUGCAAUUUUCCUGGUUUUCACAGACAACAUGGAUUUUAGUUCAGCUACAUAAACCACGCAGGUUCAGUGAUAAUGAUACCAUAAGUUCGGACAAGAAAAUAAAUAAGAAUUAAAANNNNNNNNNNAGAAAAUUUUAAAUUCUACAAGUUCAAGUGCUCAUCCACACAUGAUAAUUCAAGUUGGUAAAAGUUUAAAAUGGUAAAAAGUUCAAGUUACAAAACAAGAGAAAUCUAGAACAUUCGUUGCAAAAAAAAAAUUGACUUCAAAAAAAAGAAACACGCAAAAAAAAUUGGCAAAAAAAUAACAUUCAGUUCAACAAUAAAAACCAUGCAAGUUCGGGGCUAGGAUACAGUACACUGUUGAAAACUUACGAGAAAAAAAUUACCCAUAAAACAGAGCAAAAUAUAAUUAGUAGAAACACACUUAAUACAAACCCAUGCAAAUAUCAGUACAAGUAUACUUUUUUGGAACCAUUCAAAAUUACUGUACCAAAAAUAGCUCAGUACAAAUAUACACAUAUAUCAGUACGACUACUCUGUUUUCCAGACGAGAAAACAGCAGGAUCCGUCAUGCCAUAUUCGAAAUUACUCUUAAACGGUUGUAAAGUAAAGAAAACGUCCAACAUGACUAAGUUUCGCAUUUUCGAUAGCUAUCCAACGGUAUAUUAUUUGCCCCAUUUCGACAAACUUUUUAAAAAACCGUGUUUGAAACCAAUUUUAACCGUAUUUGAAUUCGUAUUUAAAUCAUAAGGAAUUAGAAAAAAGCUUUCUAUACGCAAAAGUUGCGCAUUUUUCAUAGCUUUCCAACGCCGUAUCAUUUGCGUCAAUUCGACAAACCCUUUGCAAAAAAUAGUGAAAAAACGUUUCGCCCAGAAUUUCACCAUUUUUCAAAUUACUUUUGAAUCAUAUAGAAUUUGAAAAACUAGUAGAUAUAUGGAAGAUGNNNNNNNNNNNNNNNNNNNNNNNNNNNNNNNNNNNNNNNNNNNNNNNNNNNNNNNNNNNNNNNNNNNNNNNNNNNNNNNNNNNNNNNNNNNNNNNNNNNNNNNNNNNCUCAAUUCUGACAAACCGUUUGAAAAUUAAGUUCAAAAUACGGUUCGCGUUUUUGGUUUUGAAAAAAACGGUUUUUCCAAAACUGCUCUUAAAUCAUAAUUUUUUGCAAAAACAAAUUAUAAGAUUGUAAUGUGGAUGUAAAGAGCUUUCCAACUAUAUAUUACACGCCUCAUUUCGACAAAAAUAAUUGCAAAAACAUUCGAACUAAAAAAGACGAUUUUUAACAGCAACAGAAAGCAUCAGUUUAGCCGCUCGAAUUUCAUCAGUUAUAGCGCAUGAAUUCAUCAGUUCAAGUAGGGUAACAGAAUAAUAUUCUAUUACGCGUAACAGAAUAGCCCAUAUGUAUAUACAUAUAUAUAUAUUACAAAAACACUUCCAUUCAAAAUUCGGAAAAUGUUAAUCUUGCAAUUGAAAAUUAUUAAACCUGUAUAGGAAAAUGUUUUUGAUGUAUAAGAAAAAUGUAUAAAUUUAAAUGUAAAAGUAGAAAGUGUUAAUUGUCUAUACUAAAAAUGCUAAUCAUACGUGUGAAAAAAUUGUGACAACUAAUAAAAGUCAAAUAUUUCAAAAACAUUUAUGUGACACUUAAAAAUGUUUAUAAAAAUGCUAAAAAAUUUGUCUAACUAAAACUGAAGUCAUAUUUAAAAUAUUUAAACUUGUUUAGAAAAAUGUUAAUAGUGCAUUUAAAAAUGUUAAACGUGUGUAGGAACAUGUUCUGAUGUAUACAGAAAAUGUAUAAAUGUAAAUCUAAAAAGUAGAAAAUGUUAAUUGUGUAUAUGAAAAAUGUUAAUCAUUUGUAUGAAUAAUGUUUGCGGCAAUUAAGAAAAUGUCACCCAUUUCAAAAGAAUGUACAUUACAUUAAAAAAUAUAUUCACAUGUUUCAAAAAUGUGUUCAUGUCAUUUUCAGAAAAUGUUCAUGCAAUGUAAAAAAAUGUUUUCAUAGUUCAAAAAAUAUUCUUAUCACUUGAAAAAUGUUUUAACGUGUAUCUGAAAAAUAUAUUCAAAGCAUGCUUUGUAAAAUGUUAAAUGUGUAUAAAAAGUGUUGCACAUCUAUACAAAAUGUAAAUGUGUAUGAAAAAGUAUAGAUGUAUUAAAAAGCCAAAGAAACAAAAAUAAAAGCGAAGAAAUAAAAAAACUGAAAACCCGAGAAAGAAACAAAGAAUAGCAAAGUAUAAAGAAGCAAAAGGAAAAACCAAAGAAAAUCGUUCAAAAAACCGAAAACAUCAGGAAGAGAAAAAAAGAAAACCCCAAAACGAUGAAAAAAAACUAAUGAGGCCAAAGGAAAAUAAGAACAGAAAACAAAAAAGAAAUAAAAAGAAAAAAUGAACUUAACUGAUCGAACUAAGCGACCGCACGCAGGCAAGUGAAGGCAACGAGCGACCCACCUUAUGCGCUGACCCGUAGUAAUCCGCUUGUAGGCGAUUCCUGUUUGGAAUCGGCACGGGAGAGACAUAGCGAAAUCACUAGUUAAGGAGUACUCGUUGUGAAUAUCACUCCAACUUCUUCAGGUUGCGGACAAGUGGCGCGCUGCAUGUGCGCCACUUGUCGCGACCUGGGAGUUUUCCCUUUUUUCGUAGAUCCGUUUAUCCAAAGCGUUUUAUCUUUUAAACCGUGCGUCCAGGGCCGUCUCCAGAAAUUAGGGGGCCCGGUGUGAAAUGCAAAUGCUGCCCUAAAAUCUAAAAAUUCCUAUAGCUAAAAAAUACUCACUUCUUCACACACAAAAAACAUACUGUACUAUUUAAAUUAUAUAACUUUAAAUAUAUAUCGUUUCAAACAAUAUCUAGAUAUAUAUCUCAUACCGACUAUCUUUCCCCAAACAGUCCACCACUGAGCAACGAACGUAUAGCAAUUUGUUAAUUAGUUGGACAACUGGAUUCACAUGUUUCAGCAUACUCAUUAGUCAUCAACUCUUGGACAGAAAAAAUAGCCUAGAGAAAUCAGCUUGGACGCACCUGAUGGGCCUGGACAGUUAGUCUGUGAUGCGUAAAUCAAAUCUCCUGAUCGAUUUGACCACAGCCUUGGCGCUCAACCAUCGGCAGUUUUCUGCUUUGCUUGGCGGCGUUGGCCCCUGCUAGCCCGGCGCUGAUUUCUGUUCGAACUCAUGGCGUGAAUUCUACCGCCUGGCACUGCCGUCCAAUCCUUGCGAUCGCGCCGAUGCCAAGCAGAAACAAUCAAGCCGGGGACCUCGGGAAUGCCGGAAAAGAAACGACGACCUAAUUAAUCGGGAGCAGGCUCACAUCGUGAGGGAUUUCGUUCAGAGAGGAGGCUCGGGCUAUCGGACCAGGCUGGGCAGGCCAAGAACCAUGCAAACAAAAGGAACGAAACGACUCCUUGGCGAUCGAUCGCGAGAGCGAUCGAUUCCGACCGCGCGUAGCGCACUUCCUGUUUCCUUUCCUUUUCUAGCUCGUUUCCUUUUUCCUCCGCCGCAGCUGCCCUGCCGCUUCCCUCCCCCCUCCUCGCUGUCGGCUCCUCCCACCGCCGCCGCACUCAUCGCCGUGAACACCGCCGCCGCACUCAUCGCCGUGAACACUGCCGCAUCCCCAUCCACACAGCCCCGCCUAGGGCUGCUGGUACANNNNNNNNNNNNNNNNNNNNNNNNNNNNNNNNNNNNNNNNNNNNNNNNNNNNNNNNNNNNNNNNNNNNNNNNNNNNNNNNNNNNNNNNNNNNNNNNNNNNNNNNNNNNNNNNNNNNNNNNNNNNNNNNNNNNNNNNNNNNNNNNNNNNNNNNNNNNNNNNNNNNNNNNNNNNNNNNNNNNNNNNNNNNNNNNNNNNNNNNNNNNNNNNNNNNNNNNNNNNNNNNNNNNNNNNNNNNNNNNNNNNNNNNNNNNNNNNNNNNNNNNNNNNNNNNNNNNNNNNNNNNNNNNNNNNNNNNNNNNNNNNNNNNNNNNNNNNNNNNNNNNNNNNNNNNNNNNNNNNNNNNNNNNNNNNNNNNNNNNNNNNNNNNNNNNNNNNNNNNNNNNNNNNNNNNNNNNNNNNNNNNNNNNNNNNNNNNNNNNNNNNNNNNNNNNNNNNNNNNNNNNNNNNNNNNNNNNNNNNNNNNNNNNNNNNNNNNNNNNNNNNNNNNNNNNNNNNNNNNNNNNNNNNNNNNNNNNNNNNNNNNNNNNNNNNNNNNNNNNNNNNNNNNNNNNNNNNNNNNNNNNNNNNNNNNNNNNNNNNNNNNNNNNNNNNNNNNNNNNNNNNNNNNNNNNNNNNNNNNNNNNNNNNNNNNNNNNNNNNNNNNNNNNNNNNNNNNNNNNNNNNNNNNNNNNNNNNNNNNNNNNNNNNNNNNNNNNNNNNNNNNNNNNNNNNNNNNNNNNNNNNNNNNNNNNNNNNNNNNNNNNNNNNNNNNNNNNNNNNNNNNNNNNNNNNNNNNNNNNNNNNNNNNNNNNNNNNNNNNNNNNNNNNNNNNNNNNNNNNNNNNNNNNNNNNNNNNNNNNNNNNNNNNNNNNNNNNNNNNNNNNNNNNNNNNNNNNNNNNNNNNNNNNNNNNNNNNNNNNNNNNNNNNNNNNNNNNNNNNNNNNNNNNNNNNNNNNNNNNNNNNNNNNNNNNNNNNNNNNNNNNNNNNNNNNNNNNNNNNNNNNNNNNNNNNNNNNNNNNNNNNNNNNNNNNNNNNNNNNNNNNNNNNNNNNNNNNNNNNNNNNNNNNNNNNNNNNNNNNNNNNNNNNNNNNNNNNNNNNNNNNNNNNNNNNNNNNNNNNNNNNNNNNNNNNNNNNNNNNNNNNNNNNNNNNNNNNNNNNNNNNNNNNNNNNNNNNNNNNNNNNNNNNNNNNNNNNNNNNNNNNNNNNNNNNNNNNNNNNNNNNNNNNNNNNNNNNNNNNNNNNNNNNNNNNNNNNNNNNNNNNNNNNNNNNNNNNNNNNNNNNNNNNNNNNNNNNNNNNNNNNNNNNNNNNNNNNNNNNNNNNNNNNNNNNNNNNNNNNNNNNNNNNNNNNNNNNNNNNNNNNNNNNNNNNNNNNNNNNNNNNNNNNNNNNNNNNNNNNNNNNNNNNNNNNNNNNNNNNNNNNNNNNNNNNNNNNNNNNNNNNNNNNNNNNNNNNNNNNNNNNNNNNNNNNNNNNNNNNNNNNNNNNNNNNNNNNNNNNNNNNNNNNNNNNNNNNNNNNNNNNNNNNNNNNNNNNNNNNNNNNNNNNNNNNNNNNNNNNNNNNNNNNNNNNNNNNNNNNNNNNNNNNNNNNNNNNNNNNNNNNNNNNNNNNNNNNNNNNNNNNNNNNNNNNNNNNNNNNNNNNNNNNNNNNNNNNNNNNNNNNNNNNNNNNNNNNNNNNNNNNNNNNNNNNNNNNNNNNNNNNNNNNNNNNNNNNNNNNNNNNNNNNNNNNNNNNNNNNNNNNNNNNNNNNNNNNNNNNNNNNNNNNNNNNNNNNNNNNNNNNNNNNNNNNNNNNNNNNNNNNNNNNNNNNNNNNNNNNNNNNNNNNNNNNNNNNNNNNNNNNNNNNNNNNNNNNNNNNNNNNNNNNNNNNNNNNNNNNNNNNNNNNNNNNNNNNNNNNNNNNNNNNNNNNNNNNNNNNNNNNNNNNNNNNNNNNNNNNNNNNNNNNNNNNNNNNNNNNNNNNNNNNNNNNNNNNNNNNNNNNNNNNNNNNNNNNNNNNNNNNNNNNNNNNNNNNNNNNNNNNNNNNNNNNNNNNNNNNNNNNNNNNNNNNNNNNNNNNNNNNNNNNNNNNNNNNNNNNNNNNNNNNNNNNNNNNNNNNNNNNNNNNNNNNNNNNNNNNNNNNNNNNNNNNNNNNNNNNNNNNNNNNNNNNNNNNNNNNNNNNNNNNNNNNNNNNNNNNNNNNNNNNNNNNNNNNNNNNNNNNNNNNNNNNNNNNNNNNNNNNNNNNNNNNNNNNNNNNNNNNNNNNNNNNNNNNNNNNNNNNNNNNNNNNNNNNNNNNNNNNNNNNNNNNNNNNNNNNNNNNNNNNNNNNNNNNNNNNNNNNNNNNNNNNNNNNNNNNNNNNNNNNNNNNNNNNNNNNNNNNNNNNNNNNNNNNNNNNNNNNNNNNNNNNNNNNNNNNNNNNNNNNNNNNNNNNNNNNNNNNNNNNNNNNNNNNNNNNNNNNNNNNNNNNNNNNNNNNNNNNNNNNNNNNNNNNNNNNNNNNNNNNNNNNNNNNNNNNNNNNNNNNNNNNNNNNNNNNNNNNNNNNNNNNNNNNNNNNNNNNNNNNNNNNNNNNNNNNNNNNNNNNNNNNNNNNNNNNNNNNNNNNNNNNNNNNNNNNNNNNNNNNNNNNNNNNNNNNNNNNNNNNNNNNNNNNNNNNNNNNNNNNNNNNNNNNNNNNNNNNNNNNNNNNNNNNNNNNNNNNNNNNNNNNNNNNNNNNNNNNNNNNNNNNNNNNNNNNNNNNNNNNNNNNNNNNNNNNNNNNNNNNNNNNNNNNNNNNNNNNNNNNNNNNNNNNNNNNNNNNNNNNNNNNNNNNNNNNNNNNNNNNNNNNNNNNNNNNNNNNNNNNNNNNNNNNNNNNNNNNNNNNNNNNNNNNNNNNNNNNNNNNNNNNNNNNNNNNNNNNNNNNNNNNNNNNNNNNNNNNNNNNNNNNNNNNNNNNNNNNNNNNNNNNNNNNNNNNNNNNNNNNNNNNNNNNNNNNNNNNNNNNNNNNNNNNNNNNNNNNNNNNNNNNNNNNNNNNNNNNNNNNNNNNNNNNNNNNNNNNNNNNNNNNNNNNNNNNNNNNNNNNNNNNNNNNNNNNNNNNNNNNNNNNNNNNNNNNNNNNNNNNNNNNNNNNNNNNNNNNNNNNNNNNNNNNNNNNNNNNNNNNNNNNNNNNNNNNNNNNNNNNNNNNNNNNNNNNNNNNNNNNNNNNNNNNNNNNNNNNNNNNNNNNNNNNNNNNNNNNNNNNNNNNNNNNNNNNNNNNNNNNNNNNNNNNNNNNNNNNNNNNNNNNNNNNNNNNNNNNNNNNNNNNNNNNNNNNNNNNNNNNNNNNNNNNNNNNNNNNNNNNNNNNNNNNNNNNNNNNNNNNNNNNNNNNNNNNNNNNNNNNNNNNNNNNNNNNNNNNNNNNNNNNNNNNNNNNNNNNNNNNNNNNNNNNNNNNNNNNNNNNNNNNNNNNNNNNNNNNNNNNNNNNNNNNNNNNNNNNNNNNNNNNNNNNNNNNNNNNNNNNNNNNNNNNNNNNNNNNNNNNNNNNNNNNNNNNNNNNNNNNNNNNNNNNNNNNNNNNNNNNNNNNNNNNNNNNNNNNNNNNNNNNNNNNNNNNNNNNNNNNNNNNNNNNNNNNNNNNNNNNNNNNNNNNNNNNNNNNNNNNNNNNNNNNNNNNNNNNNNNNNNNNNNNNNNNNNNNNNNNNNNNNNNNNNNNNNNNNNNNNNNNNNNNNNNNNNNNNNNNNNNNNNNNNNNNNNNNNNNNNNNNNNNNNNNNNNNNNNNNNNNNNNNNNNNNNNNNNNNNNCACUGCCAUCCUGUCUUAGCGUAAACGCGAGUCGAGGCGGACGUUGUCGCGGUAGCGACGACGGACGCCGAGACGAGCACGUGACACCACUCCCACCCUGUCUAUCUUAGGGUUACGCGAGUCGAGGCGAACGUCGUCGCGGUAGCGACGACGGACGCCGAGACGAGCACGUGACACCAUUCCCACCCUGUCUUAGCGUAACGCGAGUCGACGCGGACGUCGUCGCAGUAGCGACGACGGACGCCGAGACGAGCACGUGACACCACUGCCACCCUGUCUUAGCGUAACGCGAGUCGAGGCGGACGUCGUCGCGGUAGCGACGACGGACGCCGAGACGAGCACGUGACACCACUCCCACCCUGUCUAUCUUAGGGUUACGCGAGUCGAGGCGGACGUCGUCGCGGUAGCGACGACGGAUGCCGAGACAAGCACGUGACACCAUGGCCACCCUGUCUAUCUUAGGGUUACGCGAGUCGAGGCGGACGUCGUCGAGGUAGCGACGACGGACGCCGAGACGAGCACGUGACACCACUGCCACCCUGUCUUAGCGUAACGCGAGUCGANNNNNNNNNNNNNNNNNNNNNNNNNNNNNNNNNNNNNNNNNNNNNNNNNNNNNNNNNNNNNNNNNNNNNNNNNNNNNNNNNNNNNNNNNNNNNNNNNNNNNNNNNNNNNNNNNNNNNNNNNNNNNNNNNNNNNNNNNNNNNNNNNNNNNNNNNNNNNNNNNNNNNNNNNNNNNNNNNNNNNNNNNNNNNNNNNNNNNNNNNNNNNNNNNNNNNNNNNNNNNNNNNNNNNNNNNNNNNNNNNNNNNNNNNNNNNNNNNNNNNNNNNNNNNNNNNNNNNNNNNNNNNNNNNNNNNNNNNNNNNNNNNNNNNNNNNNNNNNNNNNNNNNNNNNNNNNNNNNNNNNNNNNNNNNNNNNACCACUGCCACCCUGUCUUAGCAUAACGCGAGUCGAGGCGGACAUCGUCGUGGUAGCGACGAUCAACGCUGAGAUGAGCACGUGACACCACUGCCACCCUGUCUUAGCGUAACGCGAGUCGAGGCGGACGUCGUCGCGGUAGCGAUGACGGACGCCGAGACGAGCAUGUGACACCAUUCCCACCCUGUCUUAGCAUAACGCGAGUCGAGGCGGACGUCGUCGCGGUAGCGACGACGGACGCUGAGACGAGCACGUGACACCAUUGCCACCCUGUCUUAGCAUAACGUGAGUCGAGGCGGACGUCGUCACGGUAGCGACGACGGACGCUGAGACGAGCACGUGACACCAUUCCCUCCCUGUCUUAGCGUAACGCGAGUCGAGGCGGACGUCGUCACGGUAGCGACGACGAACGCCGAGACAAGCACGUGACACCAUUCCUACCCUGUCUUAGCGUAACGCGAGUCGAGGAGGACAUCGUCGCGGUAGCGAUGACGGACGCCGAGACGAGCAUGUGAGACGAGGACGUGACACCAUUCCCACCCUGUCUUAGCGUAACGCGAGUCGAGGCGGACGUCGUCGCGGUAGCGACGACGGACACCGAGACGAGCACGUGACACCACUGCCAGCCUGUCAUAGCAAAACGCAAGUCGAGGCGGACGUCGUCGCGGUAGCGAUGACGGACGCCGAGACGAGCACGUGACACCAUUCCCAGCCUGUCUUAGCGUAACGCGAGUCGAGGCGGACGUCGUCGCGGUAGCGACGACGGACGCCAAGACGAGCACGUGACACCACUGCCACCCUGUCUUAGCGUAACGCGAGUCGAGGCAGACGUCAUCGCGGUAACGACGACGGACGCCAAGACGAGCACGUGACACCAUUCCCACCCUGUCUUAGCGUAACACGAGUCGAGGCGGACGUCGUCGCGGUAGCGAUGACGGACGCCGAGACGAGCAUGUGACACCCGUGCCACCCUGUCUUAGCAUNNNNNNNNNNCAGCGUCGAGAGGAUGACGCGAGGCGUCGCGGUGUCCAGGUGAUGCAGGCGAGCAGGGUGGUGGCGUGGCGAGCUCGGCCGCGUGCGCCGAGUGCCUCCUCUGCCUACUGGCGCGAGGAGGAAGGCGACAGGGGAGGGAGGCGGCGGUGGGCUGGGCCAGCGGGAGGAGCUGGCCAGCUGGGCCGGCUACAGGUAAGUGGCCCAGGUGGCCUUCUCUCUUUUAUUUUUUUGUUCUGUUUUAUUUUCUUUUUAUUUAAUUUCUUUGCCACUGUUUUCAAUUCCAAAAUAAUUUCAAACAGUGCCAAAACAUUCUGAAAUAUUUUAUGUUACCUCUCUGGACUAUUCCAAGAGUACAUAAAACAUUUCAAAGCAUUUGAAAAUAUAUUCAUUAUAUAUUAUGAAUAUAUCCCCAAAUUCAAAUAGAUUAUUGAUUUAAAUUCAGAGACCAAAUAAUUCCUUAAAAAUAUUCCAGAAUUUUGGUUUGAUAUAUAACUCUUGCCAAAAUUCACAAAACUAUUUUUAGGGCAUUUUGGAUUCACAGAAUGCAAUUUAAAGGGUGCUUGCCCUUCUUUUAACUAGGGUUUUGAGGCUUCUGAAUUCCUCAGUUCAAAUUUCAUUUGAAUUUAAACAUGAUGCAGACAUGAAGCUAGGCUAGAGCAAUGCCAGAAGCUAGGGAUGUGACAGUCGAGGCGGACGUCGUCGCGGUAGCGACGACGGACGCCGAGACGAGCACGUGACACCAUUCCUACCCUGUCUUAGCGUAACGCGAGUCGAGGCGGACGUCGUCGCGGUAGCGACGACGGACGCCGAGACGAGCACGUGACACCAUUCCCACCCUGUCUUAGCGUAACGCGAGUCGAGGCGGACGUCGUCACGGUAGCGACGAUGGACGCCGAGACGAGCACGUGACACCACUGCCACCCUGUCUUAGCGUAACGCGAGUCGAGGCGNNNNNNNNNNNNNNNNNNNNNNNNNNNNNNNNNNNNNNNNNNNNNNNNNNNNNNNNNNNNNNNNNNNNNNNNNNNNNNNNNNNNNNNNNNNNNNNNNNNNNNNNNNNNNNNNNNNNNNNNNNNNNNNNNNNNNNNNNNNNNNNNNNNNNNNNNNNNNNNNNNNNNNNNNNNNNNNNNNNNNNNNNNNNNNNNNNNNNNNNNNNNNNNNNNNNNNNNNNNNNNNNNNNNNNNNNNNNNNNNNNNNNNNNNNNNNNNNNNNNNNNNNNNNNNNNNNNNNNNNNNNNNNNNNNNNNNNNNNNNNNNNNNNNNNNNNNNNNNNNNNNNNNNNNNNNNNNNNNNNNNNNNNNNNNNNNNNNNNNNNNNNNNNNNNNNNNNNNNNNNNNNNNNNNNNNNNNNNNNNNNNNNNNNNNNNNNNNNNNNNGCGACGACGAACGCCGAGACGAGCACGUGACACCACUGCCACCCUGUCUUAGCAUAACGCGAGUCGAGGCGGACGUCGUCGCGGUAGCGACCACGGACGCCGAGACGAGCACAUGACACCACUGCCACCCUGUCUUAGCGUAACGCGAGUCGAGGCGGACGUCGUCGCGGUAGCGAAGACGGACGCUGAGACGAGCACGUGACACCACUGCCACCCUGUCUUUGCGUAACGCGAGUCGAGGCGGACGUCCUCGCGGUACCGACGACGGACGCCGAGACGAGCACGUGACACCAUUCCCACCCUGUAUUAGCGUAACGCGAGUCGAGGCAAACGACGUCGCGGUAGCGACCACGGACGCCGAGACGAGCACGUGACACCACUGCCACCCUGUCUUAGCAUAACGCGAGUCGAGGUGGACGUCGUCGCGGUAGCGACGACGGACGCCGAGAUGAGCACGUGACACCGCGGCCACCCUGUCUUAGCGUAACGCGAGUCGAGGCGGACGUCCUCACGGUAGCGACGACGGACGCCGAGACGAGCANNNNNNNNNNNNNNNNNNNNNNNNNNNNNNNNNNNNNNNNNNNNNNNNNNNNNNNNNNNNNNNNNNNNNNNNNNNNNNNNNNNNNNNNNNNNNNNNNNNNNNNNNNNNNNNNNNNNNNNNNNNNNNNNNNNNNNNNNNNNNNNNNNNNNNNNNNNNNNNNNNNNNNNNNNNNNNNNNNNNNNNNNNNNNNNNNNNNNNNNNNNNNNNNNNNNNNNNNNNNNNNNNNNNNNNNNNNNNNNNNNNNNNNNNNNNNNNNNNCACAGCCACCCUGUCUAUCUUAGGGUUACGCGAGUCGAGUCGGACGUCGUCGCGGUAGCGACGACGGACACCGAGACGAGCACAUGACAACACUGCCACCCUGUCUAUCUUAGGGUUACGCGAGUCAAGGCGGACGUCGUCGCGGUAGCGACGACGGACGCCGAGACGAGCACGUGACACCACUGCCACCCUGUCUUAGCAUAACGCGAGUCGAGGCGAACAUUGUCGCGGUAGCGACGACGGACGCCGAGACGAGCACGUGACACCACAGCCACCCUGUCUUAGCGUAACGCGAGUCGAGCCAGACGUCGUCGCGGUAGCGACGACGGACGCCGAGACGAGCACGUGUCACCACUGCCACCCUGUCUUAGCGUAAUGCGAGUCGAGGCGAACGUUGUCGCGGUAGCGACGACGGAUGCCGAGACGAGCACGUGACACCACAGCCACCCUGUCUUAGCGUAAAGUGAGUCGAGGCGGACGUCAUCGCGGUAGGGACGAUGGACGCCGAGACGAGCACGUGACACCACUGCCACCCUGUCUUAGCGUAACGCGAGUCGAGGCAGACAUCGUCGCGGUAGCGACGACGGACACCGAGACGAGCACGUGACACCACGGCCACCCUGUCUUAGCGUAACGCGAGUGGAGGCGGACGUCAUCGCGGUAGCGACGACAGACGCCGAGACGAGCACGUGACACCACUGCCACCCUGUCUAUCUUAGGGUAACGCGAGUCGAGGCGGACGUCGUCGCGGUAGCGACGANNNNNNNNNNGUCGAGGCGGACGUCGUCGCGAUAGCGACGACGGACGCCGAGCCGAGCACGUGACACCACUGCCACCCUGUCUUAGGGUAACGCGAGUCGAGGCGGACGUCGUUGCGGUAGCGACGACGGACGCCGAGACAAGCAUGUGACAACACUCCCACCUUGUCUUAGCGUAACGCGAGUCGAGGCGGACGUCGUCGUGGUAGUGGUGACGGACGCCGAGACGAGCACGUGACACCAUUCCCACCCUGUCUUAGCGUAACGCGAGUCGAGGCGGAUGUGAACGCGGUAGCGACGACGAAUGCCGAGACGAGCACGUGACACCACUGCCACCCUGUCUUAGCGUAACGCGAGUCGAGGCGGAUGUCGUCGCGGUAGCGACGACGGACGUCGAGACGAGCACGUGACACCAUUCCCACCAUGUCUUAGCGUAACGCGAGUCGAGGCGGACAUCGUCGCGGUAGCGACGACGGACGCCGAGACGAGCACGUGACACCAUUCCCACCCUGUCUUAGCAUAACACGAGUCGAGGCAGACGUCGUCGCGGUAGCGACGACGGACGCUGAGACGAGCACGUGACACCACUCCCACNNNNNNNNNNCUAGCGACGACGGACGCCGAGACGAGCACGUGACACCACUGCCACCCUGUCUUAGCGUAACGCGAGUCGAGGCGGACGUCGUCGCGGUAGCGACGAGGGACACCGAGACGAGCACGUGACACCACUGCCACCCUGUCUUAGCGUAACGCGAGUCAAGGCGGACGUCGUCGCGGUAGCGACGACGGACGCCGAGACGAGCACGUGACACUGCUGCCACCCUAUCUUAGCGUAACGUGACUCGAGGUGGACGUCAUCGCAGUAGCGACGACGGACGCCGAGACGAGCACGUGACACCACUGCCACCCUGUCUUAGGGUGACGCAAGUCGAGGCGGACGUCGUCGCGGUAGCGACGACGAACGCCGAGACGAGCAUGUGACACCACUGCCACCCUGUCUUAGGGUAACGCGAGUCGAGGCGGACGUCGUCGCGGGAGCGACGACGGACGUUGAGACGAGCACGUGACACCGCUGCCACCCUGUCUUAGCGUAACGCGAGUCGAGGCGGACGUCGUCGCGGGAGCGACGACGGACGCCGAGACGAGCACGUGACACCGUUGCCACCCUGUCUUAGCGUAANNNNNNNNNNUCGCGGUAGCGACGACGGACGCCGAGACGAGCACGCGACGCCACGGCCACCCUAUCUAUCUUAGGGUUACGCGAGUCGAGGCGGACGUCGUCGCAGUAGCGACGACGUAAAAAUGUUGGUGUUUUAAAAAUUUGGUAGAAAUUUCAGAAAAUGUUGUUCAUUUCAAAAAAUGUUCGUGUUUUAAAAAAUGUUCUUGUUUUCCUAAAAAAAUUCACAAAUUCAAAAGUUGUUCAUUUCUAUAAAUAUGUUCUUGCUUUUUAGAUUUUCUUAUUAAUUUAAAACUUGUUCGUAGUAGAUCAAUUUAAUGUCGAUUCAACCGAAAAGCAUUAGAUCAAUUUACUUCAGUAAGCUAUUUUUUGUUUAACUAAAUUUUAUUUCUGGAUAGUAUUAACCGAAAAGCAUUAGAUCAAUUUACUUCAGUAAGCUAUCUUAGGGUUACGCGAGUCGAGGCGGUCGUCGUCGCGGUAGCGACGACGGACGCCGAGACGAGCACGUGACACCACUGCCACCCUGUCUUAGCGUAAGGCGAGUCGAGGCGGACGUCGUCGCGGUAGCAACGACGGACGCCGAGACGAGCACGUGACACCACUGCCACCCUGUCUUAGCGUAACGCGAGUCGAGGCGGACGUCGUCGCAGUAGGGGACGACGGAUGCCGAGACGACCACGUGACACCAUUCCCACCCUGUCUAUCUUACGGUUACGCGAGUCGAGGUGGACUUCGUCGCGGUAGCGACGUCGGACGCCGAGACGAGCACGUGACACCACNNNNNNNNNNCACGGCCACCCUGUCUUAGCGUAACGCGAGUCGAGGCGGACGUCGUCGCGGUAGCGACGACGGACGCGGAGACGACCACGUGACACCAUGGCCACCCUGUCUUAGCGUAACGCGAGUCGAGGCGGACGUCGUCGCGGUAGCGACGACGGACGCCGAGACGAGCACGUGACACCAUGGCCACCCUGUCUUAGCGUAACGCGAGUCGAGGCGGACGUCGUCGCGGUAGUGACAACGGACGCCGAGACGAGCACGUGACACCACUGCCACCCUGUCUUAGCAUAACGCGAGUCGAGGCGGACGUUAGGAGUGGAAUGGUCAUCACUUAUUGUAGCAGUUUUCUGAAAAAGUAACAUCUUUUCAUGCAGUGACAUUAAUGUGGCCAUUGAGAAUUUGAGAAGUAAUUUUCAGGAAAAGUGUAUCUUUCAUCUUGCAUAAAGAUUGCAUCCUUAACUUCUCUUUCUUUCCAGUUCUACUAAUUUUCUGUUUGGUAGGUGGGUACCAUAUCAUUUUUUUUAUUUAGGAAACAUUAUUUAGGAUUAAGUCUUGGUUGGUGAACUGUUCCUCAGCUAUGAACUCUUUUUUACAUUCACCAAAUGUUAUUGGAACUAUGUAUAGUUCCUCGUAUUGUCAUGUACUUUGGUUUAACCUACAGUGUAAUAUUUGUUAACACAUAGUCUGUGUUUCACUAAUGUGAACUAAGACUUUCAUGUACUGUGUAUGACAGCUGCAUUUGUACCGACUGAUUAUAAUGUGCUUUGCUGCAUUUGUACCGACUGAAUUAUAAUGUGCUUUGCUGCAUUUGUACCGACUGAUUAUAAUGUGCUUUGCUUCUCAUCGCACAACUGAUAAUUUUCUGAAAUACUCACUCUAUUUUAAUCAAGGNNNNNNNNNNCGUGACACCACUGCCACCCUGUCUUAGCGUAUCGCGAGUCGAGGCAGACGUCGUCACGGUAGGGACGGCGAACGCCGAGACAAGCACAUGACACCACUGCCUUCCUGUCUUAGCGUAAUGCGAGUCGAGGCGGACGUCGUCGCGGUACCGACAACGGACGCCGAGACGAGCACGUGACACCACUGCCACCCUGUCUUAGCGUAACGCGAGUCGAGGCGGACGUCGUCGCGGUAGCGACGACGGACGCCGAGACGAGCACGUGACACCACUGCCUCCCUGUCUUAGCGUAACACGAGUCGAGGGGGACGUCGUCGCGGUAGCGACGAUGGAUGCCGAGACGAGCACGUGACACCACUGCCUCCCUGUCUUAGCGUAACGCGAGUCGAGGCGGACGUCGUCGAGGUAGCGACGACGGACGCCGAGAGGAGCACGUGACACCACGGCCUCCCUGUCUUAGCGUAACGCGAGUCGAGGCGGACAUCGUCGCGGUAGCGACGCCGGACGCCGAUAUGAGCACGUGACACCACUACCACCCNNNNNNNNNNNNNNNNNNNNNNNNNNNNNNNNNNNNNNNNNNNNNNNNNNNNNNNNNNNNNNNNNNNNNNNNNNNNNNNNNNNNNNNNNNNNNNNNNNNNNNNNNNNNNNNNNNNNNNNNNNNNNNNNNNNNNNNNNNNNNNNNNNNNNNNNNNNNNNNNNNNNNNNNNNNNNNNNNNNNNNNNNNNNNNNNNNNNNNNNNNNNNNNNNNNNNNNNNNNNNNNNNNNNNNNNNNNNNNNNNNNNNNNCGACGAUGGACGCCGAGACGAGCACGUGACACCACUGCCACCCUGUCUUAGGGUAACGCGAUUCGAGGCGGACAUCGUCGCGGGAGCGACGACGGACGCCGAGACGAGCACGUGACACCACUGCCUCCCUGUCUUAGCGUAACGCGAGUCGAGGCGGACGUCGUCGCGGUAGCGACGAUGGACGCCGAGACGAGCACGUGACACCACUGCCACCCUGUCUUAGCGUAACGCGAGUCGAGGCGGACGUCGUCGCGGUAGCGACGACGGACGCCGAGACGAGCACGAGACACCAUUGGUUUUUUCUCUUCCAUGCUGUAGCACAGAGUCCAUAAGUUUCAUUGUUGUUGAUUUUUGGGCAGUUACAUAUUUAAGUGCAACCUGUUUUCUUGUUCACGCUGAUUUUCAAAGACCAAACUAUUUGUCAGAUAAAGACAACUCAUUUCACCAUUGGUUUUUUCUCUUCCAUGCUGUAGCACAGAGUCCAUAAGUUUCAUUGUUGUUCAUUUUUGGGCAGUUACAUAUUUAACUGCAACCUGUUUUCUUGUUCACGCUGAUUUUCAAAGAUCAAACUAUUUGUCAGAUAAAGACAACUCAUUUUUAGCAGUUCAUAAUAUUGUCGCUGUUUAGGGUCUAGUGUUUUCUUCCUUGGUUUUGCAUCACGACGCUUCACCCAUGUUUUGACUAUUUAAGUUGGUGUACAACUGUGCAUGGUAUGUAAAUAUAAUAGUCUGUUCUAACCUAUUCUCUGCUUUUUUUCAGAGCGUGAGCUCCGACCAUUCAGAAAAACAGGGACAUUGUGAAUUUACUAGAUUGCGACAAGUCUAGACAGGGAAUAGGCCGAGUUUGCAAUGAGCAGCUUGCAGAGCUACUAUGGCCUGAGUUCUCAAAGAGGAGAUGACAUGGAUUUAACUACAUUAAUGUCCUUGUACAGCAAGGGAAGCUCCCAAGGUAUUGGAAGUGAAAUACUCCCAAAUUCUUCUUCUCCACCUUGAUAGUACACAAAGCAUUGGCGGAGGCAACGGGGCGACCAAAGAAUUAGUUCAUUGGUUCCAUACGCCAUGGCAGAAAGUGGAGGCCGAUCCCCGGGAUGACCCUUUCUGCCGGAUUCAAUUAAGAUGAUCAAAAGUUUUUUGCCGAGGCCUAUUUUCCGGUAUGCGUUUGAAUUUGGACACAGACUCAGAGAACGCUGGGAUCUUCAUGUGGUGGAGCUCCAAGUGGACCUUCAACCAUGAGUCCUUCACCUGUCCGUUGCUCGAUGGUCUGCCCAAACCUGUGCCGGGUCGUACGAUGAAAGCUGCUUUGACUGAGUUCUAGUCAAUGUAGCGGCACAAUAGGAGUUAUUUUUGUAUUACCACUCUGCUGUUGCAAGCUUCAUCUGUGAUCUGUUAUGUCAUUCAUAUGAGCUAAGUUGAGAGGGAAAUGGAAGAGGAGGCUUGGUUCGACACCACUGCCUCCCUGUCUUAGCGUAACGCGACUCGAGGCGGACAUCGUCGCGGUAGCGACGACGGACGCCAAGACGAGCACGUGACACCACUGCCUCCCUGUCUUAGCGUAACGCNNNNNNNNNNNNNNNNNNNNNNNNNNNNNNNNNNNNNNNNNNNNNNNNNNNNNNNNNNNNNNNNNNNNNNNNNNNNNNNNNNNNNNNNNNNNNNNNNNNNNNNNNNNNNNNNNNNNNNNNNNNNNNNNNNNNNNNNNNNNNNNNNNNNNNNNNNNNNNNNNNNNNNNNNNNNNNNNNNNNNNNNNNNNNNNNNNNNNNNNNNNNNNNNNNNNNNNNNNNNNNNNNNNNNNNNNNNNNNNNNNNNNNNNNNNNNNNNNNNNNNNNNNNNNNNNNNNNNNNNNNNNNNNNNNNNNNNNNNNNNNNNNNNNNNNNNNNNNNNNNNNNNNNNNNNNNNNNNNNNNNNNNNNNNNNNNNNNNNNNNNNNNUCUUAGCGUAACACGAGUCGAGGCGGACGUCGUCGCGGUAGCCACGACGGAUGCCGAGACGAGCACGUGACACCACUCCCACCCUGUCUUAGCGUAACGCGAGUCGAGGCGGACGUCGUCGCGGUAGCGACGACGAACGCCAAGACGAGCACGUGACACCACUGCCACCCUGUCUUAGUGUAACGCGAGUCGAGGCAGACGUCGUCGCGGUAGCGACGACGAACGCCAAGACGAGUACGUGACACCACUGCCACCCUGUCUUAGCGUAACGCGAGUCGAGGCGGACGUCGUCGCGGUAGCGACCACGGAUGCCGAGACGAGCACAUGACACCACUGCCACCCUGUCUUAGCAUAACGCGAGUCGAGGCGGAUGUCGUCGAGGUAGCGAAGACGGACGCUGAGACGAGCACGUGACACCACGGCCACCCUGUCUUAGCGUAACGCGAGUCGAGGCGGACGUCCUCGCGGUACCGACGACGGACGCCGAGACGAGCAUGUGACACCAUUCCCAUCCUAUAUUAGCGUAACGCGAGUCGAGGCAAACAUCGUCGCGGUAGCGACCAAGGACGCCGAGACGAGCACGUGACACCACUGCCACCCUGUCUUAGCGUAACGCGAGUCGAGGCGGACGUCGUCGCGGUAGCGACGACGGANNNNNNNNNNNNNNNNNNNNNNNNNNNNNNNNNNNNNNNNNNNNNNNNNNNNNNNNNNNNNNNNNNNNNNNNNNNNNNNNNNNNNNNNNNNNNNNNNNNNNNNNNNNNNNNNNNNNNNNNNNNNNNNNNNNNNNNNNNNNNNNNNNNNNNNNNNNNNNNNNNNNNNNNNNNNNNNNNNNNNNNNNNNNNNNNNNNNNNNNNNNNNNNNNNNNNNNNNNNNNNNNNNNNNNNNNCGACGACGGACGCCGAGACGAGCACAUGACACCAUUCCCACCCUGUCUUAGCGUAACGCGAGUCGAGGCGGACGUCGUCACGGUAGCGACGACGGACGCCUAGACGAGCACAUGACACCAUUCCCACCCUGUCUUAGCGUAACGCGAGUCGAGGCGGACGUCAUCGCGGUAGCGACGACGGACGCGGACGAGCACGUGACACCACUCCCACCCUGUCUUAGCGUAACGCGAGUCGAGGCGGACGUCGUCGCGGUAGCGAGGAGGGACGCCGAGACGAGCACGUGACACCACUGCCACCCUGUCUUAGCGUAACGCGAGUCGAGGCGGACGUCGUCGCGGUAGCGACGACGGACACCGAGACGAGCACGUGACACCACUGCCACCCUGUCUUAGCGUAACGCGAGUCGAGGCGGACAUCGUCGCGGUAGCGACGACGGACACCGAGACGAGCACGUGACACCAUUCCCACCCUGUCUUAGCGUAACGCGAGUCGAGGCGGACGUUGUCGCGGUAGCGACGACNNNNNNNNNNNNNNNNNNNNNNNNNNNNNNNNNNNNNNNNNNNNNNNNNNNNNNNNNNNNNNNNNNNNNNNNNNNNNNNNNNNNNNNNNNNNNNNNNNNNNNNNNNNNNNNNNNNNNNNNNNNNNNNNNNNNNNNNNNNNNNNNNNNNNNNNNNNNNNNNNNNNNNNNNNNNNNNNNNNNNNNNNNNNNNNNNNNNNNNNNNNNNNNNNNNNNNNNNNNNNNNNNNNNNNNNNNNNNNNNNNNNNNNNNNNNNNNNNNNNNNNNNNNNNNNNNNNNNNNNNNNNNNNNNNNNNNNNNNNNNNNNNNNNNNNNNNNNNNNNNNNNNNNNNNNNNNNNNNNNNNNNNNNNNNNNNNNNNNNNNNNNNNNNNNNNNNNNNNNNNNNNNNNNNNNNNNNNNNNNNNNNNNNNNNNNNNNNNNNNNNNNNNNNNNNNNNNNNNNNNNNNNNNNNNNNNNNNNNNNNNNNNGCCGAGAUGAGCACGUGACACCAUUCCCACCCUGUCUUAGCGUAACGCGAGUCGAGGCGGACGUCGUCGCGGUAGCGAUGACGGACGCCGAGACGAGCACGUGACACCCGUGCCACCCUGUCUUAGCAUAACGCGAGUCGAGGCGGACGUUGUCGCGGUAGCGACGACGGACGCCAAGACGAGCACGUGACACCAGUGCCAUCCUGUCUUAGCGUAACACGAGUCCAGGCGGACGUUGUCGUGGUAGCGACGACGGACGCCAAGACGAGCACAUGACACCAGUGCCACCCUGUCUUAGCGUAACGUGAGUCGAGGCGGACAUCGUCGCGGUAGCGACGACGGACGCCGAGACGAGCACGUGACACCAGUGCCACCCUGUCUUAGCAUAACGUGAGUCGAGGCGGACGUCGUCAUGGUAGCGACGACGGACGCCGAGACGAGCACGUGACACCAUUCCCUCCCUGUCUUAGCGUAACGCGAGUCGAGGCGGACGUCGUCACGGUAGCAACGACGAACGCCGAGACAAGCACGUGGCACCAUUCCUACCCUGUCUUAGCGUAACGCGAGUCGAGGAGGACGUCAUCGCGGUAGCGAUGACGGACGCCGAGACGAGCAUGUGACAUUACUGCCACCCUGUNNNNNNNNNNUUUUUUUCAAUGACUGAACAAAAACUUGACCACCGACAGUUCUAGUCCUUUACUGUUUGGACUCUACGAUAUUAAUUGACUUCCCUAAACAUGUGUAACCGGCCCUGAUUUAUUGCUUAACUUACUUGGGAAGUGAAACACAAACCAAAGGAACUCUGAAUAAGCAUAGCUCAUAGCUCAGCUCUAAAUUUUUACUGUGCCAAUCUUGAGAUAUCUGCAUGGAGUUCUUUUUCUACAUACUUUUAGUCAUUCUGAAUUUUUCAUAUGACCUUCCUGAAAUUGUGUGCACUUUGUUUUUUCUACAUGAAUCCUCUACAAUACAUGUACUUGUCAAUUGACUUAAUUUCCUCUUCAGGUUGUCAAUGUUGCUGCAAGGCUGGACAAGUCACCUUUUUGAAACCAUUUUGCUUCACUCGUUUUGAAGACCAUAUACAAGUUUCAUAUUUACUUUAUAUUUUAUUGACCAGAAAGGCUACAAAGUACGGGUGCUAAAUUAGAAUGGACUUUUCAUAUGUAGCCAGUAUGUUGCACAUAUCUUACUUGUGGAAAUGAUUUAUUACAAGCGUUGUAAUAUUAUAAAUGUGAAGGACAUAUGUUGAAUUUUCUAUUGUUGGGUAUGAAUGGAUUUGAAUGCUAAGUUGAGAUAUCUCUUUAUGCCUAUGUUUUAAUUCCAAAAUAUGCCCUAUUUAGCCAUUUUGUUGUUGUUUUGGAAACAUGUACAAAGGGAGAUUUUUUGAUGGGAAAUCCCCUAUCUGCCCUUCAUCACCAGUCUGCCGAGACGAGACCGUGACACCACUACCACCCUGUGUUAGCGUAAUGCGAGUCGAGGCGGACGUCGUCGCGCUAGUGACGAAGGACACCAACACGAGCACGUGAAACCAUUGCCACCCUGUCUUAGCGUAAGGCGAGUCGAGGCGGACGUCGUCGCGGUAGCGACGACGGACGCCAAGACGAGCACGUGACACCAUUACCAUCCUGUGUUAGCAUAACGCGAGUCGAGGCGGACGUCGUCGCGGUAGCGACNNNNNNNNNNNNNNNNNNNNNNNNNNNNNNNNNNNNNNNNNNNNNNNNNNNNNNNNNNNNNNNNNNNNNNNNNNNNNNNNNNNNNNNNNNNNNNNNNNNNNNNNNNNNNNNNNNNNNNNNNNNNNNNNNNNNNNNNNNNNNNNNNNNNNNNNNNNNNNNNNNNNNNNNNNNNNNNNNNNNNNNNNNNNNNNNNNNNNNNNNNNNNNNNNNNNNNNNNNNNNNNNNNNNNNNNNNNNNNNNNNNNNNNNNNNNNNNNNNNNNNNNNNNNNNNNNNNNNNNNNNNNNNNNNNNNNNNNNNNNNNNNNNNNNNNNNNNNNNNNNNNNNNNNNNNNNNNNNNNNNNNNNNNNNNNNNNNNNNNNNNNNNNNNNNNNNNNNNNNNNNNNNNNNNNNNNNNNNNNNNNNNNNNNNNNNNNNNNNNNNNNNNNNNNNNNNNNNNNNNNNNNNNNNNNNNNNNNNNNNNNNNNNNNNNNNNNNNNNNNNNNNNNNNNNNNNNNNNNNNNNNNNNNNNNNNNNNNNNNNNNNNNNNNNNNNNNNNNNNNNNNNNNNNNNNNNNNNNNNNNNNNNNNNNNNNNNNNNNNNNNNNNNNNNNNNNNNNNNNNNNNNNNNNNNNNNNNNNNNNNNNNNNNNNNNNNNNNNNNNNNNNNNNNNNNNNNNNNNNNNNNNNNNNNNNNNNNNNNNNNNNNNNNNNNNNNNNNNNNNNNNNNNNNNNNNNNNNNNNNNNNNNNNNNNNNNNNNNNNNNNNNNNNNNNNNNNNNNNNNNNNNNNNNNNNNNNNNNNNNNNNNNNNNNNNNNNNNNNNNNNNNNNNNNNNNNNNNNNNNNNNNNNNNNNNNNNNNNNNNNNNNNNNNNNNNNNNNNNNNNNNNNNNNNNNNNNNNNNNNNNNNNNNNNNNNNNNNNNNNNNNNNNNNNNNNNNNNNNNNNNNNNNNNNNNNNNNNNNNNNNNNNNNNNNNNNNNNNNNNNNNNNNNNNNNNNNNNNNNNNNNNNNNNNNNNNNNNNNNNNNNNNNNNNNNNNNNNNNNNNNNNNNNNNNNNNNNNNNNNNNNNNNNNNNNNNNNNNNNNNNNNNNNNNNNNNNNNNNNNNNNNNNNNNNNNNNNNNNNNNNNNNNNNNNNNNNNNNNNNNNNNNNNNNNNNNNNNNNNNNNNNNNNNNNNNNNNNNNNNNNNNNNNNNNNNNNNNNNNNNNNNNNNNNNNNNNNNNNNNNNNNNNNNNNNNNNNNNNNNNNNNNNNNNNNNNNNNNNNNNNNNNNNNNNNNNNNNNNNNNNNNNNNNNNNNNNNNNNNNNNNNNNNNNNNNNNNNNNNNNNNNNNNNNNNNNNNNNNNNNNNNNNNNNNNNNNNNNNNNNNNNNNNNNNNNNNNNNNNNNNNNNNNNNNNNNNNNNNNNNNNNNNNNNNNNNNNNNNNNNNNNNNNNNNNNNNNNNNNNNNNNNNNNNNNNNNNNNNNNNNNNNNNNNNNNNNNNNNNNNNNNNNNNNNNNNNNNNNNNNNNNNNNNNNNNNNNNNNNNNNNNNNNNNNNNNNNNNNNNNNNNNNNNNNNNNNNNNNNNNNNNNNNNNNNNNNNNNNNNNNNNNNNNNNNNNNNNNNNNNNNNNNNNNNNNNNNNNNNNNNNNNNNNNNNNNNNNNNNNNNNNNNNNNNNNNNNNNNNNNNNNNNNNNNNNNNNNNNNNNNNNNNNNNNNNNNNNNNNNNNNNNNNNNNNNNNNNNNNNNNNNNNNNNNNNNNNNNNNNNNNNNNNNNNNNNNNNNNNNNNNNNNNNNNNNNNNNNNNNNNNNNNNNNNNNNNNNNNNNNNNNNNNNNNNNNNNNNNNNNNNNNGUAAUGCGAGUCGAGGCGGACGUCAUCGCGGUACAGACGAAGGACGCUGAGACGAGCACGUGACACCACUGCCACCCUGUCUUAGCGUAACGCGAAUCGAGGCGAACGUCGUCGCGGUAGCGACGACGGACGCCGAGAGGAGCACGUGACACCACUGCCUCCCUGUCUUAGCGUAACGUGAGUCGAGGCGUACGUCGUCGCGGUAGAGACGACGGACGCCGAGACGAGCACGUGACACCACUGCCACCGUGUCUUAGCGUAAUGCGAGUUGAGGUGGACGUCGUCGCGGUAGAGACGAAGGACACCGAGACGAGCACGUGACACCACUGCUGCCCUGUCUAAGCGUAACGCGGGUCGAGGCGGACGUCAUCGUGGUAGCGACGACGGACGCCGAGACGAGCACAUGACACAACUGUCACCCUGUCUUAGCGUAACGCGAGUCGAAGCGACAUCGUCGCGGUAGCGAUGACGGACGCCGAGACGAGCACGUGACACCACUGCCACCCUGUCUUAGUGUAACGCGAGUCGAGGCGACGUCGUCGCGGUAGCGAUGACGGACGCCAAGACGAGCACGUGACACCACUACCACCCUGUCUUAGCGCAACGCGAGUCGUGGCGGACGUCGUCGCGGUAGCGACGACGGACGCCGAGACGAGCANNNNNNNNNNUGUCUAUCUUAGGGUUACGCGAGUCGAGGCGGACGACGUCGCGGUAGCGACGACGGACGCCGAGACGAGCACAUGACACCACUGCCACCCUGUCUAUCUUAGGGUUACGCGAGUCGAGGCGGACGUCGUCGCGGUAGCGACGACGGACGCCGAGACGAGCACGUGACACCACUGCCACCCUGUCUUAGCGUAACGCGAGUCGAGCCGGACGUCGUCGCGGUAGCGACGACGGACACCGAGACGAGCACAUGACCCCACUGCCACCCUGUCUUAGCGUAACGCGAGUCGAGGCGAACGUCGUCGCGGUAGCGACGACGGACGCCGAGACGAGCACGUGACACCACAGCCACCCUGUCUUAGCGUAACGCGAGUCGAGCCGGACGUCGUCGCGGUAGCGACGACGGACGCCGAGACGAGCACGUGACACCACUGCCACCCUGUCUAUCUUAGGGUUACGUGAGUCAAGGCGGACGUCGUCGCGGUAGCGACGAUGGACGCCGAGACGAGCACAUGACACCACUGCCACCCUGUCUUAGCGUAACACGAGUCGAGGCGGACGUCAUCGCGGUAGCGACGAUGGACGCCGAGACGAGCACGUGACACCACUGCCACCCUGUCUUAGCGUAAAUGCGAGUCGAGGUGGACGUCGUCGCGGUAGCGACGAUGGACGUCGAGACGAGCACGUGACACCACUGCCACCCUGUCUUAGCGUAACGCGAGUCGAGGCGGACGUCGUCGCGGUAGCGACGACGGAUGCCGAGACGAGCACGUGACACCACUGCCACCCUGUCUUAGCGUAACGCGAGUCGAGGCGGACGUCGUCGCGGUAGCGACGACGGACGCCGAGACGAGCACGUGACACCACUGCCACCCUGUCUUAGCGGAAACGCGAGUCGAGGCGGACGUCUUCACGGUAGCGAGCAUGUGACACCACUGCCACCCUGUCUAUCUUAGGGUUACGCGAGUCGGGNNNNNNNNNNUGCCACCUGUCUAUCUUAGGGUUACGCGAGUCGAGGCGGACGUCGUAGCGGUAGCGACGACGGACGCCGAGACGAGCACGUGACACCACUGCCACCCUGUCUUAGCGUAACGCGAGUCGAGGCGAACGUCGUCGCGGUAGCGACGACGGACGCCGAGACGAGCACGUGACACCACAGCCACCCUGUCUUAGCGUAAACGCGAGUCGAGGCGGACGUCGUCGCGGUAGCGACGACGGACGCCGAGACAAGCACGUGACACCACUGCCACCCUGUCUUAGCGUAACGCGAGUCGAGGCGGACGUCGUCGCGGNNNNNNNNNNUAGCGACGAUGGACGUCGAGACGAGCACGUGACACCACUGCCACCCUGUCUUAGCGUAACGCGAGUCGAGGCGGACGUCGUCGCGGUAGCGACGACGGAUGCCGAGACGAGCACGUGACACCACUGCCACCCUGUCUUAGCGUAACGCGAGUCGAGGCGGACGUCGUCGCGGUAGCGACGACGGACGCCGAGACGAGCACGUGACACCACUGCCACCCUGUCUUAGCGGAAACGCGAGUCGAGGCGGACGUCUUCACGGUAGCGAGCAUGUGACACCACUGCCACCCUGUCUAUCUUAGGGUUACGCGAGUCGAGACGGACGUCGUCGCGGUAGCGACGAUGGACGCCGAGACGAGCACGUGACACCACAGCCACCCUGUCUAUCUUAGGGUUACGCGAGUCGAGGCGGACGUCGUCGCGGUAGCGACAACGGACGCCGAGACGAGCACAUGACACCACUGCCACCUGUCUAUCUUAGGGUUACGCGAGUCGAGGCGGACGUCGUAGCGGUAGCGACGACGGACGCCGAGACGAGCACGUGACACCACUGCCACCCUGUCUUAGCGUAACGCGAGUCGAGGCGAACGUCGUCGCGGUAGCGACGACGGACGCCNNNNNNNNNNNNNNNNNNNNNNNNNNNNNNNNNNNNNNNNNNNNNNNNNNNNNNNNNNNNNNNNNNNNNNNNNNNNNNNNNNNNNNNNNNNNNNNNNNNNGAGAAUAGGCGAUAUCUGGUGAUCAAGGGGGGGGGCUUGCCUGGUUGCUCUGGCAAGAGAGAGGGGUCGUCAACUCCGUAGUCGAACUGGUCAGUAGCAGCGUCGGUCUCGUAGUCUACCGGAGAGAAGAGGGGGAAGAAAUAAUGAAUACAGAGCAAACAAAGCAUCACAAAAUAUAACAAGGCAAUACGCGGUGUUCGGUGUGCCCUAACGCGGUAGUAGGUGAUACCGGUGAAGGGGGAAAAACAUCCGGGAAAGUAUUCCCGGGGUUCCGUGUUUUCGGGCAGAGGAGCCGGAGGGGGAAAGUUGCGAGUUCGAUAGGUUAGGGGGGUGUGGCGGACGAACGGGUUGCGUAUCCGAAAUCGUCUCGUCGUUCUGAGCAACUUUCAUGUACAAAGUUUUUCCAUCGGAGUUACGGUUAAUUUUUUUAUAAUUUUCCAAAGUUUUAUCAAUAUUCUAGAAUUUUGUGUUUAAUUUAAAUCCGAAUUGACCAAGUCAAUGUGACUAGUCAAAAGGAGAGGUGGUGGCCCACAUGUCAUGGACAUAGGUGUAGAUUACUUAGGCUAAAUUAAUUUAAACUAGGGGCCACAUGGCAUUGUUUAUAUAGACUAAUUAGCACUAAAUUACAUCCUACCUAAACUAGCCCUAAUUAAUCCUAGCCUAAUUAAACCAUGGGCCGGCCGGUGGCAUAGCCAGCCGUGGCUGCGUACACACACGCAACACACAUAGCUAGGGGUUACUUUUGUUCCAACAAAGCAUUUUGCGAUUUUUACAGAAUUUAAUCCAUGCCAUAUUUGAAUUUGGUCCAAUAGAAUAAUUUGGAGGUUGCUAUGUGUACUCCCAACACAAAUUAAUUUCAACGAAGUUAGACUUGGUUUGACCAUAGUUUUGUUGCCAUCCAGAGAGCUAAGAAGAUGGAAAUAGCAAAAGCUAGCCAGCGCUACAGUAACAUUCAGUUACUGUAGCAGCGGCAGCAGAGCAGCGAACGCAGCGGCAGAAGUUAAGGAAUAGCAGCGACGGCAGCAGCUAUGCAUCCGUAGUAGUAACAAGAAGCAGCAGUAGGAAGCAAGUAACAACAGCAGAGUUUCAGCGGCAUCAGCAGUAAAGGUAGUAGGCAGCGGGACAACGCGACUGGGCGCGGGCGCGCGUUGUGCAGGGCCGGAGCUCAGGCACGCAGGGGCAGGGCGGCCAGGGGGCGCGCGGGAGCACGCACGGGGGCGAGGCCACGCGCAGGCGGGCAGACACGGAGGCGCGCGGGCAUGGCGGGGGUCACGGCGGACGACGCAGCAGACGGUGGCUGCGAGGCCGGGCGGCAGUCGGCAGCGGCCAACGCAGCGGCGAGGCGGGCGCGCAGCAACAGUUCAACAGGGGCGGCAGCAGAAGCAUGCAUGGGAGCGCGGGGAGGGGCCAGUUGCGCGUGGGAGCGACCAAGGACGGCCAGAGCCGGGCCAAGCGCAUGCUCGGGCGCGACGGUGUAGCUCUGGAUAGGGGAGGCGGGACCCGGCCUACGGCAAUGAAGGAAAAGGGGAGCGGGGCGCGGGAGCUCACCGUGUGGGCGCAUGGGGGCCCGGUGACGGAUUAGUAGCUGCGGGGCGGUCGGAGUUGACGGAGAUGGUCGAUGACCGAAGCGGACGAGGGCGACGCGAAUCCGGCGAAGGUGGGGGUUCCGGCAGGUCUUCGUCUCCGUAGUGGACGCAGCGGGCGAUGGCGGUCGUCGUGGACGCAACGGUGAGGGAGAAGUGGCCGGUGGUCGCGAGCUUCACCGGAGCGAGCCCAUGUCGGCGCUCGGCGGGGAUGGAUCUGGCGAGGGGGAGGGGGGUGAGGCGGAGAGGACCAGGGAGGGGAGAAGAGAGCAAGCGGGGGGAGUGGUAGAUAUUUUGGCGAGCGGGGAGGUCCAGCGCAGCUCUUAUCCCCUCGUCGGGCGUCGCCGGCGAGGUGGCUGGACGGCGACGGGCGCGCACGGUCCUGCCCGGUCGGUGGAACAGGAAGCGACCGGGGAGGGGGAGUGGGCCGGCUUAGCUGGGCCGGUUCGAAUGGCUAGGCCCGAGGGGUGCUCUCUCUCUUUUUUUUUAAAAAAAAUUCUGUUUAGUCUUUUCUUUUUGUUUACUGCUGUCUUUUUUCCUAUUAUUUAUUGCACCUAAAUUAGUACCACUAAUUAUACCUCUACUACAAAAAGUUUAGACCUCCAAUUAAAAUAGUUUAACAUUUUAAUAAUUAUAAAAGGCAUUCAAUUAAUUCGUUUGCUGUUGUUUUAUUUAUUUUAGAGCAUUCAAACACUUUUAAAGAUGUUGGUUUCUCCACCAUUACUACUUAUGCAUUAUUUGCCACUACCAUAACAAUUUGGUUUUAAUAUUUGAAAACUUUUAUUUGCUUGCCUUUGUUUUAAAUUUUAACUGGGUUUCAAACAGACACGAGUUUAUCCACACUAACCGAGGUGACGUGGCAUCCUUAGCGAGGGAUCACUGUAGCUUAAUUAUCCGGGCAUCACACAUACACUUAUAGCUCUUAGUGCAUCCAUUGCAUGGCAAUCCCUACUCCUCGCAUUGAAAUCAAUUGAUGGGCAUCUCCAUAGCCCGUUGAUUAGCCGCUUCGAUGUGAGACUUUCUCCCUUUUUGUCUUCUCCAUAUAAACCUCCACCAUCAUAUUCUAUUCCACCUAUAGUGCUAUACCCAUGGCUUGCGCUCAUGUAUUGCGUGAGGGUUGAAAAAGCUGAAGCGCAUUAAAAAGUAUGAACCAAUUGCUUGGCUUGUCAUCGGGGUUGCAUGAUGGGAGCAUUUUGUGUGACGAAAAUGAAGCAUGGCCAAACUAUAUGAUUUUGUAGGGAUAAGCUUGCUUUGGCCAUGUUGUUUUGAAAAGACAUGAUUGCUUUAUUAGUACGCUCGAAGUAUUAUCAUUUUUUAUGUCAAAUGAUAGACUAUUGUUUUGAAUCACUCGUAUCUUAAUAUUCAUGCCAUGAUUAGACAUAUGAUCAAGAUUAUGCUAGGUAGCAUUCCACAUAAAAAAUUAUCUUUUUUUAUCAUUUACCUACUCAAGGACGAGUAGGAAUUAAGCUUGGGGAUGCUGAUACGUCUCUGUCGUAUCUAUAAUUUUUGAUUGUUCCAUGCCAAUAUUCUUCAACUUUCAUAUACUUUUGGCAACUUUUUAUACUAUUUUUGGGACUAACAUAUUGAUCCAGUGCCCGGUGCCAGUUCCUGUUUGUUGCAUGUAUUAUGUUUCGCAUAAACCCAAUAUCAAACGGAAUCCAAACGGGAUAAAAACGGACGGAGAAUUAUUUUGGAAUAUUUGGGAUUUUCCGGAGGAAGAAUCAACGCGAAACAGUGCCCGAGGUGGCCACGAGACAGGGGGCGCGCCCUCCCCCUGGGCGCGCCUGGCACCCUCAUGGGCCACCCGUAAGGCGGUUGACGCUCUUCUUUUGCCGCAAGAAAGCUAAUUUUAUGAGAAAAAUCUGGGCGAAAGAUUCACCCCAAUCGGAGUUACGGAUCUCCGGAUAUAAAAGAAACGGUGAAGGGGAAGGAUCUGGGAACGCAGAAACAGAGAGAGACAGAGAGAUAGAUCCAAUCUCGAAGGGGCUCUCGCCCCUCCCACGCCAUGGGAGCCAAGGACCAGAGGGGAAACCCUUCUCCCAUCUAGGUAGGAGGUCAAGGAAGAAGAAGAAGAAGGGGCCCUCUCUCCCCCUUGCUUCCGGUGGCGCCGGAACGCUGCCGGGGGCCAUCAUCAUCACCGCGAUCUUCACCAACACCUCCAUCAUCUUCACCAACAUCUCCAUCACCUUCCCCCAUCUAUAUUCAGUGGUCCACUCUUCCGCAACCCGCUGUACCCUCUACUUGAACAUGGUGCUUUAUGCUUCAUAUUAUUAUCCAAUGAUGUGUUGCCAUCCUAUGAUGUCUAAGUAGAUUUUCGUUGUCCUAUCGGUGAUUGAUGAAUUGCUAUGAUUGGUUUGGGUUGCAUGUUUUAUUAUUGGUGUUGUCCUAUGGUGCUCUCUGUGUCGCACAAGCAUGAGGGAUCCCCGUUGUAGGGUUUGCAAUAUAUUCAUGAUUUGCUUAUGGUGGGUGGCGUGAGUGACAGAAGCACAGACCCGAGUAAGUAGGUUGUUUGCGUAUGGGAUAAAGGGGGCUUAAUACUUUAAUGCUAUUUGGGUUUUAUUUUAAUGAUCUUUAGUAGUUGCGGAUGCCUUCUAGAGUUCCUAUCAUAAGUGCAUAUGAUCCAAGAAGAGAAAGUAUGUUAGCUUAUGCCUCUCACUCAAAUAGAAUUGCAAUAGUGCUUACCGGUCUAGUAACAUAGUCAAUUGCUUAGGGAAAAUUUCACAACUCCUACCACCACUUUUCCACACUCGCUAUAUUUACUUUAUUAUUUCUUUAUCUAAACAGCCCCUAGUUUAUAUUUACGUGCUCUUUAUUAUCUUGCAAACCUAUCCAACAACACCUACAAAGUACUUCUAGUUUCAUACUUGUUCUAGGUAAAGCGAACAUCAAGUGUGCGUAGAGUCGUAUCAGUGGCCGAUAGGACUUGAGAGAGUAUUUGUUCUACCUUUAGCUCCUCGUUGGGUUCGACACUCUUACUUAUCGAAAGAGGCUACAACUAUCUCGUAUACUUGCGGAUUAUCAAGACCUUUUUCUGGCGCCAUUGCCGGGGAGUCAUAGCGUGGGGUGAAUAUUCUCGUGUGUGCUUGUUUGCUUUAUCACUAAGUAACUUUUAUUUGCUGUUCUUAGUUGUUUUCUAUCUUUAGUUAUGGGUAGGAAACGCAAAAUACCAAAAAAAUUAGUUGUAUCGACUACACCAAUGGUUGAAGAACCACUCAAAAUCUAUCACACUCCUGAAGCUUUUUACUUGGAUCAUCUUCGAUCCCUUUGUGCUCGUGCUGAAGCCCCAACUAGCUUAGUUGAAGGCAAAUCUUUAGAUGAGCAUGCUUGUUAUGUGCGACACCGUAUAUCUGAAAAAGGGAAACUUUUACUGGAUCAAAUUCAUCGUUUGCAAUGCUAUGCUUGGAAUUUAUAUGAAAUUUAUGAUAUUGCUUGUUGUGCUGAAAACCCUAAGAAACACCUUCCCUACCAAUGUGAGUUUAUUGAUAAUGGAAUCGUAUCUUCGUAUGCUAAGGGUGUUUAUAAUUACUAUGAUGUUCAACAAAUUGAAGAAUUUGUUGCUUUUAAGGGUGCUUAUGAAAUUGCUUCUUUGAUUGAAAAGUAUGAUGCUACUCUCUACAAAUCUGAAAAUUUUACCGUACUUGAAUAUUGUUAUGAUAAUUAUGCUUAUAAUGCCUAUGUUAAACUAUAUAUUGAUAAAUUCUCCGCUGUCCAAGAAGAGACUAAUAUUUUGCAGGAAGCUAUGGAAGAAGAAAUUGAUGAAACUGUGAGCUCAUUGGAUGAAAAAGAUGAUGAGGAGAGCGAAGAACAAAAGGAGGAAGAGCGGAUUGAUCACCAUGCCCACCUUCUAAUGAGAGUAACUCUUCAACUCAUACAUUGUUUAAUUCCCCUUCGUGCUUACCGAAGUAUGAUUGCUAUGAUGAUUGCUAUGAUCCCGUUGAUUCUCUUCAAAUAUCCCUUUUUGAUGAUGCUUGUUAUGCUUGCGGCCAAGAUGCCAAUAUGAAUUAUGCUUAUGGAGAUGAACUUGCUAUAGUUCCUUAUGUUAAACAUGAAAUUGUUGCUAUUGCACCCAUGCAUGGUAGUCCUAUUAUCUAUUUGAAUUCUCCCGACUACACUAUAUCGGAGAAGUUUGUGCUUAUUAAGGAUUAUAUUGAUGGGUUGCGUUUUACUACUACACAUGAUGAUUUUGAUAGAUAUAAUAUGCAUGUGCUUGCUGCUCCUACUUGCAAUUAUUAUGAGAGAGAAACUAUAUCUCCACCUCUCUAUGUUUCCAAUAUGAUAGAAUUGCAAGAAUCUGCUUAUACUAUGCAUUGGCCUUUACUAUGUGUGCAUGAAUUGUUCUUUUAUGACAUGCCGAUGCAUAGGAACAGAGUUAGACUUCGUCAUUGUAUGAUAUAUGUUACUUUGUGCUCACUACUAAAUCACAAAUCAUUGUUUUAAAAUUGGCUUUGAUAUACCUUGGGAUCCGGGUGGAUCCAUUACUUGAGCACUAUAUGCCUAGCUUAAUGGCUUUAAAGAAAGCGCUGCCAGGGAGACAACCCGGAAGUUCUAGAGAGUCAUUUAUUUAUGUUGUGUGCUUUCAUAUAGUCUAAAAAAAUAGGGAACCCUAAAAACUUUUCAAAAAGAAAAGUAAAAGUGAGAAAGACAAGCAUUGUUGAAGUGGGAGCUAGCCUUGAACUUUGUUCAUGCUCACAGAAACUUUGUGAAUCUUGAUUACAGAAACUUCUCAUCAAAAAUAAUUAUCCCCUUGUAUAAUUACAUUGUCUUAUAAAAAUAAUGUGCUAAGGUUUGCCUUUAGGAUGUUUACAAUGCUUGUUGGUUUGUACGGUGCAGGACAGAAACUUUGGCUGUAGUGCACGAUUUUACAUUUUUUUACUGGAACGUCAAACGGUUAUGAUUCCUUUUGCACUGUCUUGAUGUACAACUUUUUUAUUUUUCAUAAUUUUGGUAUAAUUUUUGGGGUACCAUAAGUAUGGUGAAUGUUCAUAUUGCUACAGACUGUUCUGUAUUUGACAGAUUCUGUUUUUGAUGCAUAGUUUGCUUGUUUUGAUGAAUCUAUGAAUUUAUAUCAGUGAAUUAAGCCAUGAAAAAGUUAUGUUACAGUAGAAACAAUGCAAAAACAAAAUAUGAAUUGGUUUGCAACAGUACUUAGAGUGGUGAUUUGCUUUAUUAUACUAACGGAUCUUACCGAGUUUUCUGUUGAAGUUUUGUGUGGAUGAAGUGUCUAAUCGAGGAGGUCUCGAUAUGGGGAAAAGGAAGAGAGGCAAGAGCUCAAGCUUGGGGAUGCCCGAGGCAACCCAAGUAAAUAUUCAAGGAGACUCAAGCGUCUAAGCUUGGGGAUGCCCAGAAGGCAUCCCCUCUUUCUUCAACAAGUAUCGGUAUGUUUUCGUAUUCGUUUCGUUCAUGCGAUAUGUGCAAGUCUUGGAGCGUCUUUUGCAUUUAGUUUUCACUUUUCUUUUUUGCACCAUGCUGGUAUGAGAUAGUCCUUGGUUGAUUUAUAGAAUGCUCAUUGCACUUCACUUAAAUCUUUUGAGUAUGGCUUUAUAGAAUGCUUCAUGUGCUUCACUUAUUAUCAUUUGAAGUCUGGAUUGCCUGUUUCUCUUCACAUAGAAAACCGCCAUUUGUAGAAUGCUCUUUUGCUUCACUUGUAUUUGUUAGAGCGUGGGCAUAUCUUUUGUAGAAAGAAUCAAACUCUCUUGCUUCACUUAUAUCUAUUUAGAGAGAUGACAGGAAUUGGUCAUUCACAUGGUUAGUCAUAAAAUCCUACAUAAACUUGUAGAUCACUGAAUAUGAUAUGUUUGAUUCCUUGCAGUAGUUUUGCGAUAUAAAGAUGGUGAUAUUAGAGUCAUGCUAGUGGGUGGUUGUGGAUUGUAGAGACACUUGUGUUGGGGUUUGCAAGUCCCGUAGCAUGCACGUAUGGUAACCGUUAUGUGAUAAAUUUGAAGCAUGGGGUGUUUCUUUGAUUGUCUUCCUUAUGAGUGGCGGUUGGGGAUGAGCGAUGGUCUUUUCCUACUAAUCUAUCCUCCUAGGGGAAUGCGUAGUAGUACUUUGCUUCGAGGGCUAAUAAACUUUUACAAUAAGUACAUGCGUUCUUUAUGACUAAUGUGAGUCCAUGGAUUAUACGCACUUUUACCGUUCCAUCAUUGCUAGCCUCUUCGGUACCGUGCAUUGCCCUUUCUCACCUCGAGAGUUGGUGCAAACUUCGCAGGUGCAUCCAAACCCCGUGAUAUGAUACGCUCUGUCACACAUAAGACUCCUUAUAUCUUCCUCAAAACAGCCACCAUACCUACCUAUCAUGGCAUUUUCAUAGCCAUUCCGAGAUAUAUUGCCAUGUAACUUCCACCAUCAUCAUAUACAUGACUUGAGCAUUUAUUGUCAUAUUGCUUUGCAUGAUCGUAAGAUAGCUAGCAUGAUGUUUUCAUGGCUUGUCCGUUUUUUGAUGUCAUUGCUACGCUAGAUCAUUGCACAUCCCGGUACACCGCCGGAAGCAUUCAUAUAGAGUCAUAUCUUUGUUCUAGUAUCGAGUUGUAAUAUUGAGUUGUAAGUAAAUAAAAGUGUGAUGAUCAUCAUUAUAGAGCAUUGCCCCAUGAAAAAAAGAAAAAAGAAAAAAAGGAAAGGCCAAAGAAGCCUAAAUAAAAAAAGGGGGCCAAAGAAGCCCACCCAAAAAAAGAAAAAAAGAAAAAAGGGGGCAAUGUUACUAUCCUUUUACCACACUUGUGCUUCAGAGUAGCAUCAUGUUCUUCAUAUAGAGAGUCUCCUAUGUUGUCACUUUCAUAUACUAGUGGGAACUUUUCAUUAUAGAACUUGGCUUGUAUAUUCCAACGAUGGGCUUCCUCAAAUGCCCUAGGUCUUCAUGAGCAAGCAAGUUGGAUGCACACCCACUUAGUUUUCAGUUUGAGCUUUCAUACACUUAUAGCUCUUAGUGCAUCCGUUGCAUGGCAAUCCCUACUCCUCGCAUUGACAUCAAUUGAUGGGCAUCUCCAUAGCCCGUUGAUUAGCCGCGUCGAUGUGAGACUUUUUUCCUUUCUUGUCUUCUCCAUAUAAACCUCCACCAUCAUAUUCUAUUCCACCUAUAGUGCUAUAUACAUGGCUUGCACUCAUGUAUUGUGUGAGGGUUGAAAAAGCUGAAGCGCGUUAAAAAGUAUGAACCAAUUGCUCGUCUUGUCAUCGAGGUUGUGCAUGAUGGAAGCAUUUUGUGUGACGAAAAUGAAGCAUGGCCAAACUAUAUGAUUUUGUAGGGAUAAGCUUGCUUUGGCCAUGUUGUUUUGAAAAGACAUGAUUGAACUAUUAGUACGCUCGAAGUAUUAUCGUUUUUUAUGUCAAAUGAUAGACUAUUGCUUUGAAUCACUCGUAUCUUAAUAUUCAUGCCAUGAUUAGACAUAUGAUCAAGAUUAUGCUAGGUAGCAUUCCCCAUAAAAAAUUAUCUUUUUUAUCAUUUACCUACUCGAGAACAAGUAGGAAUUAAGCUUGGGGAAGCUGAUACGUCUUUGUUGUAUAUAUAAUUUUUGAUUGUUCCAUGCCAAUAUUCUUCAACUUUCAUAUACUUUUGGCAACUUUUUAUACUGUUUUUGGGACUAACAUAUUGAUCCAGUGUCCAGUGCCAGUUCCCGUUUGUUGCAUGUUUUAUGUUUCGCAGAAACACAAUAUCAAACGGAAUCCAAACGGACGGAAAAUUAUUUUGGGAUAUUUGGGAUUUUCCGGAGGAAGAAUCAACGCGAAAUGGUGCCCGAGGUGGCCACGAGACAGGGGGCGCACCCUCCCCCCUGGGCGCACCUGGCACCCUCGUGGGCCACCCGUAAGGCGGUUGAAGCUCUUCUUUUGCCGCAAGAAAGCUAAUUUUAUGAGAAAAAUCUAGGUGAAAGAUUCACCCAAUCGAAGUUAGGGAUCUCCGAAUGUAAAAGAAACGGUGAAGGGGAAGGAUCUGGCAACGCAGAAACAAAGAGAGACAAAGAGAUAGAUCCAAUCUCGGAGGGGCUCUCGCCCCUCCCACGCCAUGGGAGCCAAGGACCAGAGGGGAAACCCUUCUCCCAUCUAGGGAGGAGGUCAAGGAAGAAGAAGAAGAAGGGGGCUCUCUCUCCCCCUUGCUUCCGGUGGCGCCGGAACGCUGCCGGGGUCCAUCAUCAUCACUGCGAUCUUCACCAACACCUCCAUCAUCUUCACCAACAUCUCCAUCACCUUCCCCCAUCUAUAUUCAGCGGUCCACUCUCCCGCAACCCGUUGUAUCCUCUACUUGAACAUGGUGCUUUAUGCUUCAUAUUAUUAUCUAAUGAUGUGUUGCCAUCCUAUUAAGUCUGAGUAGAUUUUCGUUAUCCUAUCGGUGAUUGAUGACUUGCUAUGAUUGGUUUCAGUUGCAUGUUUUAUUAUCGGUGUUGUCCUAUGGUGCUCUCCGUGUCGCGCAAGCGUGAGGGAUCCUCGUUGUAGGGUUUGCAAUAUGUUCAUGAUUUGCUUAUGGUGGGUGACGUGAGUGACAGAAGCACAGACCCGAGUAAGUAGGUUGUUUGCAUAUGGGAUAAAGGGGACUUAAUACUUUAAUGCUAUGAUUGGGUUUUACCUUAAUGAUCUUUAGCAGUUGCGGAUGCUUGCUAGAGUUCCAAUCAUAAGUGCAUAUAAUCCAAGAAGAGAAAGUAUGUUAGCUUAUGCCUCUCCCUCAAAUAGAAUUGCAAUAGUGAUUACCGGUCUAGUAACAUAGUCAAUUGCUUAGGGACAAUUUCACAACUCCUACCAUCACUUUUCCACACUCGCUAUAUUUACUUUAUUGUUUCUUUAUCUAAACAGCCCCUAGUUUAUAUUUACGUGCUCUUUAUUAUUUUGCAAACCUAUCCAACAACACCUACAAAGUACUUCUAGUUUCAUACUUGUUCUAGGUAAAGCGAACGUCAAGUGUGCGUAGAGUCGUAUCAGUGGCUGAUAGGACUUGAGAGAGUAUUUCUUCUACCUUUAGCUCCUCGUUGGGUUCGACACUCUUACUUAUCGAAAGAGACUACAACUAUCUUGUAUACUUGUAGGUUAUCAUCCGCCAACUCGUUCGGACACCAGACGGACCGCACGGCCUCCGGCGAGGCAGCUACGGCUGGCCUUGCACCAGAUCCAUACCCCAUUUGGGCGGACGCAAUGGAUUCCCGACGUAUGGAGUCUGAAUGCAGCCGUCCACGGGCCUCCUCCCGGGCGCGGCAGAGUGCAAGACGGACGACCAUCUCCUCUUUGGGGGCGCGCGGGAUGAGCUCGGGGUCGACAGAUCUGGAGGUGAAGGAUUCGGAUCCGCUGCCCGCCAUGCCGGAGACGACCGGAAGGAGCCUGAGACGAGUUUGGGUGGCGGAUGGGGAGUGGAGGGGAGGGGAGGGAAGUGGCUAGGGUUUGGUCCGGCGAGCGGAUGGGAAGAAUUUUAUGUGGGAUCGGGUGAGGAAGCGUGGGCCGGGGCUGACAUGACGGGCGUGACCGGGCGCGCCCGGGCGCCCCAUAUCUGCUCCACAUUUGAGCUAGAUAUGGGGAUGCCGGUUAGCCCGGGUGAGGGUCCAUCUAGGUUAAAAAAUCGUGACUGAACAGUGAUCGCCCACUCGGAUGUAUGAGACGGGUUUGAGGGGUGCGGCUAUAAAUACUAGUCCAAGCGCUGUAAUCCGUAGACGGUGGAAAAUUACCGAACGAAACGCGUCGCUAGUUCACCUUGAUAAAAAGCCACGCCCGCUGCUGGCGAUACACAUCACCCCCCUGCCGAAACACGGCUAAAAAAAACCUGCCAAAACUAAAACAUGACUCGCUCAUAAAAAACAAAAACAUGCCUGGCUCAGACCCUCCUCAUCCUGUGUGGCUCCCUCGAUUGAUCCCAAAUCCCCAAUUAAUCCCACCGCCGCCUAGAGCACAAGAGCGGGCAGCGGCAGCCUGCGAACGCCAAGUACGGCGUGACCAGCCAGGUGGGCCGGUAGAGGAGUGCCGAGGUGCGCAGCCCCGGCCGGAUUAGUUACUUUGUUUCUCAAUUCAGAUUGUUAACGGAUGCGAGAUGCAAAUCCAGAUUGUUAUCCAGGACGAUUGGACGAAGAGGGAGCAAAUCUAUGAGUGAAAAGGAUAAGGGAAGGGAAGGAAUGCAAAAUGAAAGGUUAGUUACUUAAUUUCUCAAUUAUGCGUUUGAGUGCUUGAUGAUUGAAUUGCACGAACACGUUGCACCUGGAUUGUACGUGAUUCUAGUUAAUGUCAUAUAAUCUACUGUAGUUAGUGUGUGGACUGUCUUGGUUAUGCAUCAUACAAUUUUUAUUAUUUUUAUUUUUUGUGUGUAUCAAGUCGCACCUACAAAUUAAUCCUGCCUCAGCCACUGAGCACAGCCGAAAAAGUUCGCAUCCUUUUGAAGAAGCACAAAUACAUUUCGAAUAUAGGGCGCGAAACACAUCCUAUGGAGAAUAUUCUGAUUUAUUGAUCCAACAAGUUUAACCAUGCUUUAAUAGCCAAUUUACAAGCCACAGCAACAUCUAACCAGUGCUUCUGAAACUAAACAUAAGCAUGGUUGCAGACUUGCAGUAGCUUCCCAGGCACCAAACUAAACCCAUCUCAUCCAUGGGGUUUCUUGCAAGAGUUUAGGACAUGGUUGGAGGAACCAGAAGCUUGUGCAUUUCUGACACAGAAGGCAUUAGCUACUCAUCUACAUCGAUAUAGACAGGGUGAUCUCGGCGAAUGAUGUGGACGUUCAUGGUAAGCACCUGCUCGUUCUUGAGCAGCUCAAACAGGCACAUGUCGUCAUCCUGCAGCUUGUUGUCGUUUACAAACUUCUUCCAGCCUGUGUGUAGCUCAUAAAAUUUGCACUUUUCCUUGUCGCCGAUAUAGAGCUUGGCUUCCCAAGUGUGGUUCUUCCCAGGCACUUGAAGCCUCAUCCACUGCUCCUCGCGUGGAAGAUGAUCAUCAGCGUAUCCCUGUUCGAUGUACUGAGUUGCACAUUCACAAGGUAGGAUGUUAAGUUGUCAACAGAUCAAAUAAGCAAACACAUGCGUCCUUACCAAGAAAGAGGAAACUGCAUGGAUCGAGCACAACUUACCAGCUUGGCACGGCAGCUAGGCAUGAUGGACACGAAUAUUUUGGUUUCUGGCUGAAUAACAAGGAGCCUCUCUUUGAUUUUUCUCUUCUGCUGCCAAGUCAGUUCGGUGCAUCUGGUAACCACAUACCCCGUGUCAGUGCGAGUCACUUUCAUCUUCUGCCGGCUAGCUGGUUUAAGAUGAUAGACUAUUAUUGCCACUCCACCAUCGCUCUUUGACAUUUCAAAUGCACAGAUAUCGCCUUCCUGCAAUUUGUUGUCGCGAACAAAGCAGGGCCAACCAGAAAAAAUGAUACAAGAAAGGAUGCAUGCUCCAUCAGUGAUAACCUUCAAAUUGGCAUCCCAUGUUUUGCUGUUCUGAGGAUGACAAAGUUUGAUAAUCUGGUCUUGAUGAGGAAGGUGAUUGGCAGCAUACUCCUUACGGAUGACCUAUUACAAAUGAAUGAUCUGGCUGAUGAAUUAUCUCAAACCAUAAUUUGCAGAGAGCUAGUGUUUCAACGAUUCGAACAAAGUUCUAGCAAGAUAUUCUGAAUUCUGUUUUCUGAACAUGGUGUUCAUUCAAAUAAAUAAAUAAUCAAAGCAUUGUACAGUAAUCAAAACAUACUGUAAACCUACCAGAAAUCCAUCAGAUAGAUUUUUCUCGUUCAUGGCUGUGACAUAAAAUUGAAUUCCAUUCCGAUUUUCGUUCAAAAAUGCAUCAACUCUUGCCUUCUGGGCACUAGUCAGUUUACAACCCAUUUCUAAAAUGUAAUGUGAUUCGGUAGACCCCCGAAGGCCACCUGAACUGCUGGGUUCCUGAAUAUCUUUUGGAAAUGUUACAUCUUCAGCUGUGCAACAUCAAUCAUGAAGGCAGAAAUCAGAAUAAAAAGUAAAUUAAGAAAAUCUAAAACAAAACAUCAAUAGAAAUUCAUACUCAACUGUUCAAUACUGAACUUGAUUUCUGUGAACUUGAGUCUGCUUGAUUUAUCUUUGAAGUUCUGCAACUGUCACUUGUACCGUCGUUCUGGCUUUCUUUUUUGGUGGGUAGUGAUUGAUCAUGAAAAAUGUCCCUCUCUUGGAGAUUAGGACCACAGCUCAUGAUAACACAUGAAAGCUCGUUCUCGCAGCCACUUGGUUUAAAGAUUUUUACUUUGAAGUGGGAGUCCCCACUGUAUGUAAAGACUAGGAAGUCAUUUUGUUUAAGUUCAUACGCACUGGCAAAGUUUGCCCACCCUGAUCCAAAAACUAACUUAUGCUGUUCCCUGGCAACCUGAACAAUAUAAAUUUUACCAUCUGGGACUUCUAGUUUGAGUUCAUCAGAUAUGUGACCUCUGAAAUUAGUUGCGAACUUUGGUGGUAUGGCCUGCAUGAAGAAAUAAAUCACAAAGGAUCUUUGACCAGAAAAUGACCACAUACGAGGCUAAGUGAUUGCUAGUCCAUCUUCAUGCCUAUAUAAUUCACUGCAAAGAAAACUAAGAGCACACAUGCUUCUGUAAUAUAAAAAAGGGCAGCCCGGUGCAUGUAGCUCCCGCUUGCACACAUGCUUCUGUAAUAUCUAUUAUCAAAUUUUGGUUAUCUAGGUAAGUAUACUUUGUGGCUUCGUGCAAUUAAUUCUCAAAAGAAGUAUAUUUAGUGUAACCCAAAUGGUGCUCAAACUCCUAAAUUCGUCAUCAAGAUUAUCAAAUUACUAGCAGUGUUACUCAGUUUUUUGCAAAACUAUAGUUGUGAAAACUGCAGGAGGUAUAUUUGGUGCACAAGAAACACUGUAAUUGGCAAGGUCUUACCAUUUCAUUCUUGAAAUUACCCAGAGUCAUAAUUUUGAAGAAAGACCAGUCAUGAUCUUUCAUGUGCCAAUAAUGGUGACCAACACAUUCUGUGCAUACUACACACGGUUUCUUCAUCCUGUCAUCAUCUUGUCCAGGCCUGCCAUAUCAGUUGAGAUGAAAUUGUUAGAAUAUUGAAAUCAAAAUCCACACACACGGACAACCAUUUUGAGACAAACUUUGACCGUCGAUUGGACCUACAUAAUAUGAGUUAUAUGCCCACCAAAAAUAUUCCACUCCUUGCAAACAAGUUUCCAGUGGUAUAAUUUUUAUGGUAUACUCAUACAUUAUUCGUUUAACUGAUGGUCAAAGCAAAUAACAAAAUAUGCGCAGACCUUGCAAACCUGAACAUAGGGAGAUGACAUGACGAGUGAACAAAGUUAUACUUAUUGGUCCUAGGAACACAAAAUGCAACUAAAGUUAGUACGGACCUUUCUCUAUGUGAUUGCAAAGGACUUUUACUUACUUACGAAGCCUUUUAUCCCAAACAAGUUGGGGUAGGCUAGAUAUGAAACCCUUUCACGAGGACUUCCCAGGAGGUCACCCAUCCUAGUACUACUCUCGCCCAAAUGGGUUUCAUACCCAAAAGACUGGCUAGUUUUUACGUUGGCUCGCCAAGCCUAUCACAACCCUUAGAUAUGAAACCCUUUCACGAGGACUUCCUAGGAGGUCACCCAUCCUAGUACUAUUCUCGCUCAAAUGGGUUUCAUACCUAUGGGACUGGCUAGUUUUUACGUUGGCUCGCCAAGCCUAUCACAACCCUCCUCCUUUACCCGGGCUUGGGACCGGCUAUGCCUAGAAGACAUAGGCGGAGUUAUGUGAUUGCAAAGGACUAUCAUGACAAAUGUCCCUUUCCUCGGCAUUAGGACCACAGCUCGUCAUAACACAUGCCAACUCUUUCUCGCAACCAUUUGGUUUAAAGAUUUGAACUUUGAAAUGGGAGUCUCCACUGUAUAUAAAGACUAGGAAGUAACCCUGUUCAAGUUCGAAAGCACAAGCAAACUUCGUCCACCCUGAUUGAAGAACUAACUUCUCCUGUUCCCUGGCAACCUGAACAUUAUAAAUUUUACCAUUUGGGACUUCUAGUUUGACUUCAUCAGAUAUGUCACCUCUGAAAUUAGUGGCGAACUCUUCUGGUAUGGCCUGUAUGAAGAAAAAAAAUGAUAAAGGAUCAUCGACCAGCCAAUCACCACAGACAAGGUUAAGGGAUUGCUAGUCCAUCUCCAUUCCUAUAUAAUUCACUAUAAGGAAAAGUAGGAACAAACAUGCUUCUCUAAUAUUUAUUAUCAUUUUGGUUAUCUGGGUACUUCAUGCAAUUUAAUUCUCCAAUAAAGUAUGUUUGUUGUAACCAAAAUUGGUUCUCAAACUCCUAAUUUCAUCGUCAUGAUUAUCAAAUUACUAGCAGUACUUCUCAUUUUUUGGCAAAACAGCAGUUUUCAAAACUUCCCAAGAUAUAUUUGGUGCACAAGAAAUAGUGUAAUUGGCAAUGCCUUACCAUUUCAUCCUUGAAAUUACUGAGAAUCAUAACCUUGAAGAAAGACCAGGUAUGAUCCUCCAUGUGCCAAUAGUGGCGGGCAACACAUUCUAUGCAUAUUGUGCAUGCUCUGUUCCUGCGAUCAUUUGGUCCGGUCCUGCUAUAAACAGUUGAGAUGAAACUGUUAAAAUAUUGAAAUCAAAAUCCACACGCACACAUAUUUUGUGACUAACUUUGAUGAUCGAUUUGACCUACAAAAUGUGAGUUAUAUGCCGCCAAAAGUGUACCACUGGAUUUGCAUUCGAGAUAAGUUUUCAAUGGUAUAAUUUUUAUGGUAUAUAACUCAUACAUUACUGGUCUAGUUGUUGGUCAAAGUAAAUAUCAAAAUAUGUGCAGACCUUGCAAAUCCGAACAGAGGGAGAUGACAAGACGAGUGGACAAAGUUAUGUCUAUUAGUCCUAGGAACACAUAAUGUAGCUAACAUUAGGACUAACCUUUCUCUAGGUGAUUGCAUAGGGUUAUCAUGACAGCCACUCUUUUGUUGGGCACAAGUAGUGAAAUUCUUCAUGACACAAGACAACAACUUAUCACAGCCACUUAUAUCGAAGAUUCGAACUUUGAAAUGGCAAUUCCCACUAUACCCAAAUAACACUAUGUCACCCUGUUCAAGAUCAUAUGCACUGGCAAAUCUAUCCCAUCCAGAUCGAAGGACUAGCUCGUGACGUUCCUCGGCAACCUGAAUACCAAAUUUUUGGCCAUCUGGCAAUUCUAGCUCUAUUUUUUCAGAUAUUUGCUGUCUGAUAUUGUUUGCAAAUCCUUUUGGAAUGGUCUGCACAAAUAGUCAAUUGAGACCACUUUUAAAUUAGUAUUAUCCUGACAGUCCCUCUAAAGGCAAGCAAGAGCAUUGUACAAAAUGAGUUUGUCACAUGAGAUCAAAACUAGUGUCUCCAAUACAGAACAUAGCUUGUGAAAUGUUCCUUUUUUUUAUCAGCAACUAGCCAACCACCAAGUUUAUCUUCAUGCAUAUUCAGCUAUCCUAACUCCUAAGUGAGGGAGCAUCCACAUAGUGGUAGGCGUAGAUUUCACCAAAAGAUUUUAGUUCAUGAGGUUUUAGGUUUGAAGUCGCAUUCUCCUUAUAAACAAUAGUACAUAUUUCCUCCUGUGCAAUCUCCUUUUUUUUCAUUUUCUUCUAUAUAUAGAAAAAAUAGAUUAGUGCUGCUAACUUCACUAGAAAAUCAAGACGAUACAUGUUUUUCUUGUGAAGGUAGAAUUUUGGUUAUUUCUAUAUGCUUAAUGCGAUAUUUUUCAGAAAUAAUUUCAAGGCUCCGAACUUCAGCAUGAAAUUUACAAAAUUGCUAGCUCAGUUUGUCAGUAUCCCCCAAAAUAACAAUCUGAAAACUAAACAAGAUAUAUCUUAAUGCACAAGAACAGAGUAAAUUGACAAUGCCUUACCAGUCCAUUUUUUGAAUCACUGACACCCACCAUAACCAUGAAGAAACGCAUUUUAUCCAUUCGGUGCCAAUAAUGAAAUGCAGCACAAUCCUUGCAUAUUGUGCGACAUUUGCUUCUCAUGUUACCCCACCUACCAUGUUAGUUGGGAUGAAAUUGUUAUAGACAAUUUAUAUCAGACAUUCACACAUAAGUGUUGUGCACACCCACAUGCUGCUCAAAGGUAAACACACCAAGUACAUGAUAAAUAACAUAAUUUGAUUACGAUGGUAGGCAGGCAAGUAUACGACACAUAAUACUAAGAAAAAAACAAAUGUUUCUACUUUAUAAUGUCAUAGGUAAGAAUAUCGAAUAUCGAUUGAGUCCACAUGAUUUUAUUUGUUAGGACAGAAAAGGUGACUAGAGGUAGCACUGCAGCAUAGUUGCCAACCUUUCAGUUUUUGUAGACGACUGCGUAUCAUUACCGCGCAACAUGUUCAUUUCAUGGACACAAGGAGUGUUCAUUGCAACACAGGAUAACUCUUUCUCGCAGCCAGUUUGAUUGAAUAUUCGAACUUCAAAGCAGGAGCUUCCACUGAAUUCAAACAAUAAGGUGUCACCCUGUUCGAGUUCAUAUGUGCUCACAAAUGCCGCCCAUCCAGAUUGAAGGACUAGGCCAUUCUGUUCCUUAGAAACCUGAACGCUAUGUUUUUCACCAUUAGGUACUUCUAGCAUGACUUGGUCAGAUAUCUGGCCUCUGAUAUUAUUUGCUAGCUUUCUUGGCACAUCCUGCAAGAAUAAGCAAGUGGGACAUUUCUUAACUUAAACAGAAGGUUCAUGUUAUGGCAAUCAAGAUUCAAGAGUGCAUUACAAACGCCUGUUUGUUUGAACACAACCAACAACUAUUUUAUUUGCAGAAACAGGGUACAUACACACUGGAUCAAUUGAAAUGUAGUCAUGUCGGCGCCAAGCAAAGAAUAGUUGAGUGUGACCAUAGAAAAGUUAGAUGGAUGACAUGUAAAACUAUAUUUUUUAACUAAUGUAUGCUAGUAUGGAGUAUGGACUAUGGAGUAUAUUUUAGAGUGAGGAAAUUCCGCACUGCUGUUUUUUAUCUAAGUGGGGAAAAAGAUCAGCAACAACAACAAUGGCCCUAACUUUAGUUCAUUGUCAUGCCUAAAAUGACAUUUCAUAACCAGAUUAGUGCCCUCCGUUCACAAAUAUACAUUUGAUUUAUAAAAAAGUUGAAACAUCUUAUUAUUUAUGAACGGAGGGAGUAUAUCAAAGAACAAACACAUUUUUGAAACUCACAACUUCAAGAUUAAGACUAUAAAAUUGCAGGCUAAACAUGUCCGUUCUCCUAGAAAAUGCGAGCCUAAACAUUAUAACAAGAAACCCUAAACCCUAAACCCUAAAUGUUGCACAUGAAUAGUAAAUGACAAAAUCUUACCACGAAAUCACCGGUCACAAUCUUGACGAAACUCUUUUUCCACUCACCGACGCGGUGCCAAUUGUGGUACACGAUGCACUCGCUGCAUCUUGUGAAAGAUGUCUUCAUUCUACCACACCUACCUUGUUAAUUGAGAUCCAAGUUGUUAGAAAUUGGCAAAUAUAUCACGUACGAGCCCAACAGAACUCAACGCACAAGCGGGUAAAAACAAGCACAAUAUCCAUGUUAAACCAAAAGGAAAAAGAUCCAAAUGUGAACCCUACACUCAAAAUAAAUAAGUACAAUGAAGUCAAGCGAGCCCAAGCAACUGCUGUCAACCAAAACAAGUAGUCCCUCCUAUCCAUAUUACUUGAUACAUCCUUUUGAGUGACAACUGAUAUGAAUCUAGAUACAUCCAUUUGAGUGACAAGUAAUAUGGAUCUAAACGUUUGAGCGGCAAAUAAUAUGGAUCGGAGGGAGUACUAUACCAUUGCGGCCUCAGCCACAUUUCAUAUGAACUUGUGUCACCACGUUUAAGAUCUGUAAGCAUUUCUUUGUUUUUUGGUUUUGAACUUGUAAUGCUAAAAACUUCACCAAAAAAGAGUAUCAUUCUCCAUAAGAAAGCUGUGCACUUGGACAUGGGUGCAUGCAUGUGGCUGAGUCGAGAUUACCUGUUGCAAGAAGCUUUCUAAGCCGUAUGAUGCAGAAGGCCCCGGAGCGGUGGCGGUGACUCUCUCACGAGAUGGACGGAGAGCAGCAACAGAGGCAGGAGUAUAUAUAGGAGUAGUUGGCAAGAGAGAAAAGAGAAAAAGUUAACUGUGCAAGGUAAUGAAAAUGCUGCUCAAUGGAUGGAUGGCAGGCGCACAUUGGUAACCUGCGAGUCUCCCACCAACUUUACAUGCACCCCCAUUGGAUCAAUUUGUUUCUUGGAACUCAAACACUCAUUUACUCUCCUUUUUGUGGUCAAACACUCAUUUACUUCAUUUACUAGUAUCUUCAUUUACCAUGAAUUGUAAAAUCUUAUGUAAAAUUCAAAUUUGAUUAACAAUUAAAUAAAAAAUCAUAUAUUUUAAGUUUAAUUUCAGAUUAUAUUUUUUUUGUUGUAUAAAUUAUACUUUAAAUAUAAGAUGUUCUAUUAAUAAUUUUGUGAAACAAAUGUAUAUAGACACAUUUUAGUGUGUUUGUUCACUCAUUUCACUCCAUAUGCAGUUCAUAUUAAAAUAUGCAAAACAUUUUAUAUUAAUGAAAGAAGUAUAUUUUACCUUUGAAAUACAUUAUAUUUUAGAUGCAUGAGCGUCACUAUUGCAGUGAAAUAAAUAGUCUAUCGAUGAACAUAUCGACAACUUGAAGAAAUUCAACUAGCAGUAAGGGUAACUCCAACACCCGACCCCAUAUUUUCUUCGUCUCAGUCCGUUUGGGCUGAAACGGUCAAAUGCGACGCCCAAUGCGCGACCCCAUUCUUAAAUUGUGUCCAGCCUGACCCACUUUUGGCGUGAAUUUGCCUCGGAUUUACGUCCAGACAGACAGUGAAUGGACACGCACGCGUCCUUUCCUUGUCCUCCCUCGGGCCCGCGUAUUGGCCGUCCAACCACUUCUCACCAGCCACAUUUAUGCAGCACGCGCGGACAGGCCCGCCUGUCAGCACCAAGCCGCCCCCUAAGUGUCCUUUUUAAAUGUCAAAGUUGUGGACCGACCAUUCCAUAUCCUCUUCACUGCCGCUUCGCCGCCCUUCCACACCAUUCAUGCCCCCUCAAAAGCCGACAAGCCCUAGAGCACGUCUCUGGCCGCUACCCCCACAAUGGGGAUGUCGAAGUGGAUCCUCGGCAAGACGGCUAAGCACCACCACGAAGCGGGGCCGUCCUCUGGUUCACGGAAGCCGAGGAAAGCCACUGGCUUCUCCAUCUCUCCGGUCACUGCCCUGCCGUGUUGAAAUAUAUUGUCCGCCUUCCUCCAUCAGAUCGAUCUUUUAGCCGUGCCCCGGGAAGAGGGGAUUAAUCGCUCCGGAGGCGGCGCGCUGCGGAAGUGAUGGAGAAAACCUAUGAUUGACGUCGUGAGACUAACCGUUCUAAUACCAUGUAAAUCCCGAUUAUCCUCAAUUCCGGUGAAGAAAUCAUCAGAAAUUGGUGCAAACGGCCAAUCAUCGUGUUGGUACAAGCUACACGCACUAGAUCGGCACCGGCCUUCAACCAAGGCGCAUCAUCCCUGGUGGUUCAUCGACGCCGACUGUGCGAAAUCAACCACACACGGCGGCCUGCACACUCGACACCCGACACGCAUGGGGGCGCUACAAGAUUCGUCUCAGCUUAGCGUAUGCAUAUGCGGCUACGAAGCACCGGGUCGUCCACCAGGGAAGUCUGGAAUCCCAGGAGGGCGAUUUUCCAAGCCAGACGUGGACAUCGGCGAGACACCACCGGCUGCACCGAGCAUUACACCUGCACCAGCCGCAUGAAUCGAUCACGGGAGGGCGAACCGGUACGAGCUAUCGAGCGUCCGAGUCUUCCCAGAGUCGAUCCCGUGAUCUUCGUCGAGCAGGUCAGAUUCGCGUGGCUUCUUCGCAGCUCAACGUCGUACGGGCGGCGCGUGCACGAUCCAGAGCAGGCGCACGGCGACCCCAUGCGCUGGAGCAGCCAGCUUCAACCACGCGGCGCCGCGACUCCAUCCAGCCCAGGCACAAGUCGACUUCGACCAGGCUCAUCCACGCCACAUGCAUGGACGUGGUUUCAGCGAUGGGGGCUUCGGCCAGAUGUGGUCUCUGACUCGCUGCAGCUCCAACCGGCCUCCUGCUCACGGACACCGCCCGCGCGCUAGGCGCACACGCUACGAACACCUGAGCUGACCCAGCAGAGGUCCAUCGCAGAGAAACUUCGAGCACGCGACAGCAUCAGACUGCAUCACGGGCGGGCACUACACCAGCAUCGGCCACGGGUGUACCGAGCACGACUACAUCAUCACGAUCUGCACCAGAUUAUUCUUCAUCAAGCCGAAUCACUGCACCGAAUUGUAUGACUACGCCAGGCUACGGGUACGACACGGCAUGGACAUCUAGCGUUUUUUGACAGAUUUUUAUAUAAGACGCAACCUCGACGACGGCAACUACUGCGUCACAAUCGACGACAUCGACCGUGUCAUCCAUGCCGGCGCGACUGCAUUGACAAGACGCCACUAGUGACGAUCCCUACACAUCCACACGGUUCUGGCAAAAUCAAUGUGUGCUCGACGUGUUUCCUCCGGUCCUGGCAAAACCUAUGGACUCAUCGCUAACGGCAUCCUCUGACAUCCGCAAGGUGCAUCGUCCACGACUGCCGCUCCGUCAUCUACAACGUAGUGCAUUUUUUUGCGCCUCCGACUUUGUGCGGUUUCAUCAUCCACGACUACAUCAUCAACCACGACUUCCUCAACUACGGCUACAUCGUCAUCGACAUAUGUGGCUACGUCUACAACUACUCAUCGACAACAACUAUAGUCAACAUCGUCCGCCUUGUCACUUGCGUCCACGACACUCCCGCUGUGGCUGCGGGGGGGAAUAGAGGAGAAGACUAGGAAGGCACCAGAAGGGGACGCAGUCACCGCCCUAGGUGCCGACCCAUCAGCCAUCACAGACGUAGUUGAUGAUGGUGCAGCAGAGAAGACGACAGAAGCGCAAGACUUCAAAUUCAGUCGCAAUCGUCUGCUUCACUCCCGCUAUGACUAAGGGGGAGUGUUAGAAGUAUAAUUAUGUUUAAGUUAGAGGUUAGGAGUUGGAGAUAGGAUUGGUUUAAAUCAUGUACAUCUUGCCCUCUACUCCAAGUCUCUUCCGCAUAUUGUACUCUAUAGAUACCCCUACGUAGGUCAGAUCAAAACAACACAGAAAUAUUAGUCAUCCUAUAUUUUCUACACGCCACACGCCAGGUCGUAUGUCAAGGUCGAUACCUGUAGGGGUACUGGGAGACGGCCACCCCGCUUCCUUGGUCGGAUGCGCACCUGCCCAAUGGAUCAGGUGUCUGUGCCAGCCGCCCAGCAAGCGGCCGCGCCCGCCUCAUGGAUAUCAACUACCGGUGACGUCAGAUCCCGGUGCAUCUCCUCGAUGACCCAAGGUGCGACGUGGACUCGCCCCUUUGGGAUACAUGAUUUUGGGAUGAGCACGGCAUGUUGCGGCAGACCUAUUUUGCCAGCCAUGCUCAAAGCCCUCCACCGGCGCACGCACCCCGUGAGCGUCCUCCCAGCCCUCCCCGUGUGUACGGGCGUGCCAGGCCGCGCGCAUACGCCCUCGCCUCCCCCGCCACACCACAUCAACCGAUGACGGCCGAAGAGGAGGAGCUGGUGAGGAAGGUGCUUGAGGACUCCGGGAGGGAGUAUGAGCAGAGCUAGCGAGAGCAGUGAGACGACCUUGAGGUGCAGAUGGCACUGUCGGCCGCGGGUGAUGUCGCUAUCCCGGAGCUUGAGGGGAUGGAGGAACCGGACGACGCAAAGCCGCGAUGGAAUCCGGCGGCGGUGGGCCAGCACUGGUCGUGGACUUCGACCGUGCCGUGUACGCCGGAGAUGGUGUCAGCGCCGGUCGUGUGGGUUGGGACCGAUACAUGGUCACCGUCCCGCGUGCCGCCACUGUCCCAGCAGUGCAACCACCGCAGGCGCCACCAUCUCACCUGUGGUAGCCACCUCCCUUCAUCAAUGUUGGAAGGCAAUGCAACUCUCGAUAUUGAUCGGGUGCACAACGCACGUAUAUAUGUAUAGUCUAGCAAAUAACCUCAUCUAUAUAAGGAAACUAGUGGCGGGGCCGGUAGGAGAUUAUCCUAACCAUAUGCAUGUGUAAGGGCCUACGUAAUAUGUUCAACACCCCCCUCGUAGUCGACAGGUCACUUGUGACACAUAGACUGGACCGUAACUCCUCAAAUGUAGGCGUCGGUAACCCCUUGGUCAUGACAUCAGCAAACUGCUGAGCGGUGGGGACAUGAAGAACACAGAUGCAUCCAGGAGCCACCUGCUCACGCACGAAGUGGAUGUCGAGCUCAAUGUGCUUCGUGCGACUAUGAUGAACGGGGUUGGCGGAGAGGUAGACAGCAGAGACGUUGUCGCAGUAGACAAUGGUGGCCUUGGACACGUCAAGGAGCAACUCCUGGAGUAGCUGGCGAAGCCACGAGCACUCGGCAACGGCAUUGCCCACAACGCGAUACUCAGCCUCGGCACUGGAGCGGGAUACCGUGGGUUGUCGUUUAGACGACCACCAUAUAAGCGAAGGUUCGAGGUAGACGCAGUAGUCAAAAGUGGAGCGCCGUGUGUCGGGGCAGCCAUCCCAAUCAGUGCCACUGUAGGUAACAAGGUUAGUCGAGGACGAGGCCAUCAACGUAAGACCAAGAGCCAUAGUGUCACGGAUGUACUGAAGAAUCCACUUCACUAGGUUCCAGUGAGCAUCACGAGGAGCAUGCAUAUGAAGGCACACCUGCUGAACGGCAUACUGCAAGUCGGGCCGAGUGAGCAUUAAGUAUCGGAGGGCGCCGAUGAUGGAGCGGUAGAAGGCGGCAUCCGGCGCCGGCGAGCCAUCAAGUGCAGAAACCUUGGCCUUCGUGUCGAUAUGCAUGGGGACAGGCUUGCAGUUAACCAUGCCUGCUCGCUCAAGCAGCUCCUACGCAUAAUAUUGCUAAUGAAGAAAGAACCCAUCGGCACGCUGCACCACCUAUCCCGAGGAAGUAGUGCAACGAACCAAGAUCCUUAAUGGCGAACUCGAUGCUGAGGCGCGCGGUGAGCUGGCGAAGAAGCUCAGUCGAGGAGGCCGUCGGGAUUAUGUCGUCGACGUAGAGGAGCAGGUACGCAGUCGCAUGGCCCUGGUGAUACACAAACAACGAGGCGUCGGAGCGAGUAGCUCAAAACCCAAGUUGUUGUAGGAAGGCGGUAAUGCGCUGGUACCAUGCUCGCGGUGCCUGCUUCAACCCAUACAAGUAGCGGGAGAGCAAACACACAUGAUUCGAAUGAGCAGCAUCGACGAAUCCAGUAGGGUGCUGAUAGUAAACCUGCUUGGCAAGGUGACCAUGCAGAAAGGCAUUAGAAACGUCGAUCUGAUGUACCGACCACGCGCGAGACAUGGCUAGCUGGAGGACAGCAUGAAUCGUGCCCGGUUUCAUAACCAGAGUGAAGGUGUCGGUGAAGUCAACUCCAGCACGCUGACGAAAGCCACGCACCACCUAACGAGCCUUAUAUCGAUCAAGGGACCCGUCGGGACGAGCCUUAUGGCGAAAGACCCACUUGCCACUGAUGACAUUGGCAUGAGGUGGCCGAGGAACAAGCUGCCAAGUGCGGUUACGCAGGACCGCAUCGAACUCUUCCUGUGUCAUAGCUAGCCAGCGAGGAUCACGGAGAGCGUCUUGAGAUGACGAUGGAAGAGGAGACGACUUAGAGGUCGAGGCGGUGAGAAGGUACUCGUCCGCGGAGUAGCGCGUGCUGGGGUAAUGGAUGCCUGCCCGGGCAUGUGUAAGCAUGCGUGGCGGUGCGGCCAGUGGAUCAACUAAGGGCAAGGUCAAAGAAGAGCCCGUCGGGAUCUCGGCUAGGGAAAUCAAGGAGCCAGGAUCAGUUGCAGGCGCCGCGCUAACUGAUGGGGCUACAGACUCGAUGGGUGAAGAGGGCGCCGAGGGCACUGUGGCCACGGAGCCAGCCAUCGGGGAGGGUGCCAGUGAUAGGCUGACUGGGACAACCGAAGAGCCUGGCGUGGUAGCCGCGGGAGUCGAGCCCGGCGCGGGGGACCCCAAGGAGACCGCGGGAUGGGGCGACGAAGGAUCCCUUGAAGGAGCCCGACCUGUGGUGAAGGCGGGUGUCUCGAAGUCAGGAGGCGGCCCAAGCACCGUGCAGGAGCACCCACCAUGAGGAUCAGGUGGAGGGGCUCUAGAGGCCGGGGUCGAUGGCGGCGAGGCGGCAGCUGUAGGUUCCUAGUGAAAUGGAAAAAUCCUCCCAUCAAAGUACAUGUGUCGUGAGGUGAACACGCAGUGGGAAACUAGAUCGUAACAUCGGUAGCCUUUGGUGUUUGGUGGGUAUCCGAGAAAGAUGCAUGCCAGGGAGCGAGGAGCGAGUUUGUGAGGAGUGGUGGAGGCAAUGCUAGGAUAGCAGAGACACCCAAAAACACGAAGAUUGUCAUAAGAAGGAGGGGCACCAAAAAGAAGAUAGUGUGGCGCAAAGUUCCCACGAGCACGACAUGGGCGAAUAUUAAGGAGAGAGGCGGUGGCUACGACGUCCGACCAAAAGUGGGGUGGGACAUUAGCGUGGAAGAGGAGGGUGCGAACGCAGUCGUUAAGAGUGCGAGGAACCCGUUCGGCGCGACCAUUUUGUUGGGAGGUGUAUGGCAAGUAAGACAAACAAUCGUGCCAUGUGUGGCAAGAAGGGUGCGAACACCAAUGUUAUCGAACUCCUUCCUAUUGCCGGUUUGAAACACAUGAAUGAGACACCCAAACUGCGUAGUGACAUAGGAGUAAAAUGUGGUAAGAACGAAUGUCGGUGGGAAACGACACCUAUGGGAUCACAAGAAUCCUUACUACGGUUGUCGGGGCGCAGGGCUGUGAGAAGAGUAGGAUUAGCAAAUCAGCACAAGGAUCGUUUACCCAGGUUCGGGUCGCGAGGAUGCGUAAAACCCUAGUCCUGCUUUGGUGGAUGUAUUGAGUGUUCUUGAGCUCUUGAACUAGCUACCGUGGCUGCGUGGUUCCAAAGAGCCGAAUCCCUCUCCAGUACGCCAUGGGCCUCCUUUUAUAGUCGAAAGGGGCUGCCACAGUGGCACACAGGAGGUGGAAAGGCCUAUAGUGCUUUGAGCUUAUCGCUCGUAUUACAGGACAAGACGCAUUUAAUGCGUAGCUUAGGUGUCCCCUUGAUUUAUUGGGGACGGGAGCGAGGCCCGUCCCAUCCGUCGCCACUCUUCCUCGCUUUGACACGCGCCCUGGCCAGCGAUGCAUGCGGUGCCAUGUAGGCAGGCAAGUAGCUGAGGUGGCGCGAUGGUGGAGCCUUCACGAAGAUCUGCAUGCCGCCACGCAGGCGUGUGCUUAGUUGGCCUGGAAGCUGCAUGUUGCCACGUAGGUGCCUGCCCAGCUGGUUGGGCUGGCAGCUGCAUGCGAACGGCAGUGGAGACUUGGUCGGUGCGGGCCUAGCUGUGGUCCCGCUGACGCCCUUGGCAAGGGUCUUGCCGGGUGGCCCGGCAAGGGUCUUGCCGUGGCGCGCUGUCGUCCCUGGCAAGGAUCUUGCCAGGGGUCUUGCGGGUUCCCUCGGCAAGGAUCUUGUUGAGGGUCAUUGCCUUCCAAUCCUCAUCCGAUCUUGAAUAUUCUUUGUCUUCACAAAGAUCUGCAUACCACCACGGAGGUGCCUCCAGAGCCCUGGCCCAACGUGGUUUAUGGUGUUGGAGACCGUGGGUUCGAGGGUGGCUCACUCCGCUGGUGUGGGCGAGCCACCCCGGCAAGGGUCUUGCCGGGGCUGCUGAGGCUGCCCCGGCAAGACCGGGAAACCUGCUUCGUCCAUCUGCUCUCUGUGGUCUCGGUCGUUGGCGUUGCUUUGACCAUCUUGUGGCUCCGACUCCUCCCUUUUGCCCUGCUAAGUGAGGCUUCGGCCUGUGGCUCUGAUUUCCUAUCUCCGCCCUACUAAGUGUGGCCGUGGGCGUGACUUUGACUGCCCGUGCACAAAUAAGGGGUACAAAAGAGCGCCCCUAUUUUAAUACACCGACAGGAGCCCCCGGGCCUGGUCCACACAUAAGCGCGACACGUUGUUGGGCCAGGCCCAGAACGGUGCGCGGGCAGGUGGGGAGGUUUUUACCGCGAUAUCUUUUCCGCCGCGCUUCCCCAUGACCUGUGUUGAAUGCGAGACGUGGGGGUCGCGCGCGCGGGUGAUCGAAGCACGCUUGCGUCAUCUUGUGGUGAACAGUAAAGAGGCGGCUUGCGUGUCCCUUCGAGACCGUGGGGCCACCGCUCAUUUACUGUCCUUACCUGGGAACCGUCGCUCCACGCGUCCCAUUACCCCGUCUCCCGUGCCACGUAUGCCGCAUGCAUGACGCAAAGCGAAUGACAAGCCUGCGGGAUACGGGAAGACGUGCAAAUGUGGGUCGAUUCCCACGCGCCUUUAAUUGGGCGGGGAGGGCGGUCGACGGCCUUGCCCGCUGUCACCUUUAAUGAGCCGGAUUGGCCACGAGGGGCGGCCGAGCCCCACCCCCAUCUCUUUAUAAGGAGGGGAGCGAGAGGAACGGCGCCUCCCAGUCCCUCAUCAUCCGCCUCUCCCCAUCGCUGCUCCUUCCUCUCUUCUAUCAUGGCGAGAGGGCGCGGUGAGGCUUCAUAGGUGGCAGCGAGGGUCUCUUCCCGACAAUGCGUCGCUCCUCCCCAAGAGCUCGUACCGGCGGAGCCAGCCGUUAGAGGGAGGGGAAGGGGGCGAGGUCGAGGCCGUCGCGGCGCUCGAGAAAGAGGAGGACGGGGCGGCAGAUCGGCCUCGCCUCCGCCAGUGGCCCCUCCCCCGGUGGAGGGCCGCGUCGAGGAUAACCCUUACGAGUUCUUCAUUAGGCUGCGCCAGCCGUCGCGCCGUCGUCUUCGCCUCCCGAUCCCAUUUGUGCGGGGAUGGAGCUGGACCCGCCGCAUGCGCUACGGCUGCAUAUGAGGGGUUGUGGGAACAGCGGCACAUGGGCCGGUGUCGAGUUCCCCGCCCCUCACGUCAUGUAUCUUCGCUGAGGGUGGAAGACUUUUGCCCGCAUCCACAGCCUGACGGAGGGGCUCACUCUCCAUUUCAAAUUAAUGGAGAGCGGCCUCCUCUCUGUCAAGGUCUUUGGGCACUUAGGGACUCGCGUAAGGUGCUGCGUGGAGAGCUCCUCUGACGAUGAAGAUUCCUCCUCGAGCGAGAGUGGCGAGGAGGACAGCGGCAACGGCGACGAGGGUAGCGGGCGGCAGGAUGACGGGUCCGACUAAGAGUCGGGCGCCACUCCGGGCGACACCGGCGACCCCAUCAUCCAUGUCACCGGCUCCUUGAACUUCUCGGGGUCGCCUCCUUGGGCGGCUGGCAUAGGGAGGCCGGAGAAGGUGAAGAAGGCGGGUGGCGGGCCGUCAAGUCGGAGUACGAUGACACCGACGCCUUCAUAGCGUAUUGACGGACCGCUGCCUCACCUUCCAGCUCUUCCUCCGGCGCCACCACUGCCAACCCUCCCCUAGGCGACCACCGACAUGUUCUCUUGGCGCCUUCUGCUGCUCGUACCUCGCCUAGGCGCUCCUUCUGCCCUUUUGCCUUCUUGUUUCAUUUCCUGAGGAGAGGGACAAGAAAGGGAUUACGGGCAUCUUAUCUUUUUUUUAAUUCGUAAGCCCACGGGCUUUAUUGAGAUCUAAAACCUGUAAUCUUCAUGUUCAUGUUUAUAUUCCGUAAAAGUGUACCUGUAUGGAACGUAUUAAUGGAAAAGGGGGCUUGCCGGGUCUUGUGUGUGCGUGUGGGCAAAGCCCAUACCAAGGAACAAAUCCUUGUUAUUUAUAAUAUAAACACCACUGCCCGACAGCAGGUCUUGCCGUUCCCCCACUCCGUUCGUCCAUACUCACGCCUUUGGCGGAGGCAGGGACGAGGUGGGGGUGGGCCCUACGCUUGCUUCCUUGCCGCCGCGGCUACAACCAUAUUCCUAACCAAGAAGCUCUUGGGUGAUAGGAACGAGGGGAGCACGACAGCUUUGGAACAAAACAAGGUUCCGUACGUCCCAAGUUUUAUACGGAAAUGCACGACAGGGAAUGGGAAAACUUAUCUGAAUCUGCAGCCCUCGGCAACCCUGACUUGCCGUGGGUGGGCCCUCGUGUCUUUAGCCUUCGGCAAGCUUGGCUAGCCGGGUCCGGAGCGCCGGCUUGUUCUCUUCCUUCCACUUGGCUUGGCGGAAACAUUUAUGUACCCUGCGCACCAAAGAGGAUAGAUAGGAAUAAAAUGACACAAGAUCGACCUCUAUGCUAGGGGUUAGUCGCCGCUAAGCACUACCAACCCUAACCGAGGGAGGGACUCAAUCUAGCAUGCAUGCUAUAACUUAGGGCGCCAGCGCUUCGUUUAUUUAUGCUCAGGGUCUGCGUCUGGCUUUGUACAAAGGGUUACAUGCCUUAUCAGCAAGGCUUGUACAAAAGGUGGCUUGCCGGGAGGCCCGACAGCCGUGCCUUAUGGUUAAAACUUGCGAAGAUGCUCGAUAUUUCAGGAAUUGCUCACUGGAAUGGCAUCUUCGGUCUCCAGGCGGACUGUGCCGGGCUUGGUGACUCAUGUUACCCGAUAAGGGCCUUCCCACUUUGGCGUCAACUUGUUGGAAUUCUUGGCCGACUGAAUAUGUCGAAGAACAAGGUCGCCUUCCUCAAAGCUCCAGGCAUGAACCUUGCGACUAUGGUAGCGGCGCAAGGCUUGCUGGUAGCGUGCUGCUCUCACAGCCGCCCGGAGAUGAUCUUCCUCAAGGAGCGUUGCGUCAUCUUGCCACAAUCGCUCUUGCUCAAGCUCAUCAUAAGCGAGCACUUGAGCUGACCCGUAUAUGAGUUCCGUGGGGAGAACUGCUUCUACCCCGUAGACCAGGGCAAAGGGUGUCUGGCCGGUGGCUCGAUUUGGUGUCGUUCUGAUCGACCAAAGAACCGCCGGCAACUCGUCAAUCCAGCGCCUUCCACUCUUGCGCAGCCUGUCAAAAGUCUUCGUUCUUAAGCCUCACAGAACUUCAGCAUUUGCUCUCUCUACUUAGCCUUUGCUCCGUGGGUGUGCCACGGAAGCAAAACAGACCUUGCUGCCGAGAUCCUCAAUGGACUGCAUGAAGGCGUGGCUUGUGAACUGUGUGCCAUUGUCGGUGAUGAUCAUGUUGGGUACACCAAAACGGCAAACUAGCCCCUUGAAGAACUUGAUGGCUGACUGCGUUGUCACCUUCCUCACUGCUUCCACCUCUGGCCACUUUGUGAACUUGUCGAUUGCAACGUACAAGUACUCAAAGCCCCCGAUGGCACAAGGGAAAGGGCCCAAUAUGUCGAGCCCCUAGACCGAGAAGGGCCAGGAGAGAGGGAUGGUUUGAAGGGCUUGAGCUGGUUGAUGAAGCUUCCUUGAAUGGAACUGGCACGCUUCACACUUGGUUACUAGUGCUGUCGCAUCCUGGAGGGCAGUGGGACAGAAGAAACCUUGCCGGAAAGCCGUGCCAGCAAGGGCCCUCGACCCUAUGUGGGAGCCACAUAUGCCUCCAUGUAUCUCUGCCAACAGCUCUAGUCCUUCCUCCCGGGAGAUGCACUUCAAUUUCACCCCAUUCGGUCUUUUUCUGUACAAGAUGUUAUCAACGAAUUGGUACAGAGUAGACCGGUGGGCUACUCUCUCUGCCUCUUCCUGCUCCUCAGGAAGCUCUCCUUUUUGGAGGAAUCGGACGGUGUGCUGCGCCCACGCCGGAGCCCAUGGCUCGAUGACAAGGACCGAAGGCAUCUCUUCCGCCACGGGAGCGGCCAUCUCUACGGCCAUGGCCUGAGGCCCUGCCGGAGUCGGUUGCCCCGCGGCAGGAUCGGCAUCGACGGCAACAUCUUUGCCGGCGGCUCCGGGGAGCUCGGUGGGGAAGUACUUGCCGGGGCCUAGCUUCCUCCGCUUGUUCUGCCUGGUUGAUGGUUCGACGGAUGGUUGAGUUAACCGAAGCACAAAAGUACCUGGUUCCACAGGUAGCUUGAGGGCAAUGCGCUUUGACAGGCAGUCGGCGAUGUCGUUUUCCGUCUGAGGGACAUGCUCUGCUCGUAUACCGUCAAAGCGCUCCUCUAGUUUCCUCACUUCAUCCACGUAAGCUUCCAUUAGUGGGCUUUGAUAAUCUUUGUUGAUCUGCCUGACGACGAGCUGCGAAUCACCCUGACGAUGAGCUUUUUGACUCCGAGGUCCGCCGCAAUCCUGAGACCGGCGAGCAGGCCCUCGUACUCGGCGGUGUUGUUAGUGGACAUCUCUCGGGGAAAGUGCAUUUGGAUGACAUACUUGAGGUGCUCUCCGGUGGGUGCGACAAGCAGCACACCAGCACCGGCGCCUUGCACCGAGAAAGCCCCAUCAGAGUACAUGAUCUAGUUGCGGCUCGUUUCCUUGCCGGGGAGAGUGGUCUCAUGUACCUCUUCAUCAGGCGUCGAGGUCCAUUAUGCAAGGAACUCCGCGAAGACUUUGCUCUGAAUCGUCCAGGUGCUUUCGAACUUUAAACCGAAACUUGACAGCUCCAGGGCCCAUUCCACGAUCCUCCCCGUUGCAUCUAGGUUAUGCAAUAUCCGUUGCAACGGGAGGCGGGUGACCACGGUGAUCUCGUGCGCUUGGAAGUAAUGACGCAGCUUCUUCGAGGCCAUAAGGAGGCCGAAGAGAAAUUUUUGCACACCUGAGUACCUCAACCUAGCCCCCUGCAAGAGGGAGCUGACGAAGUAAACUGGGUGAUGCACCAUUUUCUUCUUCCGCGCCACUUCACCUAGUCAUGCGGGCCCUGUCGCACUGGCGUCAGCCUCUGCCGGUGACUCGGUCUUGCAGGAACCGAGCCCUGCCAGAGAGGGUUUCGGCUCGUGAUCCGUUGACUCUACCGCUGCCGCUGCCUCUUCAUCGACCUCUCUCUGCGCCACCAGUGCGGCGCUAACCACCUGAUUCGCCGCCGCUAGGUACAGCAACAACCGUUCUUGUGGCUUGGGCGCAAACAGCACUGGAGUAGAGGAGAGGUACUUCUUCAAAUCCUGCAGCGCUGCCUCGGCCUCUGGGGUCCACUCCAUUGGGCCCGUCUUCUUCAAGAUCUUGAAAAAGGGAAGGGCACGCUCCGCGGACUUGGAGGUGAAUCUGCUCAUGGCGGCAAUGCAACCAGUGAGUCAAUGCACGUCUUUGAUCCGUUUAGGUGCCUCAAUCUGUUCGAUGGCCUUGAUCUUAUCUGGGUUUGCCUCAAUCCCGCGCUGCGACACAAAGAACCCGAGAAGCUUGCCGGACGGGACAUCGAAGACACACUUCUCAGGGUUCAAUUUGAGGUUGAUCUUGCGCAGGUUUGCAAAUGUUUCCUCCAGAUCUUGCACAAGUGUUGCUUUGUCCUUGGUUUUUACCACUAUGUCAUCCAUAUAAGCUUCCAUAUUUCUAUGUAGCUGGGGCUCAAAACCAAUUUGGACUGCUCUUGCAAAGGUCGAGCCAACACUCUUCAACCAAUACGUACCACAUGGGGUGAUGAACGUUGUCUUCUCCUCGUCUUCUUUUGUCAUGAAGAUCUGGUGGUACCCUGAGUAGGCGUCGAGGAAUGAUAACAGGUCACACCCGGCCGUGGAGUCAACAAUCUGGUCGAUGCGUGGUAACGGGAAGGGAUCCUUUGGACAAGCUUUAUUGAUGUCUGUGUAGUCAAUACACAGUCACCACUUCUCGUUUGCCUUGCGCACCACUACCGGGUUGGCCAACCACGUCGGAUGGAGCACCCCCCCCCCUUACCAAGCCUGCCGCCUCUAGUUUUCUGAUCUCCUCCGUGAUGAACUCCUGCCUCUCUAGAGCUUGCUUCCUGACCUUCUGCUUGACGGGCCGUGCGUGAGGACAGACAACAAGAUGGUGCUCAAUCACUUCCCUAGGAACGCCGGGGAUGUCGGAGGCUUGCCAUGCAAACACAUCGACAUUCGCCCACAGGAAAGUGACGAGCUCGCUUUCCUAUUUGCCAUCGAGGGUGGAACUUAUGGUAAAAGCUCCCCCCGUGCCAUCCUCCUUGACGGGCACCUUCUUGGUCUCUGGUGGUGCAGCUCUGGACUUCUUGCUCUUGCCGGUGGAGCUCUCUGGCACGUCCUCAAUGGGAGUGCAACACCCCGAAGAGGUGCGCUUGCCGGAGUGGGUGCGAGGGGUCUUGUCGGUCUUUUUCCCUCCCGGGACUCCGUCGGCAGGAGCGGGUGCCUUGGCGGCAGCCUCUGCAACUGCUUCCCGUAGAGUUGGUCGGCGCAAAUCAACGCAUCUUUCUUGUCGGAGGGGACGGUGAUGAUGUUCAUCGGCCCGGGCAUCUUCAGCAUGUUGUAGGCGUAAUGUGAAGUCGCCAUGAACUUGGCUAGUGCCGGGUGGCCGAGGAUCCCGUUGUUGGGCAAGGGGAUCUCGGCUACAUCAAAGACAAUCCUCUCUGUCUUGUAGUUCAGCUCGCCUCCAAACGUCACGGGCAGCGUGACCUUUCCCUUCGUCUGGCUCCUCCCCGGGUUGACCCCUUGGAACAUGCCCAUCUCCUCGAGGUCUCCAUCAGGGAUCUGCAGCCUCUUGAUCACAACAGGCGAGAUCAAGUUCAGACCGGCCCCGCCGUCAACUAGCAUCUUCGUCACCUUGAGGUUACGGAUUGUUGGUGAGACCAACAACGGCAAGCAUCCAACCGCAGUAGUGCGGUUAGGAUGGUCCUCGGUGUCGAAGAUGAUAGGCGUGCUGGACCACUCCAGCAGCUUCCGUGCGUCAAGCGACGGCUCCACCGCUGUGAUCUCACGCGCCCACUGCUUGAGCUGGCGGUGGGAUGUAUGCAGCGAGGCGCCACCAUCGACGCACAUGGCUUCUGUGGCUUUCUGGAACUCGUGGUCGCCGGACUCACCGUCCUCGUCGUGAUCAUCGUCUUCCUGCUUCUUGUCGCGGCCCCGGGCGGGCCUCUCCUGCUGAUUAUCUUUGUCGCGGUGGCCUCCUUGGCCGCCACGCUUCUUGCCGGAUCCCUCGGCACCCUCUUGGCCCUUCUCAUUGUCUCGCUACUCAUACUCAGCUUUCUGCUUCUCAGCGAGUAGCUCCACUUGCCGGCAGUUCUGGAGGUCAUGGCCCUUGGUGCAGUGGAUCUUGCAAUACUGCUUGUCGGAGCCCCCUGGCUUAUCGGCAGCCACCAAGGCCCGGCAAGCGACACACCUAGCAACCUCCUUGCUAGGGUCGCUCGCCUUGGGUUUCUUGGUGGCGCCGGUAUCGUCGGACCCCUCGACGGCAAGCACGGUCUUGCCCUUGCGCUUCCUGUUACGGCGCCGGCCCUUCUUCGCCGGGGUGGCGGUAUCAUCCGUGGAGUCGGUUUCCGCGCCGACGUCUUCGUCGGGGUACUUCCUUCCCUCUUCAGCGCGAGUGCACCGAUCGGCUAGAACAUAAAGCUCGACCACAUCCUUGACCUUGUUCAUCGCCAGCUCCUCACGCAUCUUGCGAUUGCGCACAUUCUGAUGGAAUGCGCUGAUCACGGCGGCAGGAUGAACAUCGGGAAUGUUGUACUGCACCCGGCUGAACCUUUGGAUGUACUUAUGCAAGUUUUCUCCUUCUUUCUAGGGGAUGAUGUGCAAGUCGCUCGCCUAGCCAUGAGCUUGGUGGCCCCCAGUAAAGGCACCAAAAAACUCAUGACACAGAUCCGCCCAAGAAGAAAUGGAGUCCACCGGCAAGUGCAUCAACCAUGACAUAACAUUAGGCUUGAGUGCCAGCGGGAAGUAAUUGGCAAGCACCUUAUCGUCGCGGGCCCCAGCAGCUUGCAUCACGAUGGUGUAGAUGCUGAGGAACUCCGACGGGUGAGUCUUGUCGUUGUACUUCUCGCCAACAUCGGGCUUGAACGUGCGGUGGGAGGUCCACUGGAACUGCCGCGGCUCACGGGUGAAGGCCGGGCAACCCACCUCGUAGGGUAGGCCACCGUAGCCUCCCGGUGUUGGGUGGUCCGUAGUGGGCCCUGCCCGCCUGUCCGACUGGUGGCGCGCGUCAUGCCGGCGCUCGAUGGUGGUUCGAGCGUCUUCAUGAGCUCGCUCUCGAAGAACUUGGCGUUGGUCGCGGUGGGUUUGCGGAUCGGACGACGCUAUGGAGAUAUCAUCACGAGCAUCGUCGCGACGGACCGACACCCGCGGUGGCCUGUAUGGAGGAGGGGAGUGCAUCGUGGCCACAUCACCUCCGACCCGACCUCUAUUGGCGUGCAGUGGCUCGUCGUAGCAACGGUCGACGGGUCCCACCGGCCGCAACUCAUCAUUGUUAGCGAUGCCGAUGAGGCUCCAGACGAUGGCCCUCCAUUCAUCAAGCUUCUCCGCAGCGGGAGGAAAGUCAAGGAGCAGUUGUGCACGUGCUAGGGCUUCUGUUGGCGUGGGCGGCGGCGAAAGCUGUGUGGACCGCGAUGCGCUUCGACUUCUAACCGCGUUAGAAGGAGCCCCAUCAUGGCCCCGCAGCCGUCUGCCACCUCUGCCAGCACCUCGGUGCGCAUGCUGGCCCUCCUCAUCAUGUGAAGGGCGCAUGGGACUCUUCCCAGGGCAGCGCCCAGGGUCACCAGCAGGGCGGCGUUGCUCAUCGCGCACGACCUGCGAAGAGCGCACCAUGGGCGCCGGUAUUGGUGUCUUGGAAGUCGCCGUGCCGCCGUCUGGCGGCACGACGACGCCCUUGGAGGGCCCCGUGCCGCCUGCGGGUGGCCCGACUCCGUCUCUGGAGCUUGCGACGCAUGGCUUGUCGCUUGGCGUAUGAACGACGCUUCUCACCAGGCCUGGACUGCCAGGGUGAUGUGGAUGUUCGCGGGCCGCUCCACGGGUUCUCUCCGCGACUGGCCCACUACUGGUCUGCACCGGUACUGGCAGUUCGGUCCCGGACGAACCGAUCGUCGUGGUCGUCUUCUUCUUAGGAUCCAUCGCGAUGAAGAACUGCUAGGCCAACUACUAGACCAGAUUCUCACAAUUGCGCCCCCUACCUGGCGUGCCAAAGAUGUCGGUGGGAAACGACACCUAUGGGAUCACAAGAAUCCCUACUACGGUUGCCGGGGCGUAGGGCUGUGAGAAGAGCAGGAUUAGCAAUCAGCACAAGGAUCAUUUACCCAGAUUCGGGCCGCGAGGAUGCGUAAAACCCUAGUCCUGCUUUGGUGGAUGUAUUGAGUGUUCUUGAGCUCUUGAACUAGCUAUCAUGGCUGUGUGGUUCCAAAGAGCCGAAUCCCUCUCCAGUACGCCAUGGGCCUCCUUUUAUAGUCGAAAGGGGCUGCCACAGUGGAACACAAGAGGUGGAAAGGCCUACAGUGCUAUGAGCUUAUCGCUCGUAUUACAGGACAAGACGCAUUUAAUGCGUAGCUUAGGUGUCCCCUUGCUUUAUUGGGGACGUGAGCGAGGCCCGUCCCGUCCGUCACCGCUCUUCCUCGCUUUGACACGCGCCAUGGCCAGCGAUGCAUGCGGCGCCAUGUAGGCAGGCAAGCAGCUGAGGUGGCACGGUGGUGGAGCCUUCACGAAGAUUUGCAUGCCGGCACGCAGGCGUGUGCUGAGUUGGCCUGGAAGCUGCAUGUUGCCACGCAGGUGCCUGCCCAGCUGGUUGGGCUGGUAACUGCAUGCGAACGGCGGUGGAGACUUGGUUGGUGCGGGCCUGGCUGUGGUCCCGCUGACGCCCUUGGCAAGGGUCUUGUUGGGUGACCUGGCAAGGGUCGUGCCGUGGUGCGCUGUCGUCCCCGGCAAGGAUCUUGCCGGGGGUCUUGCGGGUUCCCUCGGCAAGGAUCUUGUCGAGGGUCGUUGCCUUCCAAUCCUCAUCCGAUCUUGAAUAUUCUUUGUCUUCACAAAGAUCUGCAUGCUACCACGGAGGUGCCUCCCGAGCCCUGGCCCAACGUGGUUGAUGGUGUUGGAGACCGUGGGUUCGAGGGUGGCUCAAUCCGCUGGUGUGGGCGAGCCGCCCCGGCAAGGGUCUUGCCGGGGUAACCUGCUUCAUCCAUCUGCUCUCUAUGGUCUCGGUCUUUGGUGUUGCUUUGAUCAUCUUGCGGCUUUGACUCCUCCCUUUUGCCCUGCUAAGUGAGGCUUCGGCAUGUGGCUCUGAUUUCCUGUCUCCGCCCUACUAAGUGUGGUCGUGGGCGCAGCUCUGACUGCCCGUGCACAAAUAAGGGGUAGAAAAGAGCGCCCCUAUUUUAGUACACCGGCAAUGAAGAGCGCAUCGUAUUUUCUCCACAACAGGAAGGUCCACACAUAAUGCGAAAAAUCAUCUAGAAUAACAAGAUAAUAGAGAUAGCCCGUAUUACUAGCAACUGGAGAUGUCCAUACAUCACUAGGAAUCAACUCAAAUGGAUACGACGCCACUGAUGAGGACGUGCUAAAGGGAAGGCGAACAUGCUUGCCGAGAUGACAGACAUGACAAGUAUGAUAAUCGAUUUUAUUACACGUGGACGAAAAACUCCUAAGAAUAUGACGAAGGGUGGGCAGGGUUCGGAUGACCCAAGCGAGCAUGCCAAAGGUCCACGGUGACGGAGAGGGCGACUGGAGUAGUGGCGGAGGAGUGGAUCGGGUAGAGCUUGUCCGGGCUAUCACAUUGGUGGAGCACAAUCCGGGUAUGGGCGUACUUGACAAAAAAACAAUAUUGUCAAAUUCAAUGGCGACAGUAUUUUCACAUGUAAAAGAACGAACAGAGACAAGAUUUUUGAUUAAGUAAGGUGAAACAAGUACGUUAGAUAAGGGUAAAGGCGUGGAUGACGACGGAAAAGAGGCAUGGCCUACAUGAGUAAUGGGAAGGGAAGAACCGUCCCCGACAGUUAUACGAGUGGACGUAUUAACGGGAUAUGAAGAGGUGAGAUUACCGGGGUGGGGAGUCAUGUGGGCAGUAGCCCCGAUGUCCAUAUACCAGUCUCCUCCCCCGAUGUAGUUGUUGGGUGUCGAAGCGAAGUGGAGCGCUGCAAGGAGGGUCGGGUCCCAUGGAGCCGGCAGAAGGGCGAGCGCUGCAGCCAGGUAUGAGGGCUCCGCAGCCGGGUAGGAGGGCGCUACAUCGGGAUACCCCCCUAGCUGAUGAAGGCGGGGGCAGCAACAUAGGGUAACCGCCGGGCUGUUGGCCCUGGAUCCGUGCGGCGAGGAGGGCCUAAUGGGCACCCGAGUGAGCGCCAAGAAUGUCGGUGGGUACCGGGGUGCGUGGGAUGGACAUAGUGUACACAUGGACGACACCUGUCCGUGGGUUCGGCGCGGCGGCCCAAGGGGCGGUGGAAGCGGCUGGCAUGGCACCCCCCGACGUCAUUCUACUGUUGCUGCUUCCGUCCGCAAUGGCCACCGCGGUGGCGGUCAUUGCCGGCCGGUGGCGGUUGGUGUUGGUGAGGAAGGGCCGCGGCCGACGGUUGGUGUUGGUGAGGAAGGGUCGCGGCCUACGGCUGCUGUAGCGACGGAAAGUAGGAGGCAGACAACAUGGGAAACCGUGGUGGGGCGGGUGGGGCAGCGCCAUGAGAAGUCCUCGCUGCGAGCGCGGUAUGGGUAGCCCAAGACUUGACCAUCUUCAUCCUCCUCUUCUCUAGGCGAAGGUAGGCCACAACCCUAGGUAUGGUCGGGUUGGGGAGGAAGGUGAGAUUGGAGGUCGUGUUUCUGAACUCCUCACUCAGGCCGGUGGUGAGAGUGCUAAGGAGAAGCUCAUCGGAGACCUUGUCCCCAGGAUCACGAAGCUCAUUGACAAGUUUCUUAAGGCGCAUACAGUAGUCGUGGAUGGACGAGUCAUGUUGAUGGCAGCCAAAGAACUCCUGCUGAAGGAAUACGCGGUGCUGGAGGGCAUUGUCGAUGAAGGAGCCCAUUAAGCUUUGCCCACACAGCGUGCGCGUCAUCCUUGUCGCACACAAUAGUGUUGAAGAGGUCCUUCGAGAUGGUUUGAUAAAGCUAGUGGGUGAUGGUAGCGUCAAUGGUCAUCCAAUCAUCAUCACCGAGCAUGUGGGUGGUGCCAACGGAACCGUCAACAUGAUCUUGAAGAUGGUACUCACGGAACACUAGGGGAAAGUAAGUUUUCCAGGCGUAAUAGGUGGAGUUGGUGGAAUCAAGAACAGUGGGAACGCAACCGAAUAUGUCAAGAUCGCGGAUGAGUUAAACAAGAGGAGGAUCGGGACCGGCAAAGGGGUUCGAUCCGGCAGAGAUAGAGGAGUUGGUAGAUGCCAUCAGUUGGGGUGGGGGCGGUUGGCGCGGCGACAGAAGUUGCAGUAGCGCGAGGGCAGAGAGAUGGUGGCUUGCGCGAUCGGGUGGGGAGGGGCGAUCAAGGUGGGGAGGGGUGAUUGGGGUGGGGAUGGGAUGGGGUCAGGAGGAGGGAAGGAAGAGGAGACGGGGAGAGGUGCAAGCAACGGUGACAGGGGACGGCAGCAGCGGGAGGAGUGUGAUGGCGGCGGUAGCGGGGGGCGGCGGCAGCGGCGGCUGAGCGGAAGGUAGGAUUAGGAUUGGGAAGGGAAAACUGAUACCACGUUGGAAGGCAAUGCAACUCUCGAUAUUGAUCAGGUGCACAACACACGUAUAUAUGUACAAAUGUAGCCCACAACCUCAUCUAUACAAGGAAACUAGAGGUGCGGCCGGUAGGAGAUUAUCCUAACACAGGUAUAACAUGGUGCUAUACAAACGGUUUUUAACCCCUUUUUGGGACGGCAUUUUGAACUAUCGCCAAGUGAGUGUGCCCGAUGGGAGGGGUCCUUCCCACAUGACCCAAAAACCGUCGGGGAUAGGGAGCCAUGAUGCAUACAGUUGUCCCUAUAAAAUUGUUUCUGAUUCUCGAAUAUCCCAAACGCUUCAACCUUGCAACUCGUUUGUGCUCGCAUUGCCAUCGUGGUCGGUAUUUUGUGGUGCUACGUUUACAAUGCGCGACCCAUCACAAAUAGUUCAUAAUUAUAGAACGUGUAUGAUAAGCAGACAAUCACACGCAUUUACUUUUCCUCGACUGUAUGCGACUCGAUGUAAGAGCGCAUACAGUUAUCCCUAUAAAACUGCAUGCGAAGCUUGAAUAUAUCCCACACGAUUCAUCCGUCGUACCCGCGUCAGAUGAAGACCUAUCACACGCGUUCUUCUAUGACCCAAACGUUUGCGAUGCGAACAACAUCAUAAAAAAUCCAUAAUUUCCAAGUAUGUGUGAUAAGGUGACUUUCGCAAACAUUUAAUAAGAAGGAACUAUGUACAAUGAUGUUGUUAAUCGCACACGUUUUUUCUUAGCUGAUCGUGUGUGCAGUAGAGAUUGAUCGCACAUGUAGUGGAUCCGAGAAACGUGUCUGGUCUCCACGUUUAUCACACACAUUUUGCUUUCGCAAACCGUGUGCAGUGCAAUCCCUAAUUUAAUCCAUGCAUUUAAAAAUCACAGAUUUUUGAAUUUGAAAGUAGGCAAUCACUUAUUUCAUAUCAAACCAUGUUUAUUACAAAUAUAGGUUCAACAACGAAUGCAUAAUUCGAUGCACAGGUACAUCACUACUGCAGGAUGCUGCUAGCGUGACACUACGAUCAGAGACCCUUGGAGGAAACUAUGUGCGAUGCAUUAAUCGCAAACGAAGAUGUAAAAAACCCAUCAAAAAGGUGCAAAACGUUUGCGAUGGCGGAGCCAUCAAACACGGUUCAGAUUUUAGUUGCAUGUGCGAUGCAGGGCACAUGAUUAAUCCAUUCGAACUGUUUGCGAUGAGGCAGGACAACAGAAACGGGCAGUCAUAUAAAUCUGUGCGCAAUAUACGACAUAUAAUUUGCUCCGAUGAACUGUUUGCUAUUAGGGAGUGCAACAGAAAUGGUUAGCCAGAUCAAGGUGUGUGUGAUAUACGGCAUACAGUUCACUCGGACGAACAGUUUUCGAUUAGGGAACACAACAGAAAUGGUUCAACUUAACAAGAUGUGUGUGAUACGUGGCAAACAACCGACUCAGAUGAACUAUUUGCGAUGAGAAAUUACAACACAAAUGGUUAAAACAGUUAGUUUGUGUGCGAUUAUGUGUGUACAAAAAACUUUGGAAAAUGCAAACCAGUUAUUUGCGGUGGCUAGGAGUAUCGCACAUGAUGCGUCUGUGAGUACUCAUGUGCGGUGAUUAGUAAGUUACACAAAUGUUUCCUUGUGUUAACACGUGUGUGAUAAAUAACACGUGGCACCGGAUACGGUAUUCGGGUUGUGUGUGUGCUUCACUUAGUCUUCCUACGCUCCACAUGGGUGAAUUGUAAAAUCCACGCCUCUUUCCUCACCGGUUUCCCGCCACCAGCUAAGGGCUUGCUGCAUAUAACCCAGGCGGCAAUGCAUCAUCGUGACACUCUACAUAGAUCUAGUCCUCACGCAUCUACCAUUAGUUAUUCCAAGCAUGCCAGGCAACGACCAAAGCUUCGACAUCGACGCCUACCUGUGUUACAUCUUUGGCGAGGAGAACGAGCCGGAGCAGGUCGGGGAGAAAGAGCUUCAUCGGCUGGUGCAGGCACCAUGGCCCAUCGGCAGCGAUAUCGGCGUGACAGUCCUUGGGCGCACAAUCGACAUGUUGCAGAAGAGGUGUGAUGAGCAGUUUGCCAUCCACCGUGCAAAAGAUCCAGAGCUGCUCGGCUACAUGAUCGACGACCCACACAAAGAGCCGCCGUCACCAGUGCUCAUUGAGAGCCUGAUGCCCCACAAGAAAUGGGCAGAGGACCUCUGCGAUUCAGUCAAGAGACAGGAAGCCUACGGCUUCAUCAUUGCCCACGGUGGCCGUGUCAAUGUCGAUACCGAUGAUGUGGUGGCCAGGCUCGAGCGCAUCCUUGGCGGAGUUGACAUCCCAGACAAAGUAGAACAUCGCCAACGUGAUAUCUUGAGGAUGCAGGUGAUGGAUGAAAUUUGCUACCAGGUCAGAGACAUGGAAAUGGAGCGGUUUCGCGGAGAUAUCAUGCGCGCGAUUGCACGCUGUCAAGCUCUCCUGGAAGAGGCACAACAGCCCCAAGAGCCUCCCAGUGCCAGCAGCUCCGUAGGCGGAGGCGGGUCGGGACACUUGGAGUAAACGACCACAAGGGUGCUAUGCUGAUCAUGGAGGCCAAGAAGACCAUCGUCGGAAGGCCGCUAACUCAGCAUGUUAGCCUAUAUUUUAUUAUAAUUGUAUGCAUAUGUAUGUUGUGAGUGUUCUCGGCCUUGCCGCAUGUGGCAUUUUAAAUUAUACUGAAUAUGUAAAACAAUUAUUAAGAAUUAUUAACCGUUGCCAUUGUAAAUUUGCCUCAACGGUGAACAGAGCGCACACAGGGGCGCCAGAGCGGAGCGCGCUGUGGCCGCCUCAAUGGCGAGCAAAACACACAGACGGACGCGAGCAGAGUGCACCACGGCCGCCUCAACGGCGAGAAAAAUGCGCGGACGAACAUGAGCAGAGCGCGUCGCGGCCGCCUCAAUGUCAAGCAAAACGUGCGGACGGAUGCGAGCAGAGCGCGCCGCAGCCGCGUCAACGGCGAGCAACCACAUGGUCAACCUUCUGCCAUCAAUAAAUUUUGACCUUGUUUCUCGUCACAUUGCAGAUUACAACGCAAUAAGUAAUUGCAAAUCUGUUCACACCUAUCAAACUAAUAUGUGUUCACACUUAGCACCGGGCUAUAAAAACUACCCACUCGAAAAUUACUUCAUAGUUCCUCUCCUCAUCACCCACAAAACUGGUCUUUCCUGUCAAGUCGUUCCGCCAUGACCGAUAGGAGGAGUUUCGGGUGGACAUAUAACCAAGCAGAUAAGACCAAGGCCACGAAAGCACUAGAGAGGUCCCUUCGCGAAGCCGCAGUUGCAGCCGCAGCCGCAGCAGAGAUGUCCCGGCGCGCCACAGAGCCCUCGAACGAGCUCUCGCGGGCACGCAAGGGCUCUCACAAGCGCAUUCGCCGCGUAGGCGAUCGCGACGAACUGGUGUUUCUGAAGUCCUUGGCCAGCGACGACGACAUUCUCGCUGGCCUCAUUAAGCAGCAGGAGCUGGUCGACAGCUUGAUGAAGCUGCUCGAGAUCAGCGAUGCCUCGGUUGAUAAGGUGACCAGCCUUGUCGAGCAACUCAUGGGUGACAAUGCGAGCCUCCUCAAGGCGCUCACCGAGAAGGAGGAGGAGGCCGCCGGCUGGAAGAUGUUGCAUGAGCAGAGUAGUGCCUCGGGGAUGAUGCUGACAGUGGUCGUUGAGGAACUGAUGGGUGACUUGAGGAAGCUCCAGAUCGAGUGUGAGCAGGAGGUGGAGGAAUCCGUGGCUGCUUUCAGGCAAAGUCGUGAGGAAUUGAAGAAGGAGAUGGGGGAUGUCAUCGCCCGGCGAUCCAUCAAAGAGUAGAUAUAGUAGCGAUCCAGAUCGUUACCUGUGAUUUCCUUCUUCUCUUGCCCCGUGUCUUCCGGGCUUUGCCGCAUGUGGCAUUUUAAAUUAUCCGGAAUAUGUAAGACAAUUAUUAUCUGCGCCAUUGUAAAUUUAUCAUCGUACUAUCCGUUGCCAUUUUAUUUGUCGUCGUAUUAUCUGUUGCCCUAUGUGGCAAUUUGAAUUAGGCCGGAAUACGAGUUGAAAACACGAACAACGCAAAUGCUGCAAUGGGAUCACAAGCAAACACCGGGGGUGGACACUUUAGUUAACCCAUUAAUGGAGAAGUUGUGAGCGAUAUGGGCGGCGGCUGGUGCAUGGAGGUCAAAGAGCUCGCUUCCCAAUGAGCAUGGGCGGCCUUGCUGCUUGCACGUGACCCGUCCGGCCUGCAAGGUGGACGGGACACACACGUCCCAUCGAGCCUGCACGGAGGAUUGCUUGCAUGCGUCCCGUCGAGCCUGCACGGCGGACUUCUCGCACUCGUCCUGUCUAAUCAAACAGUUGCACGCACGACACUGAGUAUGGUUAAAUUUUGACAUGGUGCAUAUAAUACAACCGUUUGCGAUAUUAACGUGUCAGCUUUUUGUUUCAAAAAGGACUCCAUUGGCUACUAAUGUGUGCGCCUCUUCUCAAACUGGACAAUUUUUUUACCAUGGCAUAUAUGUGCCAUGUCAUGAAACCAUGCCAAGUUUCAUGUUUUUGGGUGAGUUUUUGAUUUACUAGGAUAUAAAAAGCAAGAUUCUCAAUGUUUUAGGACGAUGACAAGUUUGUAAUUCAUUCUCAUUCCUUAAAUGAGACCUAAAGAUGCACCCAAUGACACAUGUAGGAUUUCCCACCCAUUUUGCUUCACUGGAGCAUGUGAUUGUAGUUAAAAUUUGAAUUAUGGACUACAUUAAAUGCAUAGAAAACUUAAUUAUUAGUAAUGACAUGUACAAUGGCCAAACGAUCCCUAAACAGUUUCAAAUUUUGGCACAACACUCCUGUUAUUCUAUGUUGCCGGUAGAAAACAAAAUUCAAGGCUUGAAGAGGCAACGAUUAUCGUUUCGCCCACCGAAACCACGAGGGUUGCGAGAAGCUUUGGUUUGUAAGAGGCUUGUAAUAUAGCUUCACUCAAAUUGGACAAUUAUAUGUACCAUGUAGUGACACCCUGCCAAGUUUCAUGAUUUCCUGGUGAGUUUUGGAUUUACAGAGAUUUAUAAACCGAGAUUCGCAAUGUUUGUGGCCAAGGCAGGACGGCGAGAUGGUUGAAUUCAUUCCCAUUUUGUUCCAUGGGACCUAAACAUGCACCCCAAGGACACAUGUAUGUUUUUUCUAGCCAUUUUGGUGCACUGGAGCAUGUAUUUGUAGUUCGGAUUUGAAUUAUGGACAUUAAAUGCCUAGAAAACUCAAUUAAUGAAUAAAAAGGGUCAAACGAACCGUGAAUAAUUUCAAAGUUCAGCGCGAAUCUCCCGUUGUUCCGUACGUGUUGCGUGUAGAAAAAAUACAAGACUAGAAGAGGGAGCGAUUAUCGUUUGUCUCACAUGCAAGGGGACACGUUUCCCUAUCAAAAUCACGAGGGUUCUUGCGACAGGCUCCGGUUUGUAAGAGGCUUGUAAUAAAGCUUGGCCCAAAUUGGCACUGUUUUUACCACGACAUAUACGUCCCAUGACGUGACACCAUGCCACCUUUAAUGACUUUUUGGUGAGUUUUGGAUUUAUAUUGGGAUUUAAAAACCGAGAUUCCAAAUGUUUGAGGACGAGCCAAGACACCGGUCAGGUUGUAAUUUGUUCUCAUAUCUUGCAUGGGACCUAAACAUGCACCCAAGGACACAUGCAUGUAUAAUUUUUCUAGCCAUUUUGGUGAACUGGAGCAUGUAUUUGUACUUCAGAUUUGAAUUAUGGACAUUAAAUGCCUUGGAAACUCAAUUAGUGUAUAAAAAGGCCGAACGAACCCUGAAUAAGUUUCAAUUUCAACAUGGAUGUAAUGUCAUUCCAUGUUGCCCGUAGAAGAAAAUACAAGGCGAAAAGAGGGAGCGACUACGUUUCGCCACAAGGGGAACACAUUUCCCUAUCGGAACCAUCAGGCUUCCUUGAGAUAAGCUCCGGUUUGUAAGAGGUUUGUAAUAAAGCUUGGCCCAAAUUGGCAAUGUUUUUACCAUGACAUAUAUGUGCCAUGACGUGACAUCAUGCCACCUCUGAUGACUUUCUGGUGAGUUUUGGAUUUUAUGGAGAUUUAAAAACCGAGAUUCCAAAUAUUUGAGGACGAGCUAGGACGCCGGUACGGUUGUAAUUCGUUCCCAUUCCUGGUAUGGGGCCUAAUUAAACAUGCACCCAAUGACACAUGGAUGUACAAUUUUUCUAGCCAUUUUGGUGAACUUGAACAUGUAUUUGUAGUUCAGACUUGAAUUAUGGACAUUAAAUGCCUAGGAAACUCAAUUAGUGUAUAAAAAGGCCAAACGAACCCUGAAUAAGUUUAAAUUUCAGCGUGGAUAUCAUGUCAUUCCAUGUUGCCCAUAGAAGAAAAACAAGGCGAAAAGAGGCAGUGAUUACGUUUCGACAACAAGGGGGACAUGUUUCCCUAUCGGAACCACAAAGCUUCUUGUUGAGAGAAGCUCCGAUUUGUAAGAGAUUCGUAAUAAAGCUUGGCCCAAAUUGGACAAUGUUUUUACCACGACAAAAUAUGUGCCAUAACAUGACACCAUGCCUACUUUCAUGACUUUUUUGGUGAGUUUUGGAUUUACGGGGAUUUAAAAACCGAGAUUCCAAAUGUUUGAGGACGAGCCAGGACGCUGGUACGGUUGUAAUUCGUUCCCAUUCCUAACAUGCAUGGGACCUAAACAUGCACCCAAGGGCACAUGCAUGUAUAUUUUUUCUAGCCAUUUUGGUGAACUGGAGCAUGUAUUUGAGGUUCAGAUUUGAAUUAUGGACAUUAAAUGACUAUAAAACUCAAUUAGUGUAUAAAAAGGCCAAACGAUACCCUGAAUAAGUUUAAAUUUCAGCACGGAUAUCCCGUCGUUCCAUUUUGCCUGUAGAAGAAAAUACAAGGAGAAAAGAGGCAGUGAUUACGUUUCACCACAAGGGGAACACGUUUCCCUAUCGGAACCACGAGGCUUCUUUGAGAGAAGCUCCGCUUUGUAAUAAAGCUUGGCCCAAAUUGGACAAUGUUUUUACCACAACAUAUAUGUGCUAUGACAUGACACCAUGCCAACUUUCAUGACUUUCGGUGAGUUUAGGAUUUACGGGCAUUUAAAAACCGAGAUUCUAAAUGUUUGAGGAAGAGCCAGGACGCCGGUAUGGUUGUAAUUCGUUCCCAUUCGUGGCAUGGGACCUAAACAUGCACCCAAGGACACAUGUAUAAUUUUUCUAGCCAUUUUGGUGAACUGGAGCAUGUAUUUGAAGUUCAGAUUUGAAUUAUGGACAUUAAAUGCCUAGGAAACUCAAUUAGUGUAUAAAAAGGCCAAACAAAAGAUGUGUGCCUACCAAACCGUGGCCGAUGCCGCGCGUGAUUUGAGUCAUGCGUUCUGAUUGUAUAGAACCCAAACCAAACGGAUCAUAGGUCUGCACCGUUGGAUGCUCCAGAUCGAACGGCAAUCCUCAGCCGUUUUGACAGCACAUGCAGUACAUGGGUAAGAACUGUGUGCAUGCGUCGUGCUAGCUCACGCUUCCUUCUCUUGUAUGUUUUCUAAAUAGGCUACCAUUUCUCGCCACUCCUCUCAUCGGUUUCCCGCCACUUCUCCCAUCGGUUUCCCGCUACCAGUGUCAGUGCUCAUUGAAGGCUAGGCGGCGACACACCAACCAUUGUUUUGCUAAUUUGUAGACUAUGUUUUUAUAGGUUAUUUUUUUGUUGUAAAAUCACCAUGACUGCGCAAGCGCGAGCAAAAUGGUGCAGGUACUGGCUUAACCGUGUGCGAUGCAAGUGCACUGUAAAAUCACCACGACUGCGCAAGCACGAGCAAAUGGUGGAGGUACUGGUUUAACUAUGUGCGAUGCAAGUGCGCUGUAAAAUCACCAUGACUACGCAAGCGUGAGCAAAAUGGUGCAGGUACUGGCUUAACCAUGUGCGAUGCAAGUGCGCUGUAAAAUCACCACGACUGCGCAAGCGCGAGCAAAUGGUGGAGGUACUAGCUUAACCAUGUGCGAUGCAAAUGCGUUGUAAAAUCACCACGACUGCGCAAGCUAAAGGUGGGUGAGUUUAGAAAUUAGGGCUAACCGUGUGCGAUAGACCAGCUAGCUAGAAAUAUAAAAAUAAACUACCUGCCUUGAGCGUUGCAAAAAUCGGCGGUUCCGCCACUUUUUCUUAUUAUCGUACACGCAUAUUCUUAUCGGACCGUGCGCGAUCUUGGGUACUCCCGCCCCGCAUCAAUUCCUUUACCCAAAUUUUAGUAGCCGCCGUACUUCAACCGUCGCCCACACUCCUCCAACGCCGACCUUAUAGUAAAAUUGCAGUAGCCGAGGCAUUUUAACCAUCGCCCUCCCUACUCCACCACCAUCUCCACCCACCAUUACUAAUAGUAGCCAUGACGUAUCCUCAAACACCACAGUCCCCCCACCACAGUCCCCCCACCCGCCCCUUCCCCCUCGAACCCUAGCUCGCGGCCGCCACCAGCGCCGCCGCCAACCCAUGUCGGUCUGCCCAUUCCUCCUAGCUUAGAUAAUAAAGUUUAGUUACCCAGUGAUUCCCAUACCGUCGCCCCACUCCAAACUGAGUUUUUAGAUGAGGCCCGCAGUGUCCCUCCCCGCCAGAUCCACAUCCCCUGCUCUAGAAUGUCGCAGCCUAAGCUCGAGCACAUAUCCCAGGGAGCCCAACGAGCGUUCGGCCAAGAAGUGGUUUAUCAGGGCCUCUCCGGCGGACGUUGGCAAGGUGGCCGUCGUUCGCCCUGACCCGUUGAUCCCGGAGCAACACGUCACUGUGGUAGCCGGCAAAGACGUUGACUACAUUGCCAUGUCAAAGGCUUCAUGUCAGCGAGCUUGUGUAUUACUAUAUCUCGGGAAGCUGGCUACGACAUCAAGCUCGUCGACAGCAACGGCUUCACGCGGGCCAUGUCACAGGUUACAUGGUCCAUCCCCAACCCCUCUGGUUCAAUCGCCGUCGAUCUCUUCGAUGGCCCUGCCGCUGAUCUCCUCCACCAAGCGGUCAAGCAUUUGCGAUCCUUAUACACCAUCGAGCCCAUUUUGUCAUUUCUGAAGGACACGUUCUAGGGCGGCGGCUUGGAAUCCUAAAUUGCCAAGUCAGAUCUCAUCGACCACGACCACGACCACAAGGAGGGCACCUGCAAAGGUUCUUCCACCAUGGGUCUGUGCUCUUCCAACUGGAAGGAUACCGUCCAUGAAAUGUGAGGCAACAUCCUAUCAGAAAAUCUUACCUUUUCUAGCUUGCCAACCCGUACCCUUUGUUGUAGUAGCAUUUGAUGUGCGGUGCUAUAACUGUGUCGUGUUUAAUUAUUUCAGCUAUGCAAAAAUGUAUUGUUCAAUAGGGCUAUGUGAUGUUUAAGUAUGAAUUGUCCACUUCAGUUUCACGAAUGGCUAUAUUUGGUUGUUUAUAGUGAGUAGAUGCCUUGUUUAUCUGUGUUUGGUUGUUAGGUUGGUUGAAGUGAGCAUUUUUUCAGUUAUCGAGCCGAUGCCUUGUUUAUAUGUAUUUUGUCUUAGUUUGGUUGCAGUGAGCAUUUGUCCAGUUAUCAAGCAGGUGCCUUGUUUAUCUAUAUUUGGUUGUCAGGUUGCUUUUUUAGCAUUUGUCCAGUUUUCAAGCAGAUGCGUUGUUAUCUGUAUUUGCUUGUUAGGUUGGUUGAAGUGAGCAUUUGUCCAGUUUUCAAGAAUAUGUCAUGUUUAUCUUUAUUUGCUUGUUAGAUUGGUUCCAGUGAGACUCUGUCCAGUUUUCAAUUGCUAUAUUUGGUUGUUAUACUGAUCAUUUAUGCCUUGUUUAUUUCAGUCAUUCACAAUGUGUUGUUCAUUAUGUGCAAGUCGGAACUGUGCUGCUUGACUGCAUCAAUACCAGUUUGAACGGCUAUAUUUGGUUCCAGUUAUGCCUGGUGUGUUAACACAUGCCCUUUAUUUCAGUUUUACACAUUUAUCCAGUGAUGUUUAAGCAUUACCUACAUUCUAUUCAUUUCCAACAAUACCAGUUUGAAUUGCAAUAUUUGAUGGCUGUUAAGCCUGCCGUCGGUAACAUUGACUUCCAUUUUUAUAUAUGCUUUAAUAGCAUGCUGAAACUAACACAUUCAAGCUAUCAUUUGGAGAUGAUGUUGUUUACCUUUGCUAUAUUUGUUUGAUGUUAAGGUUUCCAUACUUAUCAUGCCUUUCCACUACUUAUGCAGGACAACAACGGGAGUGCCCACAAUUUUCCGCCGAGGUUAGCUUCAUCCCUCGGCUUGUACUCCCCCGUCGUUCCAUAAUGUAGUGCAUAUAGAUCCAAGCCUGGACACUUGUUAGCUUCUAAUAUUGACUUGUUGCUUGUAGGUACAUAUGCCCUUGGCAAGGAUCAACGCAUCGACCCUUUUUGCAUAUGGGGCAAUGAGAUAUUCGUGAACAAGCAUCAAGUGAGGAAACUGAUAAGGAUUAUUAGCAAAAAGAUACGAAUGGUGGCAAGCAAAUUAUUUGUUUAUGCUCUAUCCGACACAACAGUGAGUUGUAGGAUGGUAACUACAAACUCUGCAGCCUUCUCUUUUUACUUCCCAUAAUGAGUUGUUAGACAACAAUGUCUGGAUCUUUUUCAUUCGUAGUGGUUCCUGAAGCAGUUCACUCAAGAUUACCUUGCAAAGUACAUGAUUGGUGGACACGCAAUGAAGGUUAAAGUAUUUCAUCCAGACUAAAAUGAGCAUCAAGAAGUCAUAAUGAAGACAAUGAAGGAUGGAUGGGCAGCCAUCACAAGGGGUUGGCCUAGAGUCGUGUGCGCAUUACGCAUGGAGGAGGGCACAAUAUGGGCAUUCCGCUUCAGCUUCUCCAGCAACCAGAAUGUCUUUCGCCUCUCUCUUUACAAUCUUUAGUACAACUGUGGUUCACCAUUUUUUACUUGGUGCUUCUCUAGUUCUUUAGUAUAUGUACCUGUCAUCGAAUUAUGCAUUCGUGGUUGAACCUAUAUUUGUAAUAAACCUGGAUGGAUAUGAAAUAAGUGAUUGCCUACUUUCAAAUUAAAAAAUGUGAUUUUUAAAUUAGGUAUUAAUUAGAGAUUAAUAAGGGAUUAAUUAGGGAUUACACAGCACACGGUUUGCAAAAGUGAAAUGUCUAUGAUAGACGUGGAGAUCAGACACGUUUCUAGGAUCCACUACGUGUGCGAUCAAUCUCCACCACACACACGAUCAACCAGGAAAAAACGUGUGCGAUCAAUCUCCACUGCACACACGAUCAGCCAAGAAAAAACGUGUACGAUUAACAAUAGCAUCACACACAUUUCUUUCUUACUAAAUGUUUGUGAUAGGCACCUUAUCACACAUGCUUCGAAAUUAUUAACUAUUUGUGAUGUUGUGCGCAUCGCAAAUGUUUGGUACUUCUUGGAUUAACUGUGUGGGAUGUACAUACUAACGGAAACGUAUUCCUUGGAUGGGCUGUGUGGAAUGUACAUACGAACGGAAACGUUUAGCGGGGCUGACUGUGUGGGAUGUACUUACGACCGGAAAUGAUUUCGCAUGUAUAAUUAUAUUUUUGACCACUAUUGUAUGUAUAACCGUAUUUGCUCGCUCGCUGGUCGCACAUGACCUCAUUUUGCCAAGCGUGUGUGCCAGGAGGGCAUAUCCCCGACGGUUUCUGGGUUGUGUGGGAAGGAUCCUAUCGCCCACACUCACUUGGCGACUGUUCCAAAUGCCAUCGCGGAAAGGGGUUAAAAAUCGUUUGUAUAGCACCAACGCGUACUAGUAAUUGUGUAUUUAAAGUUUUAAAAAUCCACUGCUAGGGAAAAGCGUAAUAGUAGCGCAUAUUUUUGGCCUAUCAAUAGUGCGGGUAACCGCGCUACUACUACGACGCUAUAGCUGAAUGUUAGCAAUAGCAUUUGUUAGCCCCCGCUACUGCUAUAUCUACUUAGUAGUAGCGCAUCCUGCAAAAGGUGCUACUGGUAAUUACUAGCAGCGCGUCUCACUGCCCGCGCUACUACUAUUAUUCCAUAUUCUAUUUCUUUUUUAUUUUAUGUCGUAUUCAUACACCUUUAUACAAGUUUUCAUACAAUAGCAAUUUAGAGAUUGUUUUUACAUUAUAAUGAGUUAUUAAAUCACUAGGUGAAAGAACCGCGGAUUAGUUUCAAGUGGAUGGAUCCUAAGUGACCAAGGCAUGGAUUAUCACGAUAAUCCAUGACUUCAUCACUUAGGAUCCAUCCACUUGAAACUAAUCUGUGGUUCUUUCACCCAAUGAUAUAAUAACUCAUCAUCAUCAUCAUCAUAUUAAUAUAAAAACUCUUGCAUCAUAUCAUCACCAACAACACUAGUUAAUAAUCAUCAUAGUCAUUACCACCAACACUAUUUAAUCAUCAUAAUCAUAGUGUAGCUAUGUAAUCACCACCAACACUAGUUAAUAAUAAUCAUCAUAGUCAUUACCACCAACACCAGCUAUUUAAUCAUCAUAGUCAUAGUGUAGCACAUCAUCAUCAUAUUCAAACUCAUUCUAGCUAGCUAAUCACUCCUGCUGCUCUCUCCCAGGUAAAAUAGCAUAGAACAUGUGUAGCACUCCUGAUUCAUCUUAUUGGAGCAUGCAGAUGAGUCUGUCUCCUAAUUGUGGGCCGCACUUCUGAUUGCUGCCCCUAGUACUUCUCUGUGAUCCUUCAUAAUUUUGCUCCAGUCUUUGACUAUUAAGACUUGCUCGCUUUUAGAAAUCCUGAACGCACUCAUGUGUAAUGUAGGAUGACUUGGCCGUAAGCUAACCAUUUUCAUGCGACCUUUAGCCUCAAUCCAAUGAGGCACAACUAUCAUCGGGAGUCCCUGUUGAAGAACAUCAUAGUAACAUACUUUGCAAUGAAGUUUAGCUUAAAAAAUAAUGUACGCAAAAGAUGCACUGAGGACAAAUAGUAAAAUCUUAUCAUCUUUCCUAAAUAGAUGUGGCCGUAGUUCAAUACGCACGCUAGUGGUCGCACGUUUUGAGUACUAAGAUUUUGAAGUCCAGGAAAAUAAUUUGUCUUGACAGUAUCAAGAUCCUCAAGCCAUGAAACAUAAUGACUUAUCUCUUGGCAGUUUAGUUCAGCCCCAGGACAGUAGUAGGUCAUGUCUACCAAGCGCCGGACAUGUUUGCUUGAAUGGAAAUAAGUUGUCAAUAGAAAUUAGUUGUCAACUAUUUUUGAAUAAACAAUAUCCAAGACAUAAAUAUGGUUGAGAAACUCACCUAAUGGUAGAAUUGGAGGCGUCUGCACAUUGACUCAGAUGUCGAUAUUACCUUCAGUAUCAUCUUCUGGAUGAAUAUCAAAGGUGAUAAGCAUAUCAGGCUCAAAUGCAUAAGCCUUGCAUAGCGCUCUCCAAUUUUUGCAUUCAAAAUUGGUGCAUGUGUCUGCACUGUAUAAUUUUGCGUCAAAAGUAUAACCAUGCUCGGUCCUCAAGUGAACUCUUUUACCUCCAUAGUUUCCAUAGGACUGAAACCAAUCUUAUCCAAGACAUAAAUUCUUGCAUGACAGGGGAUACGCUGGUAGAAUAGUAAAAAAAUUAAAAUUAUAAGUUGAAGCAAAAGAAGCAGAAGUCAUGCUUAAUUACAAAAAAAGACUUGUCGUUGUGACUUACUGUAUCCACUUCAAAGGUCUCAUCCAGCUUAAUGUUGAAGCGCCUACCACCAACUAAGAAAUUUCUGUCACACAGGUCAUGCUCGUCUUCACAGUAUUCGCACAUACCAAAAUCCUUUUCAUCGACAGACAUUUCCUAUGUUCAUAGUUGAAACAUUAAUUGAAAAUCGAUCAAAGGCAACUACCAGGAAACUCAACACACAGAUCACUAUUACUCAAUAUGCAACGAGUUGACUUUAGGUCUAUCGAGUCUUCCUUCCUAAACUCUCAUCUCACGUAUAUGGUGGGCACUACCUCUCUGAUAUUGCAACUAUCGGUGAUGGUUGCUACUCCUUCUUUCCCUAGUGCAUUAUAAAUAUCUAGCACAAGGAAAAGAAAGAGAAGCGACCCCCACGACAGAAGUCAGCAUUCUUCUUCUCUCAUAUAUGGUGGACACUCCCUCACUGAUUUUUCGACCGUCGAUGAUAGUCGCUACUCCUUCUUCCCCUAGUGCAUAACAAAGGUCUAGAACAAAGAGAAGAAGGAGAAGCGACCCCACGACAAAUGUCGUUUAAUUCUCUUUCUAGCAAAUCCGGGACACUCGACAUUUCCUAAAUAUUCUAGCACAAUUCAUGCUUAAAUUCAUGGUAAAAUCCGGCAUGACCUUUGUUAAAAUAGGACAUAUCAAGCACCUGAAAUUUGCCGAAACAGAAAUGCAUCAACACUCCGGCAAAACAUAGGCCACUUGGAUUUUCCCUGUGAUACAAAGAUGUUCAUACACAUACAACAAUGCUUAAACUUGCAAUUCCAUCCGGAUCAAUUAUCAUAAGCAUUCGCACAUGAGCUCACCGACCAAAUACCGUAGUUCUACUCUAUUCAACACGCCGAGGAGUGGAGAAGGAGGAGGUGGACUUUUAGCUCACCGACUCGGGUGUAGAGCAAGUAUAGGUAGCUCGGAUGACGAUCACUCCAAGGAGACACGACUCUACAAAGCCUGCAUAUUCCAUCGAGUAAAAUUUUAAUUAGAUCAUCAAAUCUCAUAUGGCAUUCUUUGAUGACAAAGUGAUAAUGACAUAAAUUCAACUAGUUCAACUAAGCACUUACUAAAAAUAAACUAAUUCAACUAGUUCAACUAGUUUUCUAUUACUAAAAUUUUAGUAAGAUUCUGUGUACUAAAAUUUUCUAUUUCCAAAACUUUUUUAUAUUACUAAAGUUACAAACUAUUUCUACACCUAAUUUUAGGAGGAAGGGAGGGAAGGAGGCAGUAGGGAGGGAGGGAGGAGAGAGGGAGGAGGCCGAGAUGGCGGUAGAUGGAGGGGGAGGAAGGAGGAAGGAAGGGUGGCGUAUGGAGAUGGGGCAGUGACUGGAGNNNNNNNNNNNNNNNNNNNNNNNNNNNNNNNNNNNNNNNNNNNNNNNNNNNNNNNNNNNNNNNNNNNNNNNNNNNNNNNNNNNNNNNNNNNNNNNNNNNNNNNNNNNNNNNNNNNNNNNNNNNNNNNNNNNNNNNNNNNNNNNNNNNNNNNNNNNNNNNNNNNNNNNNNNNNNNNNNNNNNNNNNNAGUGAGGAGGAGGUGGUGGGAGGAGGGAGGAGGGCCGCCGGAGGGAGGAGGAGGUGGUGGGAGGAGGGCCGCCGGAGGGACGAGAGAGGAGGGUGACCGGAGGAAGGAGGAGAGAGAGAAAGGAUACCUUGGGGGCGACGACAAUGCGGCAUCGGCGGAACGCACGGGAGAGUGAGACUGGGAGUGGAGAGGGGAGAGUGAGGGGCAGCCGGUUGGAGAAGAUAGGAUGGGCUUAGCAGCAUCGCGCUUUGGGAUAAAGCGCUACCGCUAAAUGCCAUAGGAGUAGCGCCUUUUACCAGGGCAGCGCUACUGCUAUCCCUGUAGCAGUAGCACCUUGUGAGAAAAUGUGCUACUGCUAAGGCUAAGAAUGUAAAAAAUAAAAAAUACAUUGGUCAUCAAUGAUCUUUUUGUGUAGAAUCUAAAUUGUCAAUAGGAAUCUUCACCAGUUCAGGCCACAGAUCCUACACAUAGAUUUUAAUGAAGACCAAGUGGUUGUGAUAGUUUGAGAAGUAACGUAUUUAAGGUGGUACACACCCUGUUCACGGAGCGAGGUGGGACUAAAAUAUUUGCAAUGAGUGGACUAAACUUAGCAGCAGCGAGGGUGGGCGAAAAGCGAUGCUGCUAAGUUCAAUAGUAGUAGUGCUCUUAGAAAACAGGCGCUACUACUAAACUUACUCCGACAGCAAUGUCGUGGCAUUUGUUCUAGUAGCACUGUUUCCUGCUAACGCGCUACUGCUACGUGGGUAGUAGUAGCGCGAUUUUUUUACGCGCGCUACUGCUAAGUAGCAGUAGAGCCUUAUUUUAAACCGCGUUGCUGGUAAGAUUCUGUGUAUGAGGUUUUCCCUAAUAGUGUAUCACACCCAAUAUUCCUACAUAUAUUUGGCCACUUCCAGGUGGUUCUUGACUUCUGUCUCCUCUCAUCGAUAUUCGAUGACGUGCCCAACCAUGGGCCCGCGCGGUCAAAGUUGUGCAUUGGAAUUUUGAACAUCACAGACCACCCUUUUCACUCAUAUAUAUUUGGGCCACAUGUUGGUGUGGCUGUCUUUUGACCCUCUCUAACAUUUUUUGGCUGCAAAGACUCUGAUGAUGCUCAACGGACACGGGUAUAACAUCUUAACCGUGUGCAAUGCAAGUGCGUUGUGAAUCAUGAUGACUGCGCAAGCGCGAGCGAAGGUGGAGGUACUGGCUCAACCAUGUGUGAUGCAAGUGCGCUUUAAAAUCACCACGACUGCGCAAGCGCGAGCAAAGGGUGGAGGUACUGGCUUAACGUGUGUGAUGCAAGUGCACUGCUAAAGGCGGGUAAGUUUAUUUGGAAAUUAGGAUGAACCGUGUGCGAUAGACCAACUAGCUAGAAAUAUAAAAACAAACUACUCGCCUUGAGCGUUGCAAAAAUCGGCGGUUCUGACACUUUUCCUUGUUAUCAUACAUGCAUAUUGUUAUUAGACCUGUGUGAUCUUGGGCACUCCGUCCCGCAUCAAUUCCUUUACCCAAAUUUUAGUAGUUGUCGUACUUCAACCGUCGCUCACACUCCUCCAACACCGACCUUAUAGUAAAAUUGCAAUAGAGAGGCCUUUGAAUCGUCGCCUCCCUUGUCCACCACCAUCUCCACCCACCAUUACUAAAAUUUUCAGUAGCCGCGGCGUAUCUGUCAGGACCUCGAUCCUAAGUCACAUUGAUCUAGCAUGUAACACAUCAUAUCACUUUGCGGCCUCACGCACGGCAUUCCCACGGGUGCCACCUUACCUAGCCCGGGACCGUUUGUGCCUUUUGGCUCACGUAUGUGAUAAUGUCGCUAGCAUCCAUAUGACAAAGAACCCAGGCUGACAUGACUAGUCGUGGACCCAAAGUGGCACUAACUUACAGGGACAGGCAUACAUGACCCAACAACGAACAUGUCGAUCAACAACGUGUGAACCCAAGUCGUAGCAAGCUACAUGGACUUAAAGGAACAACGUGUGACAUUUCCCCGAAGGGACAGACACAGGAACGAACAAGGACACAUGCCGGCCAGCCUAAGUGUUCCGGAGCAGUAGCAAGCUACCAUGCCUCAGUGGAAGCACUAGGAGACAUUUCCCGUAAGAGAGGCUACCAAGGAUGAACAACUAGGUUGUCAGAUCCCACACAUACCAAGCAUUUCAAAUCAUACACACAAUAUGCUCGAUAUGUGCAAAUACAACAUGGCAUCACAACAUAACUCUAUGACUCAAGUAUUUAUUCAAUAGGCUCCGAGGAGAGAGAUAUUACAAACAUUGGUCUCAUGACCCAACAUUCAGAGCAUACAAGUCAAAGCACAAGUGUAAGCUUAACAUGUCUGAGUACAGACAACUACAAAUUAAAAGGGCUGAGAAGCCUGACUAUCUACCAGAUCCUGCCAAGGGCACAAGAUCGUAGCUGAGGUAACAAGCUAAACAUCGAAGUCCAUGCGGAACUACUAGCAAGACUGAAGUCUCUCUACAAAAACAUAAAUUAAGCAAAUGUGAGUCCAAACGUACCCAACAAGACUUACAUCAGAACUAACUACAUGUGCAUCACUAUCAACAAAGGGGUGGUGGGGUUUUACUGCAGCAAGCCAGCUUUGACUCAGUGGCUAUCCUAAACUACGACUGCAAGUAACUCUUUUGAGGUGGCGCACACGAGUCCACAUAAUCACCAUAUCAAUACACCACUACGGAUCCGCUCCCGUCUCCCUAAGAGAAUGCAGGUUGACGAUGUUAACCCUGCAGGGGUGUACUUCUUCACACACGCUCUCGCCACUUACCACCAUGUACACAUCAUGUAUCUCGACACCCUUCAAGCGGAAGCCUGGCAAGGGUGUCGGCCACGGCCUACCUAAACACUCAAGUCUCUAGUCCGGGUUUAUCGCCUAUUCAGGUUCCAUGCAUAGGGAGUCCGGCCAAAGUUUCCAUAUACGACCCCGAACAAUGUGAGCAGGGUUCCCGAGACAACAAACGGGCGCCUGGUACACCGUGCCACGUGCCUGCCGCAUCACAGCCCACCCCUCAGAUCAGCGCUGCGCACGGCCUCCAGCAUACUACAAACAACAAAAACUACUUGCAACUCCUGGACAGAGGACAAGGGUGGUUAAGAAACCGAGAGGGUCAGUUACCAAACCAUGGAUCACAAACACAGAACUCGGUUCCUAAGGACGGCUUCAAUGAGACAACCCACCAUGUACUCCUACAUGGCCCCUCACCACUACCUUUACCAAAUCAUGUUCACACACUUAGCUCACACACAGUAGGACAUGUUCAACACCAUUCCAAUUCAUCCCCGAUGAAUCAGAACUGACUCAACUCUAAGUAGUAGCAGGCAUGACAAACAAGCAUGAAUGAGUAGGCAUCAGGGCUCAAACAACUCCUACUCAUGCUAGUGGGUUUCAUCUAUUUAUUGUGGCAAUGACAGGUCAUGCACAGGAGAAGGGGUUCAACUACCAUAGCCACUAACAGAUGAAUCGUUGUUGUCCUAAUGCAGUAAAAGAGAGCAGGACCGAGGGAGUGGGAUUGUAUCGGGAUGAACAAGGGGUUUUUGCUUGCCUAGCACUUCUAAAGAUAGUAAUAGCUCUUCAUCGGUGUCAUCGAACACAUCGUCGAAACCACGUUUACCGGGAGGGAACAAUUACCGGCAACAGAGAAGGAACACAAUCAAUGCAAUGCAACAAUAUCAUGCAUGAUCAUGACAUGUAAAUAUGCUGUGAUUUGAGCUAAUGCAGCUAGCAACAAGUUAAAUGGAGUUGGUUUGAACCCUAGGUUCAAAUUCAAACUCCAUAUGUGAAGGUUUAAAUGUCAUUUAAAUGAUUUGUCCUAAACAUUAGUCAUAACUUGUUCUAACAUGCAUAAAAAUGGUACAGAUGGAUAGAUUGGAUUUUUCUGAUCAUUUUUCAUAUAUAAAGCAUUUCAUUCUGAGUUACGGUUGAAUUUAUAUGAAUUUUAGAAGUUUUUAGCUAUUUCUGGAAUUUUCUGAAUUAUUUUAAAUCCAGAAAAUGAUUAACUGUGUCAUUAUUGCGUUAGGGUGAUGUCUGCAGGGUCAACAGGGUUGCCCCGGGUCAAACCUGACCAGUGGGUCCCACUGGUCAGUGUCACGGUGCUGGCUAGGGUGGCUGACGUGUGGGCCCAGUAAAAGGCCACGUCAGCUUGGUUAAAGCUGAUGCGUGGGGCCACUGUGGUUAGGUUAAUGCUAACCAAGGGUUUACCCCAUGGUUAAUUAACGUGGCGGGGUCCAUUGUCAGUGACUGUGGUGGUAAUUAGUGGGUGGAUUAGACCUAAUCUAAUCACGCCACGUCGGCGUCGCCGGAUAAAGUCGUCGGCAACCUUACAGGACGGCGGUGGCUCGUCGGAGUUUCUAUUCCGGCGACCAUUCACAUGGCGGAAGGCAUCUACGCGUUGCGGGUGCUUGGCCGCAUCCAUCUACGCGGACGGGAGGGGCUGAGGUCAGCCAAGCUCGCCGGAAUCAAGCUCAUGGCGGCGGCCGGAGUUCGGGCAAUGAUACAAACGUCGCUAUGGUGCAUGGCAGGAGCAACGUGUGGCCUCUACGUCCUCCUGGAGCUUUGCUGAGCAUGGAAACACGCUCGGCUUCGAGCCUGAGCGGCUGCGGCGACGGCAGUGACAUGGCCGGUGAGUAGAAGCUUUCGGCUCCAGGGAAAAACACGGCUAGGAGACGCGUUCGGCAGCGAGAAGAGAGGGGAAAGGUGGCAUGGCUCACAUAGAUCAUGAAGCGAUGCUCGGGGUAGCCGGGAGCGUGCUGAGGAUGACAAAUCAGCAAGGGCGAUCGACGGCGCCUGAGGUUAAAGAUGAUGUCGAGGACGGUGCUAUGGGGCUUCUGGCAUCACCUGGCUUGUCGAGGAGGGAGAGGAGAUGAGGUGGAGCUCGUGGACAGCUUGGGGAGGUGAUGCAGUGGCUGUGGUCAUGGCAACAGCGAGCGGCGAUGACGGCGGUGCUCGGUGGGUGCGAGGGAGAGAGCCAGAGAAGGGGGAGAGGUACUGGGAGAGAGAGAGAGAGAGAGAGAGAGAGAGAAAGAGAGAGGUCAGGGGGGUCUCUGGGCGUCUCCAGGCGCGAGGGAGAAGUAGGAGGUGGCGAGGAGACGUGGCCGCGGUCGAUGUGUUGCUGCCACACAGCUGCCUGAGGUUGAAGAUGACCUGGAGGCGCUGGUGGGCUGGGCUGCUGCUAGGCUGGGCCGACAAUAGGUAAGAUGGCCCAGGUAGGUCUUCUCCUUUUUCUGUUUCCCUAUUUCUUUCUAUUUUGUAUUUUCCGUAAUUGUUUUUGGCUUUAUUAAAAAUGCUAGGGCAUUUCCAAAAAUUAUGAAACGCUCAAUGCCACUGUUUGGAAUAUUUCCAACAGCAAACAUUUCAGUUUGUGAUUAUUUGAGCAUUUUAAAUAUAUUAUAGCAUUUACAUGCCCAAAUGCAAAUGUCAUAAGAUUUAAUUCAGUGACCCAAGUUGUCCUACAAAAGUGUGCACCAUUUUUGUCAGAGGUUCUAGACCAGGGCAAAGAUGAUGAACAUUUUAGAAGGGCAUUUUGGGUUCAGUGAAAAUGAUUCUAUUUGGACCCUAGUUGAAUUUCAUUUGCUGCUAGGGUUUAUCAGCCCCCAUUUCAAAGUUGAUGCAUAGAGGCUAAAGCAAAGACAGGCAAGGCCUGAACUGGGGUUGUGAAAACUCACCCCCACUAAACAAGAAUCUCGUCCCGAGAUUCAAGCGUAGGGUAAGAUGAAGGGGGAACGCAAACUAACAUAAUCUUCACGAUCCAGGUUGCACUUCAUAAGGGCGUUGAUUUGAUCACCAUCUUUGUCUCGAUGUCUUGCUCUAAGAACUCCAACCAUCAUGACAGCAAGAGGAAAGGAAAAAACUCUAGAAGGAUCGAUCUUCUCGAAGAUCGAACAACUCAGGAUCAAUUCACGGAAUGAGAAAUUGAAACAUCUCUCGAGCUGAGACACGAAGCAUACAUCCAGAGGGAUGGAGUGAAACAGAUGAUGAAGGUUCACUAGGUAGGCAACAAUCCCACAGUUAACAUGGUGGUGAAUGGUUGUCAACGUAGUGAGGAGUUGAGUUGCCAUGACACCAUAAUGAAACAUGUUGGAGGAGGUGACUAGUAGAAUUAUCACCUUAAGUGGCAAAAAGAAUUACUUUUGAUAUAGAGAUCUUUAAGACUCUUUAUACCAGCCUAAGGCAAUUCAUCAACAAUCGUUUGGUGGAGUAUGGAAGAAUGGCAUACCCGGACUAGAAUAGAUUAUGUGGAUUACCUUGUUCAAGACAACACAACGGAUGAUUUUUUAUUAUCAUCAGGAAUGGAUGGAACCCAUGGUAGAAUGGCACAAUGACGGUGCAAGCUAGGAACAAAAUGCAGGUGCUGGGAAUGAUUCUAGUAACUGGGGAGAAAUCCAACAGUAGAGAGUGAAUCCACUGUUUGAAAGGUUACAGCAUAACCGAGGAAGCUGGGAGCAAUCCUAGUUAGUGCCGACGAUAACACCUAGUGCUUGCGCGUGCUCUCAAGAACUUGAGCAUUUCCAUAUUCAUCAAGGUUUUACCAAUAUCUGUGUCAAGGAUCCUGGCAAAACAAUAGUGAUGGACGAUGCAGAUGCAAAGGAAGACAACACUUUCUCAUAUUUGUCCUUGGCAAUGCUAAGGAACAAAACCUGGAUGAUCGACCGAGAGACAUUUAGCACUCCGCUUCUAAUGUUCUCCUUGAUGUGCUAGCGUAAUCCAUUCAUAGAUAUGGUUUGAUAUCUAGAACAUCAAGUAAAAGGUCGGACUUCCGGAACACAAAAAUCCAUAAGGGACAACUAGGGAGUAAAUCCUACAAAAUCCUUAUGGGGAAGUGCCCAACUUCCUCAAUCAAGAUACUACAAUAAUAGGUCUUCCGACUGGGUGUGUUGGCCACGACAUCCACUUUACCGGGUUACAGAGAGACCAAUAUUAUAUUUCUUUGGAAAAGUUCCAACCAUCAUAUCUGCCUGAGAUUCAAAUCUGGUUUGUGUCAGAAUAUUCCAGACUCAUCAAGUCUAGAAAGAAAAAUGAAAGUUUGCAACACAUCGACGAGAUGACGUUGCGAGAUUCUCAUGGAAUAUACUACGAUAGCAAGCUCCAAAACAUGAGCUAGUUCUGCUACAUACAUGUGAACACGUUGUUCCAGACAACAUGAUCACAUGGCAGGCUUAAAAUAAAACACUACCGAGUUCCAGUUGGGAACCAUGAACGAGGAUAUUGAAGUCCUUACAUAAGGCAUGCUCUUAUGAAGGAACUUCUUCUCCUUGAACAAACCAAUCAGAGGGUUGGUAUGCUAGGAAUACAUAUAGAAUGAAGGUAGCUAGUCUCACAAACCAAUGUAUACUUCACACAUGCAUGACUGACCUGGGAUGAUUCCAGAGGAAGCAACAUUAACUUUCUCAGAUUCACGGUGGCAACUUGCACCAAAUGCACAUGAAUAAGGGGAAGUCACUUCUUUCAUCCGGGCAUAUGCUUCAUGCAUGGAACAUGAAGAUAAUGCUUAUAAAAGUUUCCAAUGCUAGCUUUAAUGUUCAACACAAAUCAUGGAGAAGAUAAAAUGAUGUUGAUGGACUCAACAACAAUUUAUCCAGGUUUCCAUAUAAAUAGGAUUCCAUAAUUAUGCGAACAAGGUGAUAGCAUUGGUCAGACCAAAAGAUAUAAUGGUGUAUGCUCAAGGGAUCAACCACGAGUAAGACAGCAUUAUGAACAUCAUUGGUUCUGAUUUGAUUUGAUGAUAGCCCAUAUGCAAAUCAAAGAUUUGAGUAAGACAAUAGAUCCAGCAAUUGACACGAGGAUCAAUCAAUGAAGAUAUCAUCUUUCUUCAACACACAUACAAGAUAUCCCUUAAAAUGAACUAAGUUGGAAAAGCCUGAAGGAAAUAUGCCCUAGAGGCAAUAAUAAAGUUAUUAUUUAUUUCCUUAUUUCAUGAUAAAUGUUUAUUAUUCAUGCUAGAACUGUAUUAACCGAAACAUAAUACAUGUGUGAAUACAUAGACAAACAGAGUGUCACUAGUAUGCCUCUACUUGACUAGCUCGUUAAUUAAAGAUGGUUAUAUUUCCUAACCAUAGACAUGAGUUUUAAUUUGAUUAAUGGGAUCACAUCAUUAGGAGAAUGAUGUGAUUGACUUGACCCAUUUCGUUAGCUUAGCACUUGAUCGUUUAGUAUUAUGCUAUUGCUUUCUUCAUGACUUAUACAUGUUCCUAUGACUAUGAGAUUAUGCAACUCGCGUUUACCAGAGGAACACUUUGUGUGCUACCAAACGUCACAACGUAACUGGGUGAUUAUAAAGGUGCUCUACAGGUGUCUCAGACGGUACUUGUUGGGUUGGCGUAUUUCGAGAUUAGAAUUUGUCACUCCGAUUGUCAAAGAGGUAUCUCUGGGCCCACUCGGUAAUGCACAUCACUAUAAGCCUUGCAAGCAUUGUAACUAAUGAGUUAGUUGUGGGAUGAUGUAUUACGGAACGAGUAAAGAGACUUGCCGGUAACGAGAUUGAACUAGGUAUUGAGAUACCGACGAUCGAAACUCGGGCAAGUAACAUACCAAUGACAAAGGGAACAACGUAUGUUGUUAUGCGGUUUGACCGAUAAAGAUCUUCGUAGACUAUGUGGGAGCCAAUAUGAGCAUCCAGGUUCCGCUAUUGGUUAUUGACCGGAGAUGGGUCUCGGUCAUGUCUACAUAGUUCUCGAACCCGUAGGGUCCACACGCUUAAAGUUCGAUGACGGUUAUAUUAUGAGUUUAUGUGUUUUGAUGUACCGAAGGUUGUUCGGAGUCCCGGAUGUGAUCACGGACAUGACGAGGAGUCUCGAAAUGGUCGAGACGUAAAGAUCGAUAUAUUGGACGACUAUGUUUGGACACCGGAAUGGUUCCGGGAGGUUUCGGGCAUAUACCGGAGUACCGGGGGUUACCGGAACCCCCCCAGGGAAGCUAUUGGGCCUUAUGGGCCUUAGUGGAGAAGAGAGAGGGCAGCCAGGAGGUGGUGCGCGACCCCCCUGGCCCCAGUCCGAAUUGGACAAGGGAAGGGGGCGGCGGCCCCCCUCUCCUUCCUUCUCUCCACCUCCUCCUUCCCCCUUCUCCUUCUUGGAAUAGGAAAGGGGGGGGGGACAAACCUACUUGGAGUAGGAUUGCCCCCCUAGGGCGCGCCUCUCCCCUUGGCCGGCCCUCUCCUCCUCCCCCCUUUAUAUGGCACCCCAUGCACACAACAAUUGAUCCCUUGGAUCUCUUAGCCGUGUGCGGUGCCCCCCCUCCACCAUAAUCCACCUCGAUAAUAUUGUAGCGGUGCUUAGGCGAAGCCCUGUGUUGGUAGAACAUCAUCAUUGUCACCACGCUGUCGUGCUGACGGAACUCUCCCUCAAAUCUCGGCUGGAUCGCAGUUCGAGGGACGUCAUCAAGCUGAACGUGUGCUGAACUCGGAGGUGCCGUACGUUCGGUACUUGAUCGGUUAGAUCAUGAAGACGUACGACUACACCAACCACGUUGUGCUAAUGCUUCCGCUUUCGGUCUACGAGGGUACGUGGACUCACUCUCCCCUCUCAUUGCUAUACAUCACCAUGAUCUUGCGUGUGCGUAGAAAUUUUUUGAACUCACUGCGUUCCCCUACAGUGAUAUCAGAGCCAGGUUUUAUGCGUUGAUGUUAUAUGCACGAGUAGAACACAAGUGAGUUGUGGGCGAUACAAGUCAUACUGCUUACCAGCAUGUCAUACUUUGGUUCGGUGGUAUUGUUGGAUGAAGCGGCCUGGACCGACAUUACGCGUACGCUUACGCGAGAUUGGUUCUACCGAUGUGCUUUGCACACAGGUGGUUGGCGGGUGUCAGUUUCUCAAACUUUAGUUGAACCGAGUGUGGCUACGCCUGGUCCUUGACAAGGUUAAAAUAGCACUAACUUGAAGAACUAUAAUUGUGGUUUAGAUGCAUAGGUAAGAAUGGUUCUUGCUCAGCUCGUAGCAGCCACGUAAAACUUGCAACAACAAAAUAGAGGACGUCUAACUUGUUUUUGCAGGGCAUGUUGUGAUGUGAUAUGGUCAAAGCAUGAUGCUAUAUUUUAUUGUAUGAGAUGAUCAUGUUUUGUAACCGAGUUAUCGGCAACUGGCAGGAGCCAUAUGGUUGUCGCUUUAUUGUAUAUAAUGCAAUUGCCCUAUAAUUGCUUCACUUUAUCACUAAGCGGUAGCGAUAGUCGUAGAAGCAAUAGUUGGCGAGACGACAACGAUGCUACGAUGGAGAUCAAGGUGUCGCGCCGGUGAUGAUGGUGAUCAUGACGAUGCUUCAGAGAUGGAGAUCACAAGCACAAGAUGAUGAUGGCCAUAUCAUAUCACUUAUAUUGAUUGAAUGUGAUGUUUAUCUUUUAUGCAUCUUAUCUUGCUUUGAUUGACGGUAGCAUUAUAAGAUGAUCUCUCACUAAAUUUCAAGAUAAAAGUGUUCUCCCUGAGUAUGCACCGUUGCCAAAGUUCGUCGUGCCCAGACACCACAUGAUGAUCGGGUGUGAUAAGCUCUACGUCCAUCUACAACGGGUGCAAGCCAGUUUUGCACACGCAGAAUACUCAAGUUAAACUUGACGAGCCUAGUAUAUGCAGAUAUGGCCUCGGAACACUGAGACCGAAAGGUCGAGCGUGAAUCAUAUAGUAGAUAUGAUCAACAUAGUGAUGUUCACCAUUGAAAACUACUCCAUUUCACGUGAUAAUCGGUUAUGGUUUAGUUGAUUUAGAUCACGUGAUCACUUAUAUGAUUAGAGGGAUGUCUAUCUAAGUGGGAGUUCUUAAGUAAUAUGAUUAAUUGAACUUUAAUUUAUCAUGAACUUAGUCCUGGUAGUAUUAGCAUAUCUAUGUUGUAGAUCAAUAGCUCGCGUUUAGCUCCCCUGUUUUAUUUUGAUACGUUCCUAGAGAAAACUAAGUUGAAAGAUGUUAGUAGCAAUGAUGCGGAUUGGAUCUGUGAUCUGAGGUUUAUCCUCAUUGUUGCACAGAAGAAUUAUGUCCUUGAUGCACCGCUAGGUGACAGACCUAUUGCAGGAGUAGAUGCAUACGUUAUGAACGUUUGGCUAGCUCAAUAUGAUGACUACUUGAUAGUUUAGUGCACCAUGCUUAACGGCUUAGAAUCGGGACUUCAAAGACAUUUUGAAUGUCAUGGACCAUAUAAGAUGUUCCAGGAGUUGAAGUUAAUAUUUCAAGCAAAUACCCGAGUUGAGAGAUAUGAAUCCAACAAGUUCUAUAGCUAAAAGAUGGAGGAGAAUAGCUCAAGCAGUGAGCAUGUGCUCAGAUUGUCUGGGUACUACAAUCGCUUGAAUCAAGUGGGAGUUAAUCUUCCAAAUAAGAUAGUGAUUGACAGAAUUCUCUAGUCACCAUCACUAAGUUACUAGAACUUCGUGAUGAACUAUAAAUAUACAAGGGAUAACGGAAACAAUUCGCAAAACUCUUCGUGAUGCUGAAAUCGACGAAAGGUAGAAAUCAAGAAAGCGUCAACUGUUGAUGGUUGGCAAGACCACUAGUUUCAAGAAAAAAGGGCAAAAGGAAGAAGGGGAACUUCAAGAAGAACGGCAAGCAAGUUGCUGCUCAAGUGAAGAAACCCAAGUCUGGACCUAAGCCUGAGACUAAGUGCUUCUACUGCAAAGGGACUGGUCACUGGAAGCGGAACUACCCCAAGUAUUUGGCGGAUAAGAAGGAUGGCAAAGUGAACAAAGGUAUAUUUGAUAUACAGAUUAUUGAUGUGUAUUUUACUAGUGUUCAUAGCAACCCCUCGGUAUUUGAUACUGGUUCAGUUGCUAAGAGUAGUAACUCAAAACGAGAGUUGCAGAAUGAACAGAGACUAGUUAAAGGUGAAGUGACGAUGUGUGUUGGAAAUGGUUCCAAGAUUGAUAUGAUCAUCAUCGCACACUCCAUAUACUUUCGGGAUUAGUGUUGAAACUAAAUAAGUGUUACUUGGUGUUUGUGUUGAGCAUGAAUAUGAUUUGAUCAUGUUUAUUGCAAAUUUAUUUAAGUUAGAGAAUAAUUGUUGUUUUGUUUACAUGAAUAAAACCUUCUAUGGCCAUACACCCAAUGGUUUGUUGGAUCUCGAUCGUAGUGAUACACAUAUUCAUAAUAUUGAUGCCAAAAGAUGCAAAGUUAAUAAUGAUAGUGCAACUUAUUUGUGGCACUGCCAUUUAGGUCAUAUUGGUGUAAAGCGCAUGAAGAAAAAUCCAUGCUGAUGGGCUUUUGGAAUCACUUGAUUAUGAAUCAGUUGAUGCUUGCAAACCAUGCCUCAUGGGCAAGAUGACUAAGACGCCGUUCUCCUGAACAAUGGAGCAAGCAACUGACUUAUUGGAAAUAAUACAUACUGAUGUAUGCAGUCUAAUGAGUGUUGAAGCUCACGGCAAGUAUCAUUAUUUUUUGACCUUCACAGAUGAUUUGAGCAGAUAUAGGUAUAUCUACUUAAUGAAACACAAGUCUGAAACAUUUGAAACGUUCAAAGAAUUUCAGAGUGAAGUGAAGAAUCUUCGUGACAAGAAAAUUAAGUUUCUAUGAUCUGAUCGCAGAGGCAAAUAUUUGAGUUACAAGUUUGGUCUUCAAUUAAAACAAUGUGGAAUAGUUUCACAAACUCAUGCCACCUGGAACACCACAACACAAUGGUCUGUCCGAACAUCAUAACCGUACUUUAUUGGAUAUAGUGCAAUCUAUGAUGUCUCUUACCGAUUUACCACUAUCGUUUUGGGGUUAUGCAUUAGAGACAGCUGCAUGCACGUUAAAUAGGGCACCGUCAAAAUCCGUUGAUAUGACACAGUAUGAACUAUGGUUUAGCAAGAAACCUAAGUUGUCGUUUCUUAAAGUUUGGGGUUGCGAUGCUUAUGUGAAAAAGUUUCAGCAUGAUAAGCUCAAACCCAAAUCGGAGAAGUGCGUAUUCAUAGAAUACCCAAAAGAGACUAUUGGGUACACCUUCUAUCACAGAUCCGAAGGCAAGAUCUUUGUUGCUUAAUAUGUAUCCUUUCUAGAGAAGGAGUUUCUCUCGAAAGAAGUGAGUGGGAGGAAAGUAGAACUUAAUGAGGUAACUGUACCUACUCCUUUAUUGGAAAGUAGUUCAUCACAGAAAUCAGUUCCUGUGAUUCCUACACCAAUUAGUGAGGAAGCUAAUGAUGAUGAUCAUGUAACUUCAGAUCAAGUUACUACCGAACCUCGUAGGUCAAUCAGAGUAAGAUCCGCACUAGUGUGGUACGGUAAUCCUGUUCUGGAGGUCAUGUUACUUGACCAUGGCGAACCUACGAACUAUGAGGAAGCGAUGAUGAGCCCAUAUUCCACGAAAUGGCUUGAGGCCAUGAAAUCUGAGAUGGGAUCCAUGUAUGAGAACAAAGUGUGGACUUUGGUUGACUUGCCCAAUGAUCAGCAAACCAUUGAGAAUAAAUGGAUCUUCAAGAGGAAGACGGACGUUGAUAGUAGUGUUACUAUCUACAAAGCUUGAAUUGUCGCAAAAAGGUUUUUGACAAGUUCAAGGUGUUGACUACGAUGAGAUUUCCUCACUCGUAGUGAUGCUUAAGUCUGUCCGAAUCAUGUUAGCAAAUUGCCGCAUUUUAUGAAAUCUGGAAAAUGGAUAAACAAAACUGCAUUCCUUAAUGGAUUUAUUAAAGAAGAGUUGUAUAUGAUACAACCAAAAGGUUUUGUCAAUCCUAAAGGUGCUAACAAAAUAUGCAAGCUCCAGCGAUACAUCUAUGGACUGGUGCAAGCAUCUCGGAGUUGGAAUAUAUGCUUUGAUAAGUUGAUCAAAGCAUAUAGUUUUAAUACAGACUUGCGGUGAAGCCUGUAUUUACAAGAAAGUGAGUGGGAGCACUAUAACAUUUCUGAUAAGUAUAUGUGAAUGACAUAUUGUUGAUCGGAAAUAAUGUAGAAUUAUUCUGCAAAGCAUAAAGGAGUGUUUGAAAGGAGUUUUUCAAAGAAAGACCUCGGUGAAGCUGCUUACAUAUUGAGUAUCAAGAUCUAUAGAGAUAGAUCAAGACGCUUGAUAAGUUUUUUUUCAAUGAGUACAUACCUUGACAAGAUUUUGAAGUAGUUCAAAAUGGAACAGUCAAAGAAAGAGUUCUUGCCUAUGGUACAAGGUGUGAAAUUGAGUGAGACUCAAAGCCCGACCACGGCAGAAGAUAGAAAGAGAAUGAAAGUCAUUCCUUAUGCCUCAGCCAUAGGUUCUAUAAAGUAUGCCAUGCUGUGUACCAGAUCUAUUGUAUACCCUACACUAAUUUUGGCAAGGGAGUACAAUAGUGAUCUAGGAGUAGAUCACUGAACAACGGUCAAAAUUUUCCUUAGUGGAAUAAGGAUAUGUUUCUCGAUUAUGGAGGUGACAAAAGGUUCGUCGUAAAGGGUUACGUCGAUACAAGUUUUGGCACUAAUCCAGAUGACUCUUAGUCUUAAUCUGGAUACAUAUUGAAAGUGGGAGCAAUUAGCUAAAGUAGCUCUGUACAGAGCAUUGUAGACAUAAAAAUUUGCAAAAUACAUACGGAUCUGAAUUUGGCAGACCCAUUAACUAAAUUUCUCUCACAAGCAAAACAUGAUCACACCUUAGUACUCUUUGGGUGUUAAAUCACAUAAACGAUGUGAACUAGAUUACUGACUCUAGUAAACCCUUUGAGUGUUAGUCACACAUCGAUGUGAACUAUGGGUGUUAAUCACAUGGUGAUGCGAACUAUUGCUGUUAAAUCACAUGGCGAUGUGAGCUAGAUUAUUGACUCUAGUGCAAGUGGGAGACUGAAGGAAAUAUGCCCUAGAGGCAAUAAUAAAGUUAUUAUUUAUUUCCUUAUUUCAUGAUAAAUGUUUAUUAUUCAUGCUAGAAUUGUAUUAACCGGAAACAUAAUACAUGUGUGAAUACAUAGACAAACAGAGUGUCACUAGUAUGCCUCUACUUGACUAGCUCGUUAAUUAAAGAUGGUUAUGUUUCCUAACCAUAGACAUGAGUUGUCAUUUGAUUAACGGGAUCACAUCAUUAGGAGAAUGAUGUGAUUGACUUGACCCAUUCCGUUAGCUUAGCACUUGAUCGUUUAGUAUUCUGCUAUUGCUUUCUUCAUGACUUAUACAUGUUCCUAUGACUAUGAGAUUAUGCAACUCCCGUUUACCGGAGGAACACUUUGUGUGCUACCAAACAUCACAACAUAACUGGGUGAUUAUAAAGGUGCUCUAUAGGUGUCUCCGAAGGUACUUGUUGGGUUGGCAUAUUUCGAGAUUAGGAUUUGUCACUUCGAUUGUCGGAGAGGUAUCUCUGGGCCCACUCGGUAAUGCACAUCACUAUAAGCCUUGCAAGCAUUGUAACUAAUGAGUUAGUUGCGGGAUGAUGUAUUAUGGAACGAGUAAAGAGACUUGCCGGUGAUGAGAUUGAACUAGGUAUUGAGAUACCGACGAUCGAGUCUCGGGCAAGUAACAUACCGAUGACAAAGGGAACAACGUAUGUUGUUAUGCGGUUUGACCGAUAAAGAUCUUCGUAGAAUAUGUGGGAGCCAAUAUGAGCAUCCAGGUUCCGCUAUUGGUUAUUGACCGGAGAUGUGUCUCGGUCAUGUCUACAUAGUUCUCGAACCCGUAGGGUCCGCACGCUUAAAGUUUGAUGACGGUUAUAUUAUGAGUUUAUGUGUUUUGAUGUACCGAAGGUUGUUUAGAGUCCCGCCACAAACAUGACGAGGAGUCUCGAAAUGGUCGAGACAUAAAGAUCUAUGUAUUGGACGACUAUGUUUGGACACCAGAAUGGUUCCGGGAGGUUUCGGGUAUAUACCGGAGUACCGGGGGUUACCUGACCCCCCCCCAGGGAAGCUAUUGGGCCUUAUGGGCCUUAGUGGAGAAGAGAGAGGGUAGCUAGGAGGUGGCGCGUGGCCCCCUUGCCCCAGUCCGAAUUGGACAAGGGAAGGGGGCGGCGGCCCCCCUCUCCUUCCUUCUCUCCACCUCCUCCUUCCCCCUUCUCCUUCUUGGAAUAGGAAAGGGGGGGGGGGACAAACCUACUUGGAGUAGGAUUGCCCCCCCUAGGGCGAGCCUCUCCCCUUGGUCGGCCCUCUCCUCCUCCCCCUUUAUAUACGGAGGAGGGGGGCACCCCAUAGACACAACAAUUGAUCCCUUGGAUCUCUUAGCCAUGUGCGGUGCCCCCCUCCACCAUAAUCCACCUCAAUAAUAUCGUAGCAGUGCUUAGCUGAAGCCCUGCGUCGGUAGAACAUCAUCAUCAUCACCACGCCGUCAUGCUGACAGAACUCUCCCUCAAAGCUCGGCUGGAUCGCAGUUCGAGGGACGUCAUCGAGCUGAACAUGUGCUGAACUCGGAGGUGUCCUAUGUUCGGUACUUGAUCAGUCGGAUCAUGAAGACGUACGACUACAUCAACCGCGUUAUGCUAACGCUUCCGCUUUCGGUCUACGAGGGUACGUGGACACACUCUCCCCUCUCGUUGCUAUACAUCACCAUGAUCUUGCGUGUGCGUAGAAUUUUUUUUGAAAUUACUACGUUCCCCUACAAAGCUUCCAUCUUCCAACUCUCCAGAUUGUUGUUCGGCUUAACCAACUAGCUCAGGGGUAUCCAACACAAAUUCUAGGAGAAGGGGUGGUUUACAAGAGACCAACUUGAUCACGAGCUCAACAUAACAUUCAGGUAACGACCUGGUGAUACUUCCGAGAAGAUAUUCGGAAAAUCACGAACCACCGAUAUGUGAUUAAGCUCGGAAACAAUCUUGUUUUUCAGGGCGAGAGGAUAUGAUCAAAAGAGUAAGGGAUUAACACAAUCCUAACUCAUUGGUCGAAGAGUGCACUGGAAAUAAGGACUAGGUAGCACAAUAACCUUAGGGUGAUGAUUCAGUAAUCAACACGCUAAGAAUGAGGUUAUUGUCCAUUUAACUACCAAGCAACGGAGUUGCUAGGAGUAUAGAUUUCACACAUCACGGUUCACUUGUCGGCAUUCCGGUUGCAACAAGAUGGAACCGAGAGAUGAAUAAUGAGGGCGAGAAGUAUCACUGUAUCAAGAGUUCAUAGGAUGGUGUGCAAUUCCCAUGAUAUUCUUGAUAUAAAGAUGGUAAUACCCUAAGGUAGAAUAGAACAAAAACUGGAUUAGCAUUUUGAUAUGCGGAACACAUCUGUUUUAACCCAAUCCUAGAAAUGGAUAAGGUACUGGAGUUUGUUUCUCCUAGUCAUUCCGGAAUAGAAUGGCUUGACGGACCACAAGAGUAAUAGGCAUCGAUAAACACGAUUGCACAACUACUCCUUACUAUCAAUUGAUAGGCGGGGAUCAGAAUACAACUAAAGAGGGACAACUCAAAAGAACAUAUAAUUUUCUGAGUUGUGGAUGCAUAGAUUAGUAUGACGAGCAAAACUCAACAUUUCUUCCGGAUAACCCAUGCAGAAAGGUAGAACUGGCAGACUCACAACGUGGAAUGAAGAACUCAUCAAGAGCACUUUAUUGUGAUCUUUCGGUUCAAAAGAACUUCUGCCAAAAAUGGUUCAUGGUAUUUGGAAGAAGGAAAUACCACAGACCUCAAGGACUAUCACAAAGGUUACUAAUAACCUAAAGUAACUAGCAACACUAUCAACAUGAAGUAAGUAGGGUGAAUCUCGGGUUCAGAAACCCAGGAGUAGAAUGUCUACUAACUAAGUGGCAUCACAGGAUGCUUUCGAGAAUGAUGGCCAGAAUCAUCACACUGGGAACACAAAUCAUGGCUAGCUUACUAGAUGAUCCCCUAGGACACCUAGGGUCAUAAUAAUAACUCCAACAUAUAUGUCAAGUAAAUAGAGUACCUCAACGCACUGAUUAGUGUGCUUAAUCUGACCCAAAAGAACAUCAGGAACGGAAGAAGGGAUUUGCAAGUGCAUCAGAUUGUUUAGGAACCUGGGACGACUCAGACAGCAUAACGGUUGUAAAUGCUCAAGAAGAUUUGAGACAUCCUGCAAAAUGGUGGCAUAACCACUUUAUCAUCAUAAUAUCAAGGUUUUGAGAUCAACUAUGAAUACACGGAUAUAGUAGGAACUAAACUAAGGCUUGAGUUCAUCAAUCUUGUAGGUCUACGGAUUAGUAACACGUCCUGAUAGAAAGAAGAGAAAGCCUAGUUCUUAACCCUGUAGGAAAGAUAGGAUGACUCGGAUCAGAGGGGCAUAAGGUAAAGGAGUAAAAAGAGCCUUAGGUUCCCAUCCACAAUCAAUUCCCUUAUAUAACUAAAGAAUUUCUAGACUCAACUUCGAUCGGUUUGGCUUGGUAAUCCUACAGGCAGUCAGACUCUGAUACCAAAGCUGUCAGGACACCGAUCCUAAGUCACACCGAUCUAGCAUGUAACACAUCAUAUCACUUUAUGGCCUCAUGCACGGCAUUCCCACGGGUGCCACCUUACCUGGCCCGGGACCGUUUGCGCCUUUUGGCUCACGUAUAUGAUAAUGUUGUUAGCAUUCAUAGACAAAGAACCCAGCCUGACAUGACUAGUCGUGGACCCAAAGUGGCACUAACUUACAGGGAUAGGCAUACAUGACCCAACAACGAACGUGUCGAUCAGCAACGUGCGAACCCAAGUCGUAGCAAGCUACAUGGACUUAAAGGAACAACGUGUGACAUUUCCCCGAAGGGACAGACAUAGGAACGAAGAAGGACACAUGCCGGCCAGCCUAAGUGUUCCGGAGCAGUAGCAAGCUACCAUGGCUCAGUGGAAGCACUAGGAGACAUUCCCGGUAAGAGAGGCUACCAAGGAUGAACAACUAGGUUGUCAGAUCCCACACAUACCAAGCAUUUCAAAUCAUACACACAAUAUGCUCGAUAUGUGGAAAUACAACAUGGCAUCACAACAUAACUCUAUGACUCAAGUAUUUAUUCAAUAGGCUCCGAGGAGAGAGAUAUUACAAACAUGGGUCUCAUGACCCAAUAUUCAGAGCAUACAAGUCAAAGCACAAGCGGAAGCUUAACAUGUCUGAGUAUAGACUACUACAAAUGAAAAGGGCUGAGAAGCCUGACUAUCUACCAGAUCCUGCCAAGGGCACAAGACCGUAGCUGAGGUAACAAGCUAAACGCCGAAGUCCACGCGGAACUACUAGCGAGACUGAAGUCUCUCUGCAAAAACAUAAAUUAAGCAAACGUGAGUACAAACAUACCCAGCAAGACUUACAUCAGAACUAACUACAUAUGCAUCAGUAUCGACAAAGGGGUGAUGGGGUUUAACUGCAGCAAGCCAGCUUUGACUCGGUGGCUAUCGUAAACUACGACUGCAAGUAACUCUUUUGAGGUGGCGCACACGAGUCCACAUAAUCACCAUAUCAAUACACCACUACGGAUCCGCUCCCGUCUCCCUAAGAGAAUGCCAUCCAUAACACUCACGCUUAUCUUGCGUAUUUUAGAGUAUCCACUUUCACUUGUCUAUGAAUUGUAUAGGCAACCAAGAGGUCCUUUAUCGCGGACGCGGCUAUUCGAAUAGACGAUGUUAACCCUGCAGGGGUGUACUUCUUCACACACGCUCUCGCCACUUACCGCCAUGUACACGUCAUGUAUCUCGGCAACCUUCAAGCGGAAGCCUGGCGAGGGUGUCGGCCACGGCCUACCUAAACACUCAAGUCUCUAGUCCAGAUUUAUCGCCUAUUCAGGUUCCAUCCGCAGGGAGUCCGGUCGAAGUUUCCACAUACGGCCUCGAACGAUGUGAGCAGGGUUCCAGAGACAUCAAACGGGCGCCUGGUACACCGUGCCACGUGCCUACCACAUCACAGCCCACCCCUCGGGCCAGCGCUGCGCACGGCCUCCAGCAUACUACAAACACCAGAAACUACUUGCAACUCCUGGACAGAGGACAAGGGUGGUUAAGAACCCGAGAGGGUCAGUUAAGGAUCCCAAUGAGUGCUAGUAGUUGUUCAUGGAUCAGAAACACAGAACUCAGUUCCUGAGGACGACUUCAAUGAGACAACCCACCAUGUACUCCUACAUGGCCUCUCACCGCUAUCUUUACCAAAUCGUGUUCACACACUUAGCUCACACAUAGUAGGACAUGUUCAACACCAUUCCAAUUCAUUCCCGAUGAAUCAGACCUGACUCAACUUUAAGCAGUAGCAGGCAUGUCAAACAAGCAUGAAUGAGUAGGCACAUCAGGGCUCAAACAACUCCUACUCAUGCUAGUGGGUUUCAUCAGCAACAUGCACCCUAAGGACACAUGUACGUUUUUUCUAGCCAUUUUGGUGCACUGGAGCAUGUAUUUUGGAGUUCGGAUUUGAAUUAUGGAUAUUAAAUGCCUAGAAAACUUAAUUAAUGAAUAAAAAGGGUCAAACGAACCCUGAAUAAUUUCAAAGUUCAGCGCGAAUCUCCCGUUGUUCCGUACGUGUUGCGUGCAGAAAAAAAAUACGAGGCUAGAAGAGGGAGCGAUUAUCGUUUGGCCCACAAGGGGACACGUUUCCCUAUCGAAACCAGGAGGGUUCUUGCGACAGGUUCCGGUUUGUAAGAGCAUCUCCAACAGGCGUGCUAAACAAGCGCCGCGCCGCAAAUUUACCCAUUUUAGCGCGCGCGCAAUCGCUAGUGUGUCUCCAACGGGCGCGCAAUAACCGCGCGCGCGGCAUAUAGAGUUGGGCACGCAGUCCGAAUCGCUAUCACGCUCUACGUAUUUGGGACGUCCGCUUUCGUGCGCGGCACACACGAGCGCUCCGGGCGGCUUUGGAGCACCUCCGGGCGGCUUGGACGGCAUGGGUAGCAUGGGUGACAUGAGUUUUGCGUCUCUCAUUGGGGGCAUGGGUGCACCUCCGGGCGCCGGUGUGCCACCUUCGCAUGAAGAUGCCGUUGAAGAUCUUGGCAACACCUUCUGAGCUUCACGUGACGAGGAUACGGCGCGCAACAAUGAAGAGGAGGAGGAAGAAUCGUCUUCGAAGGAGUCGGAGGAAGAGGAUGAAGACGAAGACGAGGACGAGGCUUGAUUUUUGUGCCAUUCGUUUGUGUCAUCAUAAACUUGCUUUGCAUGUUGAACUUGGUUUAAUUAUGUUGUGGGCAUGAAUUUGAACUUGUGGGCAUGAACUUUUGGGCACGAAUUUGGUUGUAAUGAUGUUUGUGAUUCAAUAUAUGCCAUGUGUUUUGUGUUGAUGUGUGAAAUUUAUGCCCCAAAUGAGAACAAAUGUGUGUGCGUGCGCUGCAUUUUAGCGCUACUGCUGGAGCAAGCGUUGCGCGACGCGUCAAACCUGGCGAUGUGCGCGUCGAAAACCAGAUUUUAGCGCGCCACGCAUUGGGCGUCUGUUGGAGAUGCUCUAAAGAAUGCGUUCGUUCGUUUUUCACAAUGAGUAUUCUUGUUGCACAUUUUAUGACCUUCAGCGUGAAGUAUUCUUACUAAUUACAUAUGUUGCUUGUGCGGAAUGGAUAUGAGCCGAGGAAGAAGUAAUUCAUUAUACUUGCUCAAAUAUAUUGUGAAUGAAGCUAAAGACUAGCAUUUCUAAUAGUGUGCGAUAUUUUGUUAAGCUCGUCAAGUAGAUCUUAACUUAUAACAGAUUUUUAAAUGGAUAAUCAUUCUGUAUACAUCUUCAAAUUGCCUUUUGUUAUCAAUCUACAUUGCAAGUGAAGUGGACUUCAUUACCAUAUUGUGUCCGUGCUAUCUUUGCUCUACAUGUAAAAUUUAACAUGAAUUAUGUUUAUAUAUAACUCUAUCAAAAUAUUUUAAAAACUCGUGAAGCUACUUCCCCGUUCCCACCAGGCCACCACAUCCUUGCUUUUAUUUCUCCUGGAAGCAGAGACGGCGCCGCCGCUCGCCUGCGACGCCCUCCGCCGCCUCCGCUCGCCGCAGGUCUCCCCGCUGCCGCCGAUCAUCUCCAGCAAGGUAUCCAGCCACCUCGGCCCCUUGCCGCGCCGUUGGGAGCGCCGCCGCCGAUGGUUCAGUGACUUCAAUCGGUCCCCGUGGGCUCCAGCGCCAGCGGCGGCGCCGCCGCGACUGCUCUCCUUCCCGAGGUGGAUUCACUCCCUUUGAGGUCGUCAUUGUUAGGUUCGCCCCCGUCCCUUGCUACUUGCUCACUCUCCACAAUUUUUGGCAACAACCGAAACCCUAGCUUAGCUUGAACAAUUAACACGCCAGCUUAGUUACCCUGUAUGCUUUGGCUUGUGUUCAGGUUGAUUGAAGGAGGGACCAAGGAGCAGUGGCCGCGGCUGUGUGUGAAGCUGCGUGUGUUUCGGUUUGCUGUGGUUAGCGUCUGGGCCGUGGGUUGUGCUUAACAAAGUGGUUUCUGCUUGUUGGAGACAAAGGGUGUUUCCCUUUGUUUAAUCAGGUGGCUUGGUUUUCUCCAGGCCAGGGGUAUAGGGUUUAGGGUUCACUGUGAGUGUGCUUGUGCUUGUGGACAUGGAUAAAAUGGAAGGGGAGAGGACAAGCCGACUAGCCAGAGCUGAGUCUAAAUCAAAGACUUCUUCACCUACUAGUGCAACUGCCUUUUCAGCCACCGCCUCUCGUCGGCGCCCUACUCUCCCGAGUCUGCGGGCUGACGUGGACUACUCCAAAUACAAUCGGAAGAAGAUGAAGGAGCUCAGGCUUGUCUCGGAGAAAGAGUGGUUCCCGCCUCAAAGACAUGAGUGUCACUUGACAAGCAGCUGGUUCUGGACAGUUGUGCAGAAGGACCUCUACCUUACUCUCAAGUCACAGGUCAGCGACAUGAAGUGGAUCGACUGGCCAUCAGUCAACCGGAGUGCUGGCACAAAUGUUGAUGUUCGUGGAUACUUUGCAGCUACUCCGGGGCUUGACAGGCUGUUAGAGAGGCAGGACCUCAGCUGGGCUGACUCGUACAUUCGUCAAUUCUAUGCCACACUAUGGAUUCACCCAGACCGAUCAAGGAUCAAGUUCAUGUUUGGGAACCAACAGCGUGAGUUGUCCAGGGACGAUUUCUUCGGGUGUCUUGGCCUGUCUUGCUGUGGUGCCCAAGUGCACACCUUGGCAUACCCCAAUGGGAACAGGGAUGAAGUUCACCUUGCCACCUGCACAGGACAUUCACCACCUAUACGUCAACCCUGAUGCCGCGAUGGAGUUCUGGAAGGAUCACAAUCAGUUGAACCAUGAAACAGCGGUUGUACACACAGUCAUGAGGAUGUCGAUCCAUCCUAGAGUUGGAGGCCUUGAGUCCCUAACUACAGUUGAGAUUUGGCUUCUGCACUUGUUGAGGUCAGCACAGCCUGUAGACAUAGUAGAUUUGAUGAUUGGAGAGAUGCAGGACACCAUUCUGACAAUCAGACGUCGUCUGCCCUACGCCCCGUAUCUCAUUCGCUUGUUUGACAAGAAAGGUUGGCUUGAGGAUGGCAUGAAAAAGGCUUUGGAUCAGCACCUCAAGCCAUACAAAGCUCCAAGGCCCGAUGACAAGAGGAGGCUCAAGAAUAGGGCACUUCAGCAUGACAAGUCGUACAAGGCUCCGAAGCCUGAUGACAAGAGGAGGCUUGUGACCAGGUCACUUCCAGCCCACAUGGAAGUUGUAUUUGAUGAUGAUGGGCAUGUAGUGUUGGAUCAUGCACUUGUCCCGAGCAUACAGGAGCAAGCUCUUUGGGACACCACUAAUGGGGAAGCUGACACAGAUCAUGGCCAACAUAUGGCGCCACCCCCAGUUCCUGAUGAGUUCAGAUUUGGCCAGCUGGGAGCUCACAACGUAGAGGCAGGAGGCUUGGCUGGUCAUACCUAUGACGUUCCUCCCAUGCUGCAGAGACAGACUGAUCGCCAGACGGCUAUCCUUGAGCAGAUGCAGAGACAGAUUGAUCACCAGACGGCUAUCCUUGAGCAGAUGCAGGGACAGAGACAGAUUGAUCCCCAGACGGCUAUCCUUGAGCAGAUGCAGAGACAGAUUGAUCGCCAGACGGCUAUCCUUGAGCAGAUGCAGAGACAGAGACAGAUUGAUCCCCAGACGGCUAUCCUUGAGCAGAUGCAGAGACAGAUGCAGGAUAUCCGCAACCUGGCUGUGGUUUCUAUUGGUCAGAGUAUUCGCCGUGACGCUCGCCACAGUGAUAUUCUGGCUCUUCUCGAUGAGAGUUUUAGUGCUUCCUGUGGACUCUAGGCGGCCUCCUGUCCCACCGGUUUGACGCAACAGACUCUACUUCUCAGUGUCUAGUUUUGUGGUAUGAUGAGCUGCUGCCUACUUCUGCUAGAUCGGAGUGUCCUCAGGUUCUCUCACCUUCAGGCUUAAGCCCAGCAGCCACUCGACAGAACCGAGACAUAAGCUGGCUAUUGUCGAUUAACUUCGUUGGUGGGUUUCCCUGUGUGUGUUUGAUCUAGAAACGGGAGAGAUUUGACUUAUAUUAUCCUUUUGUGCGUGGAGUCGUCUUUUGGGUGGUACUGUAAGUGUAAGAUACCUAUAUGUUGCAUGCCUAAAUACUUCUGCCUGCUCCUUAUUUGGAUUCUACAUACUUUGUUUCGACAAGGAUGCAUGAAUUUCAUAGAUCGAGGUUUAAAAGCUGCUGUUUAUACUUGCUGCCAGUGCCAUCGUCAUCGUUGUGUGUGAUGUCCUGAGUCAAGCUCUUUAUAGAUAGAAGGCAUCAUGUUUUUUGAUUCCUUGAGAUCUCAGACCAGUGAUUGAAGUGCAUCCAAGAUGUCAUUGCUUCCUAGGUCAUUUGUAUUUUUACUUUUUACAAUGAUCUGCAUGUUAUCAUCAACUUUCGCAUGCGGUGUUUAGAUUGUUGCCACCUUCCGGAG